RNAcentral lists this long non-coding RNA (193143 nucleotides) under Eucalyptus grandis. RNAcentral describes it as "long non-coding RNA (EGRA_LNC002201)". The record is from RNAcentral. Lineage: Eukaryota; Viridiplantae; Streptophyta; Magnoliopsida; Myrtales; Myrtaceae.
UGAUGAUUGUUAGCACGCAGGGACUGACAAGCAUUUUAUAUCAACAUUUUGGGUGAUAGGACUCUCUCAAGUCUCGACACUUCUUGCAGUUGCACUUGCUUACCCCGUGAAUUCUUGAACUUUUGUACAUGGUGGCGGUCGAAGACACCUGGUCGACUCGUUGUGGCUGCUGAGUCCGGUUGGUGUCGCAACCGAGUGGAAUUGAAGAAGCCGGUCUCUUUGACGCCUCUUGACUCAUUAGGGCCAUGCUGCAUUUCCAGUUUUCGCCAUCGCCAUUUCUAUUUCCCACGCUUGUUUCAGUUCUCUUUGCUCUUCUUCCUGUGGGUCUCUCCCUGUCUGCGAUUUGCUUGACCAGAAUUCCAUGGACAAGAUAGAAUGGUUUGUUGGGGUUCUAAGUCGUUUCUUUAAUUAUGGAUUGCUUUUUAGCUGUCACAACUGUUUUUGGAACGAGAUCAUUACGGAGCAAUGCAGGGCAAGGACUUCGUCUUCACUCUGUCUAACGGCCUCAGGCAGAGGAUCUUAUCAUUCCAUGGUUUAUUGGAUUUGAUAUUGGAAUGAGAAUUUAAAUUUCUUUUGCGAUCCUGACUUUAUUCUCUCAACGGUGAAGAGUCUGAAUGUCUGCUAAGAAUGACUGACUUCAAAUACCAGAUUACCAGGACAUCAAGUUAGGAUGCAGGGGAGACCUCAUCAUUUUCAAGCUAGAUAUAUGAAUUACCCCCGUGGCUGAUUAGAGAGAGGUACUCUUCUUCACUUCAACAUUUCUGAUCCUUGGAUACUUAUAAGAUUCCUCGCUUAAAUCAGUUACUUCAGGAUUGAUGUGUAUCUUUUCAAUUGGUUUUGACAAUUCAUUCAAAUUGCCCGUCUUGGAUGGAGAACUGCAAAAGUUUAGUACAAACAGAUUAAGCAUUUGCAGAAUAAUGCCGCGUCAAAGGCCUAAUCCAAUGCACGAAAUCUACAAGUUAUAGCCAGGAAUGUCUCUAAGAUGGGAUAGGACAUGACAUGAACAGCAUCAUACAUAGAACAGAUAUGACAUGACAUUGAUACAUCUUUUCUAUAAUCAUAAGUUAUUUCAGCCUUAUAAGUGACUAUUGUCUCAAAGAAUAUCAUUCUCCCAUUUCAUUCGACUCAAAAGGUUCAACUCAAACAUGAAUAUCUCAGGCUAGAGCAGAUUGUGAACCCUAUUUCCAGGCUUGUUGUCUUCUAGUAGCUGAUCUAGUCAUAUGUUACCAGAGACAAAGAUGUCAAUAUCCUCUUUAAAGCGUACUAUGGUGAAUUUAAUUAAGCUUUUCUGGAAAGUUAUAAUGGAAGAACUUAGACUUAAGAUACAAUUGCAAGUAAAAGUUAGUAGUUUCAGCUGAAAUGCUAUCAUUUCACCAACGGCAAGAAAAUGACUGCGAACAUUGGAAGAUUUUUCACUUAUGUAAACAUAUGCAACUGGGAGAGUGUCCGAUGUCUCAAUACAAACUACGACAUACAAUCAAACAGAAAAUAUCUCCUUUUACCCCAGUUGGAAGUCCAUUGGAUAGCAAAAGAGUGAUAACCAGAGGACCUUUAUAUGGGAAGGAGGUAAUAUUUUUCCUUUUUCUUUCCUCUGUAAUUGAACAUGAUCAAUGAUAGGAUUAUCCUCACAGUCAGGAAUUGUCUCAGGAAGACGAGAUCUUGAGCCCCAGUGCUCGUUUAUCUCUAAAUAUCAUCCUUUGCUUCCUAUAACCUUCUUUCUACUUUGUUCUCCCUCAGUCAUGGGUGAAUCAAGAUUAAAGCCAUCCAACCUGGAAAGCCUAAAUGACUGCCAAGAUUCUAAAUUGUAAUUGCGAUUCAAGUUUGACCACCAAAAAAAAAAAAAAAAUUCACUAGUCAAGACAUUUGUUUCAAAUGUUUCCCUUCGGUCAAAAAUAUAAUCUUAUGUAUCGAAGAAUAAUCCCAUAUGGAUGCAUUUUGAAGCUGUCUUGCUCAUUAGACAAAGAAAAGCUUUAAUUGGAAUUUCCUUCACCAGGUGAUUCUGCUUCAUUUCAGUCCUCGUUGUUUGAAGAUUUCUUAGAUGGGAGGGAAAAAUCAAGAUCUGGCACGUCCACUUUGAACAAUGACAACUUGUCAUAAUCAGCAUCCAGGUAAAAUCGACAUGACUGAAAUAGGUUUUUUCAUAUUUAAUCCACAGAAAGCUGAGAUAUAACCCUCUCUCAUAAUAAUGGACCUUGCAAACAAGCAUUCAUGCAUCUUCAGUGUCAUCCAUCAUUCGGAUGAUAUUUGAAGUGGUGGGAUGUAUGUAAAGCAUGGCUCACUUAAUCACCACGGGCAUUAUUCUCCACAAAGAAGUAAUUGUAUGGGGAAUACACGUAAUCAACACUAGUUUGAAGAUAAGAAUAUCCAAGUUAGAUUCCACAUCCAUACUAGUUUACUAUCUAACAGCAUAUACUUUAAUUUUCACUUACAGUUUAUUAAAGUCGAAUUCCUUCAUCCUGCCUUUGCCAACUACAUCAAAGCUAAAAUCUAUUGUGUCAUCUACUGCCAUGGACGACGACCUCAAGGAGAAAAGGAACUCCAGUCCAAAUUCAGCAUCUGUUGAUUUAUGACCAACAUAUCAGAUUGUCAUAUGACAUGGCCAGAAAUAUGUAUAAACAAUCUUCCUUUUAAGAUUAAGAACGCUUUGAUUUGAUUUUCGAGUACAUACAAGGCAUGCUGCACUAAUUUUUACCGUGACAUCCAAAAGAGCAAUUAGGCAGGCCAUAUUAAAUUAACAAUAAUGUCCUAAACAAAUUAAUUAGAGAGCUAUGAAUUCUUGUGGUACCAUCCCACAUCUGAAAUGAACUGACUGAAUUCUUAGAUUUGUCAAGCUUACGGAGUACCUAGUAAUGAUUUAUCCUCUUCCUAAUUAACCACUGCAAUUUCCUUAGGUGAUUCUGCCAUCUGCAAGGGAAAGAGUGAGGAUAGCAUAAGCGAAAGGAGAAUCCCAGUGGCCCCGGAAUUUGCUAAAGAAAGGGGAAAACAAAAUUGGGAACCCCUUUGAGUUGGCUAUAGUACACAGCACAGAAUGAAUUACUAGACUGAGACGAGCAUAGGAUCCACGGGUACCUUACUUGCCAUUGUGACAGCGGGCAUGCUCGAGCGAGGCAGAGAGAGAUCGCCUGCAUUCAAGUCGAGAAUCGAUGCUGAACUGAGACGAAACGUGAAUGGAAAUGGAGAUCACGUUUCCCGGAUGAGAGAGCAGCGAACUGGUUUUCUGAGGUUUUGAAUGGCAACCGUAUAUAUAGAGUAGCUUCGAAUAAAUUUCCGAUUUUGCCCCUUCGGUGGGGAUCAUUUUUCACGAAGUUGCCCCCGAUAAUGCUCUAAUAUGUCUCAAAUAGGCCUCUCGAUUAAGUCUUGCAUGGGCCUCGAUCCUUUUGAUCCAAACAAAUAUUGGUCGUUGUCACGUGGGCCCACAUUGGCGCGAGCAUGAUCAACGGCCCUGACAGAAUUGAGACACGUGGACACGGGAGUUGUUUGUCAUUCGUUAAUCAAAUUUGUGGAUCCAAACGAGUCUUUAGUUUUUUGCAACAACUCUAAAUUUGAAAAAACAAAUGUCGAUUGUAUGGUUAAUGUAGUACCAACGAGUAAUCAUGUUAUCUAGGCAAUUUGAAUUUUAUGCGUCUCAAUUAACUUUAGCAUUUGAGUUUUGAAAUUGUCAAUUUACUUUUGAACAAUUUCUUCACUUGUCAACGGUAUAAUACAUGCAAUUGUUAGAAAAAAUUCAUUUUAGAAAAUAGGAGUAGUCACUUAUUAGUCACCAUGUGCUUGAAUAAGAGAGUAUUUGCCGGGGAAAGGAAAGUUGCAUUCAUAGUCUCUAUUUGAGAUAAGAAACCGAUAUUACUUGUCUUUGGAAUGGUAUUUCAGAAUCUCAUCUUGUAUAAUUUAAACAGAAGUUCCGAAUAUUGCUUUGAUUGCAAGGCAUGUGAAAUAGAAAGUUUGAAAUUGGGUCAUGGAUCUUUUCCUACUUCUUCGAAGGUAGGGAUCAGAGAAAGCCGAAAAGAAAACAACUUAAUUUCUUAUCCUCAGCACCUUCGCAAUUUCACACUUGAAAUAAUUGAAGGUAGUUUGAAUUACACAUGAAUGUAGUAUCUUGAAGGAUUGCUUCAAUUACAUGUAAAGUUGACAUUUAUCUUCUUAAUCGAGGGCCCCGUAGCACAUCAUCCAACCAAUUGCAAGUUGACAUGUGACAUAAUGAAUAUUCAGGUACUACUAAAAUGCACAUGAUUAUGAAUUAAAUUAGCAAUAUAGACCAUAGAAAAUGCAUGAAAAGUAUAAACUUGAAGAAUUAUUGUAGAAUCCAAACAGAUUUUGACUGUCAAUUACCUUGGAUACAUACUUGGAAACCACAUGGUCAAAUAACCUUGAUGGAUUCGAGAUAUGUAGACUCAGGUCUAGGCAAGCAUUUAUCCUCACGUUGAUAAAAUGUGUGUUGAACUCGUCGAUUGCUUUUCAAGCCCAUCUCACAUGCCCAUUGUCGCACCAAGGAGAGAACACUUUUGUCUGAGAGUAACCUAAAGCUGGUUUGAGUAGGAAUUAAAGAAACUCACAAGAAGAUUUACGUCUUAUCAUUAUAUAAAGGAGGAUUUGUUAAAGUUGUGUUGUAUUACAUUUGCUCCACCUCUUCCGCUAUUGGGACAAUGGUCUUAACGUCCCAGUAAAGCAUUAACUGUUUGCUGAGCAAGCCCAUCGCUGCAGCUUCAGUAGAUACGAUCAAGCCGACAAUUCACCUAAACCCAAGCUUGUCCUCAUAGAGAGAUUAACUCAAAAAAAAAAAAAAAAACAAAAACAAAAAAGCGUAAUUAUGUCUAUUUGUGGCUCUGUCGUACACUUUGCUCCACAAAUAUGAAUGGGUUGGUUGUGCCUCUUGAAUUUUAUGUUGAAUGUCCAAGUUUUGUUUUUCUCUGAUUAUUUUUAUCUUGAAGUAAAUAUGUUUUUGCGAGCUUUAUGAAUUUUUUAGCAAGCCAUCUGUUCGUGUAGGUAAAGAAUGCAUAUAUGCGCGACCGACUUUUUCUUCUAGUCAACAAGAAGUUGCGAAAGCUUUUAGGAAGAAACUGGACGAGAGGGGGGAGGCAAAGCCCUGCCCUUGUAAAACUACGCGUAGAAAUUGAUCUUGCAAAGGAAGAAGUAGAAGCAAUGAAGAUGAAUUUCGAGGAUAGGGAGCGUGAAAUGGCGGGAACUAGAGGAGACUGCUAACACCUUCACCACCAUUUAUUACUGUGGAAUGGAAAAUUUGCCACCGCAAAAGAGGAUGGAUAUUGGCGCGGCGGCGAGUUCGACGGCAUCAACAUCCAUGGCAACAAUGACAAUAGCAUCCAAAAAUGAAGGCUUUGAAAAAGUUGAUGAUGGGGGUCUACAUCUUUCGCACAAAUGGUUUAAGACUAAUCUGUUCUAAGUCGCACUUAGAUGCUUUCUUAGAAGGACAUGGAGGUUCAGGGAAGAUUCCCAGUAGCAUCUCCUACUUCAAAUGAAACGAAACAAAGAACUAAUUUUGUCCGAUACAAAGACAAAAACCAAGGAACAACACUAGAAUCAACAGGUGGAGCUACGCCUAGACAUCACAAAGGAAACAACGAACGACUAAUCAUCAAUUCUCCAAGUCAAAGCAUGGUGUCUUAUCAGACGAUACAGACACAAACUCCCUUCCCUCAAGAAGCAUAGUCAUCUUGAUUCUCGUGCAGUAAAGAACAUAAUGCAGAUCUCUGUUCGUCUUCUUCUGGUGGGCUUUAUAUACGUCGUGGGUUGUGGAUGGCGGCAGAGAAGGAUAUCCAUCACUGAAAACGGAGUCUGUUUCUCUAUUAUUCUUAUAUGCUUUGUUGGGACAUUCUUGUUGCAUUACUUGAAAUUGUAUUGGGUACUUGACCGGCUUUCACUGAUCCUGCGGCCGAUAACCAACGUUAGACAAAGAAUUCACUAACCGUCAUGUUCAUCCUUCUUCAUGCAAAAAAUCUCGUGAAAUAAGAUCAAAUCUUUGUAAAAAUUUGUAACCCAGCUUUUCUUUUUGGUCGCACUUUUUGCUUGAAAUCUAGUCUUAUCUUAAAUUCUUGAUAUCACUUUUGCACGAAUUACUUAUUUUGUUCGGAGCAUUACCUAUUGUGUUCGGGUAACUUAGCAAUAAGGAGAAAACUGAUGAUAUUAAGUGCAGCACAUUUUAUAUAUUCAAUUAUCAAUUAUCAUAACUUUAUAAAUUAACUUGAUUAAUUGAGUAAUAUGUUGAGGAAAAAGCCAUUGCCCAUGCAGCACAAUUUGAGUAAUUUCGGGCUUUUUGGUUAACCAAAAUUACUUUUUUGAACCCAAUACUCUGUCGGUUAUAUAGGGCUCGAAUGAUAACCAUUUGGCUAGAAACUAAUUUCUAGAAGAGAAAUAGAUUUUUCUAUUUCUAUUCUUGGAUGAAUUUCUAAGAAAAAAUAUGUGUUUUGUAAUGAUACAAAAUUUUUAUUUUUGAAAUAGAAAUUCGCUUGAUAACAACACAAAAUUUCUUUCACCUAAGUGGUGGUGGACGGUGAAUAGCAGCAGAUGCUGGCCGACGAUCGGUGGUUAAUAGAUGAUGAUUGGUGGCCGGCAACCGAUGGAUGGAGAAUGGCAGCAAACAACGGCGACGGCAGUUGAUAGACGAUGACCGAGCGGACGAUAGAUGACGGCCAGUAGUGAUGGAUGGGUUGCUGGCUAGAAGCAAAGACGAAUGAUGAGAAGUAAAAAAUUCUGAUUUCUAUUCCAAAUCUAAUUUUAGAAUUAAUUCUAUAAAUAACAAAAUGAAAUAAUUCUAUCAAACUAGAUUUCUAUUUCAGAAACAAAUUUAGAACAAAAAAAUAGUUUAGGAAUAGAAAAAAAUGGUUAUCAUAUUUCAACUUUUAGAAAAAUUACUUUGCUUUUUGGUCUUCUGAGGAGUAAACAUGAUUUCAACUUUUAGAAAAGAGGAGAGCUUCUGUUCUUCUUUUCAUAUAUGGUGUUGAUCAUUGACAUGGAUAUUCGUUUAGCAAGUAAUUUUUUAAUAAGUUACUACAGUAUUUUCGAAAGUAUCAACUCGUAUUUACACUUCAAAAUUUACUAAUUGCUUUCAUAACCUACCAAGUUUAUCAAACUAGUGUUGAAAACGCUUAGAUUAAAAGCAAAUAAUUUUGAUAUCCAAACUAAUCGUCAUUGUGAUGGCACAGAUUGUUUUCUUCACUCUGUGCCCAGUGGUCGACCUCCAUUAUCAGAACCAGAGCCUCGUUCAGUUGAAACAACCUUGACAAUUGAAGCAUUUUCAUAGCUGAAAACACAUAGGACAUCGUUGAGAAGAUAUAUACCAGUCCAAAAAAAGGUGCACAAGUAAAAUAUCUAUGAAAGGAUGCAAGGGGGAUCAUCGAAUACCUCCAAAGAGGUAUGGAACACAUUAUAACAAGAUAUUCAAACCAUGUUCGAGACAUCACGCAACAUGCUCGGAAUAUUACAAAAUUAGAUUGAAGAGUGGUGUUCAAAUAAUGAUCCAGUUUCCUAGAGUAGUCCACCACAUUCAUUGUUUUAUCUCCGACACUAUCAAGCACAUUGUGUGGCUUAGUUGCAUCAGGCGAUGUAUAUUUAAUUAGUAAAAGAAAUAUCACCCGCUAUCUUUAAAAGUGGCAGAAUCCUACUAGACUCAAAUUUCAGCUCGAUCACUAUCAAUGGGAGAGAAUUACCAAAAAAGUCAUAAAUCUAUUAUAAUUAUGUAAAUUCAGUCAUAAAUUUUUUUAAACCAAUUUAGUCAUAAAAAUUUUCCAAUUAUGUUAAUUUAGUCAAUCUAGCCAAAUUUUACAAGCUGAUGUUGAUGUGGUAAUUUUUUAAUGCUGUUGACACCUAAAUUUUUGCCCAAAAAUAUUUCAUGUUAAAUUAUUGCAUAUAGAUUAUUUUUGCAUUUAAUAUAGUGUUUUAAAUGGAAGAUGUUUUUACAUUAAAAAAAUUGAAAAUAUAUAAAAAAAGAUUAAAAAAAGAAAAGAAAAAAAAGUUGGGGCCAAUGAUCUAAAUGUGACUAGCCAAGCCCCGGGAGGUCAGAUUGGAAUUUAAAUGGCAAGUUGGGGCCAAAAUGUAAUUUCCAGAAGUUGAGGGACCAAUUCGCAAAUUUUGCAAAAUUUGCGCCCGAGCCCGUAAAUCAUCAUCUUGGUCACCAAUUAAGUUGAAAUUGAAUUUGGGCCAAGUCGAAUCAAUCAAAUUGAGCCAAAAAGACCAAAUUUGUAUUGAAUUGGGUAUUUUUGGAUAAGAAAAUGACCAACUUUGAGGACUUUCUUGCAAAAUUGGGCGGGUAAAAUUGAAAAUUCUGGUCGAGAUAUUAAAUUAAUAUGCAUGAGCUUGCUAAUUGAUCAAAAAUCGCAACCAAAUUGAUGGAUUAAAGCACUCAAACUAGCUGACAAAUCUCAGUCCAUAAGUUAGUUUGAUUUCGGAGUUGCUGAGUAAGCAACUUGGUGGCCCCACCAUAUCCUUCUCACCUGCCCAACCAACCUGAUCUUUGCACGUGAUGGAAGAACGUAAUGAUUAGUACAAGUGGACGGAAAUUGGCCAGGGAUAAGCUGCUAAUUGCAUGGGAAAGUCGCAGCAAAAUCCGCUCACUCAACAGCUGCGAAAUUUGAAAAUUUUGGCUAAGUCAGAAAGUGGGUGAGCUGGGUCAAUUGACAGGCUUGGCAGGUGGACAAAAGCCGACCAAGAGAUUGAUGAAUUAGAGGGAUAAGAUCACGGAAGCAAGUUCUUUCAAGGGAGGAGAGAGAGGAGACGAGAGGGAGAGGAUAGAGUUCGCGGUCAUCCCCCAAAGAGGCCCUGAGAAGCAACUCCAGAAAAGCAAACACAGAAAUUCCAAAUCAACCUCCAGAGAUAAAAGGGAAAUUUUCGCAAGCUUGCAGCCAAAAAUAGUCAAAACCUUCAACUAGAGAGUGAAACUUCACUCAAAUAUAUUUCCACCCAUAGGUAUCACGUCCCAAAUGGAGUUCGGGAAGGUCUCCUAAAGCCCCCCGAAAAACAUCCUCCUGGCGGGCCAAGAAACACUGAAAAUUUUUCCAAGUGUUGAGCCUGGUUGGUCACGAGUGAGAGAAAGCGAGUGUUUUUGAGAGAGUUGAGAGAUAAAGGAAGAAAAUCCAUGACUUACAAGACAAACUAGAAUACAUAUAGUUUGGUUUUGUUUUAAUUUGGCCAACAAAAGAGGUUUUGAAGCUUGAUUUUGGAGGUCAAUGAAAACCUUCGUUAUCAUUUCUUUCUUUGCAGAUCUCGUUUUCCAGUUGAAGAAGCCAACUUCCACGGGCCCCCGAGGUAAUUUCUCGGCUUCCUCGGCCAAAAGCCACUUGAAAAAGAAACUAGGAAGCAAUGUAAGAAUAUUAGACGUAUUUUUGGUCAAUUUUGAACAUGUUUCAACCAUGAAAAAUCAAGAGGAAAACUAGUCCAAGAAACUGAUUUUGAGGUUGGAAUUUUACUAAGUGUUGAAAUCUCUUCAAGAGUUUUGCAUGUGUGCUUCUUGGAGAGGUCGUUUUGAUGUUUUUUGGUGGGUAAUUCUCUAUGAUCUUUGUUGCAUUUUAAAGCUCAUGUUACCUACUUUCAUUCGGAUUAAGUAGUGUUUCCCUUAGAUCUCGUAUGUGAUGAGUGUUGGGGCUUGAAUAUGGGCAUUCAACCUGUUUGCUUGACUUGGGUUGAAACCCAGAUUUGCAAAAUCAGCUCAAAUCCGCAUAUUUGAUGACGAUUUUAGCUUGGUUCUAAUGUGUGUUAAGCUAUGAUCUCUAUCUAAUAUUGUUCUUUGCAUGUGCUAGUAUAACCUUGAUAUUUUAGUCCCACACGAGAUUGCUUAUGAGUGGAGAUUGAAGGCUGCAAACAUGGCUUGAGGAGGCUAUUGGGGCUCGUUUAAUGCACACCAAGUGUUCGACACGCCCAAACUAAACUUCGAUCUCGAAACGGUCGAUUUGGGCUUGAUUAUUGUGAUAUUCUUGUGUUGUGUUACUCCAUGUUAACAUAGACUGGUUUAAGGAAUUUAUUAAUUUUAAAAAAUAUAAUUAAAAAAAAGAGAAAAAUAUGAAAAUUUCAAAAAUAUCAAAAAAUGUUAGAUAGCAUCAAAUUGGGAUAGAAAUGACAUAUAUGAAAUUUUCCUAAUUUUAAAAGGUCAUUUUCCUAAUUUAAUGCUAUUUUGGUAUUUUAUGACAAUUUUUGUAAAUAAUCCAUUUUGCGUAGAUUAAAACUAUUUAAAGUAAUUUCAUGCAUAUUUGAAUUCUCAUUUUGCUCAUGGGGUCCUGUCCCGGGGCAUGAUAACAAGACCAUGUAAUAUUAUUUGCCCGACUUAUAUCGGGUUUACCUUUUCCGCGUUUAUUUUCAAGUCAUUUCAAUUUCUUGGAUGUUUACUUACGCGCCGCUUUUCAUUAAUUUGAGUGUAAAUUUCUCUUCUAAAUUAUGUUAGGAUUAGUCUAGACAUUAAAAAAAAAACUACAAAAACAUUUGUAUGGACACUUAGUGGUUUUAUAAAUAUUAUAAUUGGUAAUCAAGAUUGUGUGGCCAUUUAGAUAAACAACUUUCCAAGUUAGUGGUACCGCAAGGGCGCUAAUAGAAACAUUAGCGUAAACAAGUCCCCGUUCCUAGAAAUCUCUAGUUGCGUAGGAAUCGAGACAACACUCAUGUGUCUUGAUUGGUUUCUAGCCGACCCCGAUAGGCUAGUGGCAAUUCCCAGAAUUAUAUAGAUUAUUAAGAACUAAAAAUUCAAAAUCCAAUGUCGCGCGAGGUAUGGGCUUGGGAGAGCUCGCGCCUAAUUUAGGGCCAUUAGUCCGCCUCUUUAGGCAAAUACCCCUAAACCUUCUUCAUUUUCCCCUGGAUAGAAAAAAAAAGAGGUCGUGAAAAUUAUUAUUUUUUAUUAUUUUAGAAUUUUUGUAUUCUUUUUGUAUUCUUUUUGUCUUUUCUUUUUUCUCUUCUCUCUCUUUUGGCAUCAUUUUUUCGCAAUGGCUAGCAAGGCUUUGGCCAGGCUUGCCAACCACUAAGCAAGGGCUUAGCUCUCCAGUGCCUCAUCGGCCACUACAAGUAAAAGAAGCCAAAGAGGAAGAAGAGAAAAAAGAAAAGGAAAAAGUAAAAAAAUCAAUAAAAAUUCGAAAAAAAAAAUAUAUAAAAAAAUUAUUUGAAAAUUUCGAUGUUAGUAUCAACCGAACGGCUAGUGCUGGCUAGCAUCCGCGUCAAUGGUGCCCAGCCAAAUUUGGCCGGAUGAACUGAAUUUGUACAAUUGUAAAAAGUUUAUGAUUAAAUUUGCCAAAAAAAAAAGUUUAUGUCCAUCCAAACUUUUAGUUCAAUCUCCUCAAUAAUCUUUUCAAAUCCAGUUUUUGUCGAUAUUCAACUUUGCUUUGAGGCUUCCAUUAUCGGCCUUCUCUUGUUGGAUUGACGUCCUCACCGAAUGUCCUUUUUUUUUGGCUUUUAGCCCCGCAAGAGAAAGUGUCCCUUUCUUGGAAUCUUAACAAAUGAUCCACUUAGCAAUCUUUGCAACUUGUUGAUAAAUAAUAUAUGAUGGAUAAGUGCGUUCUAGGUCCUAAAAUUUGUUACGAAAGUGUAAUUGAGUCUUGAAACUUCAAAAAAAGUGUAAUUGAGUCUUAAAACUUAUUAAAUUAGUACAAUCAAUAUUAAAGACGUAGGUCAUAGCUCAAUGUUAAAUCGAUCUCAACAGAUGCUGAAUUUGGAAAGGAGUUCCUUACCUCCCGAAAGUCGUUGUCUGUGGCAGAAGAUGACGGAGUGGAUUUUAGUUUUGAUACAAUUGGCAAGGCAAGAUAAAGAAAUUCAACUUUGAUAAACUGUACAUGAACCUUAAAGUAAGUUAAUAAGUCGGUAUGGAUGUGAAAUCUAACUUUAAUAUUCUAUCUUCAUACUUGUGUUGGUUACAUAUAUUCACCCCUGUACAAUUACCUCUUUGUGGAAAUUAAUGUCCGUGGUGAUUAAGUGAGGCAUGCUUCACAUACCAUUCAACCACUUCAAAAUGUCCAUUAAGUGAGGCGUGAUUACCAAGCAAGAAGUGAUGUUAUCCAAGCACUGGAUAAAAUAAACAAUGAUCCGAUAAGUAACGGGACCUUAACAAUCUAGAAGUGAUAUUCUAAAAUGUCCAUAAGAAGUAGGAAAUAUGGGUCGUUGAGAAAGUGGCUGAAACUUGAAACAAGGGAGUCAAGUAACUUUUCACGACGAAGACCAUAAGCGCGAAUGCUAUUGGUCGACAAGAAAGAGGCCCCGUCUUGAGAAAAUAAUUGCGCGGUGAUGUGAAAUUUCAGCUAGAUUGGGUAUUCUUAGAAAAAUAUAAAAUUUUCUAUUUAUCUAUUUUUCUUUCUCAACUUCUUCUUUCCUUGUAACCACUGUUGAUAUAUAUUGGAUAUUUUUAGGAAAAUCUAAUUUUGUAAUACUCCAAGCAUGCUGCGUGAUGCCUCGGACAUGGCUUGAGUUUCUUCUUAUAAUGUGUUACAUGCCUUUUUCAAGAUAUUCGAUGAUUCCUUGCAUCCUUCUGUAGAUGUUUUACUCAUGCACCUUCUUGUGGACAAGCAUAUUUCUUCUCAAUGAUGUCCUAUAUGUUUUUGGCUAUGAAAAUGCUUCAAUAGUCAAAGUUGUUUCAAUUGAACGAGACUUUAGUUCUGAUUAAUGGAGGUCGACUAUUGGGCAUAGAGUGAACAAAAUGAUCCAGGCCAUCUUGGUGACGAUAAAUUUGGAUUUUAAAAUUAUUUGCUUUUAUCUAAGCAUUUUCGACAUUAGUUUGAUAAUAUUGGUAUGUUAUGAAAACAAUUCGUAAAUUUUGAAGUGCAAAUAGGAGUUGAUACUUUCUAAAAACUGUUAUAGUAACUUACUAAUACAUUACUCGCUAAAUGAAUAUACAUGUCAAUGAUCAAACACCAUGUGUGAAAGGAAGGACAGUGGCCCUCUUCUUUUCUAAAAGUAAAAAUUAUGAUGGUGCCUUGGAAGACCAAGAAACAAAGUGCUGGGAGUCGCUGAGAAAAAGCAUACUCCUAAAUGGCCGACAGAGAGUAUUGGGAUGGUCAAAAAGGCAAAGUUUUUUUGUUUUUUUGUUUUGUUUUGUUUUUUUUUUUUUUUUUCAGGAGGAACUGCUUUGACCGAGAGCUGCCACGUAAACCUUUAGGUGACGCUAGCCCAUGACCCACCACCAGGGCGCCACGCGUAAUACACCUAAUGGUCUGCCAGCUUCCCUGCAACUUGCGUUGCAGGAGCUUCAAACACCUGAUAUUUCCCUUCAAAAGCAGGGCCUACCUAGUAGAAUCACCACGGCCGGUGGUUCAAAAAGGUAAAGUUGGUUACCAAAAUAGCCCAAAAUUACUCGGAUUGUGCUGCAUGGACAAUGGCUUUUUCCUGAACAUGUUAAUCAAUUAAUCAAGUUAAUUAAUAAGUUAUGAUAAUUGAUAAUUGAAUAUUCGAAACGUGCCGUAGUUGAUAUCAUGCUUUGAAAGGAGAACGUAAGUUUUCUUUUGAUUGCUAAUUUACACAGACACGACAGGUUAAUGCUCCAAACAAAAUAAAUAAUUCGUGAAAAAGUGAUAUAAUGAAUUUAGGAUAAGGUUAGCGUCCGACAAUAAUUAUGACAAAAAAGAAAAGUCAGUUGACAAAUUCUACCGAGAUCUGAUCUUAUUCCACGAGAUUUUUUUCACAUGAAGAAGGAUGAACAUAGCGGCUGAUGGAUUCAAAGUCUAAUAUUGGUUACGAGCCCCAGGACCGUGAAAGCCGGUCGAGUACCUAAUACAAUUUCAAGUAAUGAAACAAGAAUAUCCCAACAAAGCAUUGGAGGUCGUUCUCUGCCGCCAUCCACAACCCACAACGUACAUAAAGCCCACCAGAAGAAGACGAACAGAGUUCUGCAUUAUGUUCUUUACUGCAUGAGAAUCAAGAUGACUAUUCUUCUUGAGGAAAGGGAAUUUGUGUCUGUAUCGUCCGAUAAGACAGCAUGCUUGUAAACAGAGAUUUCGCUGGGUACCUAAGUGUCAGACUAUUGAAAUUCCUCACAAAUUUCAUGAUUGCCAGUGGAUAAUGCUCUUAAGCUAGAUUAGCAUCAGCCUGUGCAGCACUUUUGUAGCAAUUUUCAAAUGAAAACUUUUCAUUCUUCAUCAGGAUAUCUUAGGACUGUCAACAUUUUCGCCCCCAUCUAUUUCUUUAUGUUGGAAACGUUAGAACUACGAAAAGAAAAUGGAAUAGGGCGCGGCCGCGGAGAACAAUGGUUUCAACAUCAAUGACGACAAUGAUGGCAGCAUCCACGAAUGGAGGCUUUGCAAAAGAUGAUCGGGCUCUACCUACAUCUUUCUUGUGAUCUCAAUUUGUCUAAAAUCAAUCUGUUCUGAACAUGAAAACAUUUGUUUCGAGAACUUGUCUUCAGUAGUCGUUGAAAAAGGCUAUGUCACACUUUGAAGCUUUCUUGGAAGGAUAUUGCAGGGUUCAAGGAAGGUUCCCAGAAGCAUCUCCUUACUCAAAAGAAACAAAGCAAGAACUGAUAUUGUACAUCAAACUGAGACUUUCUUUUCUUUUUUUUUCGACAGGUAAAGUUACUUUUAUUUUUCCAAACAUGGGACCUGCAACUUGCAUGCGCAUUUGAAGAAGUAUUUAGCCACUAACUUUGGUUUUUUUAAUUAUCCGCCAAUAGCAUUCCAUCUAUGGUCUUCCGUCAAAAAAAAAAAAAUUUCUCUUCUGUUUCAAUCAUUUUAUAGGUUCAGGGAAGGUUCCCAGAAGCAUCUCCUAAUUCAAAAGAAACAAAACAAGAACUGAUUUCAUACCUAAAACGGAGACUUUCUUGUUUUUUUUUUCCCAACGUGUAAGAUACUUUUAUUAGACCGAUAUAAGGAAAGGGUGGAUCAAAGAGAAUAAAUACAAUAUUGUGUUUAAAAAAGCAAAGAAAAUAAAAAAGUAAUAAUACUUGGAAUGAGGUAAAUUAAUGCAUAAUGAAAGUUUAAUUCCUUGAUUUCCACGUAUGUCAUGCCAUAAUCACGUUCUUCCGAACUGAUGCACACGGGGCCUGCAACUGCACGCGCGACAAGCCAGCUAGCUGUGACCGUCCUCAGAUGUAAACGUCCUCAAUUGGCUCCUGCUAAUGGGGCCUUCAACUGCAUUCACAAGUGAGUCGACCACAACUUUAGUUUUUAUUUUUAAUCAUCGACCAAUAGCAUUCGAUCUUAUGGUCUUCGUCGUAAAAAAUCGCUACAUCCUGUUUCCACCAUCUUUUCAUAGACCCAUAGAAUUCUCCUAUAACUACAUUAUUUGCUCAUAACGUGUUGACGCGGAAUAUUUUCUGUUUCCACCAUCUUUUCUUAGACCCUUAGAAUUCUCCUAUAACUACAUUAUUUGCUCUUACGCGGAAUAUUUAUCAUCGAGCGAGAGAGGGAGAGAGGGAAAGAGAGGUCUGCUUAGCUGAGCAAAUUACGGCUAUGGCAAGCUCAAAUGCUGGAACAUCAUGGGGAAGCGAGUACCAAGUGUUUCUGAGUUUCAGAGGACCCGACACUCGAACUGGAUUUACCGAUGUCCUCUUUCAUAGCUUGAUUGACGUUGGAAUCCACGUGUUUCGAGAUGAUGAAGAACUCCGUGUCGGUGAAAGAAUUGAUGAAUCACUGCUGCAAGCGAUCAACAACUCCAGGAUCUACAUACCGGUCUUCUCUCAGAACUAUGCUUCGAGCCAAUGGUGCCUUUGCGAGCUCGCACAAAUCGUGGCAAACACCUUGAAAUCUGAAGGUAAUAAAGAGAUCCUACCUAUUUUCUUUGACGUGGAACCUAACGAUGUUAAAUUGAAGACCCCACUAUAUCACAAUGCCAUACUCAAUUUGGAGCACGAGAAGAAGUUGAGCAACGAGCAAGUAAAUGUUUGGAGAGAGGCCCUCAUGGAGGUUGAUGCCAUAAAGGGGUGGGAGGUGAAGAAAUACAAAGGGUAAGCUAGCUAUUUUCAAGAUACUUGUUUCCCCAAUUUUCCUUAACACUUAAUAAUAGAUCUCAAAAUUCCAGUAUGAUUGAGGUGGGAGUUUUAUUAAAGUAAUACUAAAUGAUGAAUCUUUACGUCUGCAAAACAAAAUGUGAAGACAUGAUAUUCAACUUCUACAGUUGUUGCUUGACAAUUGCACAAAUUUUUAUACAACAAUUUUGCUCGAAAAUCCCAAGAUUGCUACUCUCAUGUUGAAAUCAAGUUGAAUUUUGGGUCAUGACAUAGCAUCAACGUUGUCGAGGGCCUAAAAGUAUGUUUUGGAGAGACCUUAAUCUCCAAUAUGGACUUUUAGAAUAUCACUCCUAGAUUUAAGGUCCCAUUACUUAUCAGAUCAUUAUGUAGUUUAUCCAGUGCUUGAACGGCAUCACUUCUAGUUAGGCAAUCGUGAAUUUUCUCACUAAAAUGGAUUUUCCAUUGUGGCAGCCACGGAGAACUAAUCAAAUUGGUAGUUGCGAAGGUCAUGGAAUGUUUGAAGUCAAAACAUAGAUUGGUGACUGAAUAUUUAGUUGGAAUCGAUGAUCAAGUAGUAGCAGUAAGCAAAUUAUUAGAUGUCGAUUCCGAUGGUGUGAGACUCGUUAAAAUUUAUGGCAUGGGAGGUAUUGGAAAAACUACACUUGCCAAGGUCAUCUUCAACUUACUUUCUUCUCAUUUUGGAAAGUGUUGUUGUUUCCUUGAAGACGUUCUUGAGAAAUCAUCAAGAACUGAUGGCUUAGUUCACUUGCAAAAAAGGUUACUAUCCGAAAUUGGCCAUCCUACAGGAACAAAGAACAUUGAUGAAAUUGAUUAUGGAAUUAAGAGGAUUGAAGAAAUACUUUGUAAUAAGAAAGUCCUUAUUGUACUCGAUGAUGUUGAUAACAAUGAACAAGUGGAGAAAUUAGUUGGAAAGGGUACUUUAUAUUCAGGAUCCAGAAUAUUGAUUACAACUAGACAUAAAGAUAUCUUGCAAGUCAAUAGACAAAAUCAUCAGAUUUUAGAUUAUGAAAUGGAGGUGAUGAGUGAUGGACAUGCGCUUGAGCUUUUCAGUAGGCAUGCAUUUAACACAGACUUUCCUUCAAAUGAUUACAAUCAUCUUUCAAGGGAGAUUGUAUUUGCUACCGGGAGACUUCCGUUGGCUCUUGAGGUGAUUGGUUCAUUCCUCUGCCACAAACCACAAGAACUAUGGAAAGAGACAUUGCAUAAGUUAAGAAAAGCACCUCAUGAGGAUGUUUUUGGAAAGUUGAAGAUCAGCUAUGAUGCCUUAAAUUUCAAGCAAAAACAAAUUUUCCUCGAUAUUGCAUGCUUUUUCAUCGGUGAAGAUAAGGCAAAUGCAAUCUACCUAUGGAAAGGUUGUGAGGUUUUCCCAGAUACAGGAAUUGCUGCCCUCAUUGGCAUGUCUUUGGUGAAGAUCGUGGAGAAUGAUAAGUUUUGGAUGCACAAUCAACUUAGAGAUCUAGGAAGAGAAAUUGUUCUCCAAGAGAAUCCAAUAAAUCUUGAGGAGCGGAGUAGGAUAUGGAUUAGGGAGGAGGGCCUUCAUGCAAUAAGACCAAAGGAGGUAAAGCACUUCUAGAGAGAUCUAACUAGUUUUUGCCAUAGAUUCCACUACAUUGUACCUUAUUGGGUUUUUGUUUACUUUCCUUUUUAUAAUCCUUUGGCUUUAUGAGAUAGAAUACUAACAUCACUCAUUCCCCAUUCUCAUUUGCAGAUAAACAAAAAGGUUCAAGCACUAUCCCUUUAUUCAUCUAGACAAAGUAUGCUUGAUGACUUUGUUCAAAUUAAAAGGAUUGGAAGGUUUGAACAUCUAAGGUUCCUUAAAUUAUCAAAAUUAACCCUCAUUAGAGAUGCAACAUUUCGUCUUCCCAAAUCAAUAUUGAUUUCUUUGAAUUAUCCUCUGCAAAAACGGACCAACAUGUACCUAAAGAAUUUAGUUGUUCUUGAAUUUGUCGACGUUAUUUUCGCAGAUGAUCUGGGAUUACAAAACUCACUUAAGGUGCGCAAUAUUCUUAUUCCUAUUUUUUUUUUCUUGGAAAGUAAUAUUUGAUUGUUCAUCUAUUGAGUAUUGCAUUCAUUUUGACAGAUGGCAACAAAAUUGAAAGUUCUUUCUUUUGAAAAUUGUUGGAACAUAAUCAGAACACUCGAUUUCUCUGGAUGCCCGAAUUUAGAGAAGCUUAAUUUCAAAUGGUGUAAAGAUUUGAGGAAAAUCAGUGGCUCUAUUGGGAAGUUGAAGCGUCUAAUUGACUUGAGGAUUUAUAGCUACAAUUCUCUCAAACAUUUGCCUGAAGAAAUUGGGGACCUAGUGAAUCUACAAUAUUUUGUUGUAGAUUGUUAUAAAAUUAAGAGACUCCCGAAUUUCAUAGGGAAGUUGAAAUCAUUAUGUGAGUUGCACUUUAAAGGUUGCAUUUCUCAUAAUUUAGAUUCUGCAAAUUCAUGGAAUUUACCUUGUGUUAUUGAAAUGCUCCAGAAUCACUCUUUAAAAGAUCGACUUCCUUCUGGCAUUGGAAGUUUGCCCCUUCUAAGAAUCCUAAAUCUAUCAGGAACUUGUGUCAGUGAAGUUCCAAAGACCAUCAACAUGCUUCCUUGCCUACAAAGAAUCGAGUUGAUGGGAUGCAAUAAUAUUCAAGAGUUGCCAACCCUCCCAACAAGUUUAACCCAUCUAGAAGUGUCAUCUAAAUUGUUGCGGGUAGUCUCGGAUCUUUCAAACUUGACUAAUUUGGUUGAGUUGUAUCUAUCAGGAACUCAUGUCAGUGAAGUUCCAAAGACCAUCGGCACGCUUCCUCGCCUACAAAGAAUUAAGUCGAUACGAUGCGAUACUAUUCAAGAGUUGCCGACCCUCCCAACAAGUUUAACCCUUCUAGAAGUGUCAUCUAAAUCGUUGCCGGUAGUCUUGGAUCUUUCGAACUUGACUAAUUUGAUUGAGUUGCAUCUAGUUGAUUAUGGAAAAGUAAGAGAUAAACUUUGUACCGAUGAGUUACGAUGGAUUGGGAAGUUAUCCAAACUGACAAAAUUGACCGUCGGACUUCACAAUGCCCCUGUUCCUAUUGAGAUGGCUUCCCUUCCUGUGCUAAACAAACUUUUGUUGUUUGGAUUCAACCAACAAACCUUUCCACAACUACCCCUAUCUCUGGAAAGGUUAAGGCUUGGAAAUUUCAAUUCAGCUGUGUCACUCUCUCCGAACCUAAGAAAUUUGUUAUGUUUAGAACUAUAUAAUUCUCCAAUGCAAGAAAUACAACUUGAUGGGUUUCGACUUCCACAGCUAAAGGAGUUGCGUGUGGAAGGCUGGCAACACCUUGAAAGGUUGAGGCUAUCAAGAAUGAGGAAGCUGAACGAUGUCAACGUGAAUUUGUGUAUGAAGUUAGUUGAGAUCCAAUUUUCUUGGGUGUUUGAAUCACUAGAGGCAUUGGAUAUUGGAGAUGGCGAGUCCUUGGAAAGGAUAGUUUAUGAGUCUGAUAAUGAAUUUAUUAGUUGUGAAGGGAGGCUAAUUUUUCCAUCGACAGUCUUAAAUAAGUUGCAUACUCUCUCCCUGUGGUGUUGCCCUAAGAUACUCGACGUUCAAGUUGUGGGUACGUUGGAAUCGUGGGAACGCUUAGCCAUUGAGAGUUGUCCUUACUUGCAACGUCUCGGUGGUUUGUCAAACUUAAAGAAGCUAAAGUCUUUAUCAAUCAGGAGCUGUGAGAGGCUACGGGAUGUUGAGGGCAUCGACGAGUUGGAGUUUUUGAACCAUUUAUCACUUUAUAGUUGCACAUCGUUGGAAAGGUUGAUUGACGUGUCAACCACCAAACUGCCAAAUGAUUGCCAUGUACAGAUCCAAAAGUGCGGGAGAUUACCUGGGUUUAAGAAAGGAUUCAGCGGCUCCGUCCAGUCCUUCAAGCAUUAUAAGGCGAGCCUGGAUCAUUCUCUCUAUUUAUUUUUUAUAUUUUCUUGACGCAACCGUCCAUGAACACCAAUUCAACUCUAAGGUAGAUUUGUAAUAAUGGUGAGAAAUUAAAAAAUAAACAAAAAUCAACUAAUAUUUGAUGUCACUUAUUUUAAAACCCACUCGAUAUAAUUUGUUUUAGUUUUAGCUCAUGUUUUCUCAUUUUCUUUUCUUUUCUUUUUUCACAUGAGAAAGUUCUAUAUGUGAAGCAAAUCUAUGGGACAAGGUCAGCUUUUAUCAAAAGUCAUUGGAAAAAUUGCAAUUUUUAGCAAAAAAAUAUAUAAAUUAACUCAGAGUUUUUCAUUAAAAUGUUAUUUUCACUUAAUAUGAAAUGAGUUGUUCAUUUAGCGAAUUUUUAUGUAAUACACUCCACUUUAUUGUCAUUUCUUGUUUAAUACUAUUCAGUAUGGAGAUGAGUUUAGUGAUUUGCAAUUUUCACAGUGAAAAUAGAACACUAAAAGAAUCCUAUACUCAUUCCACAGUUUCAAUAAGAAUUUGCUGAGGGAAUUCUUUCAAGAACACAACUUAAAUGGUCCACUGAUCCACAAAUCGACUGACUUAUGUUAUUGAUGGAGUUGAGUGUGAAUUCAAUUGGCAUGUGGAUGGGGUCGGCCAAAUAAGAUGCGUGUUCCAAAAGCAUCUAGAAAUAUUUAUUAAGAUUUAUCAUUCUAAAGAAAACAAUGAAAAUCUAAUUUUUGAAAGUCUGCAUCCCCCCCCCCCCCCCGGGGUUUUUGACCGUGUUUGUUUAUGGCCACUUUAAACAUCGUUCAGACAUUUAUUUUUUCAGUUGUGAGGCAUUUCAUUUCAUUUCAUUGACCUGCUUCCACUACACUAGAUAGAGAAGGGGAAAAUGAGGAGAAAAUGCUUCAUCUACUUAAUUUCUAACUAGCCCCGGUCUUCUUCUUUUUUUGGGUAAGAACAUAUUGUUAUUUCUAUCUUAGAAGCUUAUAUCUAAGGCAGAUAAUGGGUCAGACCAAUAAAAUGUCUUACUAAUGUCAUGGACAUAGGUAGCGUACGAGUCAAAGACAGGGCAGAUGGCUACAAUGUAAAAUUGUUUAAAUUUGGUGAAAUGGAAAAUCGAACUCGUUUGAUGUGCAUUAUCCACAUACACAAUUUCGUUCUAAUCCUACAUGAUUUACAACAUUUUCUUGUGCCAUAUUGUUUCCUCUUCUAUAUUGAUCCUUUCUCUUAUUUCAAUCUCAACAAAUAUAGCCCAAACUUGUAUGUAUGACUUUCAUCAGUAUCUUUUGAGGAUUUUAAAGCAACUCCUAUCUUUUUUAUUGCAUUAUUUUAAUCAUGCCCUUCCUUUUUCGAAAGCUUUCUCCUAAAAUUGGUUAUGAUUUUAUUUUUCAGGAAUCGGACUUUGAUUCGACAACAUGUUUCGGACACUUGUGAAGUUUUGAAGGCAAUCCACACGAUAAUUGUUAUAUUGCAGGGACAAAACUAGCAUAAUAUCUUAUCAGGGUCAAUGCACUGAAGAGUCCAAAGGUUUCUGAGAAUGAUUUCCAACCAGGACAUCAGCUUAGGAUGCAGGUGUGACCUCAUCAUUUUCAAGCUAGAAAGAUGAUUUACCCUUGUGGCAGAAUUAAGAGAGUUGUUGUUCUUCACAUCAACAUUUCUUUGAAUCCUUAAAGGAUUCCUUGCUUGAAUUAGUUAUUUCAAAUUUGUCCCAUCUCUUUUUGAUUGGUCUUAGACAACUCAUUCAAAUUGCCCAUCUUGCAUGAAGAACUGCAAACGUUUAGUACAAGCAGAUUAAGCAUAUGCAGAAUAAUGUUGUGUGAAAGGCCUCAUCCAAUAUAUGAAAUCUACUUGUUAGAGCUGGCAAUCUCUCCAAGACGGGAUAUGACAUAACAUAAACAUCAUCAUACAUAGAACAAAAAUGGUGUGGCAUUGAUACAUCAUGCUCUCUCAUUUCAGGUGACCCAACAUGAAUAUGUCAGGCCACGGCACAUUGUGAGCCCUACUUCCAGGCUUGUAUCUUCUAGCAGCUAAUUCAGUCAUAUGUGUUGGAGAAAUCUCUCUAGAGUGUUUUGAAGCUGACAAAACGUUUCUAUCAGUCUAGUCUGGAAGCUGUGCAGAUCCUUGUACUUAGAGUCUGAAGACUUUUAGAUCACCAGACUCAGCACACAAGACUCAAGACUCAAGACUAUUCUCAUUGACAGUUUCUAAUCUAGAGACGAAGGCGAUCCAAAGCUAAAGUGUUUGGUUAAGGAUUUGGUCUUGUCGAUUGGAGAAGAUCUCCUGGCUGGAUUUGAUACAACGGAUUAAUUAUUCGAAAUCAAGAUCGUUUGAAGAUCCGAUAAUUGACGAAAUAUUCUUGGAAGGUUCUAUUCUUGGAAACCAAGAUCCUGAUUGUAUGGGCGAACGUGAUUGAUGGGCUAUCGACGUGUUCCUUUAAUAGCUCGAAUGACCUUCUUAAUUGAUUCUGUCCAACGGGAAGAUUGGAAGAAUUCCUUUGGUAAGUGCCAACGGGUAUGAUGGCAUAAAUGAGUAUAAAAAGAAGACGUUCCAGUUAUUCUAGUAAGUGCUCGAUAGAGAAAUUCCAGAGUCUAAAGCUCCUUGAUUAUUAGUCGAUUCAUAUUGAGCGAAACUGUACUCACAAAGAGAGUCUAUACUUAGUGAUACCUUGAGAGAGUGUAAUAGAUCUUCUACACCAAGAAAUCAAGGAAGAACAGUGCUGUAAUAUCUUUUUGUUCAUAGUGGAAUCCAGCCAGUGGGCUGUCAGUGCAGAAGAGUGGACGUAGGCUUGAAAUAAGCCGAACCACUAUAAACCUCGUGUUCAAUUUUCUCUUCCCUACUCUCAAUCUUACGUUGAUCGUUGUUUGUUUAUUGACGAAGAAAAAUUGUCUCAUUUCUAUCAAUUGUCUAGCAUUGUGCAAUUAUCAUUAGAAAUUACUCGUUAUACCUAUUCACCCUCCCCUCUAGGUACUUAUACUAGUCAUAUCAAUUGGUAUCAGAGCUCGUGUACUCACUUUAUUUGAAGUGUUUUACUUCAGAGUAAAAGAUCCAUUGCUAGUAUGCUAGCUCCAGGGCUGGUCAAAGGUCAAAGCAAUACCAGACCUCCUUCCUUUGAUGGAAAGGACUACAACAUCUAGAAAAACAAAAUGAAAGCAUUUCUUCGAUCAAAGGAUCCUCUGGAAUGGGACGUUGUAAAAAAAGGAAUCACUCCUAAAGUUGCAUCCGUCUCAGAAAGAGGGAAAGAAACUGUUGAGACCAGCAGAAUGUCUCAGGAAGAGAUAAUCAAGAGACAAACUCUUGAUGCAAAAGCUAUAUAUUCUUUAUAUUGUGCCUUGUCACCCAGUGAAUAUAACAGAAUAUUAUCUUGUGUUACAGCAAAAGAAGUCUGGGAUAGGUUACAUAUCACCUAUGAAGGAACUGAUCGAGUAAAAGAGACCAGAAUCAACAUCCUUCUCGGUCAAUAUGAAGCCUUCAAAAUGAGACCUGGAGAAUCUAUAACUGACAUGUUUAGCCGUUUUAUAGAAAUUGUAAAUGGUCUUGAAAAUCAAGGACAAGCAAUUUCUGAUCCCAUGAAGGUAAACAAGCUACUGGUUUUAAGAUCUUCUUUCAAGAAGGAAUAUGUUCUGGAAUCAGCAAAGACUCUACUCAGUCUUUUAUGGGUCGAAGGCAUGGAAAUAUCUAUCUUUUGGAUAUGAAACCGGAUGAAUCGCAAUGCUUAAUUUCAAUUCAAGACGAAGCAAGCUUGUGGCACAGAAAGCUUGGUCACAUAAAUAUGAAGUAGAUAGCCAAAAUCUCAUCAAAGCAGCUUGUUCGUGGUCUACCCAAUUUAUCAUACCGAAAGUCUGAUCUAUGCACUCCAUGUAUAUUGGGAAAGCAGGUAAGAAAUUCAUUUAAGCCAAUAAAUCAUGUCUCUACUAAUCAUGUACUGCAGCUGUUGCAUAUGGAUCUCUUCGGACCAACCAGAACCCAGAGCAUUGGAGGUAAGAAAUAUUGCCUAGUAAUCGUGGGCGAUUACUCCCGAUUUACUUGGGUAUAUUUCCUUGCAAGUAAGUCUGAAACCUUCUCGUAUUUUGAAAAAUUUGCUAAAAAGGUUCAAAAUGAAAAAUGAUAUGUUAUUUCAAGUAUAAGAAUAGACCAUGGAGGUGAAUUUGAAAAUCAAGAUUUUACAAAAUUUUGUGAUGAAUCUAGCCUCAAGCAUGUGUUCUCCUCUCCAUACACUCCUCAGCAAAAUGAAGUUGUGGAAAGAAAGAAUAGAUCUCUUCAAGAAAUGGCUAGAACUCUUUUAAUUGAAAGUAAGAUUUCUUCACAAUUUUGGGCUGAAGCUAUUUCAACAGUGUGCUAUAUCAUAAAUAGAGUCUUUUUAAGACCUAUUUUGGAGAAAACCCCUUAUGAGUUAUUCAAAGGUAAGAAGCCUAUUGUUUCGUACUUUCAUGUGUUCGGUUGCAAAUGCUUUAUAUUGAAAAAUGCAAAAGAUCGAGUUGGUAAGUUUGAAGAAAGAUAAGAUGAAUGCAUCUUCCUUGGAUAUUCUACAUCAAGCAAAGCUUACAGAGUCUAUAACAAGAAGAGUCAAUCAGUGAGCUCCAAACUCUUCAAAGCUUGCAUCUCAAGAAGCAUCUCAGACUCUGGAAGACCAACAUCAAGUUGUUCGUGAAGAUUCAAGUAAAGAAAGAGAUCAUCAAUCAGACAAAUCAACCAGUAAUUGGAAGCAUAAGUCUAGUCAUUCCAAAGAUCUCAUUAUUGGCGAAAUUAAUGAAGGAAUUCGCACCAGAUCCAAAAGGCGUGAAGAGUCUAGUGCUGUGGCACUUGUUUCCGAAAUAGAACCCAAAAGCAUAGAAGAAGCUUUAUCAGAUGAAAGCUGGAUUGAAGCUAUGCAAGAAGAGCUCAGGCAAUUCAGUAUCAAUGAUGUCUGGGAAUUGACUCCUAAACCAAAAGGUAAAUCUGUUAUUGGAGCUAAAUGGGUUUUCAGGAACAAGAUGAAUGAGAAAGGAAAAGUCGUAAGAAACAAAGAAAGACUCGUGGCCAAGGGAUAUACGCAAGAAGAAGGGAUAGACUAUGAUGAGACCUACGCUCCAGUAGCAAGGUUAGAAGCUAUUCGAUUCUUGCUUUUUUGCUUGUUAUGAAAAUUUCAGAUUAUUCCAAAUGGACGUCAAAAGUGCUUUCCUGAAUGGAUUUAUCCAUGAGGAAGUUUAUGUGGAACAACCACUAGGGUUUGAAGACCCAAAGAAACCAGACUCAGUCUUCAAACUGAAAAAAGCCUUGUAUGGUUUAAAGCAAGCACCUCGAGCUUGGUACGACAGACUAAGUAAGUUUUUAAUACAUAAUGGUUUUGUCAAAGGUAAAGUAGAUACUGCUCUAUUUAUCAAAAAGGAAAACAAAAGCUUUCUACUUGUUCAAAUAUAUGUUGAUGAUAUUAUUUUUGGAUCUUCUAAUGAAAGUCCGUGUAAGAAAUUCUCUAAGUCUAUGCAGGAUGAGUUUGAAAUGAGUAUGAUGGGAGAGUUAACCUUCUUUCUUGGACUUCAAGUAAAACAAUUGAAGGAAGGAACUUUCAUUCAUCAAGAAAAAUAUGCUAAUGAUCUUGUUAAAAGGUUUGGACUAGAAAAGUGCAAAAAAAACCGAUGUCAAGUUCUUUGAAGAUAGACAAAGAUGAAGAAGGGAAGAAAGUUGAUCAAAAGCUGUACAGGAGUAUCAUCGGUUCACUUCUUUAUCUUACUGCCUCUAGACCUGACAUUUUGUUGAGUGUGUGCAUCUGUGCUAGGUUUCAAUCAGACCCUAGAGAAUCUCAUCUCAGUGCUGCGAAACGGAUUAUUAAAUACAUUGCUUCAUCUUCAAGUAUCGGUCUUUGGUAUCCUAAGAAGGGAGACUUUAAUCUUCUUGGAUAUUCAGACGCAAAUGUAGCCGGUUGCAGAGUUGAUAGAAAGAGCAUCUCGGGAACUUGUCAAUUGCUUGGGAACAAGACAGUGUCUUGGUUUUCAAGGAAACAAAACACUGUGGCUCUCUCUACAACAGAAGCAGAGUAUGUAGCUCUUGGAAGUUGUUGUUUGCAAAUUCUGUGGAUAAAACAACAGCUACAAGACUUUGGAAUUGAAGACUCAUGCACUGAGAUUAGAUGUGACAGCACCAGCGCAAUCAAUCUUACUAAAAAUCCAAUCCUUCACUCAAGGGCAAAGCAUAUAGAGAUUCGUCAUCACUUCAUUAGAGAUCAUAUUCAAAAUGGAGAAAUCUCGAUUCAAUUUGUUGAGUCAAAGAGCCAACUAGUGGAUAUAUUCACAAAGCCUUUGGAGAAGAAUCAAUUCGAUAUCAUCCGUUCCAGACUCAACAUUUUGAAGCUUGAGGAAAUCAAAGUCUAGAGACUCUCAGACUCUCAGACUCGAUCAUUCACGGCCAUAGACUGUAAGUUGUUUUAAAAUUCAAUCUCGAAAAGGUACGAUCUUUCAUUCAGUUAUAUUUGAUUUAUCUUUAAUUUCCGAGAAAAACGGAAUCUUGUCUUUUCAAAAAGAUAACCUCUAUUAAAAAGGCAGUUAUCGUUUUUAAAAAUGGACGACUGUUCACUUUCCUUUAUGUCGAUUGGUUUUUUCCUUUCUUUAACUGGGUUAUAUACAGUAAGUUGUCUUCUUCGCUUCACUCUAAAACCCUAAAAAGACAUUCUCCUCCCAAUCCUGUCUCGAUUUCGUGUUCAUCUUUGAGAAAGUUGUCAUAUUUUCUUGGGAAAGCGAGUCAAGGAAUCUUUCAAUGACAAGAAACGAUGUCUUCUUGUAGAAGGUCUUCAAGAAUCGCAAGCAGGGGACCACAGAGAAUGAGGGAGGGUCCUACCCAUUUCGAUCUCACCAAGGAAGAAGAGUUACCGAGACAGCAACAGAGCCCGAUUCACUCUCAGCCACGUCAAUCUCUAUUAUCUACCCCACAAAGUGUGAAUCAACUACCACAGGAAGAAAUAAUCGAGGAAGCAGAGCCUGUAAGAGUCCAAAAACCCUAUUUUAUUUAUAAGCUCUAUCGUGCUUUGAAAAGCAUAGGUACACCACUGAACUAUGUGGAUGCCUUCCUUAAAGACAAAGGGUAUAAAAAUGAGUAUAUCUUUUUGUGACGGAUGGAGGAUUUGGGAAUUGCUUCCAAAGGAAAGGCUGAGGAAGCACUUGUGAACAUUCUUAGUGACCCUCGUGUAGGGGGAUUUAAUCUGACUGACGGGAAUGACGAUGAUAAACUAUUUAGAGAAUUCCAACCCAAGAUGGGUGUUGCUGCGAAAGUGAAAGGAAAAAGAACGGAGUUGUUCAAAUCAAAGGAACAGGAGGAUCUGUUCUUCAAAUUGUUGAAACGGGGGGUAAUAAACCCUAGGAGCGUUGAUUUUGACUUUCUGGAUGCCAUCAAUGUGAACUUAAAGGAGAAGUUCAAUCUGCUUCAACUAGAACAAUUUUGCUCUGACACCACAGACGGCUAUGCACAAUUAACAACAUAUUUCUAUUCGAAUCUCAACUUUUUAGAUGCGAAUAGAAUAUCCUUCAGUGUUCGAGACCAAUACUAUGAGGUAGAUGUGGACAUGUUGGCAGACAUAAUUGGAGUUGAAAGAGGACGAUAUCAACCGAUCAAGGUUUCAAUCGCUCGUACCACACUGGAACUUGUCAAAGACAAGAGUACAGAAGGAAGAGUUACCUACACAAGAAUGCAUGCCAUCAACAUCUUACUGUACAAAAUCGUGAUCAACUGUCUCAGGCCAAAAUCAACAUCCAAGACAGACGUGUCUAAUUCUGAGGCGAAAUUGAUGUACGCGAUCAAUUCAGGGAAGAAGUUCUCUCUUCCUCACACCAUUCUCUUCCACAUGUACAGAGCAAUGGUGAAGGAUAAGGGCCAGUUGCCUUACUCAGGUCUUGUGACUAAGAUCUUCAGACACUUGAAUAUUGAACCUCCACAUACUCUUUGCGUUCGACCAUGCGACAAAAUGGUGGUGGGUUUGAAAAGACUCAGUCGUUCUGUAUCCGAAUCAAUGGAAUGACAGAAGAAAAGAAAAGAAGCAAAGGAACAAGAACAUAGAAAAGCAGAGGAGAGAGAAGAUAAAGAAAAAGAAGAAGAGGAGAAAGAAGUUGAAGAAGAAGAAGAAGCAGUCAAAGAAAAGUCUGCAGAUGAAGCUGGAGAAAAAGGCAAUCAAGAUUCUACUGAGCAUGACCAUCACUAUUCCCCAAAUGAGGCCUUAGAAACAGGGGGAGAUGAUGAGCAAGGAAGGACUACACCAUAUCCUGAUCACAGUGAAGGUGUGAGUCGCUCGCAAGCAAAUCCAGAAGAUAUUCAGGCUUCUCAAAUGCCUGAGGAAGGACAUGACACCUCAACGCUAAAUUUGCGCGAUUACACUAAAGUUCCAUCGUCUGCCUUCACUCCAUCUGAUAGAGCAAAUGCAAGCACGCAGACGGACAAUACCGCAGAUUUUCGUCGUAUCCUUGAUCUUCUUCUAGCAAUGCAGGGUCAAAUAUAUGCUUUGGAAUGUGAACUUCAAGUCCUAAAGAAUUCUGGACAAGCGUCUUAUGUUACCCUGUCGAUCAAAUACAAGACCUCGCUCGUCAAAUUCAAGCAAAUGCCAAAGGAGUAGAGAUGACUCGUCUAAGGGAAGACUUGAAGAGGCUGGAAGGCAUCGUACAGUCGAUGGGAGAUUUCCAGAUUGUGCGCGUUCCCAAGCAGACUUGACUCUUUCUCACCUUUUUAAUGAUGACAAAAAGGGGGAGAAUUGCCAGCUUUGAACUGAACUAAACUUUGAUUUUGAAUCUAUCUUUAAUUUUAGUUUGUUUGGAUAUUUAUUUUUGAGUAUGACUUGAGUGUGGUGGACUUGGUGAAUUUGACUGACUUGAGUGUGUGGAUUUGAAAUUGACUGUUGCAUUAUUUAUAUCAAGUGUUAUUGUAUGGCUUUACUCAUGAAAGACUAACUUAUUUUCUGUGGAUGCAGAGUCUAGUUGAGUUAUUAAUCUUUAUGAGAUAUCCAUACUGCUUGAGUAAUGCUUUUGCAAGUCAAAGUUGUUCAAAUCUACAGGAAAGUUUUGUCACCAUAAAAAAUGGGGAGAUUGUUGGAGAAAUCUCUCUAGAGUGUUUUGAAGCUGACAAAACGUUUCUAUCAGUCUAGUCUGGAAGCUAUGCAGAUCCUUGUACUUAGAGUCUGAAGACUUUCAGAUCACCAGACUCAGCACACAAGACUCAAGACUCAAGACUAUUCUCAUUGACAGUUUCUAAUCUAGCGACGAAGGCGAUCCAAAGCUAAAGUGUUUGGUUAAGGAUUUGGUCUUGUCGAUUGGAGAAGAUCUCCUGGCUGGAUUUGAUACAACGGAUUAAUUAUUCGAAAUCAAGAUCGUUUGAAGAUCCGAUAAUUGACGAAAUAUUCUUGGAAGGUUCUAUUCUUGGAAACCAAGAUCCUGAUUGUAUGGGCGAACGUGAUUGAUGGGCUAUCGACGUGUUCCUUUAAUAGCUCAAAUGACCUUCUUAAUUGAUUCUGUCCAACGGGAAGAUUGGAAGAAUUCCUUUGGUAAGUGCCAACGGGUAUGAUGGCAUAAAUGAGUAUAAAAAGAAGACGUUCCAGUUAUUCUAGUAAGUGCUCGAUAGAGAAAUUCCAGAGUCUAAAGCUCCUUGAUUAUUAGUCGAUUCAUAUUGAGCGAAACUGUACUCACAAAGAGAGUCUAUACUUAGUGAUACCUUGAGAGAGUGUAAUAGAUCUUCUACACCAAGAAAUCAAGGAAGAACAGUGCUGUAAUAUCUUUUUGUUCAUAGUGGAAUCCAGCCAGUGGGCUGUCAGUGCAGAAGAGUGGACGUAGGCUUGAAAUAAGCCGAACCACUAUAAAUCUCGUGUUCAAUUUUCUCUUCCCCACUCUCAGUCUUACUUUAAUCGUUGUUUGUUUAUUGACAAAGAAAAAUUGUCUCAUUUCUAUCAAUUGUCUAGCAUUGUGCGAUUAUCAUUAGAAAUUACUCGUUAUACCUAUUCACCCCCCCUCUAGGUACCUAUACUAGUCAUAUCAAUAUGUAACCAGGGACAAAGAUGUCACUAUCCUCUUUAGAACAUAUUAUGGUGAAUUUAAUAUAAGCUUUCGUGGCAAAUAAUAAUGGAAGACUUAGAAUUGAGAUACAAUUGCAAGUGAAAGUUUACAAUUUCAAUAGUAGAUAUGUAUAUCUAUUUUCUUGUACAUAAUAUACAUUGCCGAAAUAAUUAAUCACGGUAGACAGUAGUUGCUAUGUAUUGUUGGUUGAAAUGUUCACGCAAGAUUGGCUGUGAUGUUAUUUCUUCAAAAAUCACGUUUUGAUUAGAUUUGGACAUGUUUUGGAGGCUUGUACAAUUUUGAAGACGACUCCGAUAAUGAUUUUUACCAUGCAGGGACGGAUUGGCAUAUUAGUUUAGUGGGGUCAAUGUAUUUGUUGUUGCGCGUGCGCGGAAUAUAGACGGACCAAGCGAAUCGGAUAAAAUGGUCGGAAUGAAGGAAAGGAAAUCAGACACCGGAUUUACGUGGUUCGGCCCGAGUAUCGGAACCUACGUCCACGGGGAGAGCAGCACAGAAUUCCACUAUAGAAACAAGCGAUACACCGGAGAUUACAAUGACUCGAGUACUCAAACACACUCAGUGUUUCCCAGCCCCCAAAUUACACCCAGAUAACUUACACAGUGUUUAGCCCUUCACAAUUGCUAGUGAAAUCUCACUCAAGAAAUUAAACAAAUUCUACUCACAAGAAUUUAACUGACUAAAAGCACUCGGAUGUAAUUUCAACGAGAAAAUUUCUCUCUGCCGAGAGCUUCUGAAGCCUCACGACUUCUCUCUUCAGCUCUCUCUCUCUCGCCCUCUCUCUCUCUCUCUCUCUCUCGGCCACCAAAAUAACUCAGCUCGGCGCCAUCUUCUCCUUCACUCCUCUGCCUUUUAAGGACGAAGUAAGACAGAAAAUGUGAAACUCAUUCGGCGCUCGCAAUCACCACUGACGCCCACCAAAAUUCAUGGGCACGCAUGCAUGCAUGGGACGCAUUUAAUAAGGCAGAAAACUUGCACCCAUAAUUCAAGCGUGAAAGAAGGAUGGCCGCCGUCUUCCAAGACCAUCUCCACGAUGUUCAACUCCUUCAAGUAAUAUUUUUUUAUCAUUUCUUUCCUUUGGUUGUCUGCAGCUUGAAUAAAAUAAGAAAGGAAAGAAGCAAGGAGUUAAAGAAAGAAGACAAAACAAGCCCACAAUUGGCUUUAGUCUUCCGUGUCCAUCCACCAUGCAUGCACGUCCAUGUGCAUGCAAUUAAAGAGUUAGAAUAAAAUAAUGAUCUUCCCCUCUCGCUGCUGCACGCUCUCUUCAUUCUUCACGCUUGCGCUCAUAGAUCCGCAUGCGAUCUUCUGACAAUUUCGGCCAAUUCACAUGCGCUACUUUGACUCACACGUGGUUGAGUUCACGCAUUCUCGUUCAACGGGCUCAAAUCGAGACAUAUUUUCAACAAUCUCCACAUUGGCUCGACGUUUGAGCCAAAUCAUAAUCGCUUCAGUGGACACCUCGCUACUACUCUCCCACAGCCCCAACGGGCUCAACUGCCACAGAGUGCUUCCAAUUUCAAGAUGCGCUUGAACUUUCUCAUAAUCAUGGACCUCAUCAAGACACCAAUUCCACCUGCAUAAUUAGCUACUCCACAAGGAUUUUCUGACAUAACCUCCUAUAUCACAGAUAAAGCAAAACCAUCAUUGCUUCCAUAUCUGACAGUAGGUCGAACACGCACCUUGUCAAAUUUAGUAGCUACAGCAACUGUUGGCUCUAUUGGCUCCACCUCGCUACAAGCAUCAUCUAUGUCGAUUAUUACGCUAGUACUCGCUACCUCAGGAGUUUCUGGUUGCAACUCCACCUUGAGCUGAACACCGUUCAGAUCCGUAUUAACACUGCCAAAAACACUCCUAUCCAAAAGUACUAGAGACUUGUCAAAGGUAACUUCUCUACUGUCAACAGGUGAAUUUAUAUCCGGGCACCACAACUGAUCGCCCCACUCACCUCGUGCAUAGCCAUGGAAUAUGCACAUUGCCCUCCCAUCGAGCUUACCAUCACUCACUCAAAAAUAACACGGGCAACCAAACAUUCUAAAAAUAGAAUUACCAGCAACGUUACCUGACCACACUUCUUCAGGAAUCCGCCAUUCAAUAGCAGUUGAUGGGGAUCUAUUCAUCAGGUAGCUUACCGUACUAAGCACAUCAGCUAGGAUUCUCCUAGCAACACCAGCACUAGAGAUCAUUUUACGGGCCGUCUCUAGUAAUGUUCUGCUUAUCAAUUAUGCAAAUUGUUGUGAUUUAUUGGCACUAGUGCGAUGUUUCACUAUGCCCUCUUCCAUGCAGAAUUUAUUUACCAGCUCCGAGCAGAACUCCAUGCUAUUGUUAGUCCGCACAUGCUUGAUCGACUUACCAGUCUCCGUCUCGAUCAAAGCUCUCAACCGCGUGAUCCUAACACUAGCAUCAAACUUGUGCAUCGGCACAAGCACCCAGGUCUUCCUCGAGCAGUCAAAAGACUCUCGAACAGAAGCAUCCAACGUCUCCAGGGCAAAACCUGUCACUGUCUCACCUUGAAGUUUAUACAGGCCUCCGUGCUUGAUUCCUUUCAUUAUCACCAGGGCACCUCGAACAAUCUUUAGAACUCCACCUUCUGAAGAAUACCUGCAACCAGUUGAAUCUAGGGCACCCAAGGAAAUUAAGUUCUUUUGCAAUUCUGGAACAUGUCUUACUCCAGUCAAUGUCCUCACAAUACCAUCAUGCAUUCUGAUUUUAAUAUCACCAACACCCACAACAUCGCACUCAGCGUUGUUCCCUAACUGAACUUUACCAAUACCCAUGCACUGAUAAGUGAUAAACCAAUUCCUAUUUGGUGUAACGUGAAAUGAACAACCAUAAUCCAUUAUCCAUCCGUGAAAUGAAAAAUCCUCAGUGACAGACAAGACAAUCAACACCAUCAGAAUCAUUCUCAGCUACAGCUGCAACAUUUUAUGUAGACUCAACUCUAAUUCCUUUACCCUUUUCAUUUUUCAGCUUAAAACAGUCUCUUCUACGAUGCCCACUAUUGCCACAAUUCCAACAGACAAUCCUACCAGUCCUAGACUGACUUCGUCUGUUCAUGUUCCUGCUAACACGUGUGCUAGUUCUUCCUUUACCUUCACCUACUAAAGCAGUAGACACGGGUUCACCAAAUUCUUUCCUACGAAUGUCUUCACUCAGAAUCAAAUCACGAACGUCAUCAAAUGUCAAACUUCUUGACCCAGAGGAAAGACCAAAUGUACAAAAGAUCUCAUCACCAAAAACUUACACUCCAAAUGUAAGAACAAAAGGAGUGGAAGGGUGAUGAGAUGUAAAAGCCGCAAAGUGCAGCACAUACACUACAACACCAAAACCAAAAAGAAGCACGACAUGGAUAACCGGCUACCAAACACACCACAGGUGAGGAAGAGGUCAUUGUCGGAUCGAAGUACCUACGAGUCCCUAGUGAAAAUAAUUGGGUUUAGGCCUCAACUUCUCUGCAACCUUCUGUUUCUUAAAUCAUUUUCGAUGUUCCUGAAGGUAAUAGCCUUGUCUCGAACCACUUUGAAGAGGUGGUUCUUCAUAGCUAGGAUAGUCAGGAGCUGGUCUCUAAAGAUGAUGCUAUUCUUGUUUUUCCAAAUGAUAUAACAAAGUGCGCCCAAAGAAAAAUGGGCAAUUCACUUGUAGAAAUUUUUACCCAUCAAAUAGGUAGCGGCCCGGCGGAAGUUCUCCCUCUAAGUUCUGUUGCGCCAAUGUAAAUUGCAUCUGAAAGCCCAAAAGAAUAAAAUGACUAGAGUUUAUUCCUUCCCGUUGGGGAAAUAAAAAAUAUAAGGGGAAUCAGCUGCGCAAGACGUGCGGGCACCGGCCGGCAGGUGAAUGUAAGAAAACGAAUGGAAGUUAAGAUCACACCUUUAAAAAAAAAAAAAAACAGACAUAUAUGUAACGACCACAACGGGCUGGGCCGGAAGGAUGAAGAAAGUCCAGUAGGGAGAAUCCUGAAGGCUUUGCUGAAAUCUAUCACCUUAUCCUCAAAGUGACGAACCAAUAGCAUAUUUCCUAGAAAAAAAUAAAGAAAUAAAAUAAAUCGACUGAAAAUCGAUGUGAAGCCAGCGAGAGAAGCGCUAGCUCUGCGAGACGAAGAAGCCAUGGCGUCUCUCCUGGGAACUUCUUCCACAGCAAUCUUGGCCUCACGGCGCCUCUCCCCACUUUCAGGUGCAAUUUCCUGCACAUGUUUCAAGCGUUUGGGGGAUAAUCCGGACGACCCAUUUCGGUUCGGGUCUUUAAAUUGCUCGAAUUCGACUAUUUCGAGCUCGGGGUUUAUGAGGUUUUUAAUGGGGUCUGUGGAAUUUGCCUUUGUUGUUGAAUUUUCUUGUUUGCAGUGCAGAAUCAUGGCAAGAAAUGUUAUGAAGGGAUUGGGUUUCAGACCAAGAAAGGAAGGUCGCCGUGGCAUCUUGCCGUCACCAAUGUCGCGACCGAUAUCAAUUCUGUCGAGCAGGUAUCGAUUCUUUCCUUUGCCUUUUAUUUUAUUAGCUCUAUGCAUUUCUGGGAAGUUGCAGCAAGAGACUGGUGUGGAUUGAUGCUUCAAAUUUGUUAAUUGCUGAGUUUUUUUUAGUGAAAGUAGACUGAAAAUUGGGCUGCUUCCAUUGCAUUUAAUGAUAAAGUGAGGAUUUCUUAGGCUGAGGCAUUACGCUAAUUGAAGUCGAAUGGGAAAAAGAAAAUGCUUUGCAGUUGAUGGUUUUUUUAGGGUGGUCUUGUUGAGUGAAGUGAGAAUUUUUUGGGGGAGAAUUAGCAUGGAUUGCUUGUGUAGGAUUUUGUGAGCUGGAUUGGAUGGAUUUUUUUCAUUUUUCAGGCUCAGAGGCUUGCCUCUAAGGAGAGUUAGAGGCCGGUCUAUCCUUUUGCCGCUAUAGUUGGGCAAGAUGAGAUGAAGCUGUGCCUCUUACUAAAUGUCAUUGAUCCGAAGAUUGGUGGUGUUAUGAUUAUGGGAGAUAGGGGCACCGGGAAAUCCACUACCGUCCGGUCAUUGGUCGAUUUCCUCCCUGAGAUUUCGGUGAAACCGCAAGGUUCUAUGGACUUCCAGCAACCGGGUUACGGCAAUUCUGAACGCAAAUUUAUCCACAAGCUUAUUCCACCCAGUUUCUGAAGCCAAAUGCGCUGGAAUACUCACGGAGGCAUAUCGAAGAGAUAAACGGAGCAAUUAAGAAGAAAUCCUUCGCUGUGCCUAACCUACAAAAUCAUGGACGAUGCAUACUGCCAAUCUACAUAGAGCACAAAGAGGUCUUCCAAAAUCAAACGGACCUACUGCGACGGGAGGGUGGGAGACGCAAAAUGCACGCGAAACAGCGAGAGACAAGGCACAACAAAGGCAAGAGUCUGAAGGAACUCCUCAUCGGAAAAGUUCACAUCUCAUCAGGUUUCUCCAUCGGAAAAACUAAGUGCGCUCGUGCAAAGCCCCUCCACUCGACAGUACCUUCCUUGCGAUCGCGACAGGAAGCGAGCUCGAGCGUGGGAGAGGGAGGUGUUGGAAGAUAUGCUCGAAUCUGAUCUUGGGAGAUAUGCUCGGAAUCUCGAUUGAUCUUAAUUGUACAUAAAUUAGUUAGGAUCUUUAGAUUGAGAUUGGAUUCAAUUUCAUAAAUAUUUGUUUGCCUUUUAUUAUUUCAUCUAUGUACUAUAAUUACAGAAGAAAUGUACAUCAGAAUACAUACGAAAUAUACAAGAAUUCCAGAUCUCUAUAGUCUUCUUCACUUUCUUACAUGGUAUUAGAGCUUCGGCUUCUGACUGUUCUUCACUUCCGCUCCUUAUUGCCCACCAAAGGAGAUUUGAAUCACACAACAGAUCUACCAUCUUGGUAUAGGAAUCACUCGAAGAAGAAGAAGACAAGAGCUACUGGUUUCUUACCUCCAAUGGCCGACGACCAAUCCAACCCAGAAGCCUCACCACCGACGCAGAUCCAAAAUUUACCUACAACAACACAACAACAAACAAUCCAGGCACACCCUGUUCAAUGGAGACCUACACAAGCUCAGUUUGGUCUAGGGCAACCCUUUGCGGGUCAACCGUUCUAAUGGGUACCUUACCCAUUUUAUCUCGGGACAUACCUGAAUACAUCAUCGCCCAUUUAUGUAGGACACCAUGGAGCCCACUUCCAAUCCGAGGCAAGCUUGACCCCAGAACUAGAGCAGGUAAGCGGAUCUAGAGAACCGGGUAUGGGAACAAAUCCCUACCUGGGGUUUUCAAAUGCAGAUUACCAAUCGGGUCAAUGGACAAAUACCUACCCAAACCUUGCGCUCGGAUUCAUGCCAUUCCCCGUCGCUGCCGUUACCGGGCAUACGGACCCUAAUGAUCCCCUGCAUGUCUCAACAGCCGAUGGCCAUGAGCUGAAACUGAUCAACCUUCAGUUAACCGGACCAAAGAAUUACACCAGAUCGUCCCGAGACUUCCGGCGCGCCCUUGUGACGAAGGACAAUGAUGGAUUCCUCGACGGGGCGGUUUCGAUUCCUGCCGAUGAGCGACUAGCCCGAUUUUGGAGGAAAUGCAAUCAACUCGUGAGGACGUGGAUCGGCAACUGCAUCUCCCCAGAGGUCGCGGUUGGUCUCCCACCAACAGAAGACUCGAAAGCCAUGUGGGAAAACAUCAAACAGAUGUACGGCAAAUUAGAUCGAGCAUGAAUUUUUUCCCUUUUGCAGGAACUUAGUGAGUUAAAACAGGGGAACAUGAUCAUCACGGCCUGUUACAACAAACUGUCGUCCUUGUGGAACGAUCUCGAAGCAACAGAAGAGAAGCCCGAGGGACCAGAGGAGACACUUGCACAAUACCGGUCGAUCAAAGAAAGGGAAAAGGCGACCCGAUUCCUUUUAAUCUUAAACGAUUCUUACCUGACGUUUCGCUCGCAGAUUUUGGCCAUGGAACCGAUGCUCCCUCUUGGCCGGAUCAUUCAAUUAGCCGUCCAAGAAGUAAGCCAGAGGCUUGCUUCAUCAGAAUUAGCGAAAGGAGGAGAGAGUUUUGCCCUGGCCAGUCGCAGCGAGCGAAGAAAUUGGGGAUCGAAAACCCUAGUGCUCGAAAAAGGGGCGCCAGGAGGAGAGCUAGGGUUUCGGUCGCCCAGAUCUGAGGAUUCCCACCUCCUUAAAAGAGGAGAACUAGACGGCUCGGAUUCAGCCUGUAGAUCGGAUGGUCCAAAGGGACCCAUCUAUUCGACCGGAUCUAACGGUGGAGAUGGAGCGACUGGGAAGACAUCCGACGGUGGUGGUUUUUUUUCUGCAUUUGACGGUGGAAGAAUUUUUUCGGCAUCUACAAAAAGUUUUAAUCAAAAAAGGGGUAAAUUAUAUUGUGAAUUUUGCAGAAGGCCACAUCAUACAGUGGAAAAUUGCUGGAAAUUACACGAUAAACCCGGAGAAAAAGGAAAAAGAAGGAAAUUUCUAUGGCCUACUAGGUUGGUGGUUCUAAUGUUGAUCAGUCCAUAACAAAUUAUCAAUACCAACAACUGAUGCAGGCAGUACAGAAAUUGGACAUCUCAAGCAAGGGAGGAAAUUUUUCAGGUGUUUCUCGCUGCCUGAUUAAUAAUAUUUCCAAGAAAUCCUAGAUAAUUGAUUCUGGGGCAAGUGAUCACAUUGUCUAUGAAAGAGCAUUAUUUUCAGAUAUACAUGAGAACCUGGAAUUUCCUAUUACUGUCCAAUUACCAAAUGGGAAUGUUACUCAUGUCAAAAUCACUGGAUCAAUCAAACUGAGCCUAGAAAUCAUACUCCAAAAUGUCCUUUACGUUUCAAAAUUUUGAUUCAAUCUUAUUUCUGUGUCCAAAGUCUGCAGAGAAAAUUCUUGUCGUGUAUUGUUUGAUUCUGACACUUGCUUCUUUCAGGCCCUUUCGACUGGCAGAGUGAUGGGCUUGGGUAGUCUUUCUGAAUGAUUGUUUCUAUGGAAAGAUUCUCCAAGUAAUUUUGAUUUAUCCUCAUUUCCUUCAAAUAAAAUAUCAUUGUGUAACACGACUACCAAUGAUAAAGACUAUCUUUUACAUUCAUGAUUGGGUCAUAGUGCUUCAUUUCCUUAUUCUAAGUGUCAAAUAUGUCCCCUUGCAAAGCAAUCACGCAUUCCUUUUGCCCUUAGUAAAAAUUGUGUAACGCACAUUUUCUCUUUAAUUCACAUGGAUGUUUGGGGUCCUUACCAUACCCAACAUCAUGAUGGAUCGCACUAUUUCUUGACAAUUGUGGACGAUUAUUCUCGUGCCACCUGGGUUUUUUUGAUGCAGUCAAAGGGACAAGUCUUCUCACAUUUGAAAACAUUUAUCGCUCUAUCCAAGAACCAAUUUGGAAGAUCUAUCCAACGAGUUAGGACAGACAAUGGGAAGGAGUUCUUCAACAAUGACUGCAAUUUUCUUCUGUCAUCUCAUGGGAUUCUCCAUGAAAGUUCUUACAUCUAUACUCCACAAUAGAAUGGAGUAGUGGAGCGUAAGCAUUGUCACCUAUUGGAAGUUGCACGUGCAUUAAAAUUUCAGGCGUCUAUUCCAAAAAAAUAUUGGGGCGAAUGCAUAAUUACUGCAACAUAUCUCAUCAACCAUAUGCCAACUCGGAUACUCAAUGGAAAAACCCCAUUUGAGUUACUCUUCAAGAAGAAACCGGAAUUUGGGCAUUUAAGGAUAUUUGGAUGUCAGUGCUUCGCUACUGUUUUGGGCCCUCGAGACAAAAUGGGGCCUCGAGCUCGACGGUGCAUCUUCAUGGGUUAUCCGAAUUUACAAAAGGGGUAUUGAGUCCUAGAUCAAUCAACAUUGGAAUUCUUCAUCAGCAGAGAAGUUAUUUUUCACGAAGAUAUUUUUCCUUUCAAAGAAAAGGACUCUUCAAUGGAGACGCCAAACAAUUCUGGUAAGCCACUAUCUAUGGAGGAUUUUUCAAAUACCGAAUAUUUUGUGACAGGAACUCCAAAACCACUUAUGAUAACCCCAAUCACUCCUGAGAUUUCUGCACCAGCAAUUGUUGAAAAUGGCGCUCAAGAAAAUUCUUCAAUGGCAGAAGAAUCCUCUAAUGAAAUUGGCAAUAUAGAAAUAUCUUCAACUUCAGCUCAAGUGAAUCCUCCUCGACGAUCUGGUCGUUCUACAUGACCGCCAGCUUGGAUAGAAGACUAUGUUUGUGCAUCACCCAACUCACCAGGUAUUAACUACCCAAUAUCAUCUUAUGUUUCGUUCCAUAGACUUUCAUCGGAACAUAGAUGUUGUGUGAGUCGAAUAUCAGAGGACAUCGAACCAUCUACUUAUGAAGAAGCAGCUAAAGACCCAAGAUGGCAGGAAGCUAUAGGAGCUGAAUUGCAGGCACUAACUGCAAACAAGACCUGGGAUUUGGUCCAUCUACCACCAAAUAGGAAACCCAUUGGAUGCAGAUGGGUAUACAAGAUUAAAGACCGUGUUGAUGGGUUUAUUGAGUGUUACAAAGCUCGAUUGGUGGCCAAAGGAUUUACUCAACGAGAAGGCUUUUUGAUUACCACGAAACCUUUUCCCCCGUUGCCGAAGAAUACCCAAACCUUGAUUCAAUGAAUUGAGAAGAGGGAUCUACGCAGAGUGGGGUGUCAGAUGGUCGUUUUUCGGCUUGCCAAAGACAUAACCGUAAGAUCCUUCUUAUCUAUUACAGCUAUCAAUGAUUGGCCUUUACACCAAAUGGAUGUACAUAACGCUUUUCUGCAUGGAGACUUAGAUGAGGAAAUCUACAUGGAUAUUCCUCAAGGAUUACGGAGACGGGGGGAGAAUAGAGUAUGUCGUCUCCGUAAAUCUCUCUAUGGUCUCAAGCAAGCUUCUAGGCAAUGGUAUGCAAAAUUUGCCGAUGCUCUCACUUCUGUAGGUUUCAAACAGUCUAGAUAUGAUUAUGCCUUGUUCACAAUGACUCAAGGUACGUCAUCUAUUUAUCUAAUGAUAUAUGUUGACGAUAUCCUCAUCAUGGAAAAUAAUAAAAUUGCAAUAGAGAGAUUCAAGAAGUAUCUGUAUUUUACUUUUCACAUUAAAGACUUGGGAGCACCCAAAUACUUUCUUGGAAUCGAGAUUGCUCGAUCUGAUCGUGGGAUUUCUCUUAGUCAACGGAAGUUUGUGCUGGAAAUUAUAUCAGAGGCAGGACUGUUAGGAUGCAAACCAUCAAUUAUUCCAAUUGAGUAGAAUAUAAAGUUGACCACCAAGGAUUAUGAUGCUGGGACAUCUGAGAAUCAUGAUCCUGUUCUCAAUGAUCCUUCAGGUUAUAAGCUUGUUGGGAAGCUCAUAUAUUUAACUAUGACUAGAUCCGAUAUAUUAUAUGCAGUGCAGACUCUCAGCCAAUUCAUGCACAGUCCCAAGUUAUCUCACUUGAAUGCUGCAUUAAAGGUCGUGAAGUACUUGAAGAAGUGCCCGGGACUAGGGAUUCUUUUAUCCAGGGAAUGCAAUAUGAAAAUGUUGGCAUACUGUGAUGCAGAUUAUGCGACUUGUCCUAUGAGUCGACGAUCCAUUACAGGUUUUUGCAUUAAACUUGGAGAUUCUCUUCUUUCAUGAAAAACCAAGUUGCCUGCUUCUUGGUUUUUCAUGAAAGAAGCAGGCAACUGUAUCAUUGUCUUCAGCCGAAGCAGAAUACCGAGCUAUGACAAAAACUACUUGUGAGAUCAUAUGGAUAUGGGGACUACUUGGGGAUCUUGGGAUAAAUUUGAAGAGUCCGACUAGGUUGUUCUGUGACAACGAUGCGGCGCUCAAACUUGCAGCAAAUCCCAUAGUACAUGAAAGAACGAAGCAUAUAGAAGUGGAUUGUCACUUCACUCGAGAAAAGAUUCAAGAAGGGAUAAUUGAGACUAGAGGAAUUGGAAUGGCGGAGCAACCAGCCGAUAUCUUCACUAAGGCCCUAUGUCAAAGACAACAUGCAUAUCUAUUGAGCAAGCUAGGCAUCUUGGAUAUCUAUCAGCCACCAGCUUGAGGGGGAGUGUUGGAAGAUAUGCUCGAAUCUGAUCUUGGGAGAUAUGCUCGGAAUCUCAAUUGAUCUUAAUUGUACAUAAAUUAGUUAGGAUCUUUAGAUUGAGAUUGGAUUCAAUUUCGUAAAUAUUUGUUUGCCUUUUAUUAUUUCAUCUAUGUACUACAAUUACAGAAGAAAUGUACAUUAGAAUACAUACGAAAUAUACCAGAAUUUCAGAUCUCUAUAGUAUUCUUCACUUUCUUACAGGAGGGACAGAGAUCGGCUGGAUUAGAAUGGAGAUGAGAGAGAAGAACUCUGGUUUUUCUGCGGGUUUUUGGAUGGCGACUCUUUACAUAUAGAGAGAGAGAGAGAGAGAGAGAGAGAGAGAGAGAGAGAGAGAGAGAGAGAGAGAGAGAGAGAGAGAGAGAGAGAGAGAGUAGAUCUGAAAGAGGCAGGACCGGAAAGUGGCGAAAAACCGACGGAGGUUCGUCUGAGCGACUCGUCAUGCGCUCGCCGGGAGUUCUCCCGAGGGGACAAUAAAAUCCCGAUUCUGCCCCUCUAGAGGAACCAAUUCACGAAUUGCUCUGGUAUUGCCUUUAUUUUGUCUACUUUGGACCCAAAUCAUCGGAUCUAAAUAGAUUUUAAUCGUCGAUCGCAUGGAUUCAGACACUUGGGAACCAUGAUACCAACGGCAUUGAUGGAUUUAGGGCAUGUAGAGUUGAGUUUAGACAAGCAUUUACCCUCACAUUAAUAAAAUGUGUACAGGACUCAAGGAGCUAUUCGUCGGUUUGCUACCAAAGCCCAUCUCAUGUGCUUACACUAAGAAGAGGGCACUUUUGCUCAAGAAAAAUUUCAAGCUGGCAUUAGUAAGAACUAAAGAAAUUGACAAGAGAAUGAAUAUCUUAUUGUCAUAUAAAGGAGUACUUUAAAGUUGUGUCGUAUUGAACUUUGUCCCACCUAUUACACUAUUGAAAUGUUAUGUUUAAUAUACCAAUAAAGUAUCAAUCGCUAGUUGAGCAAGUUUAUCACCACAGCCCCAUUAAAUAUGAGUAGGGAAUUCUAAGACUAAUGAUAGACCAAAGCCCAAGUUCGUCUUUCACAGAUUAACCAAAAAAAGAAAAAGCAAACUAUUUAUGUUACUUUGGGGGUCUACCGUACACUUUGCUUCACAGAAUUGAAUGGAUUGUCUGAGCCCCUUGACCAUUUUGUUGGAUGUUCUAAGUUUUGCUUUACUAUUUACACUCCCUAUGUAUAUAAGUUUACAAAAAAAAACAAAAAACAAAAAUUCUCCGUUACUCUAUCAGAUUAAUAAAGAUAGGAAACAUUUAUGAUUAUUCUAGCAAAAAAAUGACCUUUGAUAGAAAUAACCUUUUUAUUUUAAGUGAAAUGCGUACUAUAUAUAUAUUAGUAAUUAGCAUUUGGUGUGUUUAAAAAAGAUGAAACUUCAAAAAUUAAAUUUGAGAUACACCGCUAACUAAUUUUGUUUCAAAAAGGCUUUUAAGUAAUUUUUCCUCAAUCCAAAAUAGUAAAACUUUUCGUUAUCUAACUUUACUAAUUUAUUAGGCAAUCAUCUUUCCUACGUGUAAUGAAAGUACACAUUAAUUAAAGUUUUAAAUCAAGUAUGUUGAACAUUUCGCCCCUCGAAUUAUAAUUCUGGCCAUUUAGUUCUCGGAAAAAUGAACUCUGUCGUUUAGACAAUCACGCCUUUGCAAAGCUGGUGUUUCCAAUGCGUAAAGAGAGUUACAAGCAACUGAGUUGAUGGCGAUGGAAAGAGGUUACAAACCGAGUUUUGACAAGAGCUUGGCCGACGCGUGUGGUAUUACACGGUGAGCCUGAGUCCCUCUUCGACAGUCCGGCCAUUUUUUGUUCGUUUUGAGAUGGCCGACGGCCCUCAACUUCGGCAUCCCGGUCAUCCUUGUGUUCUCGGCCUUAUAGAGCUGAGUGGACAUUUCGACCGUGUCCUACACCGUCAGGCACGCCGACCGCUGAUCCACAGUUCCACAUUCGUGCAUUGCUGCGAAGGAUGCGAAGUUUUCCACCACAAGUUGUACGCUAAGGACCUACUAUGGCCCCAGAUACAACACCCUUGGCAGGUUGGCCUUCCGCUGCGAUUCGUGCAAUGUCCAGUUAUAUUUCUGCCUCACGAUUAAGCUGGACAGGGACAUUCCAACUCAAGGCAAGAAGUUUCGAGUCAUGAAUGCGCAUUGACCUUAUGCUAUGGCGAGUUUAGCUGCAGCCUGUGCAGGGAUGUGAUCUCGGAUGCGGAUUGUUAUGUCUCUUUUGGACUGUGCUGUCGUUUGGCAUAAGAGACCAAGCUGCUCGGAUUCUCCUCAGUUGAUCGUCAUCGCCGUCAUAUGUGCGAGCUGCUCAGACUCUGUCAAGCGCUUCCAUUACUAUCGCCGGACGUAGCACCUACCAUCUAAGCAAGAUUUUCUACUCAAAACUCUCACAUAUCAUCAGCUAGGAGCAAAUGCGACAAUAAUGAGGAUGAUGCAAGUGGUACACCCAACAAAGAAUUGAGUUGAUACAUUGUGAUAAGAUUCAAGGGUUGCCAACACUCCCAACAAGUUUAACCUAUCUAUUAGUGUCAUCUUCAUCAUUGCGGGUAGUCCCAGAUCUCUCGAACUUGACUAAUUUGGUUGAGCUGAUACUACAACAACAUGGACAAGUAGGAGAUAAACUUUGUAUCGAUCAGUUAUGGUGGAUUGAGAGGUUAUCCAAACUAACGGUUUUAAGGGUCAAACUUCACGAAGUCCCUAUUCCUAUUGAGGUUGGUUCGCUUCCUCUGCUAACGUUACUUGACUUGUCUAAAUUGGACAUGCAAACCUUUCAGCCACUUCCCUUGUCUCUGCAAAGGCUAAGCCUUGGCAAUUCCAAUUCAAUUGGGUCACUCUCUCAGGACUUGAGAAAUUUGUCAUUUUUAAAGCUCCAUGGGUCUCCAAUGCAAGAAUUUCAACUCGAUGGGCUUCAACUUCCACAACUAAAGGAGUUGCAUGUGGAGUAUUGGGCACCCCUCGAGAGGUUGAGGCUAUCAAGAAAGAUGUUAAGGUGGUAAAUUGUCCAAAGCUGGUUGAGAUCCAAUUGUCUUAGGUGUUCGAAUCACUGGAGGCAUUGUCUAUUGAACAUUGCAAGUCCUUGGAAAUGCUAGUUUAUGAGAUUCACAAUGAAUUGAUUACUUGUGAAGGGAGACUAAUUUUUCCAUCAAGAGUCUUUAAGUAACUUGCGUGCUCUCACACUGCAUCAUUGCCCUUCGAUACUCCACAUUCAAGUUGUAGAUACAUGGGAAUCGUGGGAGUACUUUCGCCUUUGGAGUUGGCCUCAUCUGCAAAGUCUCGGUGGUUUGUCAAACUUAAAGAACCUGAAGACUUUAAAUAUCCAAAACUACGAAAGCCUGCGACUAGUUGUGGGCGUCAACAAGUUUUUGGGCCAAUUAGUUCUUUGUAGCUGCGCGUCGUUGGAAAGGGUGAUUUAUGUAUCAACCACCAAACUGCCGAUCGAUUGCCACUUAUUUAUCUUCGGUUGCGAGAAAUUACGAGGGACUGAGAAUGAGUCAAGGGCUUCCGGAAGGAAUUCGGGGCUUCGAUCCGGUGCUUCAAACCACUAUAAAGUGAGUCCGAAUCAUUCUCUCUUUUGCUUUUCGAUUUUCUUAAUGCAACUAUCACAAACAUGAAUUUAUCUUUUAGGCAGAUUUGUAAUAAUUGUGGGAAAUCCAAAAACAAUCCAACGAGCGUGAAUUAUAUUUUGUUUUACUCAUUUUAAAACUCACUCAAUAUAAAAAAAAUUAUUUUUAUUUUUUUGGUAAACAUAAAUUGUUUUAUUUUCUGCUUGCAUUUUCUCAUUUUAUUUUCUAUUUAUUGUAUACGAGAAAGUCCUAUUUGUACGGGGCCAGUUUUAAUCAUAAAUGAUUGGAGAAACUUCAAUGGCUGGAAAAAAUAUAUAUACACUAGCGCAAAGUCUCCGACAAAACUAUUAAUCUUGUUUUGUAUGGAGUGAGUUGUUUGGUUUAGCAACAUUUACUCCACUCUAUUGUUGUUUCUUACUUAAUAUAUUUAUUAUGGAGAUGAGUUUGGUGAUUUGCGAUUUCAUAGUGAAGAUGGAACUUAAAAGACUCCAAUUCACAUUGAUGAAGUUGAGAGUUGCUUGAAUUUGCAUGAGGUUGGGGUUGGCCAAUUAGGAUGUGUGUUUCUAAAAGCAUCUAAAAAAUUAUUAUUAAAGAUUCUGCAUUCUAAAAGGGAACAAUGAAAAUCUAAUUGCCGGAUGAUAUAUUUCCACAUCAAAUCACAAGAAUUGUUUCUUUCUCCGUACUUGAACACUUGUUAAGGGAGUAUAUGCAUAGUGCAAGCAAAAAGUAGGAAGAUUCCUAAUUCUUAUCUUCUCAAUCUUUUCGAAACAACUAAAUCGAGUUUUUAGAUGAUUGUGAUCUGCUUACUAAAAUAAAGUUUAAUUUUGGUUUAUUGAUACUAAACUCAUCAUUUGAUAUAGAAAAUUAAAGUAACGUCAUUUUAAUAUUUUUAUUAGUGUUUUAUUAUUAAUAUUCAACGACAUAUCUUUUUUAUUGGUUGUUUCCUCUCUCUUUUUUCUGUUUUCCUCCAUCGUUUAAAAAAGCAAAAAGCACAUUUUUUUUUUCAAUCUCAACGAAUGCAAUUAAAACCUAUAUGUAUAAUAAAAACUGUUCUAAAUUCCUCGAAAGAUACCGAUGAAAGUCAUAUAUAGAUUAAACACGGUGGUUGAUUGCAUAAUUUUAAUCAUUUCAUUCCUUUGUUGAAACUUUCACGGAAGACUGGUUGUGAUUUUAUUUUGCAGGAAUCAUGCUUUGAUAGGAUCGGGACAUGUUCGGGUGAUAUACUCUCUCGAGUCUUGACACUCCUUGCACCUGCUUACGCCGCGAAUUCUCGAACUCCUCUUCACUGUUGUGGCCAAAGACACCUGGUCGACUCCUCGCGGCUGCUGCGUCCCAUUGUCGUCACAACUGAGCGGAACUGAAGAAGCCAGGUCUCUUUGACGCCUUUUGAUGGAUCACGGCCAUUGCGCAUCACCAUCUGCCGCCAUGUAUACCCGGCGUUUCUCCAAGACGUUCUCUCUAGUUUUCGCCAUCGCCAUUUCCAUUUCUCUCGCUUGCUUCGGUUCUCUUUGCUCUUCUUCCUGCGGGUCUCCUCCUGUCUGUGAAGCAAUGCAGGAGGACACGUCUUUCCUGCGGGUCUCCUGUCUGGCUUUUACCGGUCCUGCAGUCUAUUACGAAUGUUAGACCUGAAUCCACUACCCCUUAUGUUCAUCCUUCUUCAUGUAAAUUAACUAAAUUAAAAAAAAAAAAAACGAAAAACAAAAGAAAACAUCACUGGCCCUCUCCGGCGGCAGCAAGUGCCCUUGCCAAUUUGCCUUCUUCCUUUUUUUAUCUAUUAAAUUUAGCUUAUUUUUUAGUUUGAUUUAAAUAAAAUUUGUAAUAAAAAUCAGAUAUAGAUAUAUUCCAUGUUUUAGCCAUGUCAUCACCACAAAAAGGAAGACGAUAUUUAAAAAGCCAAGUCAGUGUUUUCCAUUACUUUAGUUAGACAAAAUUAAUGGAAAAACUUGGUUGCAUCAAUUUAACAAGUUUAGACCUUAAUUGCAUUUUCUGUAAAUUUUAGGAUUGAAUUACACUUUUAUAACAAGUUUUAGGAUUUCUAGAUUACUUAUCUCUAAUUUAUAUUUUACCACAUUAUGAUUUAAACUAUCACAACCAACUGCUGCAAACUCCGUCUAGAUUUUAAUAUUGGAUCAUCGGGUCUUGAGUUUGAUCAUUCACUCUUUUCACCUUCAAUAAUUUUGGAAAAGUAUUAUAUCUGCAUAUUUCAUACUUUCACUCUUCUAUAUAACAGCGUUAGCAUCAAGAGCUAUUCAAAUAUAAAACUUAGUCGACUCUUUAUUAGCUCAAACCUUUGGAACUACUUAUUGCGCACGCCGACUAUAAGGAAAGCAAUGUCAUUCAUGCUCUUCUUUAGUACACCUCCAGGAGCACGUGUAAUUGAACCCUAUAUCUUGGAGAACUUUUGACAGCAAUUUUGGACCUUUUGGUUUCUAUCGGUCUUUGCAUGGAGGUGGUCAAUAUGAUAAACGAAGAUAAAGAAGAUAAGAUUUGCGACCUUAAGACAAAUAAUCGCAUAGGUUGGGCAUCAUGUGACAGCUCAAAUGUCGCACGAUCUAAAGUUUUAUAUUAGCACUGCCCUGGCUUUCUCGCCGCCAAGAAAACCCACUAAGUUGUGACGCCAAGCUGUCUUUUAUAAUGAACUCGAGUAGGAAACCGAGUACUCUCAAGUCAAAGGAAAUAACAAGCCGAGAAUGAACUAUUAUGAAUGUUAAGUUUGAGAAGUGGGUCCAUAUUUGAAACAUUGAACCUGACGGCAUCUCAUGAACAAAGAGGGAAGAAAAAUAGUCUUGAUUCAGCGAGGCACCCGGAAAUGUCCUCGGGAUUUCAUCCGGAACCGACAGGACACAAAAAUAGAGUCCCUGAAUAGAAGAAGGAAGCCAGCAUGCUUCCACAAUCCAGAAGUCUGAGAAAUAAGCACGCGUAAACUUUCCUGAUUCAUCAUUGCACCCGUGUUCAGAAGAAUGUCUGAGCAAGUAGAAAUUUCCCAUGUUUGUAUAGGCACAUGCAUCCAUGAUCUCCUGUGAUUCUAUUUGGGCGUGACUUGUGCACACUCGUUUAUGUUGUGGGUUUGAGAGAGAGGGAGAGAUAUCUCGUUUGAUGCAACUUCAAGCGUGAAUCUGCUUGGACAUGAGCUGCGAUGCAUACUUCUGUACCCUACGGAUGUUUUGUCUGGUGAAGGAAUUGCAAAGAAAUGCCAGGGGUAAAAGAUAAUAUCAUGGAUAACCCGAAUAACAUCCUGUGAAAACAUUGAUAACCAUAAGGAUAUCUUUUCUUCGGAGAUGGGAUGAUUAAGCAUUAACAGAUUGUUGUUGGUCGCAAGUGCUCGAACAAGCAAUUCUUUAGCUUCUUCCUGCUUCUUCUUUAGCAUGUUGCAGAUCUGUAAGACAAUUCCCUUAGUCAGCCAAUGUAUUACUAGCAGAAAGAUCACAACGAUGGUAGAGUAGACAAGAGGCAACACUUCAAUGCCAGUCUAUGUUCCAAUCGCCUUCUGAAAACUCAAUUGCUAAUUAUAGACCUUUAAUUAAAAAAAAAAAUAGUUAUAAAGUACCAUAGAUUCAUCUUUAAGGAUAAUCAGGUUGGACUGUAGAAGAAAUCACAAUUUCCGUAUUAGAAAGAUUCUCUCCAUCGGUUGAUUUCUAGUUGUACAAAUUCAUUAAAUGAAGAUGAUUAAUGUCAAUGAACCCAUAACCAAAUUAUCGGAAGUGAGCAAACAUCCAGUAGUGAAAACUACAAAUUCAAGAAAUCGUUCGUCAACUCCCCUAACCACCNNNNNNNNNNNNNNNNNNNNNNNNNNNNNNNNNNNNNNNNNNNNNNNNNNNNNNNNNNNNNNNNNNNNNNNNNNNNNNNNNNNNNNNNNNNNNNNNNNNNNNNNNNNNNNNNNNNNNNNNNNNNNNNNNNNNNNNNNNNNNNNNNNNNNNNNNNNNNNNNNNNNNNNNNNNNNNNNNNNNNNNNNNNNNNNNNNNNNNNNNNNNNNNNNNNNNNNNNNNNNNNNNNNNNNNNNNNNNNNNNNNNNNNNNNNNNNNNNNNNNNNNNNNNNNNNNNNNNNNNNNNNNNNNNNNNNNNNNNNNNNNNNNNNNNNNNNNNNNNNNNNNNNNNNNNNNNNNNNNNNNNNNNNNNNNNNNNNNNNNNNNNNNNNNNNNNNNNNNNNNNNNNNNNNNNNNNNNNNNNNNNNNNNNNNNNNNNNNNNNNNNNNNNNNNNNNNNNNNNNNNNNNNNNNNNNNNNNNNNNNNNNNNNNNNNNNNNNNNNNNNNNNNNNNNNNNNNNNNNNNNNNNNNNNNNNNNNNNNNNNNNNNNNNNNNNNNNNNNNNNNNNNNNNNNNNNNNNNNNNNNNNNNNNNNNNNNNNNNNNNNNNNNNNNNNNNNNNNNNNNNNNNNNNNNNNNNNNNNNNNNNNNNNNNNNNNNNNNNNNNNNNNNNNNNNNNNNNNNNNNNNNNNNNNNNNNNNNNNNNNNNNNNNNNNNNNNNNNNNNNNNNNNNNNNNNNNNNNNNNNNNNNNNNNNNNNNNNNNNNNNNNNNNNNNNNNNNNNNNNNNNNNNNNNNNNNNNNNNNNNNNNNNNNNNNNNNNNNNNNNNNNNNNNNNNNNNNNNNNNNNNNNNNNNNNNNNNNNNNNNNNNNNNNNNNNNNNNNNNNNNNNNNNNNNNNNNNNNNNNNNNNNNNNNNNNNNNNNNNNNNNNNNNNNNNNNNNNNNNNNNNNNNNNNNNNNNNNNNNNNNNNNNNNNNNNNNNNNNNNNNNNNNNNNNNNNNNNNNNNNNNNNNNNNNNNNNNNNNNNNNNNNNNNNNNNNNNNNNNNNNNNNNNNNNNNNNNNNNNNNNNNNNNNNNNNNNNNNNNNNAUGGACUUCCACUUCAGUGGAACUCGCCUUAGGGGAAAUCUUAACAUGAAAUUUAGGAUGGUCACAAGACACUCUGUUGGUUUUGCUCUGUUCAGUGUCCUCAUGAUUGCAAACCUGAUACGUAUGAUCUAAGAAACCAGCAAGAAAUGAGUUUCGACUCUCUGUUGAAAUAGAAAAACUUAAGAAGGUUCUGUCCAUUUACCGGUUCAGUGACAACAGCUUCGGAGGAUUCGCUGAAACUUCUGAAGUGUCAAGGGUAAGAACAUUACUUCCACAAACAAAACCCAGUCACAGGAGCGAAGGUAGUGGAAUUAUUAGCACUCUUCACCUUUUUCCACCUGGAGACUCAGAGGGCGAUUCCAGUGGACUAGAUGACAUCCCCUGCAAAAUAGACACACCAAUUCUAAUGCAUUACAAAAUAGCAUCCCCAUAAUUGUAUUUGCAACGCCCUAUUGAAGAGGUCUAAGGUAUUACUUGGAAGUGAAGAGCAAACAAUAGAAAGGAACCUCAGAUGAUUUCCCUUAUGAAUUGAGAAGUGGCUGGUUUUAUUGGUUUACCUGUUCUGUGACAACAGUUUCUGAGGAUUCUCUGAAACUUCUAAAGUGUUGAGUAAGAACAUUACUUCCACAAACAACCCGGUCACAGGAGCAAGUAUAAUGGCGCUAUUAACACUCUUCACCUUUUCUCACUUGGAGACUGAAAGAGCAGUUUUGAUGGACUAAAUGGCAUUAAAUUGGCAUCUGAUCCCUGCAAUAUACACUCAUGGCUUCUAAUGCAUUACAAAGUAGCAUCCCCAUAAGUAUAUUAGAGCAAACAACAGAAAGGAACCGCAUAUGAUUUCCAUUUCAAGGAUGAAUUGGGAAGUGACUGGUUUUCGGUGCUUUUGCUACGAUGAGCUAACGAAUGUGCUGCAUCUCCUCGCAUUGCUGUAAUUUGCUCAGAGUCUCUCAUGGAACUGAUUUCCUCUGUAGGACUAGAACCAAGUUGAUCUUCUUUGGUUCUUGUGGCCCUGCGCACAUUGACAUCAUGAUCUCUUGAGAGUNNNNNNNNNNNNNNNNNNNNNNNNNNNNNNNNNNNNNNNNNNNNNNNNNNNNNNNNNNNNNNNNNNNNNNNNNNNNNNNNNNNNNNNNNNNNNNNNNNNNNNNNNNNNNNNNNNNNNNNNNNNNNNNNNNNNNNNNNNNNNNNNNNNNNNNNNNNNNNNNNNNNNNNNNNNNNNNNNNNNNNNNNNNNNNNNNNNNUAGGUGUCAACAACUCAUUUAUACUGCCCAUCUUGCAGAGGGGAACUGCAAAAGUUUAGCGCAAGCAGAUUAAGCAUAAGCGUACGCAAAUUAAUGCUGUGUCAAAGGUCUAGUCCACUAUAUGCAAUCUACUUGCUAGCAUUGGCAAUGUCUAAGACGGGACAUGACAUAACAUGAACAGAAUCAAACAUAAAAUUCAUAUGACAUGACAUUGGCAUAACCUUUCUGUAAUGAGGGGUUAUUUCAGUCUUGAAAGUAUAUAUCAUUUAAAGGAAUAUCACUCUCCCAUGCCAUGUGACCCAAAAGUUCAAACUGAACAUGAACAUAUCAUGCUACAGCUCCCACUUCCAGGCUUGUAGUCUUCUAGCAGAUAAUUUAGUCAUGUUUUACCAGAGACAAAGAUGCCAAUAUCUACUUCAAAGAAUAGUACGAGAAAUUUAAUGAGCUUUCCUGGCCAAUAAUAAAGGGAGACUUAGACUUGAGAGACAAUUGCAAGUAAAGGUUUAUAAUUUCGGCUGAAAGGGCUUUAAUUUCAUCAACAGAAAGCAAAUAAUCAAGAACAUAUCUACAUGUGUUGAUCAAACUAGAAAUAUACAGCAAUUAGGAAAGUGUCCAAUGUCUCAACGCAAACUAUGAUAUACAAUUAAAAAAAAAAAAAUUCUCAUUUUACCCUAGUUGAAAGUCCGACGGAACAGAAGAGUAAUAACCAGGGCAUCUUUAUAUCGGGAACAAAUAAACUUUCCCUUUUUUAUUUUGAGUUAGUGUGUGGGUGGGGGAGUGGCAGCAGGGAGGAGAUAACUUAAACAUUACUUGUUAGAUACUGUUAAAUGAAGUACGUGGGAAAAAUAAAAUGCUAGAAUUUGAACAAAAUUUCAAACAGCUCAACAAUUACAACUCAAUUGGGUACGGAUGCCUCACCUCAGAUGAGAAGUGGGUCUCACACUGAUAUGGCUUCCACUGACUUUUUGUUUGCUCCCUUGCUGGUGAAUUUCGACCAAAAAGCAACUUUCCCCCAACUUGAGAAUCCUCGGCAUUGUUUCCCAACCUGUUGCAGAUUGCAUGAACCAUGUGAAGGUAUAAAGCAUAUCAAAGAAACUAAAAUCAAAAAGAAAAUCUUCACCUAGUGUCAUUUAGAUGUACAGAAGCAAGUCUUUUGCUGCUAAAUUGAGUAAGCUUUCUCCCAGUUGAUGGUUCUCGAGAAGACUGACUCUUUAUUUCCUCUGAUCUCUUGGAAAACUUUGAAUGGGCUUGUCCAGGCUCUCUACCAGUAAAGAAAGAGGACGAUAUUUAAGUGCAGGUCCUCCGCUUGGGACAUUUACAUGUUACUAAAAGUGAGCUAAGAAGUGCAAAAACAUUAUGCUGUUGAUCCAACAAUCUUUAUACUGAACUCUGGAAGUCACCAUAAAAUGCAUCAAAAUGAUAGCAAAAACUCAAUGAAUGAGUGCAUCAGACUGAAAUCACAACUUGCAUUCCCCUCCUUAAAAAUUAAGCUACGAUGCAUAUGCUUUCUAAAUUUUCACAAAAUCGAUCAUCAAGAGUCCAUGUUUCUUAAAAGGAGCCAUUAAUGGCGCAUUGCUCUAAUUUGGCAUGGCAGAAACUUGCCAAUAUCAUCCUAAUAUAGAUUCCCCCUCGUUCCUCUAAUCACUUAAAGGUAAGGGAUAAAUGGGACAACCUGAAAACAGCUGUUUCACUGUCAUGCAGUACUUUGCUUGGGAUAAUACAGGCUGUAUCAUUAAGACUUGUCUCAGGCUUGGCCUCUUCAUCGUGAGCCUUAGUAGCAUUCAAUGAAUCAAAAAUAGGUUUAUUGCUUCCAUUUGCCUUGCCUUCUGCUCCUGGCACAUGUGGCACACUUGAAACUUCUGACUGCAUGUUGCCAUGAGAAUAUGUAGCUUCCCCUAUAAUUUCUUUCCUGUUACUCUGCUCUUCACCCAAAGUGGAAUUUAAACUUUUGAAGAUAGACAAAUCUUUUCUUGGAUGCUCUGGGAUGGUACUUAAAUUUGUGUCAACCCCGGGCUAAAUAUGUACCUCUAUUGAGGCUGUUUUGUCUGACAAAUAAUCUUGUUGGUCAGAUCCUUGAGAACACGUGAUGUUUGUCCUUUCGAAAGAAGAUUGUUGUGGAAUUGAAAUUCUACAUGCUGCGGGCUUUGGCACCCAAUCAUCCAUUCUUGGGUUUGGCAUAGAAGUUGAAGUUACAGAAGUUCCUACUUGAAUCUCUGAUGUACCCACACAGCACGUUGAUUGAAUAUUAUCAAUCAUAGUGUUAUCCUCACAGUCAGGAAUUGCCUCAGGAAGGCGUGUUUCCGAGCCCUGUUGCUCAUUCAUCUCCAAUGAUCUCCCUUUGCUUCCUAUAACCUUCUUCCCACCUUGUUCUUCCUUAGUCAUGGGUGAAUCAAGAUUAAAGCCAUCCAACCUGGAUAGCACAAAUGGCUGCUAAGUUCAUAGAUUGCAAUCACAAGUCAUGACAUUUCCCUUCACUUGAAAAUAUAACCUUAUGUAUCAAAGAAUAUGCCCUAAUGUAUGCAUUGUGAAGCUGUCUUACCCAUUAAAAUCAAAGGAGAAAGAAAAUCUUUUCUUAAAAUUUCCUUCAUCAGGUGAUUCUGCUUCAUUUCUGUCAUGUUUGGAGAUUUCUUAGAUAGGCAGAAGAAAUCAAGAUCCGGCAUGUCCACUUUGAAUGAUGAAAACUUGUUAAAGUCAGCAUCCACGUUAAAAUCGACAUCCCUGAAAAAGGAUAUUUAACAAUCAAUCCACAGAAAACAGAGAUAUAUCCCACUCUCAUAACAAAUAAGAUUGUAACUAGCUUUCAUGCAUGUUCACCAUCGUCCAUCAUUUUAAUAAUUUUUGAAGUGGAUGAAUGAUAUGUAAAGCAUGGCUCGCUCGAUCACCACGGGCAGUAUUCUCCACAAACAGGUAAUUGUACACGGGUGAAUAUAUGUAACCAACUCAAGUAUGAAGAUAGAAUAUUAAAGUUACAUCCCACAUCCAUACUGGUUUAUUAUCUAGCUGCCCAUACUUUAAGUUUCACUUACAGUUUAUCAAUGUUGAAUUUCUUCAUUUUGCCUUUGCCAACAGUAUCAAAGCUAAAAUCCACUGUGUCAUCUUCUGCCACAGACAACGACUUCCAGGAGGUAAGGAACUCCUUUCCAAAUUCAGCAUCUGUUGAAAUCAGAUUUAACAUUGAGCUAUGACCUACAUAUCUGACCUUCAUAAGACAUGGCCAGAAAUGUGUACAAGCAAUCAUCCUAAUCAAUGACAAGGAUGAAAACCAAUUUUAACAUUAAUAAAGCUUUAAUUUGUUUUCAAGUAGAUGAAAAGUAUGCUGCACUAAUUAUUGACCACGAUAUCCAAAAGAGUCAUGUGUCAGGCCAUAUUACAAAAAUAACCUAAACAGAUUAUAUAGGUUUAGGAUUGAGAAAUAUGCAUCCUUGUGGUACCAUUCCACCUCUGAAGCGAAUUUACUGUAUUUUGAGAUUUGUCAAGCUUAUACAGAGUACCUAGUAAUGAUUUAUCCUCUUUCUGAUUCACCACUGCAGUUUCCUUAGGUGAAUCUGCCAUCUGCAAGGGAAAGAGUGAGGAAAGCAUAAUAAAAAAGAGAAUUCAAAUGGCCCUUAGAAUUUACAAAAGAAAAGGGAGAUUUUAAUUGCAAAUCCAUUAGGUUGGCUAUACUACACAGCAACCUCCUCUCUUCGUAAAAGCAACCUCUCUUUGUUAAACCAUUGCAUCUAUAACAUUUUUGCACUUAUCUUACGCAGAAGCAUAUAUAAACUAACCUAGGAGGGACCUUAGCCAGUCCAUUAAAGUGAAAAACCCACACAUGACAUGCAGACAGUUCAUAAAGGAGCAGCAUUGACUUAUACAAAAUGGUUAGGUGCAGAGUUGCGAGCUCUAAAUUUAAAACCGUGGGGCCAGAAACACCCAUAUAUACAUGCCACUAUCGUAUAUCUGUGAAGAUUCAUUUUUCAUCCUUCCACAAAUGCAAAGAUAAAGGAUCUCCAAUUUGACAGCAGUGAUAAGAUGGACACCUAAUCAGUACAAUAAAGUAAGGAUCAUCUCAAGAUUUCUCAGCCUUGAUUCAAAGGGACAUAAGUCUCUCAUACUUUCGAUAUGAAAUGUCUGAAGGAGUUCAACUAGACCACAAGUGGAAACCACUAUAGCUAUUACAAAGGAUGAACAAAUGCAGUAUUAAUAAGUUCAUACGGGGGCAAAGCACAGGGCUAAUCCAGUAUAAUCUAUCCCAAGAAAAUAACACUGAUGCUAUUUUAACAUGAGAAACCAUAGCAUUGGGUUUUAGCCAAUGAAUUAAUGGCUGUCGUAUGACUGCCUAAAAUAUAUAGGUCCUCCUAUCACAUUCAUAUCAUCUGAUUUCCAGUACAGAGAAGUUCAAUUAAAAUGAAUGUAAUUGAGAAAAAAAGAAAUACAUCAGAACAGCAACUUAUCAUGACAUCAUUUCUACGAAAACAGAUGCCGAGAAAUAGCAUUACCUUUGUAUGUAAAUGCCGUAAGUCAUAGUGAUUUCCUCUGAAUAAGCGCCUACAUUGCGCUCAAACUGCAAGGAGCUAUAUACCUCCAGCAAAAGGAUUACACCAAUUUUGAACGCAAACUUAUCCACAAGCUUGUUCCAGAGGUAUAUCAGAGAGAGAUAAACGUAGCAAUCGAGAAGAAAUUCUUUGCUGCGCCUAACCUCCAAAAUUAUAGAUGGUGCUCCAACGAACUCGAUAAAGCCAAUCUACAUUGAUCACAAAGACGUCUUCCGACAUCAAACGGACCUACUGUGACGGCAGGGUGGGAGACGCAAAACGAGCGAACGCGAAACGGCGAGUGACAACUGAGCGCGGAAUCAAACAGGUGAGAGUCCGAAGGAACUCCUCAUCGGUACAGUUGGCAUCCCAUCAAAUCCACCAUCGGAAAACUAAGCGCGCUCGCUAAGUACCUCCGCUCAACACUACGAAACAAUCAGCGAAAGCUGAUGGUUCAGAGGCACGGAGCAACGAGACACUGAAGAAGCCACGGCCAGAAGAAGAAAUCGACGGAUUGCGAAAGCUCGAGAUCGAUUCGCACGUCGACAUUACCUUCCUUGCGAUCGCGACAGGGAGCGAGCUCGAGCGUGGGGGAGAGAGAGAGAGAGAUCGAUCGGCUGGAUUUGAAUGGAGAUGAGAGUGAAGUAAUCUGGUUUUUCUACAGGUUUUUGAAUGGCGACUCUUUAUAUAGAGAGAGAGACGGAGAGUAGCUUUGUCGCGACCUACCCUCGGGGGAGGGAACAGGUUUAGGGGUAUUGCCUAAGGAAGGGCCUAAGGCUCAUGAUUAGGUAUGAGCUCCCAUACCCCGCGUGACAUUGGGAUAUUCUUAAGGAAUUUUGCACAAAAGGUGUCGCCAUUAGCUUAUUGGGGUCGGCUAGAAACCAAGUGAGGCAUGGGAGUGUGUCUCACUUCCUACGCAACCAGAGAAUCUAGGAUCGGGGACUUGAUUACACUAAUUAACCAAUUAGUGCCCUUUCGGUACCUAAUCUUGUUCAUUUUAACAAAAUGAUGUUUGGCAAGUAGUUUAGAUUGAUUUUAUACCAUGUGAGGUGAUCAUGCAGAUACGCAGUCAUUAAAAUAACAAUCAUAACUACCAAAAUCCUAAUUGCAAUCAAAUUAAACACGUACAAUUAAACAUAAUUAGAUACGUAAAUCAAACAUGUAACAUAAUUAAUAUGCGAGCAAAUAAAUGCUUAAUUAUACUAACAUGGCAAGAUAUAGCAAUUCCUAACCAAAUCCCAUCAUUUUUUUUAUUUUCUAAAUUUUUUUAAUUUUUUUAAAAGAAAAAUAAUUAUUUUUAAAUUUUUUUUAAUUUUUUAAUUUUUAAUAUUUUUUGAAUUUUCGAAAUUUUUUUUUAAAUAAUAAAUUAAUUUUUGAGACCGGGCCGGUCCAACCCGGCCCGGGUUCGGCCCCGUCGACGCGGAUUGGACCGGACCCGGGUUCGGUCCAAUAGGCCCAAGUGGGUCUGAAGCUUGGGCCCAGCCCAAGAAGUCUCCCUCCUCCCUUUUUAAAAGAAAGCAAGCCCACAAGCCUAUACUAAACCAGCCCAAGCCCAAAAGCCCACAAGUAGAAACAACCCAAACCCGGCCCAAUUCACCUAAAACCCUACCCAUUUCUUUGACCCGGUUUGUACCUCCUCUUUAGGGUUCUGUGUUGACGGCGGUGGCGGCGACGCGGCGGGCGGUGGCGGCGACGCGGCGUCUGCGAAGACGAGUGGCACUCGGGCAGAGGAGGGCGUCACGGACGUGUGUGCAGCAGGCAAGGGCCGGUGUGGGGCUCGCUCGGCGGUGACUGGCGAGGCAGCUCGAACGGCGUCGGGUUGAGGGCGGUGAUGGGUGAGCGACGGCACCGGCUGCAGCGAGGGGAUUCGGACGGUGACUAGAGCGGGACGGUGGCGGUGGUCGGCCUGGUGGUGCAGCGGAGUUCGAUCAACUCCCAGAUCUGGUUCGUCUCCGGCUGGUUCGGCGUCGGGAACGCUGUGGGCGGCGAACGACGGCAGCAGCAGCAGGGAGGCGGUGUUUCGGCGAGGGGCGGUGACGACGUCAAGGUCGGCGAACAGGAGCUCGGCUGCUGCAGGUUGCAUGGCGAGGGGACGCAGCGACCGACUUGGGUGAAGCGGCGGUGGCACGAGGAUUAGUGAGUAGGAGCAGAGGCAGUGUCGUGGGGGCUCGGGAUCUGGUGUUCGGGCAGGAGGGGCGGCCGGAGGCGUCGAGUUGCAAGGUCGACGGCAGCAAUGGCGGCAAGCAGGGACGGCAAAUAGCAACAGCUCGUCAGGGCCGGCGGAAAAACGCCCGUUGGUCGUCGUGGGUCAGCUGCGGGAGCAGCGGAGACAGACGGAGGGCGAGGUUGCUCGUGGAGACGCAGCAGAACGGCGAAUGCUGGGCCGAGGCGUCGCGAGGUCGACGGGCGGCACUCGGACAGAGGGGGGGGGGGGGGUCGGUCGAACGGCAACGGCGGCAGCGGUGGUGCCGCCACCGCCCUUCCUUCCGGUUUUCCCUCUCUUUUUCUCCUCUCUCUUUCUGCGUUUUUUUUUGUUCUGGAUCCUCUCCCUCUCUCUGUCUGGUCCCUCCUACACUGGCCGGCUCCCUCCUCUUUUCCUAGUUCCCAACCCCCUUUCGAAAACCCUAGCUACCGAGAGAAGAAGACCCUGGGCGCGGGCUGGGCUCAACUAGAAACAAAAGUGGGCCGGCCCUGCGCGAGAGAAAAAAAAAAGGAAUAGGGGGCGGUGGGCUGGUUUGAGGCUGGAUCCGGCCCAAUCCACCCUCUAAGUAAUUUUUCAUUUUUUUUUCUAUUUUCUAUUUUCUUUUUCUUUUUCUUUUGUUGUUGUUUUGCUAUUUUUUUUUCUUUUUCUCUAAUAAUUUUUUGUACUUGAAAACAAAAAUUGGGUGUCAACAGCUGCCCCUCUUUUAAUGUUGUCUCGAAGAGGUUGCAUUCAAAGACAAAAGACACCUAAAUUAUUUAUGUAGUAGAGAGACCCUGAGUACAUAGGCACGCGUUAGGUCGACAAAAAUGAUUCAUAACUAUGAAAGCACGUCUUGCAAAUAAGAUGAAGAAAGACUUCGGGCUACAGAAGCCUACCGGGUCAUAAGAUGGGAGGGAGACUCCGAGAUACAAAGCUCUCUAGGUCAUAAGAAGUGAGGAAGACUCCAGGAUACAAAGCUCUCCGGGUCAUGAGAAGGGAGGAAGACUCCAAGAUACAAAGCUCUCCGGGUCAUGAGAAGGGAGGAAGACUCCAGGAUACAAAGCUCUUCGGGUCAUGAGAAAUGAGGAAGACUCCAGGAUACAAAGCUCUCCGGGUCAUAAGAAGUGAUGAAGACUCCAUGAUACAAAACUCUCCGGGUCAUGAGAAGGGAGGAAGAUUCCAGGAUACAAAGCUCUCCGGGUCAUGAGAAGUGAGGAAGACUCUAGGAUACAAAGCUCUCCGGGUCAUGAGAAGGGAGGAAGACUCUAGGAUACAAAGCUCUCCGGGUCAUGAGAAAUGAGGAAGACUCCAGGAUACAAAGCUCUCCGGGUCAUGAGAAAUGAGGAAGACUCCAGGAUACAAAGCUCUCCGGGUCAUGAGAAAGGAGGAAGACUCCAGGAUACAAAGCUCUCCGGGUCAUGAGAAGGGGUCAUGAGAAGUGAUGAAGACUCCAGGAUACAAAGCUCUCCAGGUCAUGAGAAGGGAGGAAGACUCCAAGAUACAAAGCUCUCCGGGUCAUGAGAAAUGAGGAAGACUCUAGGAUACAAGGCUCUCCGGGUCAUAAGAAGUGAUGAAGACUCCAGGAUACAAAGCUCUCCGGGUCAUGAGAAAUGAGGAAGACUCCAGGAUACAAGGCUCUCCGGGUCAUAAGAAGUGAUGAAGACUCCAGGAUACAAAGCUCUCCGGGUCAUAAGAAGUGAUGAAGACUCCAGGAUCCAAAACUCUCCGGGUCGUAAGAAGUGAUGAAGACUCCAUGAUACAAAGCUCUUCGGGUCAUAAGAAAUGAUAUGACUGAGGUCUCAUAUUGUAAAAUGAGUUUUGAUUGGGUAUGAUAGUCUCACUGUGCAUGAACGGGUUUCGACUGGGAGGCGGACAAGCGUGGUUUACGGAUGAACCCACCAAUCUUGGAGAUGAGAUGGUUUAAGGUUAACCAUAAGCCUUUGGAGACGACAUGGUUUAAGGCUGACCAUCAACCUUUGGUUUUUAUGGAAGCACCCGCUAAACCCUUAGAAAACUGCAUGGCUUCACUGAUGAAUCCUGUCAAACUCAACUUGAGCAAAUGUCAUUAGAGAUGUCAUCAAGAGAUGUAUUGGCAAUAUUGCAGCAAUAAUUGAACAAAAUAAUCAAGCUAAGUCCGACUGCUUUAGAAAAACAUUCGAUGUCCAUCAGCCUCAUGUGGCGUAAAACUAUCAUCCUGCUCAUGGAUAUAUCAUUAAUCAUCAAAUUCUCUAGGAGACAAGUUCUCAUCAGAACAGUUACGACUCGAGAAAAAGGUUCAUUAAGCAUGCCAAACUAGAGCUUCUUAGUCAGAAAGGGUUUCUCACGCACUCUCAAUAAAAUGAUUACUUGAUCCCAUCCAUUAAUGUGGAAGAUAAUUGAUUGCUGAAGGUAUCUCACAUAACCUACGUCGAAGACUUCCGGAAACAUUCGCAAUGAGCACAAUCUGAUCGAUAAAAAAUGUCUUUUGAAAGGACCGCAAUAUAGGCUCGGUUAGGGCUUAUACACAGGAAUUAUUGCUUUGAGGCCAAUAAAGGAACAUUUGUCACUAUCUUCAUCGGCUUUACAAGUCGAGAGCUUGGGAGAUGAGACAAGAUAGAAUUACUUCCACUCCUUCAAGUAGUAGCUUCUUUGUGGCAUUCUCAUUUUCACUCAAACCAUCCCAAUCAGAAGAGACUUCGGAAGAGGGUUGUAAUGUUGGCUUGGGGAGAGGCUCGAAAGGCUUAAAACUUUCAACAGGGUCUUUAGGAGUCGAUGAUCAUCAUGGCAUCAUGACCAGGUCACUUGAUCUUUCCAAAUCAUUUGGCUUUUGAAAUAUAACGCAUCUCGAAAGUCCAUUGACUAAUCAUUUAUGCAUGGGAGCUUUGCCCGCUUUUUCUAAUUUUCUUUGCACUUGCAAUGAUUUUUUUUUUUUGCAGGCACUUGGACUUUGAUAAUAAUUUUUUUUUCACAUAAGAUGCAGCCUUUUGGCUUUUUUUUUUUAUGGGCAUUGGCCUUGCUUUUACCAGGCACACUGCUUUUUUAUGCCCCCUAAUUUGUCUAACUUUUUGCUCUUUGAACUUUUGGAGCUCUUAUGACUUUCAAGAUGCUUUUCGCAUUUCCUCAUGAUUGUCAAUUAUAUUUGGUCAAUUCUUAUGCCUUGCCCUAGUGAAGGGAGAUGAUCACCACUCAGGAUUCAGAAAUGAAUAAUCAGGCCCAAAUUAGUUGAAGCAAUGGGUAUCAGUGUUUGGAUAGAGAAUGAGAUGUUCUUCUUUACAUUGGGAUGAGUCAAGAUCUAAUGAGAAUUCCUUUGAAGCUAUCACCAGAAGAUUGAUGCAAGUGAAAGUAAUAGGAUCUUUCCCAAUCAUUCGCUCUACAACACGACCAUAACCUCCUAUGUUGCCCCAAUGUAGGGUCGUCCUUGACAGGGGUACUUUGAAUGAUCGUCUUUAUUUUGCCCAAAGGGAUAGGAAGAGAUUAGUGCAAUGCUUGGGAUUGAUGAAGGAAACGCCUUUAUCAUUUCGAUCUUUGCGCUCAAUGCGAAUGAAUCAUUCAUUCUAAGAGAAUGUCGCUUUUCACUCAACUCUCAAAAGUGUUUGAAGGACACUCAACUCUCAAAAGUGUUUGAAGGACGUGUUUGGAAAUGGGCUUACCUUUCUUCAUCCUAAGCACUUCUUGUUUGGCAUGGUUAACGUCUCAAUCUCACUCUGUCGAGAUCAUCUGAGUAGAUCAAUCUCCAUAAGGAAAUUUGAUUUUAAAUGAAAUACCCACAAAACCAGAAAACAAUUUUGAGAUAAAAAUGAUGCUAAAAAAUUUUGAAUAAAUUUUUUGUUUUUCAUUUUUCAUUUUUGUGCUUAUUUCUAGAAACGCGUCAAGGAUCUUUUCGUAAUGGAAAUUCUCUUUCUUUUUUUUCUUUACUUACUUUUUUUUUUUUUACUAAAAAAAAAAUGAGAAGAAUGGUACUUACCUGCGGUGUGAUGACCCGGUAAACCUGUAAAGAAUGUAAAAGAAUAUGUUAGUGCAAACAUCUUUAGGGAUUGAUGUGUUGAAAACGAUACAUUAUUACCCUUCAUUCGCUUUCAUCCUUUGGGUGGUAACAUCUCUUUGAUUCACCUUCGUGGAUAUUUGGUAACUCGACAAUACCCUUCAUUUGCAUUCUUCUUUAAGCGUUUGACGUUUUCCUAAUUCCUUGGUAGAAGACGUCGCUUCUACGGUCAAGAUGCAACUUUUAUCACCCUGUAAGAAGGGAAGAUGAAACGAGUUAUAUCUCAUUUCUUAGUUAGGUUCAACUAAGGAACGAUACAUCCUUCUUGAUGAAUUUGACAAUGUUGUUGUAGCGCACUUCAUUGGUGGGUGAAAGAGAGAUUUUUCUCUAAAUCAAAUGUUGUUCUCCCUCUUUAUAUGACAAACCUUGUUCCGUUCGAGUCUGUCCUGUACCAAAGAAAAUGAUAUGUCAUUUUCUAUACUGAAGAGAAAUCAAGUUUAGGAACGAGUUACAUCCUUUACAAAAUCGAGUGAUCAACAUCUCAAUGUAUCUCUCAUGGAGGAAGGAAUAAUAUUGCGCAUCCGUUCCAUUUGAAUCCUUCUUUGUUUAAGAUGAACAUGACUUAAUAAUGCUCCAUCGCAUUUGUUGAAACAUUACAAAACUUGGUACUCUUGAUGUCUCCUUGACAAUGAAAAGAAAAUCAAGUCAAAAACGGUAUCAGAAAUGAAUAAUUGAAAUCGAUACAGUUUACUCUUCCUUUGAAUUUGCCCUUUUGGAUAUUUGGCAACUCCUUUCAUUUGUCUCAUUAUGUAAAGUGAACGAGAUCGAUGGGUUGUUUUGGCAUCUAAGGCAUUUGCGAAUAACAAAACUUCUCAUAAUGGAAUUCAACUUCGUUUCGCCUCUAUGAAAAAUUGGUGCCGACCCUCAACGCAUGCUUGCUCUUCGAGUUCAAUGAGUCCAAGAAAACGACUACGUGAAGAGAGGGCAUUAAGCAACGUUGUCUUGAAAUUCAUUUUGGAAGGUAAACGUAUAGGUUCACUUAAAACACUUUUGAAUUUGCUCUUUUUUUUGUUUUUGUUUUUAUCUUCUUCUUUUUUAAAUGAUGAUUUUCAUGAAAUUGAAUUCCAUCAUUAAAAAUUUGAGUUGCACGAUUUACAAAAGCAACAAUUGGAUUCGCAAUCAAAACUCAAAAAGAAAAACAUGGUUCUUAACAAGAAUAAAGACUGAUAAAAUACAAGACUCUUUUACAGAUGAAAGUAAAAAAAAACAACUAUUGUCCUAGCUCUAGAAUUCACUUCCUCGAAUGGUCACCACGAGAAUGUCAAAGAGCAUCGCGCAUAACCUGCAAAAAGACGACAAUGUCAAUAUGCGAAUGAGAGAAAACGAUAUUUUAAUGACGUCACUUUUUAGAAUAAAAUCGAGGCGACGAUACAUGCCCCACAAUCCUUAUUACAGGACUUUAGUAUUUCGCCAAGAUUUUAUCAUAAGAGAAGAUAUCAUUAAAAUUAUCAAUCCACGAUCAUCAAUCGAAUGCCCACUUUUAUUCCAAAAGUUUCGUAUGCAAAAGAGUCAUUGAUUUUUGAAAGAUUGAUUUGUGAUUUUGCUCCUAGAAAAUGAAGUGAUUUUUAUUUUGAGAAAUUUGUACACAAAAUGAUUUGCAUUAUAGUCCCAAAAUGUGAGAAUGAGAAAAUUUGAUAAAAAAUGUAAUUUCAAUUUUUGUGCCCCAAUAUAAAAUGACAACUUGAAUUUUUUCUUUCUUUCCUUUUUCUUUUUCGAAAUGAUUUUGAGCCUGUAAUGAGAAAUUUAAACAAAACCAUGUGUUCAACAGUGCCAAAUCAAAAUGUUUAGAACUUGCAUUCAAAUGCUCACUUGUCAAAAGUGAUUGUCAAUUUUUCAAUCAUAAGCUUGCAUCACCGAGGGCAUUCGAUUGAUUUCCACAAAUUUCAAAAUUAAAAUGCAAUACAAAAUGAGCAAAUAAAAAGGGAAAUGAUACUUACAAUAGGUGUCGACCUUUGUCUCAUGCUUUUUUUUUUUUUUCCAAUCACAUAGAUAUGCACAUGGAAUGUAGUUCGAUUUCUACUCUAUAUGGCCCAAAAUGGAGCCAUGGGAUCACAGGACUGAACCAACAUGCUCGUGGCUAAGUCGUGUUACCCAUGACUCCGGCUUCGUCAAAGGAUCGACCCGUGUCGCAUGCUCGCAGACCAGGGUGGGGACCUCUAACAUCAAGAAAGAAAUUUCGAGGUUGAGAUGGGCGACUCAUACUACAUGCUUGUAGUCAGAGUGGUAUCCACCUCAACACCAUCCUAAGUAAUCCUAUGCGGCCCAGGUCCGGCGGCAGGUUGUGUGUGCUAAAGUGUAGUGCAAUGUAGGAGAUGCAUGCAUGACAAUUCAUAAGCAAUCAACACUUCAUACAUGAAUAAUAAACCAUACAUUCCUUCACCUCCCUACAAGACAAAGGUGAGCAAACACUUCCCCUUAUACCUCCCAUUCUACAAAAACAUUUAAUACCUUUAAUGUUAGAGACAUACUUGGAAUCCUUGCUACCAAACAAAAAUAUUUUUUUGAACAAGAUUAAUAUUGGUCUAAGUCCUCUAAGGUUUAAAACCAAACCAAGUCCCCAGCGGAGUCGCCAAGCUGUCGCGACCUACCCUCGGGGGGAGGGAACAGGUUUAGGGGUAUUGCCUAAGGACGGGCCUAAGGCUCAUGAUUAGGCAUGAGCUCUCCCAAGCCCAUACCCCGCGUGACAUUGGGAUAUUCUUAAGGAAUUUUGCACAAAAGGUGUCGCCACUAGCCUAUUGGGGUCGGUUAGAAACCAAGUGACGCAUGGGAGUGUGUCUCACUUCCUACGCAACCAGAGAAUCUAGAAUUGGGGACUUGAUUACACUAAUUAACCAAUUAGUGCCCUUUCGGUACCUAAUCUUGUUCAUUUUAACAAAAUGAUGUUUGGCAAGUAGUUUAGAAUGAUUUUAUACCAUGUGAGGUGAUCAUGCAGAUACGCAGUCAUUAAAAUAACAAUCAUAACUACCAAAAUCCUAAUUGCAGUCAAAUUAAACACGUACAAUUAAACAUAAUUAGAUACGUAAAUCAAACAUGUAACAUAAUUAAUAUGCGAGCAAAUAAAUGCCUAAUUAUACUAACAUGGCAAGAUAUAUCAAUUCCUAACCAAAUCCCAUCAUUUUUUUUAUUUUCUAAAUUUUUUUAAUUUUUUUAAUCUUUUUUAAAAGAAAAAUAAUUAUUUUUAAAUUAUUUUUUAAUUUUUUAAUUUUUUAAUUUUUAAUAUUUUUUGAAUUUUUGAAAUUUUUUUUUAAAUAAUAAAAUAAUUUUUGAGACCGGGCCGGUCCAACCCGGCCCGGGUUCGGCCCGGUUGACGCGGAUCGGACCGGACCCGGGUUCGGUCCAACAGGCCCAAGUGGGUCUGAAGCUUGGGCCCAGUCCAAGAAGUCUCCCUCCUCCCUUUUUAAAAGAAAGCAAGCCCACAAGCCUAUACUAAACCAGCCCAAGCCCAAAAGCCCACAAGCAGAAACAACCCAAACCCGGCCCGAUUCACCUAAAACCCUACCCAUUUCUUUGACCCGGUUUGUACCUCCUCUUUAGGGUUCUGUGUUGACGGCAGUGGCGGCGACGCGGCGGGCGGUGGCGGCGACGCGGCGUCUGCGAAGACGAGCAGCACUCGGGCAGAGGAGGGCGUCACGGACGUGUGUGCAGCAGGCAAGGGCCGGUGUGGGGCUCGCUCGGCGGUGACUGGCGAGGCAACUCGAACGGCGUCGGGUUGAGGGCGGUGAUGGGUGAGCGACGGCACCGGCUGCAGCGAGGGGAUUCGGAUGGUGACUAGAGCGGGACGGUGGCGGUGGUCGGCCUGGUGGUGCAGCGGAGUUCGAUCAACUCCCAGAUCUGGUUCGUCUCCGGCUGGUUCGGCGUCGGGAACGCUGUGGGCGGCGAACGACGGCAGCAGCAGCAGGGAGGCGGUGUUUCGGCGAGGGGCGGUGACGACGUCAAGGUCGGCGAACAGGAGCUCGGCUGCUGCCGGUUGCGUGGCGAGGGGACGCAGCGACCGGCUUGGGUGAAGCGGCGGUGGCGCGAGGAUUAGUGAGCAGGAGCAGAGGCAGUGUCGUGGGGGCUCGGGAUCUGGUGUUCGGGCAGGAGGGGCGGCUGGAGGCGUCGAGUUGCAAGGUCGACGGCAGCAAUGGCGGCAAGCAGGGAUGGCAAAUAGCAACAGCUCGUCAGGGCCGGCGGAAAAACGCCCGUUGGUCGUCGUGGGUCAGCUGCGGGAGCGGCGGAGACAGACGGAGGGCGAGGUUGCUCGUGGAGACGCAGCAGAACGGCGAAUGCUGGGCCGAGGCGUCGCGAGGUCGACGGGCGGCACUCGGACAGAGGGGGGGGGGGGUCGGUCGAACGGCAACAGCGGCGGCGGUGGCGCCGCCACCGCCCUUCCUUCCGGUUUUCCCUCUCUUUUUCUCCUCUCUCUCUUUCUGCGUUUUUUUUUUUGUUUUGGAUCCUCUCCCUCUCUCUGUCUGGUCCCUCCUACACUGGCCGGCUCCCUCCUCUUAUCCUAGUUCCCAACCCCCUUUCGAAAACCCUAGCUACCGAGAGAAGAAGACCCUGGGUGCGGGCUGGGCUCAACUAGAAAGAAAAGUGGGCCGGCCCUGCGCGAGAGAAAAAAAAAAGGAAUAGGGGGCGGUGGGCCGGUUUGAGGCUGGAUCCGGCCCAAUCCGCCCUCUAAGUAAUUUUUCAUUUUUUUUCUAUUUUCUAUUUUCUUUUUCUUUUUCUUUUGUUGUUGUUUUGCUCUUUUUUUUCUUUUUCUCUAAUAAUUUUUUGUACUUGAAAACAAAAAUUGGGUGUCAACAAGCUUUGAAAGAGGCGGGACCGGAAAAGCGACGGAAAUCGGGCGGAGGUUCACUCGAGCGUCAUGCGUUCGCCGAGAGUUUUCCCGACGGGACAGAAGAAAAUCCCGAUUUUGCCGCCCUCAGGGGAAACAUUUCCGCUUUGCUCCGUUCAUUUCAAGAAAAAAAAUUUAAAAAAAAAAAUCCUAAAAAUAAUUACUUCAAUCAUUUACAAAAAUUUAUAAAUAGUCAUUAAUUAUUUCAAAUAAUAACAAACGGUUGUUUUUAGAAAAAUAUAAUUACACAAUCCAUUUUCUGUAAAAUAAAUGAAAUUUAUCUUGAAAAAAAUCCAAUGAACCUAGAUAUCUGAAUCCAAAUAAAUUUUUAUUGUCAAUCACGUCAAUCUACGCUUGGGAACCACAUGAUGAAUCACCUUGAUGGAUUCAUGGCAUGUAAGCUCAAGUCGAGAUAAGCAUCUACCCUCACAUUGAAAUUCAAGGUGCUAUUGGCUGAUUACUAUCGAAGCCCAUCUCACAUUCCUAGUGUCACAAAAAAAAAAAAUGGGCAUUUCCUCCGAGGGCAACUUAAAGGUUGGAUUGAGCAGGACUUAGAGAAAUUGACAAGAAGAUGAAUAUCUUAUUAUGUUAUAAAAGAGGAUUUUUAGAAGUUGUAUAGCGUUGACAUUUGUCGUAGCUCAUCUGCUAUAGGAAUGUUGGGCUUAAAGUACCAACAAAAUACCAACAGCCCAUUGAGCUAGUCUAUCACCGGAGUCCUAUCAAAUACGAGUGGGAAAUUCAAAACCGGCAGUACACUUAAGCCCAAGCCCGUCCUUUGCAAAUUGAUUUAUUACACAAUUGUCUUUUCUAUGCGUAAUGACGAAAACUAUUAGUUAAACUUUUAAAUAAUAAUUAUUUUUCUUAUGGGGAUAAUUAUUUUUUUUUUAAAAUUUUGUCGAGAGUCAAGCAUGGUUGCUUUGUCGGAUUUUGUAAAGCUCGUGUCUCUAAUGUGUAAUCAGGGCUAUGAACGAUUGAGUUGAUUGGCCAUGGAAAUAGGUGAUGACCGAGUUUAGACGAGCUCGGGCGAACGUGUUUGGUAUUACACAGUGAGUCGGAGUACCUCUUCAACAAUACACCUCUUUUCUUUCGUUUCGAGAUAGUCGGCAACCCUCGACUCCGGCAUUCUGUCAUCCUGAUGUUAUAGUCCUUAAGAGAGCUGAGCGGACAUUUCGACCAUGUCUUAUGCUGCUAGGCAUCGACCGUGCGAAGGAAGGAGUAGAAGCAAUGAAGGUGAAUUUGAAGGAGGAGGAGCGUGAACUGGGGGAACUAGAGGAAGUGAACAGAGAAUCUCAAAGUAAUCAUGAUAACAUGGAGUAACUGAUAUGGAUGUAAAUUCAGCGCAAUUCCAUUUCUCUAGGAAGCUAGGAGUAUUGAAGAGUCUUCGCGUUACUCUAAUUAUGCUUGUAAACAGAGAUUUUCACUGGGUACCUAAGUGUCAGACUAUUGAAAUUCCUCACAAAUUUCACGGUUGCCAAUGUACAAUAGUCUCAAGCUAGAUUAGUAUCAGACUUUGCAGCACUUUUGUAGCAACUUUCAAAUGAAAACUUUUCAUUCGCUGAAAGCCCAAGGCAGCCCCAGGGGUGCCUUGAGCUUUCAGCUUUGGCUUUGCCCUUCAUUCUACUGUUCUCAUCUUCUUCGUUGGCUGAGCUGUUCAUCUUCUUCGUUGAGACAAACGAAUUGUGCAGGGCUGCUGACGGCGAGCGAUGAACUAGCGAGAGGCGGGCGACUAUCACGGCGACCGUCGCCGGUGGGUCAUGCGACCUCCGGCGGGCCGCAAGAUCUGGUCGCGCGACCCAAGCGCGACUCAGAUCUGGGUCGCCGGAGGUCGCAUGACCCACCGGCGACGGUCGCCGUGAUAGUCGCCCGCCUCUCGCUAGUUCAUCGCGGCGACUAGAUCUGGGUCGCGCCGGCGCCGGAGGUCACGCGACCUCAGGCGCGACCCAGAUAUGGUUGCUACAGGGUCGCGCAACCUCCGACGGACCCAGAUCUGGUCGCCAGGAGGUCGCGCGACCUCGCGGCGACCAGAUCUAGGUCGCGUCGGCACCGGAGGUCACGCGACCUCAGGCGCGACCUAGAUCUGGUCGUGCGACCUCCGGCGAACCCAGAUCUGGGUCGGGCGACCUCCGUGAAGGGCCGCCGGGGGUCACUCGACCCCAGGCGGCCCUGGCCGGGGGUCUCCCGACCCUCGGCGGCCCUCGCCGAUGGUCGCCCGACCCCAGGCGGCCCUCGCUGGAGGUCGCCGGGGGCUGCCUGAGGUCGCCGGCAGCCGCUUGCCUCAUCAGCCAAUAUUUUUACUUUUUAUUUUUAUUUUUUUAUUAAUCACAUAAGUUAUUUAUAAAUUUAUCUUUCCAAACAACAUUUUACACAAAGGUAUUUCAUAAGGGACUUUCAAACAACAAUUUACCAAACACAGUUUGCAUUUUGAAAAAUACCUUUAACUCAAAGUCUUUUGCAUUUUUCCAAAGGCUUUCUCCAAAAGUCUAUCCAAACGCACCCUUAGUCUCGAAAGUCCCUUGGGAAAAAGUUUAGGUAUUUGGUUAAGCAUUUAGAGGUGUCCUUGGCCAAAUAUUGGCCUCAGAAAUGUAAGUCCACAUCUACUAUUAUUAUUAUUAUUUUUAAAACCGAUCAUUUUCCCACACCGCAACCACCAAAACUCUUUGCGAAUGUUGGGUUCGUUUUUUUUUUUUUGUCAUUUUUAUCUUUUGACAAUCAAUAACCCAACUUUUUAUCAAUAUACUAGAAUGAUCAUUAAUUAACGAAGAUGAUUAAUACUACAAUAAUUAAAAAAAAAAUAUUCAAAGUUGAAAAUAAACCUAAAAGAACUCUAGGCCAAAAGUUGAGCUUUGCAUCUAAUCUAUAAUUAAAUUUUUUUAAUGUGAUUUUUAAAUAAAUUUACUAAUAUAUAUCUUUUACAUUACUCUCAACAUGAAAAUGUAAAAGGUUAUAUAGUCAUUGUUUCUUUUUUUGCAAUUUUAAAAAUACUAAAACUAAAAAACUUAAUUUAAUUACACUAAAAGGCUUUUCAAAUAUAUGUUUACCAAACAGUUUUGCAUUCCCUAAAGCGCUUUUCAGUUAUAGUUUACCAAACAGUCUAGCAUUUUGGAAAACCCUUUUAUCUCAAAGGUAUUUGCAUUUUCCCAAGAGCAUUUUCCCAAAGCCGAACCAAACGGAUUGGGACUGCCAACAUUUUGGCCACCAUUUAUUUCUCCAUGUCGGAAACGCUAGAACUGCGGAAAGAGAAUGGAAUCGGGUGUGGCAGUGAGAACAGCAGUUUCAACAUUAAUAACGACAAUGACGGCAGCAUCGACAAACGAAGGCUUCGCAAAAGAUGAUCGGGCUCUGCCGACAUCUUUCUCGUGAUCUCAAUCGGUCUAAAAUUAAUCUAUUCUGAGCAUGAAAACAUUUUGAAGACUUGUCUUCAGUAGUUGUUGAAAAAAGCUAUGUCAAACUUCGAAGCUUUCUUGGAAGGAUAUUGCAGGGUUCAGGGAAGGUUCCCAGAAACAUCUCCUUGCCCAAAAGAAAAAAAACAAGAACCGUGGGACCUGCAACUUGCACGCGCAUUUGAACAAGUACUUAGCCACCAAGUUUGAGCAUUCGAUCUAAUAGUCUUCCAUCGUUUAAAAAAAAUAAAAAAUAAAAAUAAAAUAAAAUAAAAUACAAAUAAAAAUAAAAAAAUACGACUUUCUGUUUCAACCAUUUUGCAAGUUCAGGGAAGGUUCCCAGAAGCAUCUCCUAAUUCAAAAGAAACAAAACAAGAACUGAUUUCGUAUAUAAAAUGGAGACUUUCUUGCUUCUUUUUUUUCCCGAUAGGUAAGAUACUUUUAUUAGCUUAAUAUAAGGAAAGGAUGGAUCAGAGAGAAUAAAUAAAAUAUUUGUGCAAAAAAGCAAAGAAAAUAAAAAAGUAAUAAUACUUGGAAUGGGGUAAAUUAAUGCAUAAUGAAAGUUUGGUUCCUUGACUUCCACGUAUGUCAUGCCAUAAUCACGUUCUUCCGAACUGUUGCACAUGGGGCCUGCAACUGCACGCGCGACAAGCCAGCUAGCUGUGACCGUCCUCAGAUGUAAACGUCCUCAGUUGGCUCCUGCUAAUGGGGCCUUCAACUGCAUUCACAAGUGUGUCGACCACAACUUUAGUUUCUUUUUAAUCAUCGACCAAUAGCAUUCGAUCUUAUGGUCUUCGUAGUAAAAAAUUGCAACAUCCUGUUUCCACCAUCUUUUCAUAGACCCAUAGAAUUCUCCUAUAACUACAUUAUUUGCUCAUAACGUGUUGACGCGGAAUAUUUUCUGUUUCCACCAUAUUUUCUUAGACCCAUGGAAUUCUCCUAUAACUACAUUAUUUGCUCAUAACGUGUUGACGCAGAAUAUUUCUCUGCUGAAGAUCAUCGAGCGAGAGAGGGAGAGAAGGAAAGAGAGGUCUGCUUAGCUGAGCAAAUUACUGCUAUGGCAAGCUCAGAUGCUGGAACAUCAUCGGGAAGCGAGUACCAAGUGUUUCUGAGUUUCAGAGGACCUGAUACUCGGACUGGAUUUACCGAUGUCCUCUUUCAUAGCUUGAUCGACGUUGGAAUCCACGUGUUUCGAGACGAUGAAGAACUCCGUGUCGGUGAAAGAAUUGAUGGAUCGCUGCUACAAGCGAUCAACAACUCCAGGAUCUACAUACCGGUCUUCUCUCGGAACUAUGCUUCAAGCCAAUGGUGCCUUUGCGAGCUCGCACAGAUCGUGGCAAACACCUUGAAAUCGGAAGGUAAUAAAGAGAUCCUACCUAUUUUCUUUGAUGUGGAACCUAACGAUGUUAAAUUGAAAACUCCACUAUAUCACAAUGCCAUACUCAAUUUGGAGCACGAGAAGAAGUUGAGCAACGAGCAAGUAAAUGUUUGGAGAGAGGCCCUCAUGGAGGUUGAUGCCAUAAAGGGGUGGGAGGUGAAGAAAUACAAAGGGUAAGCUAGCUAUUUUCAAGAUACUUGUUUCCCCAAUUUUCCUAACACUUAAUAAUAGAUCUCAAAAUUCCAGUAUGAUUGAGGUGGGAGUUUUAUUAUAGUAAUACUAAAUGAUGAAUCUUUACGUCUGCAAAGCAAAAUGUGAAGACAUGAUAUUCAACUUCUACAGUUGUUGCUUGACAAUUGCACAAAUUUUUAUACAACAAUUUUGCUCGAAAAUCCCAAGGUUGCUACUCUCAUGUUGGAAUCAAGUUGAAUUUCAGGUCAUGACAUAGCAUCAACGUUGUCAAGGGCUUAAAAGUAUGUUUUGGAGAGACAUUAAUGUCCAAUAUGGACUUUUAGAAUAUCACUCCUAGGUUUAAGGUCCCAUUACUUAUCAGGUCAUUGUGUAGUUUAUCCGAUGCUUGAAUGACAUCACUUCUAGUUAUGUAAUCGUGAAUUUUCUCACUAAAAUGGAUUUUCAUUGUGGCAGCCACGGAGAACUAAUCAAAUUGGUUGUUGCGAAGGUUGUGGAAUGUUUGAAGUCAAAACAUAGAUUGGUGACUGAAUAUUUAGUUGGAAUCAAUGAUCAAGUAGUAACGGUAAGCAAAUUAUUAGAUGUCGAUUCCGAUGGUGUGCGACUCGUUAAAAUUUAUGGCAUGGGAGGUAUUGGAAAAACUACACUUGCCAAGGUCAUCUUCAACCGACUUUCUUCUCAUUUUGGAAAGUGUUGUUGUUUCCUUGAAGACGUUCGAGAGAAGUCGUCAAGAACCGAUGGCUUAGUUCACUUGCAAAAAAGGUUACUAUCCGAAAUCGGUCAUCCUGCAGGAACAAAGAACAUUGAUGACAUUGAUUAUGGAAUUAAGAGGAUUGGAGAAAUACUUUGUAAUAAGAAAGUCCUUAUUAUACUCGAUGAUGUUGAUAACAACAAACAAGUGGAGAAAUUAGUUGGACAGAGUACUUUAUAUUCAGGAUCCAGAAUAUUGAUUACAACUAGAAAUAAAGAUAUCUUGCAAGUCAAUAGACAAAAUUAUCAGAUUUUAGAUUAUGAAAUGGAGGUGAUGAGUGCUGGACAUGCACUUGAGCUUUUCAGUAGGCAUGCAUUUAACACAGACUUUCCUUCAGAUAAUUACAAUUAUCUUUCAAGGAAGAUUGUAUUUGCUACUGGGAGACUUCCAUUGGCUCUUGAGGUGAUUGGUCCAUUCCUCUGCCACAAACCACGAAAACUAUGGAAAGAGACAUUGCGUAAGUUAAGAAAAGCACCUCAUGAGGAUGUUUUUGGAAAGUUGAAGAUCAGCUAUGAUGCCUUAAAUUUCGAGCAACAACAAAUUUUCCUUGAUAUUGCAUGCUUUUUCAUCGGUAAAGAUAAGGCAAAUGCAAUCUACCUAUGGAAAGGUUGUGAGUUUUUCCCAGAUACAGCAAUUGCUGCCCUCAUUGGCAUGUCUUUGGUAAAGAUCGUGGAGAAUGAUAAGUUUUGGAUGCACGAUCAACUUAGAGAUCUAGGAAGAAAAAUUGUUCUCCAAGAAAAUCCAAUAAAUCCUGAGGAGAGGAGUAGGAUAUGGAUUUGGGAGGACGGCCUUAAUGCAAUAAGACCAAAGGAGGUAAAGCACUUCUGGAGAGAUCUAAUUAGUCUUUGCCAUAGAUUCGACUACAUUGUACCUUCUUGGGUUUUUUUGUUCUUUCCUUUUUAUAAUCCUUUGGCUUUAUGAGAUAGAAUACUGAUAUCACUCAUUUCCCAUUCUUAUUUGCAGAUAAACAAAAAGGUUCAAGCACUAUCUCUUCAUUCAUAUGGACAUAGUAUCAAUGAUGUCUCUAUUCAAAUUAAAAGGAUUGGAAGGUUUGAACAUCUAAGAUUCCUUAAAUUAUCUCAAUUAACCCUUGUUAGAGAUGCAACAUAUUGUCUUCCCAAAUCAAGUUUGAUUUCUUCGAGCUAUCCUCUACAAAAAUGGACCAACAUGUACCUAAAGAAUUUAGUCGUUCUUGAAUUCGUCAACGUUACUUUCUUAGAUGAUUCGGGAUUACAAAACUCAAUUAAGGUGCGUAAUAUUUUUAUUCCUAUUUUAUUUUCUCGGAAAGUAAUAUUUGAUUGUUCAUUUAUUGAGUAUUGCAUUUGUUUUGACAGAUGGCAACAAAAUUGAAAGUUCUUUCUUUUACAAAGUGUCGGAACAUAAUUAGAACACCUAACUUCUCUGGAUGCCCGAAUUUAGAGAAGCUUACUUUCAAACGUUGUGACAAUUUGAGGAAAAUCCAUGGCUCUAUGGGGAAGUUGAAGUGUCUGAUUGACUUGAGGAUUGAUCACUGCUAUUCUCUCAAACAUUUGCCUGAAGAAAUUGGGGACCUAGUGAAUCUACGGUAUCUUUUUGUAGAUUGUGAUAAAAUGAAGAAACUCUCGAAUUCCAUAUGGAAGCUAAAAUCAUUACGUGAGUUGCGCUUUCAAGAUCAGUUUUCUCAUAAUUUAGAUUCUGCAAAUUCAUGGAAUUUACCUUGUGUUAUUGAAAUGCUUCAAAAUCUAGAAGUGCUUCAAGUCAAUGAUCACUCUUUAAAAGGUCGACUUCCUUCGGGCAUUGGAAGUUUGCCCUUUCUAAGAAUCCUAAAUCUAUCAGGAACUUGUGUCAGUGAAGUUCCAAAGACCAUCAGCAUGCUUCCUCGCCUACAAAGAAUCGAGUUGAUGGAAUGCAAUAAUAUUCAAGAGUUGCCGACCCUCCCAACAAGUUUAACCCAUCUAAAAGUGUCAUCUAAAUUGUUGCGGGUAGUCUCGGAUCUUUCGAACUUGACUAAUUUGGUUGAGUUGUAUCUAUCAGGAACUUGUGUCAGUGAAAUUCCAAAGACCAUCGACAUGCUUCCUCGCCUACAAAGAAUCGAGUUGAUGGAAUGCAAUAAUAUUCAAGAGUUGCCGACCCUCCCAACAAGUUUAACCCAUCUAAAAGUGUCAUCUAAAUCGUUGCGGGUAAUCUCGGAUCUUUCGAACCUGACUAAUUUGGUUGAGUUGGAUCUAGUUCAUUGUGAAAUAUUAAGAGAUACACUUUGUACCAAUGAGUUACGGUGGAUUGGAAAGUUAUCCAAACUGACCAAAUUGAGCUUCGGACUUCAAAAUGUCCCUAUACCUACUGAGAUGGCUUCCCUUCCUAUGCUAAAUGAACUUUAUUUGUAUGCAUUCAACCUACAAACCUUUCCGCAACUACCCCUAUCUCUAGAAAAGCUAAGGCUUAGAAAUUUCAAUUCAGUUGUGUCAGUCUCUCUAAACCUAAGAAAUUUGUUAUGUUUAGAGCUGUAUGAUUCUCCAUUGCAAGAAAUACAGCUUGAUGGGCUUCAACUUCCACAGCUAAAGGAGUUGCAUGUGGCAAGCUGGCAAUGCCUCGAGAGGUUGAGGCUAUCAAGAAUGAGGAAGCUAAACGACGUCAAGGUGAAUUUUUGUAUAAAGUUAGUUGAGAUCCAAUUUUCUUGGGUGUUCGAAUCAUUGGAGGCAUUGACUAUUCGAGGUGGCAAGUCCUUGGAAAGGAUAGUUUAUGAGUCUGAUAAUGAAUUGAUUAGUUGUGAAGGGAGGCUAAUUUUUCCAUCGACAGUCUUAAAUAAGUUGCGUACUCUCUCCCUGUGGUGGUGCCCUAAGAUACUCGACAUUCAAGUUGUAGGUAUGUUGGAAUCGUGGGAAGGCUUUGACAUUCAGGGUUGUCCUUACUUGCAACAUCUCGGUGGUUUGUCAAACUUAAAGAACCUGAAGUCUUUAUCAAUCAAGGUCUGCGAGAGUCUAUGGGAUGUCGAGGGAGUCGACGAGUUGAAGUUUUUGAACCGUUUAACACUUGAUGAUUGCGGAUCGUUGGAAAGGUUGAUUGAUGUGUCAACCACCAAACUACCAAAUGAUUGCCACGUACGGAUCAAAAGGUGCAGGAGAUUACCUGGGGUUAAGAAAAGAUUCAGCGGCUCCGUCCAAUCCUUCAAGCAUCAUAAGGCGAGUCUGGAUCAUUCUCUCUAUUUCUUUUUUAUAUUUUUUUGACCCAACCGUCCACGAACACCAAUUCAACUCUAAGGUAGAUUUGUAAUAAUGGUGAGAAAUUAAAAAAUAAACAAAAAUCAAUUAAUAUUUGAUCUCACUUAUUUUAAAACCCACUCGAUAUAAGUUUGUUUUAUUUUCAGCUCAUGUUUUCUCAUUUUCUUUUAUUUUCUUUUUUUACAUGAGAAAUUUCUAUAUGUGCAGCAAAUCCAUGGGACAAGGUCAGCUUUUAUCAAAAUUCAUUGGAAAAAUUGCAAUUUUUAGCAAAAGAAAUAUAUAAAUUAACUCAGAAUAUCUCAUUAAAAUGUUAUUUUCACUUUAUAUGAAAUGAAUUGUUUAUUUAGCGAAUUUUUAUGUAAUACACUCCACUUUAUUGUCAUUUCUUACUUAAUACUAUUCAUUAUGGAGAUGAGUUUAGUGAUUUGCAAUUUCCACAGUGAAAAUAGAACACUAAAAGAAUCCUAUACUCAUUGCACGACUUCAAUAAGAAUUUGCUGAGGGAAUUCUCUCAAGAACACAACUUAAAUGGUCCACCGAUCCACAAAUCGACUGACUUAUGUUUUUGAUGGAGUUGAGUGUUAAUUGAAUUUGCAUGUGGAUGGGGUCGGCCAAUUAGGAUGUGUGUUCCAAAAGCAUCUAGAAAUAUUUAUUAAGAUUUUUCAUUCUAAAGAAAAGACGAUGAAAAUCUAAUUUUUGAAAGUCUGCAUCCUCCCCGGUUUUUUACCGUGUUUCUUAAUAGCCACUUUAAACAUCGUUCUGACAUUUAUUUUUUCAGUUGUGAGGCAUUUCAUCUCAUUUCAUUGACCUGCUUCCACUACACUAGAUAUAGAAGGGGAAAAUGAGGAGGAAAUGCUUCAUCUACUUAAUUUAUAACUAGCCCCGAUUUUUUUUUUUUGGGUAAAAACAUAAUGUUUUUUUUCUAUCUUAGAAGCUUAUAUCUAAGACAGAUGAUGGGUUAGACCAAUAAAAUAUCUUACUAAUGUCAUGGACAUAGGUAGCAUACGAGUCAAAGACAGGGCAGAUGGGUGCGAUGUAAAAUUGUUUACAUUUGGCGAAAUGGAAAAUCGAACUCGUCUGAUGUGCAUAAUCCACAUACACAAUUUCGUUAUAAUCCUGCAUGAUUUACGACAUUUUCUUAUGUGACAUUGUUUCCUCUUCUAUAUUGAUCCUUUCUCAUAUUUCAAUCUCGACAAAUACAGCCAAAACUUGUAUGUAUGACUUUCAUCAGUAUCUUUUGAGGAUUUUAAAGCAACUCCUAUCUAUUUGAUUGCAUUAUUUUAAUCACGUCAUUCCUUUUUCGAAAGCUUUCUCCUAAAAUUGGUUAUGAUUUUAUUUUUCAGGAAUCAGGCUUUGAUUUGACAACAUGUUUCGGACGCUUGUGAAGUUCUGAAGGCAACCUACACGAUAAUUGUUAGAAUGCAGGGACGGAACUAGCACAAUGUCUUAUCUGGGUCAAUGCACUGAAGAGUCCAAAGGUUUCUGAGAAUGAUUUCCAGUACCAGGACAUCAACUUAGGAUGCAGGUGUGACCUCAUCAUUUUUAAGCUAAAAAGAUGAUUUACCCUUGUGGCAGAAUUAAGAGAGUUGUUGUUCUUCACGUCAACAUUUCUUCAAAUCCUUAAAGGAUUCCUCGCUUGAAUUAGUUAUUUCAGGAUUGUCCCAUCUCUUUUCGAUUGGUCUUAGACAACUCAUUCAAAUUGCCCGUCUUGCAUGAAGAACUGCAAAAGUUUAGUACAGGCAGGUUAAGCAUAUGCAUAAUAAUGUUGUGUGAAAGGCCUCAUCCAAUAUAUGAAAUCUACUUGUUAGAACUAGCAAUCUCUCCAAGACGAGAUAUGACAUAACAUGAACAUCAUCAUACAAAGAACAAAAAUGGCAUGGCAUUGAUACAUCAUACUCUCUCAUUUCACGUGACCCAACAUGAAUAUGUCAGGCCACAGCACAUUGUGAGCCCUACUUCCAGGCUUGUAUCUUCUAGUAGCUUAAUUUAGUCAUACUUAACCAGGAACAAAGAUGUCACUAUUCUCUUUAGAGCAUAUUAUGGUGAAGUUAAUAUAAGCUUUCAUGGCAAAUAAUAAUGGAAGACUUAGAAUUGAGAUGCAAUUGCAAGUGAAAGUUUACAAUUUCAAUAGUUGAUAUGUCUAUCUAUUUUCUUGUACAUAAUAUACAUUGCCAAAAUAAUUAAUCACGGUAGACAGUAGUUGAUACGUAUUGUUGGUUGAAACGUUCACGCAAGAUUGGUUGUGAUUUUAUUUCUUCAGGAAUCACGUUUUGAUCAGAUUUGGACAUGUUUUGGAGGCUUGUGCAAUUUUGAAGACGACUCCGAUGAUGAUUUUUAGCAUGCAGGGACGGACUGGCAUAUCAGUCUAGUGGGGUCAAUGUACUGAAGAGUCAAAGUUUCUAAGAAUGGUUUCAAAAACUGGGACAUCAAGUUCGGAUGCCAGUGAGACCUCAUCAGUUUCAAGCUUGAUAGAUGAAUUUCCCUUGCGGCUGAUUCAAGGGAAAUGCUGUUCUUCGCAUCAACAUUUCUGAUCCUUGAAUCCUUGUAAGAUUUGUCGCUUGAACUAGUUACCUCCUGGAUCAUCGCAUAUAUUUUUGACUAGUUCUGACAACUCAUUCAAAUUGCCCGUCUUGCAUGAAGAGCUGCAAAAAUUUAGUACAAGCAGAUUAAGCAUAUGCAAUAUACUGUCGUCCAAAAGGUCUAAUCCAACAAAUGAAAAUUACUUGUUAGAUUUGGCAAUGUUUCUAAGACAGUGAUGAUACAACAUGAACAGCAUCAUACAUAGAACAUAUGUGACAUGACAUUGAUACAUCUUUUCUAUAACUAGGACUUAUUUCAAUCUUAAAAGCAAAUAUUAUUUGAAGGACUAUCUCCCUCCCAUUUUAUGUGACUUAGAAGGUUCAACUCAAAGUUGAAUGAAUCAUGCUAGAGCAGAUGGUGAACCCUACUUCCAGGCUUGUAGUCUUCAAUUAGAUAAUCCAGUCAUAUGUUACCAGUGACAAAGAUAUCAAUAUCCUCCUUAUAGCAUAUUAUGAUGAAUUUAAUAUGAGCUUUCUUGGCAAAUAAUAAUAGAAGACUUAGACUUGAGAUGCAACAGCAACAAAAUGAUGAGAGAACAUCAAAAGAUUUUUUUGCACAUAUCUACAUGGGUUGAUCAAAAUAGUAAUAUAAAGCAAUUAGGUGAGUCUCAAAUGUCUCAAUGGAAACUAUGAUAUACAGUCAAACAAAAAAUAUCUCUUUUUACCUAGAUGUCCAUUCAAUAGCAGAAGAGUGAUAACCAGUGCAACUUUUUAUGGGGAGGAGGUAAAAUCCUUCCCAUCAUCCCUUCUGAGGGGAGGGGCUGGCAGCGGGAAGAAGAUAACUUACACAUUUCUGACUUGCUGUUAGCUACUGUUAAGUACAUGGGGAGAAAGAAAUCAGUAGAAUUUGAGCAAAAUUUCAUUCAGAUCUAAAGUUACAAUUUGAUUGGGUACAGAUGCCUGACCCCAGGUUGAGAAAUGUUUUUCACACUGACAUGGCUUCCUGUCAAAGGAGAUUGACUUUUUGUGUGUGCUCCCUUACAAGUGAAUUUCCCUCAACUUGAGAAUCUCUGGCUUUGUCUCCCAACCUGUUGAACAUUGCGUAAACCAUGUGAUGUUAUAAAGCACUCCAUAUCCAAUCAAAGAAACUGGAAUAAAAUAGAAAAUUUUCAUCCUUUCUCAUUUAGAUGCACAGAAGCAAGUCUUCUACUAAUAAUUUGAGUAAGCUUUCUCUCAGUGAUAGUUCUCGAGAAGACUAACUCUUGAUUUCCUCUGAUCCAUUUUAAAUUUGAGUGGGUUUGUCCAAGCAUCCUACAAGAAAAGAAAGAGCACAAUGCAUGAGCUGCAGGCUCUCUGCUUGGGACAUCAACAUAGUAGUAAAAGUGAACUGAGAAGUGCAAAAAUGUAAUGCUGUCUAUCCACACAAUUUUCUACUCAAAUCUGGAAAUUAUCAUCAAAUGCAUCAACAUGAUAGCCAAAACCCAAUGAAUGAGUGCAUCAAACUGAUGGCCACAAGAACUUGCUGUGUUCCUGUCCUUGGAACAUUGAGCUACAGACGCAUAUUCUUCCUAAAUUCUGAUAAAAUCAACUAUCAAGUCCCUGUUUCUUAAAAAGAGACAUUAAUGACUCAUUGCUCUUAGUAAAUGGCAUAAACUUGCCAAUGUUAUCCUCUUAUAAGUUUUUUGUCCUCUCAUUCCACAAAUCACUUAAAGGUAAGGGAUAAAGUAGGGUCAACCUAACGACAGACAUUUCACCGUCAUGCAUUACUUUACUCAGAUGAAGAUUUGUGGCAGACUUGGCCUCUUCUAUAUCAGCCUUAGUAGUAUUCCAUGUAUCAAGAAAAGGUUUACUGCUUUAGUUUGCCUUGCCUUCUGUUCCUGGAACAUGUGACAUAGUUAAACCUUCUAAAUGUACAUUGCCACAAGAAUAUGUGGCUUCCCUUACCAUUUGUUCCCUGUUACUCUGCUCUUCAUAUAAAGCAGAAUUUAAACUUUUGAUGAUAGACAAAUCUUUUCUUGGAAGCUCUGGAAUGGAACUUAAAUUUGUAUCAGCCCUGGGCGGAACAUGAAACUUCUCUUGGUACUUUUUAUCUGAUGUACAACCUUGUUGAUCGGAUUCUUGAGCGCACGUGCUGUUUGUCCUAUCCAAAGAAGAUCGUUCUAGGAUUGAAUUUCUACAAGCUGCAGAUAAAGUUAGACAUAGAGUUGAAGUUACAGAAAUCUCUACCUAAACUUAUGAUGUUACUCACACAAUGUGUUGAUUCAUCAUUAUCAAUGACAGCUUUAUCUUCACAGUCUGGAAUUGCCUCAGGAAGGAGACUUUUCGAGCCCUGGUGCUCAUCCAUCUCUGUAAAUCUCCCUUUGCUUCCUAUGACCUUCUUCCCACCUUGUUCUCCCUCAGUCAUGGAUGAAUCAAGAUUAGAGCCGUCCAACGUGGAUAGCACAAUGACUGCUAAGGUCCUAAAUGCAAACACGAGUCAUGAAAUUUGUUUUGAGUGUAUCCGUUUUUUUUUUUUUUUGUAUGAUAUUGUUUCCUCUUAUAAAUAGAUCCUUUCUUGUACUUUAAUCUCAACAAAUGCAGUUAAAACCUACAUAUAGGACUUUUAUCAGUAUUUUUCAAGGAACUUAGAACACCUAUUUAUUUUCUUGUGCAUGGUAUUCAUUAACAAAUAGGUCAAACACUCUGGACACUAGUUGAUAUGUAUAACUAAUUGGUUUGACUGCAUAAUCUCAAUCAUUUCUUUCCUUUUCUGAAACUUUCAUGGAAGAUUGGUUGCGAUUUUGUUGUUCAGGAAUCACACUUUGAUAGGACUACAUGUUUUGGAUGCUUGUGAAGUUUGGAAGACAAGUCAUGCAACAAUGGUUAGCUUGCAGGGAUCGAGCUAGCAUAUUUCUAAGAAUGAUUUCAAAUUCCAAGACAUCAAGUUAGGAGGCAGGUGAGACCUCAUUUUGAGAGAGUUACUAUUCUUCAAAUGACAUUUAAAAGAUUCUCUGUCAGGAUUGAUGCAAAUCUUUUCUGUUGGUUUUGACAACUCAUUCAAAUUGCCUGUCUUGCUUGGAGAACUGCAAAAGUUUAGUACGAGCAGAUUAAUCAUAUGCAGAAUAAUGUUGUGUCAAUGGACUUAUCCAAUAUAUGAAUUCUACUUAUAAGUGUUGGCAAUGUCUCUAAGACGGGAUAUGACAUAACAGAAACAUCAUUAUACAUAAAACAAAUACAACAUGACAUUGAUACAUCUUUUCUGUAAUCAUUAGUUAUUUUGGUCUUAAAAGUUACUAUAUCUCAAAGAAUAUCGCUCUCCCAUUUCAUUCGACUCAAAAGGUACAACUCAAACAUGAAUAUGUCAGGCUAGCACAGACUGGGCAUCCUGCUUCCAGUCUUGUAGUCCACGGGUAGUUACUUCAGUCACACGUUACCAGAGACAGAGAUGUCACAUCAAAAGAUUCUUAGCAAGUAUAAACAUUUGUGUUGAUCAAACUACUAAUGUAUGGCAAUUAGCAAAUCAUCCAAUGUCUCAAUGCAAACUAUCAUACACAAUCGAACAAAAAGUAUCUCAUUUUACCCUUGUUGAAAGUCCAUCGGGUAGCAGAGUUGUCAUAACCUGGGCACCUUCAUAGGGGAAGAAGAUAAAAAAAAUUUCCUUUUUUUCCCUCUAGGGGGAGGGCAUGGUGGUGGGAAGUACAUAACUGGCACAUCGAUGACCCACUGUCAACUACUUUUAAGUGAAGUACAUGGAAAAAAAAGUGGUAGAAUUUGAACAAAAUCUCAUUUUGCUCUAAUAUUUAAAUUUGAUUGGGUACAGAUGCUUCACCUCGGUAGAGAAGUGGUGCUCACACUGAUAUGGCUUGUUGUCAAAGGAGAUUGGCUGUUCGCGUGCUUCCUCACGAGAGAAUUUAGACCAACAAGCUUUCUCCAAGUUGAUGGCUCUUGAGAAGACCGACUCUUAAUUUCCUCUGAUCUCUUCAAAAACUUAGAGUGGGCUUGUCAAGGCUGUCUACAGGUAAAGAAAGAGGACAAUAUACAAGCUGCAAGCUUUCUUCCAAUAGCAUUCGAUGUAUCAAUAAAAGGUUUAUUGCUUUCAUUUGCCUUCUGUUCCAGGAAUAUGUGGCACAGUUAAACCUUCCGAGCCCUUACCAUAUCUUCCCUGUUACUCUGCUCUUCACCCAAAGUGGAAUUCAAACUUUUGACAAUAAACAAAUCGUUUCUCGGAAUCUCUGGAAUGGUACUUAAAUUUGUAUCAACCCUGGGCUGCACAUUUACUUCUUCUGGUUCUCUUUGAUCUGAUGAAUAACCUUGUUGAUCAGACUCCUGAUUACACAUGCCAUUUGACCUAUCCAAAGAAGAUCGUUCUCGGAUUGGAUUUCUACAGGCUGUAGACUUUGGCACCCGAUCACUUUUUUUUCUUGGGUUGGGCAUAGAAGUUAAAGUUACAGAAGUUUUCUCCCUGAAUCUCCGGUGUACCCACACAGCGUGUAGACUGAACAUUGUCAAUGAUAGCAUUAUCCUCACAGUCUGUAAUUGCCUCGCCAAGGUGAGUUUUUGAGCCCUGGUGCUCAUUCAUCUCUAAAGAUCUCCCUUUGCUUCCUAUAACAUUCUUCCCACAUUGUUCUCACUCAGGCAUGGAUGAAUCAAAGAUUAAAGCCAUCCAACGUGGGUAAUUUAAACAUCAGAAACUAUACCAUUAUGUUGUAGCAAAUAAAUUUAUGACUGUAUUAUGAGUCCUCCCAUCCCACUCAGAUCAUCCACUUUCCAGCACAAUGAAGCUCAAUUAAGAUGAAUGACAUGUAACAUGUACAUUAGAACAGCCACUUAUCAUGGUAUCAUUUUUCUGAAGAGAGAUGCCAUGAAAUAGCAUUAUCUUUGAGCAAAAUAUGUGCCCUGAGUGGCGAAAAUCUCCAAUUCAUACCUCAGAAAUCAAGACAGAGAGCAGGUAAAUGCUGUAAGUCAUAGCGAUUUUCUCUACAUAAGCGCUUACAUUGCGGUGAAACUGCAAGGAGCCAUAGACUACCAGUAAUAGGCUCACAGCAAUUAUGAAGAUACAUAUUUAUAGACUUGUUUCACGGGAAACAACACUUCCCAGUUUCUGAAGUCAAAUGCACCAGAAUACUGAGAUAAACAUUAUAAUUCAGAAAGAAAUCCUUCCCUGUGCCUAAUUUGUAAUGUCAAAGAAGAUGCUCAAAUGAACUCCAUAAAGCCAGUCAACCUCGAUCACAAAGAGGUCUUUUGAAACCAAAUGAACCAAUGAAACAAACGGCAAAAGCCAUUCGGAAACUCGACCCGCUCAUGAAUUACCUCUGUUUUACGCUAUGAAACAAAUAGCAAACACUGACAUUUCACAAUUACGAGCAACGAAAAUUCGUUAGAUUGAGACAAGCAUAGGAUCUCCAGAGAGCAAGGUCGAGCGCGGGAGAGAGAGAUGGACUAGGUCUGAAUAGAGAAGAGAGAGGAGUAAUCUUGUUCUUAUAAGGUUUUUGAAAGGCGACCACCUUUAUAUAUAUAUAUAUAUAAUAGACCUAAGUAAGUCCUUAAAAGAUUUUAUCUCGGUAUCCGUUUGGAAUUCGGGAUCACUGAAAUAUGAAACAACAAGAGAGUAUUCCUUUCAUCUAAGAAAGACAAAGAUACCAAGGGGAUUAGAGGUGCGAAACAUACGAACCCUAAUGCGUUCAAAUAAUGAACCAAUCUGUGGAGCCCGCUGCUGUCCAACAAGCUGCAGAGGCUCUUCUAGGAGCUCAAGCUCCCUUCCUUUGAUGAAGUUACUCAUAAUCAAACACCAAUAAUUCAAUAAUAAAUAUUAGCUAUUAUAUAAAACCUCAGAAGUCCUAUUUCACCCCUUCAAUGGAACCAUUUUUCGCCAAAUUGCCUCGAAAUUGUUUAAUUUGUUUCAAUACUCCCACCCCCCCCCCCCCCCCCCCGGGCGCAAGACACAUGGGUAAGAUGGUAAUUUCAUAAAAAUAAUAAUAACUCACCAACAAACCCACCUCGAAAAAUCAUCCCGUCUUUUUCUUUUACCAACAAUUCUUGAAUGCUUUCAAAAAAAAAAUUUAAAUCAAAUUUAUUGGAAAAAAUAAAAAAAGAAUAUCUCAUGACAUGGAAGUAUAGAAUCGUGGCUCCGUUCCCUCCUCCCCAUAACAUUCAUUUGACUUUUAGGAUUUAUGGCAUGAAAUGCUCCACGUGUCACAUCCACCAAACUUAACACCCUUGAAAAUCCCAACCACACCUUUAUCUUACGCACCGUUCGUUUCACGGAAAAUAACUUCUCGGAAAAUGUUUUCCGGAUUUUCCGAUGUUCGUUUCACGGAAAACCAACUACUCAAAGAAAAUAUUUUCCAUCAAUGGAAAAAACUACCUUCAAAGAUAAGGAAAAUGUUUUCCACUUUUGAAAAGUGGAAAACAUUUUCUAUAACUUCUUCCACCUUUUAUCUUUUUAUUAACACAUUUUUAUUUUAUUUUUAUGCUUUUCUUUUCUUUUCUUUUCUUUCUUUCCUUUUCAUCUUUCUUCCUUAGCUUGGCCGGUGGCCAGCCCCGACGGCGGCCGGCGACCAGCCGCGACCAGCGACCGGUCGCGGCCACGAGCCAGCUCAAGCUCCGCCCCAGGCCGGCGAGGCUCCGCCUAGCCUAAUCUGGUGAGGCCCGAGCUCGCCCGAGCCCGGCGAGCUCGGGCUCGCCUGGAUCAGGAGCCCAAGCUCCGCCACCAGAUCCGGCGAGCUCGCGGCUCACCAGAGCUCAACGAACCUCUGGCGAGCUCGGGCGAGAUCAGCCGAGCCUCGAGCUCGCCGGAUCUGGCAACCGGAUCUUGGUCGGCUGCCGGGCAGUCAGCCAUUGUCAGGCAUGCGGCGGCGGAGGAAGGAGGAAGGAGGAGGAAGAAGGAGGAGGAAGGAGGAGGAAAAGAAAUGGAAAAAAUAAAAAGAAAAAGAAAGAAAAAAUAAUAAAUAAUAAAAAUUUUGAUUUUUUAAAAUAUAAAUAAUUAAAAUUUUAUUUUUAAAAAUUAUAAAAAAAUAAAACUAAUGAACGGUGGAAAAUAAUAAAAAUUGUAUUUUUUAAAAAUACAAAUAUUUUUUGGUCAAUUAAAAAUAUUAAAAUUCAAAUUUUUGAUAAUUUUUCAUAAACAAUUAAAUUAGUUAACGAACGGUGGAAAAUGUUUUCCACUCAAAAUUUAAGUUUCAGUCGAACACCGGAAAAUAUAGCCAUUUUCCUGGAAAAUGACUUCUGGGAAAAUAUUUUCCGGAGAUGGCCCAUUUUCCGCGAAACGAAUGGACAGAAAAACAAAAAGUUCCAUGGCAUCGACAAUGAUGCGGACCACCUAUAAAUUAUAAAUCCCCAACAAAUAAAGUCAUAACUCUCCCAAAAAUGAAACCCUAACCUUUCCGAAUUUCAUGUGCCAGAAGCCAACCGAUCGACAAAAUGCAAGUCCAAAUCCUUGAAACCAAACUUAUCCAACCCUCUACACCACCCUUUCUCGAUCAAGAACAGGUCCUCCCUCUCUCGCACCUCGACACCGAUCCUAAUCUCAACAUCACGUUCCGUUACCUCCGUGUGUAUGUAAAUGCCGACCAAACGAAGCGCGCCCACGAUACACCGUACCAUGUCAUUGCUAGAGCGUUCUCUGGUGCACUUUGUUACUACUACCCUCUAUGCGGCACGCUUCGUCCUGGCGAUCAUCACCGCCUCAAGCUACAUUGUGUUGCCGGCCAAGGCGUGCCGCUUGUUCACGCCACCGCCAAUUGCACUCUCCAUGCGGUUAAAAACCUUGAUGACGCGGACUCGGGUUUCUUGGAGUAGCUGAUACCCAACCCGGAUCCGGAGGAGAGUUUGGCCAACCCGUGUGUGCUCCAAGUCACAAUGUUCGAAUGCGGGGGGUUCAGCUUAGGUACCGCCAUACACCACGCCAUGUGCGACGGGCUCGGGGCGACCCUAUUCUUUGGGGCAGCGGCGGAGCUAGCUCGUGGGGCGGAGCGAGUUUCCAUCGAGCCGGUGUGGGACCGAGACAUCUUGUUGGGGCCAAGGAGUCCGGCUCGGGUCGAGGCGCUAGUUGGGGAUUACCUAUGCGAGAAGGGUCGGAACCCGUACGAUGAUGAAGAGAAUUGCAAGUUUGGUCGGGAGUUCUUCCACGUGAAAGAGGAGUGGUUGGACCGAUUUAAGGCAUUGAUGCUGGAAAAGUGCGGCCAGAAGUUCACCACGUUCGAAGCUUUAGGUGCAUUCAUUUGGCGCGCAAAGUAAGUCAUUUAAGUACACCAACCAUUUCGAGAUUAUCUUAGGAUUAUCCUUCUGAUUACACUGUUAAUUUAGAGAUUUGCACAUAUGUAAAUAUCCGGCCGCAACGUCUUGACUUCAAUUGAUUCACAAAUUCCUGAAAUAGGGUCAAAGUAUCGGACAUUCCAGGCGAUGAGACGGUGAAAUUCUCAUACUCAUCGAACAUCCGCAAGGUGCUGAAACCGCCAUUGCCGGUCGGCUACCGGGGCAACGGAUGUGUCCCGAUAUACGUCCAACUAAAGGCGAAAGACUUGCUGGAAAAGCCAAUUUGGGAAGUCGCGGAGCUGAUCAGGAAGAGCAAGCGCAACGCAAGCGAUGAGUACGUGCGAUCGUACAUCGACUUUCAAGAAGCACAUCGAAGAGAAGGCGUCUCGGCAGGUCAGAAGGAGAAGGCUUUUGUUUUUUUGUUUUUUAAUUUUUUGAAAGAUUUACGUUGCAUAGCAGGCAUUGACAUUGUCCACGAAAUAGUAUAUAUUUAUCUAUUAUUGCCUUAUGAUUAUGGGGAGACAAGACAAUCAAUUUUCAAUGAAUUGAGUGCAUGUUAAGGAAAUAUACUCUUUUAUUUCAAUUUCUCAGGAAAAAAAUUUAUCGGCUUGUAAUAUCACAUGCUUAGGACAUUUUGUAUAAGGAUGCAAAAGAUACUUUAUGGUCAAAAAGAGCCAAGUGUCUGUAUAUUAUGAUUUACAUGUCUAUUAUCACACUUACAAUUUUUAAUAUCUUGAGGUCUUCACUAGGAGUACAAUAUUGUAAUUUCUCAAAUUUAGACCACAUGCAAUGAGUUGGGAGUCUACAACAUCUAGUAGAAUUAAUCAGAUGUUCGAAGAAUCUCGGAUAUCCAAUUUGAAAUACAAGAUUGAUAGUUGACUAGCGUAUUGCGGCCAUUUAUCGAAUUUAAUCUAACACAAAUUCUCCUUUGGCAUAUUUCAACGCAUUUUCACAGUAGAACUAGCUACAACAUCAUCUGUAAAAUGAGCUCACUCGAUGAUUUUUGUUUUCAGGAAAAAAUGUGAGCGGAUUCACGGAUUGGAGGCAUUUGGGCCACUCGGCGGUGGAUUUUGGGUGGGGAGGCCCGGCCAACGUGCUGCCCCUCUCGAGGAAGCUCUUGGGGAGCAACGAGGCUUGCUUCUUCUUGCCUUGUUCCGAGGUCGGAGUCGGAGAUCCGAGCGAUGGCUUUAGGGUUUUGGUGAAUCUGAAGGACAGGUGGUUGUGUGGUUUUAGGGAGGAGAUGGAGAAGCUUGGGAAGAUGGAGUUUGGCUUUACUUAAUGUCAAGGCAAGAUGCUUGAGUGGCUUUUCAUUGUAAGCUGUGGAAGUUGGUUUUGUAAUUUGGAGCAAGUUCCUAUGGGGGACUUUUCAUUUCCCCCCUCCAAGUUUGAUCUAAUUCUCUUUCUUCUUUUUUUUCGAGAAUUCAUUGUGAUCACUACGCUACUUAUGUGAUAUGAUGGGCGAUCAUAUUUUGAACAUAAGUGAGAAUAUUACAUGUUAAAAUCAACAUUCGUACGUGAAAUUCAAAAUAAAAAUCGAUGGAAGAAUUCUAUAGUCAUGAAUGAAGAGGUUUGCCACUAACGUUUUUCUUAAUCAUAUCACGACCAUAGCAAGUGAAAGCCUAGAAUUCCGAAUGAGUGUAUUUAUCAACGCAUUUCCGGAUCUAUCACUUAUCAAAAACUUGAUUUGGCAAUUUAGCUAGCUAAAUUAAUGAAGUGGGAGUAAAACCUAGCUAAGUAUGUAGGCCGAUUAAGAUGAGAAAAACUAGCGAAGUUGCUAGUCCCAUGAUAAACUCUAACGAUUGGCCUUACCACAUCAUCAGGAGCCUUUGACAUGUCAGUCAUUAUCUCAAUCAACCACCUUACCCCAUUCUUCUUUUGAUGAAAUGCAACUGUUUCUUUGACUAUAUUACACAGACUAAAUUAAUUGUCCCAAAUUAAUCACACAAUUCAAGAAUUUAACAGACCCAUAAUGAAUCUCACAAAAAAAAAACUUAUAUUAUGAUUAGCUUUAUCUAACACGCUAUAACCCCCAAAUAAACUUUGUACAAAAUUUGAUAGUAAGAAAGAGUGUCUAAACAAAAUUUGAUUGAUGAAGGAUAAUUUCCUAGGUCUAGACAGAUAACGCCUUGACCUAAAUUAGCUAAAUAAGGAAAUCAAGAUAAGAAAAGGAAAUCACAGGGAAUACACGCCAAUGCAAAUAACAAAAGUUAAUCCCUCCCACAACGCUCGCAAAAUGUGUUUAAAAAUAUUAUAUAAAAUCAGUCGAUUUGCUACACCAAUUGCUCAAGUUGUUAGGAAUACGAGUCAAUAACAGAUGUCAAGCAUAUUCCUGUUAAUUUCCAUAUGUAACGUAUUUGAUAUGCAUUAGUUGGCUCUCCAUUCUAACAUCUUUAGCUUUUCUAACAUUUCAUCAUCACAUAAGUAUCUAAGCAAAUCUUAAAAAGCUUUAUCUUGUUUCUCAUCUAGAUUUUAGGAUCGUCAAGAUGUAAAAUAACUAGAGUUUAUUCCUUCCUAUUGGGGAAAUGAAAAAUAUAAGGAGAAUCGGGCGAAGAAAACGAAUGGAAGUUAACAUCAUACCGUUUUUUUUUUUAAACAGACAUAUAUGUAACGACCACAACGAGCUGGACCGGAAGGAUGAAAAAAGUCCAGUAGUGAGAAUCCUGAAGGCUUUGCUGAAAUCUAUCACCUUAUCCUCAAAGUGACUAACCAAUAGGAGUUUUCCUCUAAAAAUAAAAUAAAUCGACCGAAAGUCUAUGUGAAGCCUGUGAGAGGAGCUAGCUCUGCGACACGAAGAAGCCAUGGCGUCUCUCCUGGGAACUUCUUCCACAGCAAUCUUGGCCUCACGGCGCCUCUCCUCACUUUCAGGUGCACUUUCCUGCACAUGUUUCAAGCGUUUGGGGGAUAGUCCGAAUGACCCAUCUCAGUUCUGGUCCUCGACUUUCUCGAAUUCGACUCUUUCAAGCGCGGGGUUUAUGAGGUUUUUAAUGGGUCUGUGGAAUUUGCCUUUGUUGUUGAAUUUUCUUGUUUGCAGUGCAGAAUCAUGGCAAGAAAUGCUAUGGAGGGAUUGAAUUUCAGACCAGGAAAGGAAGGUGUCCGUGGCAUCUUGCCGUCACCAAUGUUGCGACUGACAUCAAUUCUGUCGAGCAGGUAUCGAUUCUUUCCUUUGCCUUUUCUUUUAUUAGCUCUAUGCAUUUCUGGGAAGUUGCAGCAAGAGACUGAUGUAGAUUGAUGCUGCUUCAAAUUUUUUUAAUUGCUGAGUUUUUUUAGUGAAAGUAGACUGAAAAUUGGGCUGCUUCCAUUGCAUUUAAUGAUAAAGUGAGGAUUUCUUAGGCUGAGGCAUUACGCUAAUUGAAGUCGAAUGGGAAAAAGAAAAUGCUUUGCAGUUGAUGGUUGUUUGUGGGUGGUCUUGUUGAGUGAAGUGAGAAUUGUUUGGGGGAGAAUUAGCAUGGAUUGCUUGUGUAGGAUUUUGUGAGCUGGAUUGGAUGGAUUUUUUUCAUUUUUCAGGCUCAGAGGCUUGCGUCUAAGGAGAGUCAGAGGCCGGUCUAUCCUUUUGCCGCUAUAGUUGGGCAAGAUGAGAUGAAGCUAUGCCUCUUACUAAAUGUCAUUGAUCCGAAGAUUGGUGGUGUCAUGAUUAUGGGAGAUAGGGGCACCGGGAAAUCCACUACCGUCCGGUCAUUGGUCGAUUUACUCCCUGAGAUUUCGGUGAAACCGCAAGGUUCUAUGGACUUCCAGCAACCGGGUUACGGCAAUUCUGAACGCAAAUUUAUCCACAAGCUUAUGCCACCCAGUUUCUGAAGCCAAAUGCGCUGGAAUACUCACGGAGGCAUAUCGGAGAGAUAAACGGAGCAAUUAAGAAGAAAUCCUUCGCUGUGCCUAACCUACAAAAUCAUGGACGAUGCAUACUGCCAAUCUACAUAGAGCACAAAGAGGUCUUCUGAAAUCAAACGGACCUACUGCGACAGGAGGGUGGGAGACGCAAAAUGCACGCGAAACAGCGAGAGACAAGGCACAACAAAGGCGAGAGUCUGAAGGAACUCCUCAUCGGAAAAGUUCACAUCUCAUCAGGUUUCUCCAUCGGAAAAACUAAGUGCGCUUGUGCAAAGCCCCUCCGCUUGACAGUACCUUCCUUGCGAUCGCGACAGGAAGUGAGCUCGAGCGUGGGAGAGGGAGGUGUUGGAAGAUAUGCUCGAAUCUGAUCUUGGGAGAUAUGCUCAUAAUCUCAGUUGAUCUUAAUUGUACAUAAAUUAGUUAGGAUCUUUAGAUUGAGAUUGGAUUCGAUUUCAUAAAUAUUUGUUUGCCUUUUAUUAUUUCAUCUCUGUACUAUAAUUACAGAAGAAAUGUACAUCAGGAUACAUACGAAAUAUACAAGAAUUACAGAUCUCUAGUCUUCUUCACUUUCUUACAUGGUAUCAGAGCUUUGGCUUCUGAUUGUUCUUCGCUUCCGCUCCUGAUUGCCCACCAAAGGAGAUCUGAAUCACACAACAGAUCUACCAUCUUGGUAUAGGAAUCACUCUCAAAGAAGACAAGAGCUACUGGUUUCUUACCUCCAAUGGCUAACAACCAAUCCAACCCAGAAGCCUCACCACCGGCGUAGAUCCAAAAUUUACCUGCAACAACACAACAACAAACAAUCCAGGCACACCCUGUUCAAUGGAGACCUACACAGGCUCAGUUUGGUCUAGGGCAACCCUUUGCGGGUCAACCGUUCCAGUGGGUACCUUACCCAUUUUAUCUCGGGACAAACCCGAAUACAUCAUCGCCCGUUUAUGUAGGACACCAGGGAGCCCACGUCCAAUCCGAGGCAAGCUCACCAGCCAUAAACGGGGCAAGCUCGACCCUAGGACUAGAGCCGGUAAGCGGAUUUGGAGAACCAGGUAUGGGAACGAAUCCCUACCUGGGGUUUUCAAAUGCGGAUUACCAAUUGGGCCAAGGGACAAAGACCUACCCGAACCUUGUGCUCGGAUUCAUGCCAUUCCCCGUCGCUGCGGUCACCGGGCGUCCGGAGCCUGGUGAUCCCCUACAUGUCUCAACAACCGAUGGCCCUGAGCUGAAACUGAUCAACCUUCAGUUAACCGGACCAGAGAAUUACACCAGGUGGUCCCGAGACUUCCGGCAUGCCCUUGUGACGAAGGACAAGGAUGGAUUCCUCGACGGGGCGGUUCCGAUUCCUGCCGAUGAGCGACUAGCCCAAUUCUGGAGGAAAUGCAAUCAACUCGUGAGGACGUGGAUUAGCAACUGCAUCUCCCCAGAGGUCGCGGCUGGUCUCCCACCAACAGAAGACUCGAAAGCCAUAUGGGAAAACAUCAAACAAAUGUAUGGCAAAUUAGAUCGGGCACGAAUUCUUUCCCUUUUGCAGGAACUCAGUGAGUUAAAACAGGGGAACAUGACCAUCACGGCCUGUUACAACAAACUGUCAUCCCUGUGGAACGAUCUCAAAGCAGUAGAAGAGAAGCUCGAGGGACCAGAGGAGACACUCGCACAAUACCAGUCGAUCAAAGAAAGGGAAAAGGCGACCCGAUUCCUUUUAAUCUUGAACGAUUCUUACCUGACGUUUCGCUCGCAGAUUUUGGCCAUGGAACCGAUGCCCCCUCUUGGCCGGAUCUUUCAAUUAGCAGUCCAAGAAGAAAGCCAGAGGCUUGCUUCAUCAGAAUCGGCGAAAGGAGGAGAGAGUUUUGCCCUGGCCAGUCAUGGUGAGCGAAGAAAUUGGGGAUCGAAAACCCUAGUGCUCGAAAUAGGGGUGCUAGGAGGAGAGCUAGGGUUUCAGUCGCCCGGAUCUGAGGAUUCCCACCUCCUUAAAAGAGGAGGACUGGACGGCUCGAAUUCAGCUUGCAGAUCGGAUGGUCUAAAGGGACCCAUCUAUUCGACCGGAUCUAAUGGUGGAGAUGGAGCGACUAGGAAGACAUCCGACGGUGGUGGUUUUUUUUCUGCAUCUAACGGCAGAGGAAUUUUUUCGGCAUCUACAAAAAGUUUUAAUCAAAAAAUGGGUAAAUUAUAUUGUGAAUUUUGUAGAAGGCCACAUCAUACAGUGGAAAAUUGCUGGAAAUUACACGGUAAACCCGGAGAAAAAGGAAAAAAAGAAGGAAAUUUCUACGGCCUACCGGGUUGGUGGUUCUAAUGUUGAUCAGUCCAUAACAAAUGAUCAAUACCAACAACUGAUGCAGGCAAUACAGAAAUUGGACAUCUCAAGCAAGGGAGGAAAUUUUUCAGGUGUUUCUCGCUGCCUGAUUAAUAAUAUUUCCAAGAAAUCCUAGAUAAUUGAUUAUGGGGCAAGUGAUCACAUUGUCUGUGAAAGAGCAUUAUUUUCAGAUAUACAUGAGAACUUGGAAUUUCCUAUUACUAUCCAAUUACCAAAUGGCAAUGUUACUCAUGUCAAAAUCACUAGAUCAGUCAAACUCAGCCCAGAAAUCAUACUCCAAAAUGUCCUUUACCUUCCAAAAUUUCGAUUCAAUCUUAUUUCUGUGUCCAAAGUCUGUAGAGAAAAUUCUUGUCAUGUAUUGUUUGAUUCUAACACUUGCUUCUUUCAGGCCCUUUCGACUGGCAUAGUGAUGGGCUUGGGUAGUCUUUCUGAAGGAUUGUUUCUAUGGAAAAAUUCUCCAAGUAAUUUUGAUUUAUCCUCAUUUCCUUCAAAUAAAAUAUUAUUGUGUAACACGACUACCAAUGAUAAAUACUAUCUUUUACAUUCACGAUUGGGUCAUAGUGUUUCAUUUCCUUAUUCUAAGUGUCAAAUAUGUCCCCUUGCAAAGCAAUCACUCAUUCCUUUUGCCCUUAGUAAAAAUCGUGCAACGCACAUUUUCUCUUUAAUUCACAUGGAUGUUUGGGGUCCUUACCAUACCCAACAUUAUGAUGGAUCGCGCUAUUUCUUGACAAUUGUGGACGAUUAUUCUCGUGCCACUUGAGUUUUUCUGAUGCAAUCAAAGGGACAAGUCUUCUCACAUUUGAAAACAUUUAUUGCUCUAUCCAAGAACCAAUUUGGAAGAUCUAUCCAACGAGUUAGGACAGACAAUGGGAAGGAGUUCUUCAACAAUGACUGCAAUUUUCUUCUGCCAUCUCAUGGGAUUCUCCAUGAAAGUUCUUGCAUCUAUACUCCACAACAGAAUGGAGUAGUGGAGCGUAAGCAUCGUCACCUAUUGGAAGUUGCACGUGCAUUAAAAUUUCAGGCGUCUAUUCCAGAAAAUUAUUGGGGCGAAUGUAUAAUUACUACAUCAUAUAUGCCAACUCAGAUACUCAAUGGAAAAACCCCAUUUGAGUUACUCUUCAAGAAGAAACCGGAAUUGGGGCAUUUAAGGAUAUUCGGAUGUCAGUGCUUCACUACUGUUUUGGGCCCUCGAGACAAAAUGGGCCCUCGAACUCGAUGGUGCAUCUUCAUGGGUUAUCCGAAUUUACAAAAGGGGUAUCGAGUCCUAGAUCAAUCAACAUUGGAAUUCUUCAUCAGCAGAGAUGUUAUUUUUCGCGAAGAUAUUUUUCCUUUCAAAGAAAAGGACUCUUCAACGGAGAUGCCAAACAAUUCUGGUAAGCCACUAUCUAUGGAGGAUUUUUCAAAUACCGAAUAUUUUGUGACAGGAACUCCAGAACCACUUAUGAUAACCCCAGUCACUCUUGAGAUUUCCGCACCAACAAUUGUCGAAAAUGGUGCUCAAGAAAAUUCCUCAAUGGCGGAAGAAUCCUCUAAUGAAAUUGGCAAUACAGAAUUAUCUUCAACUCUAGCUCAAGCGAAUCCUCCUCGACGAUCUGGUCGUUCUACAUGACCGCCAGCUUGGAUAGAAGACUAUGUUUGUGCAUCACCCAACUCACCAGUUAUUAACUACCCAAUAUCAUCUUAUGUUUCGUUCCAUAGACUUUCACCAGAACAUAGAUGUUGUGUGAGUCAAAUAUCAAAGGACAUCGAACCAUCUACUUAUGAAGAAGCAGCUAAAGACCCAAGAUGGCAGGAACCUAUGGGAGCUGAAUUGCAGGCACUAACUGCAAACAAGACCUGGGAUUUAGUCCAUCUACCACCAAAUAGGAAACCCAUUGGAUGCAUAUGGGUAUACAGGAUUAAAUACCGUGCUGAUGGGUUUAUUGAGCGUUACAAAGCUCGAUUGGUGGCCAAAGGAUUUAUUCAACGGGAAGGCUUUUUGACUACCAUGAAACCUUUUCCCCCGUUGCCAAAGACGUAACAGUAAGAUCCUUCUUAUCUAUUGCAGCUAUCAAUGAUUAGCCUUUACACCAAAUGGAUGUACAUAACGCUUUUCUGCAUGGAGACUUAGAUGAGGAAAUCUACAUGGAUAUUCCUCAAAGAUUACGGAGACAGGGGGAGAAUAGAGUAUGUCGUCUCCGUAAAUCUCUCUAUGGUCUCAAGCAAGCUUCCAGGCAAUGGUAUGCAAAAUUUGCCGAUGCUCUCACUUCUGCAGGUUUCAAACAGUCUGGAUAUGAUUACGCCUUGUUCACAUGGACUCAAGGUACGUCAUCUAUUUAUCUGAAGGUAUAUGUUGACAAUAUCCUCAUCAUGGGAAAUAAUAAAACUGCAAUAGAGAGAUUCAAGAAGUAUCUGCAUUUUACUUUUCAAAUUAAAGACUUGGGAGCACCCAAAUACUUUCUUGGAAUCGAGAUUGCUCGAUCUGAUCGUGAGAUUUCUCUUAGUCAACGGAAGUUUAUGCUGGAAAUUAUAUCAGAGGCAGGACUAUCGGGAUGCAAACCAUCGGUUAUUCCAAUUGAGCAGAAUAUAAAGUUGACCACCAAGGAUUAUGAUGCUGGGACAUCUGAGAAUCAUGAUCAUGUUCUCAAUGAUCCUUCAGGUUAUAAGCUUGUUGGGAAGCUCAUAUAUUUAACUAUGACCAAAUCUGAUAUAUCAUACACAGUGCAGACUCUCAGCCAAUUCAUUCACAGUCCCAAGUUAUGUCACUUGAAUGCUGCAUUAAAGGUCGUGAAGUACUUGAAGAAGUGCCCGGGACUAGGGAUUCUUUUAUCCAUGGAAUGCAAUAUGAAAAUGUCGGCAUACUAUGAUGCAGAUUAUGCGACUUGUCCUAUGAGUCGACGAUCCAUUACAGGUUUUUGCAUUAAACUUGGAGAUUCUCUUCUUUCAUGAAAAACCAAGAAGCAGGCAACUGUAUCAUUGUCUUCAGCCGAAGCAGAAUAUCGGGCUAUGGCAAAAACUACCUGUGAGAUCAUAGGGAUAUGGGGACUACUUGGGGAUCUUGGGAUAAAUUUGAAGAGUCCGACUAGGUUGUUCUAUGACAACAAUGUGGCGCUCAAACUUGCAGCAAAUCCCAUAGUACAUGAAAGAACGAAGCAUAUAGAAGUGGAUUGUCACUUCACUCGAGAAAAGAUUCAAGAAGGGAUAAUUGAGACUCGAGGAAUUGGAAUGGCGGAGCAACUAGCCGAUAUCUUCACUAAGCCCCUAUGUCAAAGACAGCAUGCAUAUCUAUUGAGCAAGCUAGGCAUCUUGGAUAUCUAUCAGCCACCAGCUUGAGGGGGAGUGUUGGAAGAUAUGCUUGAAUAUGAUCUUGGGAGAUAUGCUCGGAAUCUCAAUUGAUCUUAAUUGUACAUAAAUUAGUUAGGAUCUUUAGAUUGAGAUUGGAUUUGAUUUCAUAAAUAUUUGUUUGCCUUUUAUUAUUUAAUCUCUGUACUAUAAUUACAGAAGAAAUGUACAUCAGAAUACAUACAAAAUAUACAAGAAUUCCAGAUCUCUAUAGUCUUCUUCACUUUCUUACAGGAGGGACAGAGAUCGGCUGGAUUAGAAUGGAGAUGAGAGAGAAGCACUCUGGUUUUUUUUGCAGGUUUUUGAAUGGCGACUCUUUAUAGAGAGAGAGAGAGAGAGAGAGAGAGUAGCUCUGAAAGAGGCAGGACCAGAAAGUGGCGGAAAACCGACGGAGGUUCGUCUGAGCGACUCGUCAUGCGCUCGCCGGGAGUUCUCCCGAGGGGACAAUAAAAUCCCGAUUCUGCCCCUCUAGGGGAACCAAUUCACGUAUUGCUCCGGUAUUGCCUUUAUUUUGUCUACUUUGGACCCAAAUCAUCGGAUCUAAAUAGAUUUUAAUCGUCGAUCGCAUGGAUUCAGACACUUGGGAACCAUGAUACCAACGGCAUUGAUGGAUUUAGCGCAUGUAGAGUUGAGUUUAGACAAGCAUUUACCCUCACAUUAAUAAAAUGUGUACAGGACUCAAGGAGCUAUUCGUCGGUUUGCUACCAAAGCCCAUCUCAUGUGCUUUACACCAAGAAGAGGGCACUUUUGCUCAAGAAAAAUUUCAAGCUGGCAUUAGUAAGAACUAAAGAAAUUGACAGGAGAAUUAAUAUCUUAUUGUCAUAUAAAGGAGUACUUUAAAGUUGUGUCGUAUUGAACUUUGUCCCACCUAUUACACUAUUGAAAUGUUAUGUUUAAUAUACCAAUAAAGUAUCAAUCGCUAGUUGAGCAAGUUUAUCACCACAACCCCAUUAAAUAUGAGUAGGGAAUUCUAAGAUUAAUGAUAGACCAAAGCCCAAGUUCGUCUUUCACAGAUUAACCAAAAAAAGAAAAGCAAACUAUUUAUGUUACUUUAGGGGUCUACCGUACACUUUGCUUCACAGAAUUGAAUGGAUUGUCUGAGCCCCUUGACCAUUUUGUUGGAUGUUCUAAGUUUUGCUUUACUAUUUACACUCCCUAUGUAUAUAAGUUUACAAAAAAAAAAAAAAAAAAAUUCUCCGUUACUCUAUCGGAUUAAUAAAGAUAGGAAAACAUUUAUGAUUAUUCUAGCAAAAAAAUGACCUUUGAUAGAAAUAACCUUUUUAUUUUAAGUGAAAUGCGUACUAUAUAUUAGUAAUUAGCAUUUGGCGUGUUUAAAAAAGAUGAAACUUCAAAAAUUAAAUUUGAGAUACACCGCUAACUAAUUUUGUUUCAAAAAGGCUUUUAAGUAAUUUUUCCUCAAUCCAAAAUAGUAAAACUUUUCGUUAUCUAACUUUACUAAUUUAUUAGGCAAUCAUCUUUCCUACGUGUAAUGAAAGUACACAUUAAUUAAAGUUUUAAAUCAAGUAUGUUGAACAUUUCGCCCCUCGAAUUAGAUUCUGGCCAUUUAGUUCUCGGAAAAAUGAACUCUGUCGUUUAGACAAUCACGCCUUUGCAAAGCUGGUGUUUCCAAUGCGUAAAGAGAGUUACAAGCAACUGAGUUGAUGGCGAUGGAAAGAGGUUACAAACCGAGUUUUGACAAGAGCUUGGCCGACGCGUGUGGUAUUACACGGUGAGCCUGAGUCCCUCUUCGACAGUCCGGCCAUUUUUUGUUCGUUUUGAGAUGGCCGACGUACCUCAACUUCGGCAUCCUGGUCACGAUGGCCCUCAACUUCGGCAUCCCGGUCAUCCUUAUAUUCUCGGCCUUAUAGAGCUGAGUGGAACAUUUCGACCGUGUCCUACGCUGUCAGGCACGCCGACCUCCGAUCCACAGUUCCACGUUCGUGUAUUGCUGCGGAGGAUGCGAAGUUUUGCACCACAAGUUAUACGCUAAGGAUCUACUAUGGCCCCAGAUACAACACCCUUGGCAGGUUGGCCUUCCGCUGCGAUUCGUGCAAUGUCCAGUUAUAUUUCUGCCUCGCGAUUAAGCCGGACAAGGGACAUUCCAACUCAAGGCAAGAAGUUUCGAGUCAUGAAUGCACAUUGACCUAACGCUAUGGCGAGUUUAGCUGCAGCCUGUGCAGGGAUAUGAUAUCGGAAGCAGAUUGUUAUGUCUCUUUUGGACCGUGCUGUCUUUUAGCAGAAGAGACCAAGCUGCUCGGAUUCUCCUCAGUUGAUCGUCAUUGCCGCCAUAUCUGCGAGCUGCUCGGACUCUGUCAAGUGCUUCCAUUACUAUUGCCGGACAUGGCACCUACUAUCUAGAGCAAGAUUUUCUACUCAAAACUCUCGCAUAUCAUCAGCUAGGAGUGAAUGUGACAAUAAUGAGGAUGAUGCAUGUGGUACACCCAACAAAGAAUUGAGUUGAUACAUUGUGAUAAGAUUCAAAGGUUGCCGACACUCCCAACAAGUUUAACCUAUCUAUUAGUGUCAUCUUCAUCGUUGUGGGUAGUCCUAGAUCUCUCGAACUUGACUAAUUUGGUUGAGCUGAAACUACAGCAACACGGACAAGUAGGAGAUAAACUUUGUAUCGGUCAAUUAUGGUGGAUUGAGAGGUUAUCCAAACUGACUGUUUUAAGGGUCAAACUUCACAAAGUCCCUAUUCCUAUUGAGUUGGGUUCCCUUCCUCUGCUAACGUUACUUGACUUGUCUAAAUUGGACAUGCAAACCUUUCAGCCACUUCCCUUGUCUCUGCAGAGGCUAAGCCUUGAGAAUUUCAAUUCAAUUGGGUCACUCUCUCGGGACUUGAGAAAUUUGUCAUUUUUAAAGCUCCAUGGGUCUCCAAUGCAAGAAGUUCAACUCGAUGGGCUUCAACUUCCACAACUAAAGGUGUUGCAUGUGGAGUACUGGACACCCUUAAGAGGUUGAGGCUAUCAAGAAUGAGGAAGCUGAAAGAUAUUAAGGCGGUAAAUUGUCAAGCUGGUUGAGAUCCAAUUGUCUUGGGUGUUCGAAUCACUGGAGGCACUGUCUAUUGAACGUUGCAAGUCCUUGGAAAGGCUAGUUUAUGAGACUCUCGAUGAGUUGAUUACUUGUGAAGGGAGACUAAUUUUUCCAUCAAGAGUCUUAAGUAAGUUGCAUGCUCUCACACUGUAUCAUUGCCCUAAGAUACUCCACAUUCAAGAUGUGGAUACGUCGGAAUUGUGGGAGUACUUUCGCCUUUGGAGUUGGCCUCAUCUGCAAAAUCUCGUUGGUUUGUCAAACUUUUAAGAACCUGAAGACUUUAAAUAUCCAGAACUGCGAAAGCCUACGACUUGUUGUGGGCGUCAACGAGUUUUUGGGCCAAUUAAUUCUUUGUAGCUGCGCGUCGUUGGAAAGGGUGAUUUAUGUAUCAACCACCAAACUGCCAAUCGAUCGCCACUUAUUUAUCUUCGGUUGCGAGAAAUUACGAGGGACUGAGAAUGAGUCAAGGGCUUCCAGAAGGAAUAUGGGGCUUCAAAGCAUUAUAAAGUGAGUCCGAAUCAUUCUCUCUUUUUUUUCUUUUCGAUUUUCUUAAUGGAACUAUCACAAACAUCACUUUAGCUUUUAGGUAGAUUUGUAAUAAUUGCGGGAAAUCAAAAAACAAUCCAACGAGCAUGAAUUAUAUUUGCUUUUACUCAUUUUAAAACUCACUCCAUAUAAAUUGUUUUAUUUUCCGCUUGCGUUUUCUCAUAUUCUUUUCUUUUUAUGUAUACGAGAAAGUCCUAUUUGUACGGGGCUAGUUUUUAUCGUAAAUGAUUCUAGAAACUUCAAUGUCUGGAAAAAAAAUGCACACUAGCUCAGAGUCUCUGACAAAACUAUUAAUCUUGUUUUGCAUGGAGUGAGUUGUUCGGCUUAGCAAUAUUUUUAUGUAAGAUACUCUACUCUAUUGUCAUUUCUUACUUAAUAUAUUUAUUAUGGAGAUGAGUUUGGUGAUUUUCGAUUUUUACGGUGAAGAUGGAACUUUAAAAGACUUUGGUUCACAUUGAUGGAUUGAGAGUUGCUUGAAUUAGCAUGUGGUUGGGGUUGGCCAAUUAGGAUGUGUGUUCCCAAAAGCAUCUAAAAAUAUAUUAUUUAAGAUUUUGCAUUCUAAAGGGAACAAUGAAAAAUCUGAUUGCUGGAUAAUGUAUUUUCACAUCAAAGCACAAGGAUUGUUUCUUUCUGCGUACUUGAACACUUGCUAAGGGAGUAUAGGCAUAGUGUAAAAUAAGCAAAAAGUAAGAAGAUUCCUAAUUCUCGUCUUCUUAAUCUUUUCGGAAUGAUUGAAUCAAGUUUUUAGAUGAUUUUGAUCUGCUUCCUAAAAAAAAGUUUAAUGUUGGUUUAUAGCUAAACCCAUCAUUUGAUACAAAAGAUUUAAGUAACGUCUUUUUAAUAUUUUUAUUAGUGUUUUAUUUUUCAUAUUCAACGGCAUAUCUUUUUUAUUGGUUGUUUCCUUUUUUUCUAUUUUGCUCCAUCGACUAAAAAAGCAGAAAGCACAUAUUUUUUUCAAUCUCAACGAUUGCAAUUAAAACUUAUAUAAACAGAUAGAAACUGUUUUAAAUUCCUCAAAAGAUACUGAUGAAAGUCAUAAAUAGAUUAAACACGGUGGUUGAUUUGAUCGCAUGAUUUUGAUCAUUGUCGAAACUUUCAUGGAAGACUGGUUAUGAUUUUAUUUUGCAGGAAUCGUGCUUUGAUUGGAUCUGGACAUGUUUUGAAGGCUUGUGAUCACGUGAUAAUUGUUAGCACGCAGGGACGGACAAAGUCAACAUUUUAGGUGAUAAACUCUCUCGAGUCUUGACACUCCUUGCACCUGCUUACGCCGCAAAUUCUCGAACUCCUCUUCACGGUUGUGGCCAAAGAUAUUUGGUCGACUCCUUGCGGCUGCUGAGUCCCAUUGUCGUCACGACCGAGCGGAACUGAAGAAGCCAGGUCUCUUUGACGCCUCUUGAUGGACCACGGCCAUUGCGCCUCACCAUCUGCCGCCAUGUAUACUCGGAGCCUCUCCAAGGCGUUCUCUCUAGUUUUCGCCAUCGCCAUUUCCAUUUCUCUAGCUUGCUUCGGUUCUCUUUGCUCUUCUUCCUGCGGGUCUCCUCCUGUCUGUGGAGCAAUGCAGGAGGACACGUCUUUACUCUGUGUGACGGCCCGAGGCAGAGGAUUAUAUGUACUCGACUGGCUUUUUCCGGUCCUGCGCCCUAUUACUAAUGUUAGACUCGAAUCCACUACCCGUUAUGUUCGUCCUUCUUCAUGUAAAUUAACUAAAUUAAAAACAAAAACAAAAACAAAAACAAAACAAAACAAAACAAAACACAGAAGAAAACAACAGAAGAAGGCAUAACGGUCGGCCCCCGCUGCUGCCCCACCAUCAUCGAAAAGGGCCAAUGAUGGUGGGGGAUGGCAAGCCCUGAAGCCAGUGGCUGGCGAGGAUCCCCGAACCUCCACAGUGGCCAAUGACCAUCGCCAGCCGGCCAUCCCCCACCACCACCGGCCCCCUCCGGCGGGAGCAAGGGCCCUCGCGAUUUUGCCUUCUUCCUUUUUUUUAUCAUUUAAAUUUAGCUUAUUUUUUAGUUUGAUUUAAAUAAAAUUUGUAAUAAAAAUCAGAUAUAGAUAUAUUCCAUAUUUUUGCCAUAUCAUUGCCACAAGAAGAAAUAAAAUAUUAAAAAAACCCAAGUCAGUGUUUUCGAUUACCUAAGUUAGACAAAAUUAGUGGAAAAACUUGAUUGCAUAAAUUUGACAAGUUUUAAACUUUAAUGGCAUUUUCUGUAAGUUUUAAGAUUUAAUUACACUUUCAUUAUAAGUUUUAGGAUUUCUAGAUUACUUAUCCCUAAUUUGUAUUUUACCACAUUAUGAACUUAAGCUAUCACAACCAACUACUGCAAACUCCGUCUAAGUUUUGAUAUUGGAUCACAUGAUCUUGAAUUCGAUCAUUCACUCUUUUCACCUUCAAUAAUUUUGGAAAGGUAUUAUGUCUGCAUAUUUCAUACUUUCACUCUUCUAUCUACCAGCGUUAGCAUAAAGAGGUAUUCAGAUAUAAAACUUAGUGGACUCUUUAUUAGCUCAAACCUUUGGAACUACUUAUCGCGCACGCCGACUAUAAGGAAAGCAAUGUCAUUCAUGCUCUUCUUUAGUACAUUUCCAGGAGCACGUCUAAUCGUACCCUAUAUCCUGGAGAACUUUUGACAGCAAUUUUGGACCUUUUGGUUUCUAUCGGUCUUUGCAUAGAGGUGGUCAAUAUGAUAAAUGAAGAUAAAGAAGAUAAGAUUUGCGACCGUAAGACUGAUAAUCGCAUAGGUCGGGCAUCAUGUGACAGUUCAAAUGUCGCACGAUCUAAAGUUUUAUGUUAGCACUGCCCUGGCUUUCCCGCUGCUAAGAAAACCCACUAAGUUGAGACGCCGAGGUGUCUUCUAUAAUGACCUCCAGUAGGAAACCGAGUACUCUCAAGUCAAAGGAAAUAACAAGCCGAGAUUGAACAAUUAUGAAUUGUUAAGUUUGAGAAGUGGGUCCCAUAUUUGAAACAUUGAAAACUUGACGGCAUCUCAUGAACAACGAGGGAAGAAAAAUAGUCUUGAUUCAGCGAGGCACCAAGAAAUGUCCUCGGGAUUUCAUCCCGAACCGACAGGACACAAAAAUAGACAGUCCCUGAAUAGAUGCAGGAAGCCAGUAUGCUUCCACAAUCCAGAAGUCUGAGAAAUAAGCAUGCGUACGCUUUCCUGAUUCAUCAUUGCACCCAUGUUCAGAAGAAUGUCUGAGCAAGUAGGCAUUUCCCAUGUUUGUAUAGGCACAUGCAUCCAUGAUCUCCUGUGAUUCUAUUUGGGCGUGACUUGUGCACACUCGUGUCUAAGAGAGAGGGAGAGAUAUCUCGUUUGAUGCAACUUCAAGUGUGAAUCUCCUUGGACAUGAGCUGUGAUGCAAAUUUAUGUACCCUACGGAUGUUUUAUCUGGUGAAGGAAUUGCAAAGAAAUGCCAGGGGUAAAAGAUAUAUAUAUAUAUAUCAUGGACAACCCGAAGGACAUCCUGUGAAAUCAUUGAUAACCAGAAGCAUAUCUGCUCUUCGUAGAUGGGAUGAUUAAGCAUUAACAGAUUGUUGUUGGUCACAAGUGCUCGAACAAGCAAUUCUUUAGCUUCUUCCUGCUUCUUUAGCAUGUUGCAGAUCUGCAAGACAAUUCCCCUAGGCAGCCAAUGUAUUACUAGCAGAAGGAUCACAAAGAUGGUAGAGUAGACAAGAUUCAAUGCCAGUCUCUGUUCCAAUCGCUUUCUGAAAACUCAAUUGCUAAUGUUAGACCUUUAAUUAUAAAAAAUAGCUAUAAGGUACGAUAGAUUCAUCCUCAAGGAUAAUUAGGUUGGACUGUAGAAGAAAUCAGAAUUUCUGUAUUAGGGAGAUUCUCUUCAUCAAUUGAUUUCUAGUUGUACAAGUUCAAUAAAUAAAGAUGCUUAAUGUCAAUGAAUCCAUAACAAAAUUAUCAGAAGUGAGCAAACAUCCAGUAGUGUCUCUCUAUUAGAAUCUCCAUGGUUUCUGACUAUAGUCUACAACAUGCAUAUAACUGAUCACCAAAGCCAAAAAGUGCAUAAGCAACUCAUUUAUAGCAAAAAUAGUCGCAAUUCACUUACAUCUUCAAGUUCCUUUGUAUAAGCUUCAGCCUUUUUGACAUUUUCAUCAGUUUCCAUGACCAAUGGACUUCCAACUUCAGUGGAACUCGCCUUAGGAGAAAUCUUAACAUGAAAUUUAGGAUGGUCACCAGACACUCUGUUGGUUUUGCUUUGUUCGGUGUCCUCAUGAUUGCAAACCUGAUACGUAUGAUCUAAGAAACCAGCAAGAAACGAGUUUCGACUCUCUGUUGAAAUAGAAAAACUUAAGAAGGUUCUGUCCAUUUACCGGUUCGGUGACAACAGCUUCGGAGGAUUCGCUGAAACUUCUGAAGUGUCAAGGGUAAGAACAUUACUUCCACAAACAAAACCCAGUCACAGGAGCGAAGGCAGUGGAAUUAUUAGCACUCUUCACCUUUUUCCACCUGGAGACUCAGAGGGCGAUUCCAGUGGACUAGAUGACAUCCCCUGCAAAAUAGACACUCACCAAUUCUAAUGCAUUACAAAAUAGCAUCCCCAUAAUUGUAUUUGCAACACCCUAUUGAAGAGGUCUAAGGUAUUACUUGGAAGUGAAGAGCAAACAAUAGAAAGGAACCUCAGAUGAUUUCCCUUAUGAAUUGAGAAGUGGCUGGUUUUAUUGGUUUACCUGUUCUGUGACAACAGUUUCUGAGGAUUCUCUGAAACUUCUAAAGUGUCAAGAGUAAGAACGUUACUUUCCACAAACAACCCAGUCACAGGAGCAAGUAUAAUGGCGCUAUUAACACUCUUCACCUUUUCUCACUUGGAGACUGAAAGAGCCGUUUCGAUGGACUAAAUGGCAUUAAAUUGGCAUCUGAUCCCUGCAAUAUACACUCAUGGCUUCUAAUGCAUUACAAAGUAGCAUCCCCAUAAGUAUAUUAGAGCAAACAACAGAAAGGAACCUCAUAUGAUUUCCGUUUCAAGGAUGAAUUGGGAAGUGACUGGUUUUCGGUGCUUUUGCUACAAUGAGCUAAUGAAUGUGCUGCAUCACCUCGCAUUGCUGUAAUUUGCUCAGAGUCUCUCAUGGAACUGAUUUCCUCUGUAGGACUAAAACCAAGUUGAUCUUCUUUGGUUCUCGUGGCCCUGCGCACAUUGACAUCAUGAUCUCUUGAGAGUAUCUAUGGUUUCAAAUACCAGGACAUCAAGUCAGGAUGCAGGUUAGACCUCUUCGUUCUCAAGCUAGAAAGAUAAAAAGCCCUCUUGGCAGAAUUAAGAGGGUUACUGUUCUUCACAUCAACAUUUCUGACCCUUGAAUCCUUAAAAGAUUCCUUGCUUGAAUCACUGAUUUCAGGAUUCACACAUAUCUUAACAAUAGGUGUCAACAACUCAUUUAUACUGCCCAUCUUGCAGAGGGAACUGCAAAAGUUUAGCGCAAGCAGAUUAAGCAUAUGCAAAUUAAUGCUGUGUCAAAGGUCUAGUCCACUAUAUGCAAUCUACUUGCUAGCGUUGGCAAUGUCUAAGACGGGACAUGACAUAACAUGAACAGAAUCAAACAUAAAAUUGAUAUGACAUGACAUUGGCGUAUCCUUUCUGUCAUGCGGGGUUAUUUCAGUCUUGAAAGUAUAUAUCAUUUAAAGGAAUAUCACUCUCCCAUGCCAUGUGACCCAAAGGUUCAAACUGAACAUGAACAUAUCAUGCUACGGCAGAUUUUGAACCCCACUUCCAGGCUUGUAGUCUUCUAGCAGAUAAUUUAGUCAUGUUUUACCAGAGACAAAGAUGCCAAUAUCUACUUCAAAGAAUAGUACGAAAAAUUUAAUGAGCUUUCCUGGCCAAUAAUAAAGGGAGACUUAGACUUGAGAGACAAUUGCAAGUAAAGGUUUAUAAUUUCGGCUGAAAGGGCUUUAAUUUCAUCAACAGCAAGCAAAUAAUCAAGAACAUAUCUACAUGUGUUGAUCAAACUAGAAAUAUACAGCAAUUAGGAAAGUGUCCAAUGUCUCAACGCAAACUAUGAUAUACAAUUAAAAUAAAUAAAAAAUCUCAUUUUACCCUAGUUGAAAGUCCGACGGAACAGAAGAGUAAUAACCAGGGCAUCUUUAUAUCGGGAACAAAUAAACUUUCCCUUUUUUUAUUUUGAGUUAGUGUGUGGGUGGGGGAGUGGCAGCAGGGAGGAGAUAACUUAAACAUUACUUGUUAGAUACUGUUAAAUGAAGUACAUGGGAAAAAUAAAAUGCUAGAAUUUGAACAAAAUUUCAAACAGCUCAACAAUUACAACUCGAUUGGGUACGGAUGCCUCACCUCAGAUGAGAAGUGGGUCUCACACUGAUAUGGCUUCCAGUCAGAGGAGGUUGACUUUUUGUUUGCUCCCUUGCUGGUGAAUUUAGACCAAAAAGCAACUUUCCCCCAACUUGAGAAUCCUUGGCAUUGUUUCCCAACCUGUUGCACAUUGCAUGAACCAUGUGAAGGUAUAAAGCAUAUCAAAGAAACUAAAAUCAAAAAGAAAAUCUUCACCUAGUGUCAUUUAGAUGUACAGAAGCAAGUCUUUUGCUGCUAAAUUGAGUAAGCUUUCUCCCAGUUGAUGGUUCUCGAGAAGACUGACUCUUAAUUUCCUCUGAUCUCUUGGAAAACUUUGAAUGGGCUUGUCCAGGCUCUCUACCAGUAAAGAAAGAGGACGAUAUUUAAGUGCAGGUUCUCCGCUUGGGACAUUUACAUGUUACUAAAAGUGAGCUAAGAAGUGCAAAAACAUUAUGCUGUUGACCCAACAAUCUUUAUACUGAACUCUGGAAGUCACCAUAAAAUGCAUCAACAUGAUAGCAAAAACUCAAUGAAUGAGUGCAUCAGACUGAAAUCACAACAACUUGCAUUCCCCUCCUUAAAAAUUAAGCUACGAUGCAUAAGCUUUCUAAAUUUUCACAAAAUCAACCAUCAAGAGUCCAUGUUUCUUAAAAGGAGCCAUUAAUGGCGCAUUGCUCUAAUUUGGCAUGGCAGAAACUUGCCAAUAUCAUCCUAAUAUAGAUUCCCCCUCAUUCCUCUAAUCACUUAAAGGUAAGGGAUAAAUGGGACAACCUGAAAACAGCCAUUUCACUGUCAUGCACUACUUUGCUUGGGAUAAUACAGGCUGUAUCAUUAAGACUUGUCUCAGGCUUGGCCUCUUCAUCGUGAGCCUUAGUAGCAUUCAAUGAAUCAAGAAUAGGUUUAUUGCUUCCAUUUGCCUUGCCUUCUGCUCCUGGCACAUGUGGCACACUUGAACCUUCUGACUGCAUGUUGCCAUGAGAAUAUGUAGCUUCCCCUAUAAUUUCUUUCCUGUUACUCUGCUCUUCACCCAAAGUGGAAUUUAAACUUUUGAAGAUAGACAAAUCUUUUCUUGGAUGCUCUGGGAUGGUACUUAAAUUUUUGUCAACCCCGGGCUGAAUAUGUACCUCUAUUGGGGCUGUUUUGUCUGACAAAUAAUCUUGUUGGUCAGAUCCUUGAGAACACGUGCUGUUUGUCUUUCGAAAGAAGAUUGUUGUGGAAUUGAAAUUCUACAUGCUGCGGACUUUGGCACCCAAUCAUCCAUUCUUGGGUUUGGCAUAGAAGUUGAAGUUACAGAAGUUCCUACUUGAAUCUCUGAUGUACCCACACAGCACGUUGAUUGAAUAUUAUCAAUCAUAGUGUUAUCCUCACAGGAAUUGCCUCAGGAAGGCGUGUUUCCGAGCCCUGUUGCUCAUUCAUCUCCGAUGAUCUCCCUUUGCUUCCUAUAACCUUCUUCCCACCUUGUUCUUCCUUAGUCAUGGGUGAAUCAAGAUUAAAGCCAUCCAACCUGGAUAGCACAAAUGGCUGCUAAGUUCAUAGAUUGCAAUCACAAGUCAUGACAUUUCCCUUCACUUGAAAAUAUAACCUUAUGUAUCAAACAAUAUGCCAUAAUGUAUAAAUUGUGAAGCUGUCUUACCCAUUAAAAUCAAAGGAGAAAGAAAAUCUUUUCUUAAAAUUUCCUUCAUCAGGUGAUUCUGCUUCAUUUCUGUCCUUGUUUGGAGAUUUCUUAGAUAGGCAGGAGAAAUCAAGAUCCGGCAUGUCCACUUUGAAUGAUGAAAACUUGUUAAAGUCAGCAUCCACGUUAAAAUCGACAUCCCUGAAAAAGGUUAUUUAACAAUCAAUCCACAGAAAACAGAGAUAUAUCCCACUCUCAUAACAAAUAAGAUUGUAACUAGCUUCCAUGCAUGUUCACCAUCAUCCAUCAUUUUAAUAAUUUUUGAAGUGGCUGAAUGAUAUGUAAAGCAUGGCUCACUCGAUCACCACGGGCAGUAUUCUCCACAAAGAGGUAAUUGUACACGGGUGAAUAUACGUAACCAACUCAAGUAUGAAGAUAGAAUAUUAAAGUUACAUUCCACAUCCAUACUGGUUUAUUAUCUAGCUGCCCAUACUUUAUGUUUCACUUACAGUUUAUCAAAGUUGAAUUUCUGUGUUUUGCCUUUGCCAACAGUAUCAACGCUAAAAUCCACUGUGUCAUCUUCUGCCACAGACAACGACUUCCAAGAGGUAAGGAACUCCUUUCCAAAUUCGGCAUCUGUUGAAAUCAGAUUUAACAUUGAGCUAUGACCUACAUAUCUGACCUUCAUAAGACAUGGCCAGAAAUGUGUACAAGCAAUCAUCCUAAUCAAUGACAAGGAUGAAAACCAAUUUUAACAUUAAGAAAGCUUUAAUUUGUUUUCAAGUAGAUGAAAAGUAUGCUGCACUAAUUAUUGACCACAAUAUCCAAAAGAGUCAUGUGUCAGGCCAUAUUACAAAAAUAACCUAAACAGAUUAUAUAGGUUUAGGAUUGAGAAAUAUGCAUCCUUGUGGUACCAUUCCACCUCUGAAGCAAAUUUACUGUAUUUUGAGAUUUGUCAAGCUUAUACAGAGUACCUAGUAAUGAUUUAUCCUCUUUCUGAUUCACCACUGCAGUUUCCUUAGGUGAAUCUGCCAUCUGCAAGGGAAAGAGUGAGGAAAGCAUAAGAAAAAAGAGAAUUCCAAUGGCCCUUAGAAUUUACAAAAGACAAGGGAGAUUUUAAUUGCAAACCCAUUAGGUUGGCUAUACUACACAGCAACCUCCUCUCUUCGUAAAAGCAACAUCUCUUUGUUAAACAAUUGCAUCCAUAACAUUUUUGCACUUAUCUUAUGCAGAAGCAUCUAUAAACUAACCUAGGAGGGACCUUAGCCAGUCCAUUAAAGUGAAAAACCCACACAUGACAUGUAGACAGUUCAUAAAGGAGCAGCAUCAUUGACUUAUACAAAGUGGUUAGGUGGAGAGUUGCAAGCUCUAAAUUUAAAACCGUGGGGCCAAAAACACCCAUAUAUACGUGCCACUAUCAUAUAUCUGUGAAGAUUCAUUUUUCAUCCUUCCACAAAUGCAAAGGUAAAGGAUCUCCAAUCCGACAGCAUUGAUAAGAUGGACACCUAAUCAGUACAAUAAAGUAACGAUCAUUUCAAGAAUUCUCUGCCUUGGUUCAAAGGGACAUAAGUCUCUCAUACAUUUGAUAUGAAAUGUCUGAAGGAGUUCAACUAGACUGCAAGUGGAAACCACUAUAGCUAUUGCAAAGGAUGAACAAAUGCAGUAUUAAUAAGUUCAUACGGGGGCAAAGCACAGGGCUAAUCCAGUAUAAUCUAUCCCAAGAAAAGAACGCAGAUGCUAUUUUAACAUGAGAAACCAUAGCAUUGAGUCUUAGCCAAUGAAUUAAUGGCUGUCUUAUGACUGCCUAAAAUAUAUAGGUCCUCCUAUCACAUUCAGAUCAUCUGUUUUCCAGUACAGAGAAGUUCAAUUAAAACGAAUGUAAUUGAAAAAAAAAAAUACAUCAGAACAGCUACUUAUCAUGGCAUCAUUUCUACGAAAGCAGAUGCCAAGUAAUAGCAUUGUCUUUGUAUGUAAAUGCUGUAAGUCAUAGUGAUUUCCUCUAGAUAAGCGUCUACAUUGCGCUCAAACUGCAAGGAGCUAUAUACUUCCAGCAAAAGGCUUACAGCAAUUCUGAACGCUAACUUAUCCAGAGGCUUGUUCCACCCAGUUUCUGAAGCCAAAUGCGCCAGAAUAGUCACGGAGGUAUAUCAGAGAGAGAUAAACGCAGCAAUCAAGAAGAAAUACUUUGCUGCGCCUAACCUACAAAAUCAUAGAUGGUGCUCCAACGAACUCGAUAAAGCCAAUCUACAUUGAUCACAAAGAGGUCUUCCGAAAUCAAACGGACCUACUGUGACGGGAGGGUGGGAGACGCAAAACGAACGAACGCGAAACGGCGAGAGACAACUGAACGCGGAAUCAAAGAGGUGAGAGAGUCCGAAGGAACUCCUCAUCAAAUCCACCAUCGGAAAACUAAGCGCGCUCGCGAAGUACCUCCGCUCAACACUACGAAACAAUCAGCGAAAGCCCAUGGUUCAGAGGCACGGAGCAACGAGACACUGAAGAAGCCACGGCCAGAAGAAGAAAUCGACGGAUUGCGAAAGCUCGAGAUCGAUUCGCAUGUCAACAGUACCUUCCUUGCGAUCGCGACAGGGAGCGAGCUCGAGCGUGGGAGAGAGAUAGAGAGAGAGAUCGAUCGACUGAAUUCGAAUGGAGAUGAGAGAGAAGUAAUCUGGUUUUUCUACAGGUUUUUGAAUGGCGACUCUUUAUAUAUAGAGCGAGACGGAGAGUAGCUUUGAAAGAGGCGGGACCGGAAAAGCGACGGAAAUUGGGCGGAGGUUCACUCCAGCGUCGUGUGUUCGCCGAGAGUUUUCUCGACGGGACUGAGAAAAUCCCGAUUUUGCCCCCUAGGGGAAACAUUUUCACUUAACUCCGUUCAUUUCAAGAGAAAAAAAAACUUUAAAAAAUAUUUUUAUAAGAGUAAUCACUUCAAUUGUUUACAAAAAUUCAUAAAAUAUUCACUAAUUAUUUCAAAUGAUAACAAAUGAUUGUUUUUAGAAAAAUAUAAUUGAAACAAUCCAAUUCUGUAAAUUAAAUGAAAUUUGUCUUGAAAAAAAUCCAAUGAACCUACAUAUCUGAAUCCAAAUAAAUCUUGACCGUCGAUCACGUCAAUCCACACUUGGGAACCACAUGAUCAAUCACCUUGAUGGAUUCAGGGCAUGUAAGCUCAAGUCCAGAUAAGCAUCUACCCUCAUAUUGAAAUUCAAUGUGCUAUUGGUUGAUUACCGUGGAAGCUCAUCUCACAUUCCAAGUGUCACAAAAAAAAUUGGGCAUUUCCUCCAGGGGCAACUUAAAAGUUGGAUUGAGCAGGACUUAGAGAAAUUGACAAGAAGAUGAAUAUCUUAUUAUGUUAUAAAAGAGGAUUUCUUUUUUUUAAGUUGUAUAGUGUUGACAUUUGUCGUACCUCAUCUGCUAUAGGAAUGUUGGGCUUAAAGUACCAACAAAAUACCAACAGCCCAUUGAGCUAGUCUAUCACCGGAGUCCUAUCAAAUACGAGUGGGAAAUUCAAAGCCGCCAGUACACUUAAGCCCAAGCCCGUCCUUUGCGAAUUGAUUUAUUACACAAUUGUCUUUUUUAUGUGUAAUGACAAAAACUAUUAGUUAAACUUUUAAAUAAUAAUUAUUUUUCUUAUGGGGACAAUUUUUUUUUUUUUUUUGUCGACAGUCAAGCAUGGUUUUUUCGUCGGAUUUUGUAAAGCUCGUGUCUCUAAUGUGUAAUUAGAGCUAUAAACGAUUGAGUUGAUUGGCCAUGGAAAUAGGUGAUGACCGAGUUCUGACGAGCUCGGGCGAACGUGUUUGGUAUUGCAUAGUGAGUCGGAUUACCUCUUCAACAAUCCCCCCUCUUUUCUUUCGUUUCGAGAUAGUCUACAACCCUCGACUCCGGCAUUUCUGUCAUCCUGAUGUUCUAGGCCUUAAGAGAGCUGAGCGGACAUUUCGACCGUGUCUUAUGCUGCUAGGCAUCGACCGUGCGAAGGAAGGAGUAGAAGCAAUGAAGGUGAAUUUGAAGGAGGAGCGUGAACUGGAGGAACUAGAGGAAUUGGACAGAGAAUCUCAAAGUAAUCAUGAUAACAUGGAAUAACUGAUAUGGAUGUAGAUUCAGCGCAAUUCCAUUUCUUUAGGAAGCUAGGAGUAUUGAAGAGUCUUCACGUUACUCUAAAUAUGCUUGUAAACAGAGAUUUUCACUGGGUACCUAAGUGUCAGACUAUUGAAAUUGCUCACAAAUUUCAUGAUUGCCAAUGUACAAUAGUCUCAAGCUAGAUUAGUAUCAGACUUUGAAGCACUUUUGUAGCAACUUUCAAAUGAAAACUUUUCAUUCUUCAUCAGGAUUUCAUGGGACUGCCAACAUUUUGGCCACCAUUUAUUUCUCCAUGUUGGAAACGCUAGAACUGCGGAAAGAGAAUGAAUCGGGUGUGGCAGUGAGAACAACAGUUUCAACAUCAAUAACGACAAUGACGGCAGCAUCGACAAACGAAGGCUUCGCGAAAGAUGAUCGGGCUCUGCCUACAUCUUUCUCGUGAUCUCAAUCGGUCUAAAAUUAAUCUAUUCUGAGCAUGAAAACAUUUUGAAAACUUGUCUUCAGUAGUUGUUGAAAAAAGCUACGUCAAACUUCGAAGCUUUCUUGGAAGGAUAUUGCAGGGUUCAGGGAAGGUUCCCAGAAGCAUCUCCUUGCCCAAAAGAAACAAAACAAGAACUGAUAUCAUACCAAAAAAAUGGAGACUUCCUUUUCUUUUUUCGACAGGUAAAGUUACUUUUAUUAUUCCGAACAUGGGACCUGCAACUUGCACGCGCAUUUGAACAAGUACUUAGCCACCAAGUUUGAGCAUUCGAUCUAAUAGUCUUCCAUUGUUAAAAAAAAAAAAAAAAAACCGACUUUCGGUUUCAACCAUUUUGCAAGUUCAGGGAAGGUUUCCAGAAGCAUCUCCUAAUCCAAAAGAAACAAAACAAGAAGUGAUUUCGUAUAUAAAGGGCCCGUUUGGUUCGGCUUUGGGGGAAUGCCAUUUGGAGAAUGCAAAUAUCUUUGAGAGAAAGAGGCUUUCGGAAAUGUUAGACCGUUUGGUAAAUUUUAGCAUUGAAAUGCAACUUGGCAAAAACACCGUUUGGCAAACUUUGCAUUUGGAAUUAGCUUUUGGUAUUUUUUAAUUUCUUUAAAAUCUGAAAUCAAAUCCGGCGGCCGGCCACUGCCGGCCAACCGCCGGCGACCGCCGGACGGCCAGAUCUGGCCGUCGCCGGACCACCAGAUCUGGCCGCCGGAGGUCGCGGAGGCCAGAUCUGGCCUCAAGACCGCCAGAUCUGGCCGCCGAACGGCCAGAUCUGGCCUCGCCUGGUCGCCUGGCUCGCGCGAGACCAGGCGACGCCGGCCGAGGUCGGGCGACCUCAGGCGGCGUCGCUGGCUCGCGCGAGACCAGGCGACGCCGGCCGAGGUUGGGCGACCUCAGGCGGCGUCGCUGGCUCGCGCGAGACCAGGCGACGCCGGCCGAGGUCGGGCGACCUCAGGCGGCGUCGCGUGGCUCGCGCGAGACCAGGCGACCGAAUCUGGUCGGGUGCUCCGAGCACUGCUCAGCCCGUUGCGUGGGUCGCGCGACCCAGGCGACGCCGCCUGAGGCCGCGACCCACGCGACGGCGGUGCGUGGCGACGGCGGUGCGUGGGCGACCAGCUCCAGCUGGUUGAGCUCCGCCGGCUAAAGCUUCGAUCUUGAAGAAACGAUGAAGACGAGGAAGACGAUGAACAGUUACUUUUGAGGGUAAAAGAAGAAAACUAAAUUAUCAAUGAGGGCAAAAGUGGAAGAAAAAAAAAAUCAUUAAACCCCUUCAGCAUGCCGAAAAUGCUGAAUGCCCAAAGCAGGUCCCCACCUGCUUUGGGCUUUCAGCAUUCCAAAGGCAAACAUUUUGCCAAGUAGCCUUUGAAAGCCGAACCAAACACCCUAAAAUUUUUCCCAAGGGGCUUUGGGGGCUCAAAGCCCCUUGGGAAAGCCGAACCAAACGCCCCCAAAAUGGAGACGACUUUUUUUAUUCUUUUUUUUUUUCCGAUAGGUAAGAUACUUUUAUUAGCCCGAUAUAAGGAAAGGGUGGAUCAAAGAGAAUAAAUAAAAUAUUGUGUGCAAAAAAGCAAAGAAAAUAAAAAAGUAAUAAUACUUGGAAUGAGGUAAAUUAAUGCAUAAUGAAAGUUUAAUUCCUUGAUUUCCACGUAUGUUAUGCCAUAAUCACUUUCUUCCGAACUGUUGCACAUGGGGCCUGCAACUGCACGCGCGACAAGCCAGCCAGCUGUGAACGUCCUCAGUUGGCUUCUGCUAAUGGGGCCUUCAACUGCGUGACUGCUUUCACAAGUGUGUCGACCACAACUUUAGUUUUUUAUUUUUUAUCAUCGACCAAUAGCAUUCGAUCUUAUGGUCUUCGUCGUAAAAAAUUGCUACAUCCUGUUUCCACCAUCUUUUCAUAGACCCAUAGAAUUCUCCUGUAACUACAUUAUUUGCUCAUAACGUGUUGACGCGGAAUAUUUUCUGUUUCCACCAUCUUUUCUUAGACCCAUAGAAUUCUCCUAUAACUACAUUAUUUGCUCUUAACGUGUUGACGCGGAAUAUUUCUUUGCUGAAGAUCAUCGAGUGAGAGAGGGAGAGAGGGAAAGAGAGGUCUGCUUAGCUGAGCAAAUUACUGCUAUGGCAAGCUCAGAUGCUGGAACAUCAUUGGGAAGCAAGUACCAAGUGUUUUUUGAGUUUUAGAGGACCCGACACUCGAACUGGAUUUACUGAUGUCCUCUUUCAUAGCUUGUUUGACGCUGGAAUCGACGUGUUUCGAGAUGAUGAAGAACUCCGUGUCGGUGAAAGAAUCGAUGAAUCACUGCUGCAAGCGAUCAACAACUCCAGGAUCUACAUACCGGUCUUCUCUCAGAACUAUGCUUCGAGCCAAUGGUGCCUUUGCGAGCUCGCACAGAUCGUGGCAAACACCUUGAAAUCUGAAGGUAAUAAAGAGAUCCUACCUAUUUUCUUUGACGUGGAACCUAAUGAUGUUAAAUUGAAGACCCCACUAUAUCACAAUGCCAUACUCAAUUUGGAGCACGAGAAGAAGUUGAGCAAUGAGCAAGUAAAUGUUUGGAGAGAGGCCCUCAUGGAGGUUGAUGCCAUAAAGGGGUGGGAGGUGAAGAAAUACAAAGGGUAAGCUAGCUAUUUUCAAGACACUUGUUUCCCCAAUUUUCCUUAACACUUAAUAAUAGAUCUCAAAAUUCUAGUAUGAUUGAGGUGGGAGUUUUAUUAUAGUAAUACUAAAUGAUGAAUCUUUACGUCUGCAAAACAAAAUGUGAAGACAUAAUAUUCAACUUCUACAGUUGUUGCUUGACAAUUGCAUAAAUUUUUAUACAACAAUUUUGCUCGAAAAUCCCAAGAUUGCUACUCUCAUGUUGAAAUCAAGUUGAAUUUCGGGUCAUGACAUAGCAUCAACGUUGUCAAGGGCCUAAAAGUAUGUUUUGGAGAGACCUUAAUCUCCAAUAUGGACUUUUAGAAUAUCACUCCUAGAUUUAAGGUCCCAUUACUUAUCAGAUCAUUGUGUAGUUUAUCCAGUGUUUGAAUGACAUCACUUCUAGUUAGGUAAUCGUGAAUUUUCUCACUAAAAUGGAUUUUCAUUGUGGCAGCCACGGAGAACUAAUCAAAUUGGUAGUUGCAAAGGUCGUGGAAUGUUUGAAGUCAAAACAUAGAUUGGUGACUAAAUAUUUAGUUGGAAUUGACAAUCAAGUAGUAGCAGUAAGCAAAUUAUUAGAUGUCAAUUCCGAUGGUGUGAGACUCGUUAAAAUUUAUGGCAUGGGAGGUAUUGGAAAAACUACACUUGCCAAGGUCAUCUUCAACCUACUUUCUUCUCAUUUUGGAAAGUGUUGUUGUUUCCUUGAAGACGUUCGAGAGAAGUCAUCAAGAACCGAUGGCUUAGUUGACUUGCAAAAAAGGUUACUAUCCGAAAUCGGUCAUCCUGUAGGAACAAAGAGCAUUGAUGAAAUUGAUUAUGGAAUUAAGAGGAUUGAAGAAAUACUUCGUAAUAAGAAAGUCCUUAUUGUACUCGAUGAUGUUGAUAACAACAAACAAGUGGAGAAAUUAGUUGGAAACAGUACUUUAUUUUCUGGAUCCAGGAUAUUGAUUACAACUAGAAAUAAAGAUAUCUUGCAAGUCAAUAGACAAAAGUAUCAGAUUUUGGAUUAUGAAAUGGAGAUGAUGAGUGCUGGACAUGCACUUGAGCUUUUCAGUAGUCAUGCAUUUAACACAGACUUUCCUUCAGAUGAUUACGAUUAUCUUUCAAGGGAGAUUGUAUUUGCUACUGGGAGACUUCCGUUGGCUCUUGAGGUGAUUGGUUCGUUCCUCUGCCACAAAUCGCAAGAACAAUGGAAAGAGACAUUGCAUAAGUUAAGAAGAGCACCUCAUGAGGAUGUUUUUGGAAAGUUGAAGAUUAGCUAUGAUGCCUUAAAUUUCGAGCAACAACAAAUUUUUCUCGAUAUUGCAUGCUUUUUCAUUGAUGAAGAUAAGGCAAAUGCAAUCUACCUAUGGAAAGGUUGUAAGCUUUCCCCAAAUACAGGAGUUGCUGCCCUCAUUGACAUGUCUUUGGUAAAGAUUGUGGAGAAUGAUAAGUUUUGGGUGCACGAUCAACUUAGAGAUAUGGGAAGAAAAAUUGUUCUCCUAGAAGAUCCAGAAAAUCCUGAGGAGCGGAGUAGGAUAUGGAUUUGUGAGCAAGCUCUUAAUGCAAUAAGACCAAAGCAGGUAAAGCACUUAUGGAGAGAUCUAACUAGUUUUUCCAAUAUAUUCCACUCCACUGUACCUUCUUGGGUUUUUUUUUUUUCCUUUCCUUUUUAUAAUCCUUUGGCUCUAUGAGAUAGAAUAUUGAUAUCGCUCAUUUCCUAUUCUCAUUUGUAGAUAAACAAGAAAGUUCAAGCACUAUCUCUUUAUUCAUCUAGACAAAGUAUGUGUGAUGUCUUUGUUUGAAUUAAAUGGAUUGGAAGGUUGGAACAUCUAAGAUUCCUUAAAUUAUCUCACUUAGCCCUUGUUGGAGAUGCAACAUAUCGCCUUCCCAAUUCAACAUUGAUUUCUUUGAGUUAUUUUCUGCAAAAAUGGACCAACACGUGCCUAAAGAAUUUAGUCGUUCUUGAAUUUGUCAACGUUACUUUCCUUGGUAAUUCGGAAAUCUCAAUCAAGGUGCGUAAUAUUCUUAUUCCUAUUUUAUUUUCUUGGAAAGUAAUAUUCGAUUGUUCAUCUAUUGAGUAUUGCUUUCAUUUUGACAGAUGGCAACAAAAUUGAAAGUUCUUUCUUUCAAAUAUUGUCAAAACAUAUUCAAAACACCUGACUUCUCUAGAUGCCCGAAUUUAGAGAAGCUUACUUUCGAACGUUGUGACAAUUUGAGGAAAAUCAAUGGCUCUAUUGGGAAGUUGAAGCGUCUGAUUGAUUUCAAGAUUGGUAGCUGCAAUUCUCUUAAACAUUUGCCUGAAGAAAUCGGUGACCUAGUGAAUCUACAGUAUUUCUUUGUACGCUGUAAUGAAAUGAAGAAACUCCCAAAUUCCAUGUGGAAGUUGAAAUUAUUACGUGAGUUGUUCUUUCAAGGUUGCACUUCUCGUAAUUUAGAUUCAGCAAAUUCAUGGGAAUUACCUUGUGUUAUUGGAAAGCUCCAGAAUCUGGAAGUGCUUCAAGUCAUUAGUUCCUCUUUAAAAGGUCGAAUUCCUUCUGAAAUUGGAAGUUUGCCCUUUCUAAGAAUCUUGAAUCUAUCAAGAACUCAUGUAUGUGAACUUCCAGAGACCAUCAGCAUGCUUCCUUGCCUACAAAGAAUUGAGUUGAUGGAAUGCACUAAUAUUCAAGAGUUGCCGACCCUCCCAACAAGUUUAACCCAUCUAAAAGUGUCAUCUCAACUGUUGCGGGUAGUCUCGGAUCUUUCGAACUUGACUAAUUUGGUUGAGUUGUAUCUAGUUGAUGAUGGAAUAGUAAGAGAUAAACUUUGUAUCGAUGAGUUACAGUGGAUUGGGAAGUUAUCCAAACUGACCAAAUUGAGCUUUGGAUUUCACAAUGUCCCUAUUCCUAUUGAGAUGGCUUCCCUUCCUGUGCUGAACGAACUUUAUUUGGAUGGAUUCAACCUACAAACCUUUCCGCAACUACCACUAUCUCUGGAAAAGCUAACGCUUAGAAAUUUCAAUUCAAUUGUGCCACUCUCUCUGAACCUAAGAAAUUUGUUAUAUUUAGAGCUGUAUGAUUCUCCAAUGCAAGAAAUACAACUUGAUGGGCUUCAACUUCCACAGCUAAAGAAGUUGUGGGUGGAAGGCUGGCAACACCUAGAAAGGUUGAGGCUAUCAAGAAUGAGGAAGCUGAACAAUGUCAAGGUGAAAUUGUGUUAUGAAGUUAGUUGAGAUCCAAUUUUCUUGGGUGUUCGAAUCACUGGAGGUAUUGACUAUUACCAAUAGCGAGUCCUUGGAAAGGAUAGUUUACGAUAAUGAAUUGAUUAGUUGUGAAGAGAGGCUAAUUUUUUCAUCGACGGUCUUAAAUAAGUUGCGUUUUCUCUACAUGUGGAUGUGCCCUAAGAUACUCGACGUUCAAGUUGUGGGUACGUCGGAAUUGUGGGAAAACUUAAUCAUUGAGGAUUGUCAUUACUUGCAACGUCUCGGUGGUUUGUCAAACUUAAAGAACCUAAAGUGUUUAUCAAUCAAGGGCUGCGAGAGGCUACGGGAUGUCGAGGGCGUCGACGAGUUGGAGUUUUUGAACCGUUUAAUACUUGAUGAUUGCAUAUCGUUGGAAAGGUUGAUUGAUGUGUCAACCACCAAACUGCCAAAUGAUUGCCAGGUAGAUAUCGUUAGGGGCAAGAGAUUACCUGGGGUUAAGAAAGGAUUAAGCUGCUUCACCCAGUCCUUCAAGCAUUAUAUGGCGAGUCUUGGAUCAUUCACUCUAUUUCUUUUUUAUAAUUUCUUGACGCAACCGUCCACGAACACCAAUUCAACUCUAAGGUAGAUUUGUAAUAAUGGUGAAAAAUUAAAAAAUAAACAAAAAUCAAUUAAUAUUUGAUCUGACUUAUUUUAAAACCCACUCGAUAUAAGUUUGUUUUAUUUUCAGCUCACGUUUUCUCACUUUCUUUUCUUUUCUUUUCUUUUUUAUGAGAAAGUUCUAUAGUGCAGCAAAUCUAUGGGACAAGGUCAGCUUUUAUCAAAAGUCAUUGGAAAAUUUGCAAUUUUUAGAAAAAAAAAUAUAAAUUAACUCUGAAUAUCUCAUUAAAAUGUUAUUUUCACUUUAUAUGAAAUGAAUUGAUUAUUUAGUAAUUUUUAUGGAAUACACUCCACUUUAGUGUCCUUUCUUACUUAAUACUAUUCAUUAUGGAGAUGAGUUUAGUGAUUUGCAAUUUCCACAAUGAAAAUAGAACACUAAAAGAAUCCUAUACUCAUUGCACAACUUCAAUAAGAAUUUUUUGAGGGAAUUCUUUCAAGAACACAACUUAAAUGGUCCACGGAUCCACAAAUCGACUGACUUAUGUUAUUGAUGGAGUUUAGGAUGCAUGUUCCAAAAGCAUCUGGAAAUAUUUAUUAAGAUUUUUCAUUCUAAAAAAAACAAUGAAAAUCUAAUUUUUGAAAGUCUGCAUCCUCCCCGGUUUUUGACCGUCUUUGUUAAUGGCCACUUUAAACAUCGUUCAGACAUUUAUUUGUUCAGUUGUGAGGCAUUUCAUUUCAUUUCAUUGACCUGCUUCCACUACACUAGAUAGAGAAGGGGAAAAUGAGGAGGAAAUGCUUCGUCUACUAAAUAAAUAAAUAAAUAAAAAACAUAAUGUCGUACUAAUGUCAUGGACAUAGGUAGCAUACGAGUCAAAGACAGAUGGCUGUGAUGUAAAAUUGUUUACAUUUGGUGAAAUGGAAAAUCAAAUUUGUUUGAUGUGCAUAAUCCACAUGUACAAUUUCGUUCUAAUCCUACAUGAUUUACGACAUUUUCUUGUGCGAUAUUGUUUCCUCUUCUAUAUUGAUCCUUUUCUCAUAUUUCAAUCUCAACAAAUAUAGCCAAGACUUGUAUGUAUGACUUUCAUCAGUAUCUUUUGAGGAUUUUAAAGCAACUCCUAUCUAUUUGAUUGCAUUAUUUUAAUCAUGUCAUUCCUUUUUCGAAAGCUUUCUCCUAAAAUUUAUUAUGAUUUUUAUUUUUCAGGAAUCAGGCUUUGAUUUGACAACAUAUUUCGGACGCUUGUGAAGUUCUGAAGGCAACCCGCACGAUAAUUGUUAGAAUGCAGGGACGGAAUUAGCAUAAUAUCUCAUCGGGGUCAAUGCACUGAAGAGUCCAUAGGUUUCCAAUAAUGAUUUCCAGUACCGGGGCAUCAACUUAGGAUGCAGGUGUGACCUCAUCAUUUUCAAGCUAGAAAGAUGAUUUACCCUCGUGGCAGAAUUAAGAGAGUUGAUGUUCUUCACAUCAACAUUUCUUCGAAUCCUCACAGGAUUCCUCGCUUGAAUUAAUUAUUUCAGGAUUGUCCCAUCUCUUUUCGAUUGGUCUUAGACAACUCAUUCAAAUUGCCUGUUUUGCAUGAAGAAUUGCAAAAAGUUUAGCAUAGGCAGAUUAAGCAUAUGCAGAAUAAUGUUAUGUGAAAGGCCUCAUCCAAUAUAUGAAAUCUACUUGUUAAAGCUAGCAAUCUCUCCAAGACGAGAUAUGACAUAACAUGAACAUCAUCAUAUGUAGAACAAAAAUGGCAUGGCAUUGAUACAUCAUACUCUCUCAUUUCACGUGACCCAACAUGAAUAUGUCAAGCAACAGCACAGUGUGAGCCCUAUUUCCAGGCUUGUAUCUUCUAGUAGCUAAUUUAGUCAUACGUAACCAGGGACAAAGAUGUCACUAUCCUCUUUAGAGCAUAUUAUGGUGAAUUUAAUAUAAGCUUUCGUGGCAAAUAAUAAUGGAAGACUUAGACUUGAGAUACAAUUGCAAGUGAAAGUUUACAAUUUCAAUAGUUGAUAUGUAUAUCUAUUUUCUUUACAUAAUAUACAUUGCCAAAAUAAUUAAUCACGGUAGACAGUAGAUGAUAUGUAUUGUUGGUUGAAACGUUAACGCAAGAUUGGCUGUGAUUUUAUUUCUUCAGGAAUCACGUUUUGAUCAGAUUUGGACAUGUUUUGGAGGCUUGUGCAAUUUUGAAGACGACUCGGAUGAGGAUCUUUAGCAUGCAGGGACGGACUGGCAUAUCAGUUUAGUGGGGUCAAUGUACUGAAGAGUCAAAGUUUCUAAGAAUGGUUUCAAAAACCGGGACAUCAAGUUCGGAUGCAGGUGAGACCUCAUCAAUUUCAAGCUCGAUAGAUGAAUUGCCCUCGCGGCUGAUUCAAGGGAAAUGCUGUUCUUCACAUAACAUUUCUGAUACUUGAAUCCUUGUAAGAUUUGUCGCUUGAACUAGUUACUUCUGGAUCAUCGCAUAUAUUUUCGACUAGUUCUAACAACUCAUUCAAAUUGCCCGUCUUGCAUGAAGAGCUGCAAAAAUUUAGUACAAGCAGAUUAAGCAUUUGCAAUAUAAUGUUGUCCAAAAGGUCUAAUCCAACAAAUGAAAAUUACUUGUUAGAGUUGGCAAUGUUUCUAAGACAGUGAUGAUACAACAUGAACAGCAUUAUACAUAGAACAUAUGUGACAUGACAUCGAUACCUCUUUUCAAUAACUAGGAGUUAUUUCAAUCUUAAAAGUAAAUGUUAUUUGAAGGACUAUCCCUCUCCCAUUUUAUGUGACUUAGAAGGUUCAACUCAAAGUUAAAUGAAUCUUACUACAGCAGAUGAUGAACCCUACUUCCAAGCUCGUAGUCUUCCAUUAGAUAAUCCAGUCACAUGUUACCAAAGACAAAGAUGUCAAUAUCCUCCUUAUAGCAUAUUAUGAUGAAUUUAAUAUGAGCUUUCUUGGCAAAUAAUAAUAGAAGACUUAGACUUGAGAUGCAACAGCAAGUAAAACUUAAUGAUUUCAGCUGAAAAGGCUCUAAUUUCACCUAGCAACCAAAUGAUGAGAGAACAUCAAAAGAUUUUUUUACACAUAUCUACAUGGGUUGAUCAAAUAGUAAUAUAAAGCAAUUGGGUGAGUCUCAAAUGUCUCAAUGGAAACUAUGAUAUACAGUCAAACAAAAAGUAUCUCAUUUUACCCUAGAUGUCCAUUCAAUAGCAGAAGAGCGAUAACCAGGGCAACUUUUUAUGGGGAGGAGGUAAAAUCCUUCCAGUCAUCACCUCUGAGGGGCGGGGGUGGCAGCGGGAAGAAGAUAACUUACACAUUACUGACUCACUGUCAGCUACUGUUAAGUACAUGGGGAGAAAGAAAUCAGUAGAAUUUGAGCAAAAUUUCAUUCAGAUCUAAGGUUACAAUUUGAUUGGGUAUAGAUACAUGACCCCAGGUUGAGAAGUGCUUUUCACACUGACAUGGCUUCCUGUCAAAGGAGAUUGACUUUUUGUGUGCUCCCUUGCAAGCGAAUUUAGAUUAACAAGCGACUUUCUCUCAACUUCAGAAUCUUUGGCUUUGUCUCCCAACCUGUUUAACAUUGCGUAAACCAUGUGAUGUUAUAAAGCACUCCAUGUCCAAUCAAAGAAACUGGAACAAAAUAGAAAAAUUUCAUCCUUUCUCAUUUAGAUGCACAGAAGCAAGUCUUUUACUAAUAACUUGAGUAAGCUUUCUCCCGGUGAUAGUUCUAGAGAAGACUAACUCUUGAUUUCCUCUGAUCCAUUGAAUAAAUUUGAGUGGGUUUGUCUAGGCAUCCUACAGGAAAAGAAAGAGCACAAUGCAUGAGCUGCAGGCUCUCUGCUUGGGACAUCAACAUGGUAGUAAAAGUGAACUGAGAAGUGCAAAAAUGUAAUGCAAUCAAUCCACACAAUUUUCUACUCAAAUCUGGAAAUUAUCAUCAAAUGCAUUAACAUGAUAGCCAAAACCCAAUGAAUGAGUGCAUCAAACUGAUGACCACAAGAACUUGUUGUGUUCCUGUCCUUGGAACAUUGAGCUACAGAUGCAUAUUCUUCCUAAAUUUUCAUAAAAUCAACUAUCAAGUCCAUGUUUCUUAAAAAGAGACAUUAAUGACUCAUUGCUCUUAGUAAAUGGCAUAAACUUGCCAAUGUUAUCCUCUUAUAAGUUUUCUGCCCUCUCAUUCCACAAAUCAGUUAAAGGUAAGGGAUAAAGUAGGGUCAACCUGACGACAGCCAUUUCACCGUCAUGCAUUACUUUACUCAGAUGAAGAUUUGUGGCAGGCUUGGCCUCUUCUAUAUCAGCCUUUGUAGCAUUCCAUGUAUCAAGAAAAGGUUUACCGCUUUAGUUUGCCUCACCUUCUGUUCCUGGAACAUGUGACAUACUUAAACCUUCUGAACGUACGUUGCCACAAGAAUAUGUGGCUUCCCCUACCAUUUGUUCCAUGUUACUCUACUCUUCAUAUAAAGCAGAAUUUAAACUUUUGAUGAUAGACAAAUCUUUUCUCAGAAGCUCUAGAAUGGUACUUAAAUUUGUAUCAGCCCUGGGGCUGGAUGUGAAACUUCUCUUGGUACUGUUUUAUCUGAUGUACAACCUUGUUGAUCGGAUUCUUGAGCGCACGUACUGUUUGUCCUAUCCAAAGAAGAUCGUUCUAAGAUUGAAUUUCUACAGACUGCAGAUAAAGUUAGACAUAGAGUUGAAGUUACAGAAAUCUCUACCUAGACUUCUGAUGUUACUCACACAACGUGUUGAUUCAUCAUUUUCAAUGACAGCUUUAUUUUACGGUCUGGAAUUGCCUCAGGAAGGAGACUUUUCAAGCCCUGGUGCUCAUUCAUCUCUGAAAAUCUCCCUUUGCAUCCUAUGACCAUCUUCCCAACUUGUUCUCCCUCAGUCAUGGAUGAAUCAAGAUUAGAGCAGUCCAACGUGGAUAGCACAAAUGACUACUAAGGUCCUAAAUGCAAACACGAGUCAUGAAAUUUGUUUCGAAUGUUUCCUUUUUUUUUGGUAUGAUAUUGUUUCCCCUUUUAAAUAGAUCCCUUCUCGUACUUCAAUCUCAACAAAUGCAGUUAAAACCUACAUAUAUGACUUUUAUCGGUAUUUUUCAAGGAAUUUAGAACAGCUUCUAUCUAUUUUCUUGUGCAUGGUAUUCAUUAACAAAUAGGUCAAACACUGGAUAUUAGUUGAUAUGUAUAACUAAUUGGUUUGACUGCAUAAUCUCAAUCAUUUCUUUCCUUUUCUGAAACUUUCAUGGAAGUGGUUGCGAUUUUAUUGUUCAGGAAUCACACUUUGAUUGGACUACAUGUUUUGGACCCUUGUGAAGUUUGGAAGACAAGUCGUGCAAUGGUUAGCUUGCGGGGAUCGAGCUAGCAUAUUUCUAAGAAUGAUUUCAAAUUCCAAGACAUCAAGUUAGGAGGCAGGUGAGACCUCAUUUUGAGGGAGUACUGUUCUUCAAAUGACAUUUAAAAGAUUCUUUACUUGAAUUAGUGACUUCAGAAUUGAUGCAAAUCUUUUUUGUUGGUUUUGACAACUCAUUCAAAUUGCCUGUCUUGCUUGGAGAAUUGCAAAAGUUUAGUACAAGCAGAUUAAGCAUAUGCAGAAUAAUGUUGUGUCAAUGGACUAAUCCAAUAUACGAAUUCUACUUAUUAGUACUGGCAAUGUCUCUCAAACAUGAAUAUGUCAGGCAUCCUGCUUCUAGCCUUGUAGUCCACUGGUAGUUACUUCAGUCACACUUUACCGUUGCUGUCGGCCCAACCACCACUGACGCCAAGAAGAGGAAAGGAAACUCAGAGGGUUGCGAAGAAGAGGAAAAUAAGAAGAGAGCCUAGAAGUGUGAUUAGUUCCAGUGCGGUCGGUUGUGUCUGCAGCUCGUCGUCACCCAACCACCACCGUUGCCGAGAAGAGGAAAGGAAGCUCAGGCGGUUGUGGAGAAGAGGAAAGGAAGAAGAGGGCCUGGAAGUGUGAUUGGUUCCAGUGCAGCCGAUUGUGUCUGCAGCUCGUCAUUCCGUCAUUCGCCGUCGCUGGGCCUAGUUGGCCGACUCGCCGUCAAAAACAAGGUGAGCCUCACUCCCCCACCCCGCGCUUGCUUGCUUCUCGUACCCUGUAUUUACUUCUACGAACUUAAAAUAGCUAUUUUCGACGUGCGGGUACUUCCCGAUUUCGGCUUUGCAGGCAGGUGGUGAUCGGCAGCAUCAUUCGGGCCUAUCGUUCGCUUAUUGGUUUUGGUGGGGUUUGGCGGUGUUCGAUUUGAACGAAUCUUUGCGAGGUUACCAAAUCGAUGUAAGUGUCUUCACGAAUCUUCGAUUCAUUUUUUUUUUCUGUCUUUUGUUUGGGGGGUGGGGGGUUGGUAGUGAUGGCAGGAGCGCUCUCUGGUCGUCCGAUUAGAUCUGGUCUACAAUGCUAGUCCUUUUGCUGAAGUGAUUUUUCUGAUCGAUUCUCUAAUGUACUGAUGUUGAAGUUUAUUGCAAAUCGAUUUUGCUGGCUUUGUUGCUCCGGUAUAUUCUCCCCCUGUUUCUCUCUAUUGCUAAUAGAUUGCUACUUGUUGAUAGGAGAAAUUCGAAUUAUUUUGAGUACUUGUUGUCCUUCUGUCUAUUACCCCUUAGAAAGAGAGAGAAUAAUAGUAGAUUACAUGUGGUUAACCCAAAUGGUUGUUUAUGUGUCAACAUAUAUUGUAAGUUGGGACAAUACCUUUCAAGUGUACCUAAGUUUACGAGAACCCAUUGUGAUCUUGCAGUUUAAUAAUGCAACAGAAUGUGUCACUUGGGGGCUUAUGUACUUGCAGCAUGUAAUAUGGUUGAAGUACUAACUUUUAGUUGUGAAUGCUGAGAUCUUUCAUCAUGUAAUCUCAAUUUUUUAGUGCUUUGAAGUCUAGACUUGAUAUUACUUACUUUUAGGCUUUUAGGAUACCUAUUACUUACUCAUAGUUUGUCAUACUAUUUUAUUUUAAUUUUAUGAAAUUUACUCAUUCCUAUAUAAAUUAAUUAACUUCAUAUGCAUUACAUCACAAUGAACUUUUGAGACCUUUAGUUUAAUAUCGUCAAAGAGAGAUAUCUGAAAUACUUUUAUUGUCACGAGAAGAAGGACAAGAUCUAUAGUGUGGGAACACUAUAAAUAGACUCUUAAUCAACAAAAAGAUGAAUGUAUACAUUGUGGGCCUUUAUUGUCCAGGGACCGGUUCAAUGCAUCGUCAUCUAGCCAGAUGCAAGCACUUUCCAUACGCAAAAGUCGAGAAAAGGCAAUAGAGUGCAUUGGGUCAGGUUGUUGGGGUCAGUAGUUCUUCUAGUCCAUGGAAAUUUGACCAAGAAUCUAAUAGAAAAGAAUUAGCAAUUAUAUUUAUUCUUGAUGAAUUGCCUUUCAAGUUGGUAGAGUGUGAGGGUUUUCGGUGAUUUGUUAAUAAAAUCCAACUAAACUUCAUAAUCGCCUCGAGUAACACUUUGAGGCGUACAGGGAAGAAAGAAGUAAAUUGAAGAAAUAUUUAAUUGAGACAUCUCCUAGAGUAUGCCUUACAACUGACACUUGGACCUCGUGUUUUAUCUUUGUCCACUUGAGCUUUUGCAAAUGUGCUUUGGAAUUUCAAGGAUGAGCUUACCCGAUUUGUACUGGUUGUUUGAGAACCUCAUUGGAACAAAAUCAGAUCGUGCGAUUUCCCCUUUUUUGGCCAACACUGAGUUUGAUUUAUUAGGAUGCUUGUCAUGCUAUUUAGAUAUAGUAGAGCUACCCAAUGUCAGGACAUAUGCACGGGUUGAUAAUUGUUAAUGUUCAGAGCUAAGCUUGUGCUAAAGUUUAUGCGUAAGCAAUGUAAUCCACAAAAAAAAACCCCCAAAAACCAAAAGCCCAACUCGGUCUAGUUUUUUUGUUUAGGGUCUUAUGUGUUUUAGGUCGGGUCAGAGUGUGCCCCUCAUGAUGGGUCGGAUAACAUCAAAAUCCAACCUGACCCGACCUGACCCAUUGACACCCUUAUUCUACGUAGUUGAACACUAGUCAAGGAAGUAUAUGCAUCGUGUAAAACAAACAAAAAAUGGGAAGAUUCCCAAUGCUCAUCUUCCCAACCUUUUUGGAACGACUAGCUAAUUAUGAGAUGAUUUGGUCUGCUUACCAAGAAAAAGUUAUAAUUAUUGUUUGGUGGUACUACAAUCAUCAUUUGAUACCAAAAAUUGAAGCAACCUCUUUUUUAUAUUUUUAUUAGUAUUAUCUUUUUAAUAUUCAGCAACAUAUCUUUUUCAUUGAUUAUUUUUUUCCUUCCAUUUUCCAUAGAAUGGAAAAGCAAAAAGCACGUAUCUUUUUCAAUCUCAACAAAUUCCGUUAAAACCUACAUAAAUAAAUAGAAACUAUACUAGAGUCCUGGAAAGACAAUAUAUAGAUUAAACACGGUGCUUGAUUUGUUUGCGUAAUUUUAAUCAUUUCAUUCCUCUUUUGAAACUUUCAUGAAAGAUUGGUUGUGAUUUUAUUUUUCAGGAAACAUGCUUCGAUUGGACCUAAACUUGUUUUGGAAGGCUUGGGGUCGAGUGAUGAUUGUCAGCAUGCAGGGACUGACAAGCAUUUUAUAUCAACAUUUUGGGUGACAGGACUCUCUCAAGUCUCGACACUUCUUGCAGUUGCACUUGCUUACCCCGUGAAUUCUUGAACUUUUGUUCAUGGUGGCGGUCGAAGACACCUGGUCGACUCGUUGUGGCUGCUGAGUCCGGUUGGUGUCACAACCGAGUGGAAUUGAAGAAGCCGGUCUCUUUGACGCCUCUUGACUCAUUAGGGCCAUGCUGCAUUUCCAGUUUUCGCCAUCGCCAUUUCUAUUUCCCACGCUUGUUUCAGUUCUCUUUGCUCUUCUUCCUGUGGGUCUCUUCCUGUCUGCGAUUUGCUUGACCAGAAUUCCAUGGACAAGAUAGAAUGGUUUGUUGGGGUUCUAAGUCGUUUCUUUAAUUAUGGAUUGCUUUUUAGCUGUCACAACUGUUUUUGGAACGAGAUCAUUACGGAGCAAUGCAGGACAAGGACUUCGUCUUCACUCUGUCUAACGGCAUGAGACAGAGGAUCUUAUCAUUCCAUGGUUUAUUGGAUUUGAUAUUGGAAUGAGAAUUUAAAUUUCUUUUGCGAUCCUGACUUUAUUCUCUCAACGGUGAAGAGUCUGAAUGUCUGCUAAGAAUGACUGACUUCAAAUACCAGAUUACCAGGACAUCAAGUUAGGAUGCAGGGGAGACCUCAUCAUUUUCAAGCUAGAUAUAUGAAUUGCCCUUGUGGCUGAUUAAAGAGAGGUACUCUUCUUCACAUCAACAUUUCUGAUCCUAAUAUACUCAUUAAUUCCUUGCUUAAAUCAGUUACUUCAGGAUCAAUGUGUAUCUUUUCAAUUGGUUUCGACAGUUCAUUCAAAUUGCCCAUCUUGGAUGGAGAACUGCAAAAGUUUAGUACAAGCAGAUUAAGCAUUUAUGCUGCGUCAAAGGCCUAAUCCAAUGCACGAAAUCUACUAGUUAUAGCCAGGAAUGUCUCAAAGACGGGAUAGGACAUGACAUGAACAGCAUCAUACGUAGAACAGAUACGAUAUGACAAUUGAUACAUCUUUUCUAUAAUCAUAAGUUUUUUGGGCCUUAUAAGUGACCAUUGUCUCAAAGAAUAUCACUCUCCCUUUUCAUUUGACUCAAAAGGUUCAACUCAAACAUGAAUAUCUCAGGCUAGCUAGAGCAGAUUGUGAACCCUACUUCCAGGCUUGUUGUCUUCUAGGAGCUGAUCUAGUCAUAUGUUACCAGAGACAAAGAUGUCAAUAUCCUCUUUAAAGCGUACUAUGGUGAAUUUAAUUGAGCUUUUCUGGAAAGUUAUAAUGGAAGAACUUAUACUUCAGAUACAAUUGCAAGUAAAAAUUAGUAGUUUCAGCUGAAAUGCUAUCAUUUCACCAAUGGCAAGAAAAUGACCAUGGACGUUGGAAGAUUUUUCACAUAUGUAAACAUAUGCAAUUAGGAGAGUGUCUGAUGUCUCAAUGCAAACUACGACAUACAAUUGAACAGAAAAUAUCUCCUUUUACCCUAGUUGGAAGUCCAUUGGAUAGCAGAAGAGUGAUAACCAGAGCACCUUUAUAUGGGAAGGAGGUAAUAUUUUUCCCUUUUUUUCCCCUCUGUAACUAAACAUGAUCAAUGAUAGGAUUAUUCUCACAGUCAGGAAUUGUCUCAGGAAGACGAGAUCUUGAGCCCCAGUGCUGGUUUAUCUCUAAAUAUCAUCCUUUGCUUCCUAUAACCUUCUUUCCACUUUGUUCUCCCUCAGUCAUGGGUGAAUCAAGAUUAAAGCCAUCCAACCUGGAAAGCCUAAAUGACUGCUAAGAUCCUAAAUUGCAAUUGCGAUUCAAGUUUGACCACCAAAAAAAAAAUCACGGGUCAAGACAUCUGUUUCAAAUGUUUCCCUUCAGUCGAAAAUAUAAUCUUAUGUAUUGAAGAAUAAUCCCAUAUGGAUGCAUUUUGAAGCUGUCUUGCUCAUUAGACAAAGAAAAGCUUUUAUUGGAAUUUCCUUCACUAGGUGAUUCUGCUUCAUUUCAGUCUUCGUUGUUUGAAGAUUUCUUAGAUGGGAAGGAAAAAUCAAGAUCUGGCACGUCCACUUUGUGUUGGAGAAAUCUUUCCAGAAGAUUUUGAAGCUGACAAAACAUUUCUAUCAGUCUAGUCUUGAUAUCAUUGGUUUAAAGUCUCAAGACUUUGUAAUCUAAAGUCUCAAGACUCAAGACUCAAGACUCAAUAUUAUUCUCACUGACAGUCUUUUUAAUCCAGUGGCGUAGGAUAUCCGAAGCCGAAGUAUAUGGUUGGGGAUUUGAUCCAAUCCUCUGGAAUAGAUACCUUGGUUGGAUAAUCAUUUUUUAUUCUUUUGAUUCUUAUCUAAGAUCAAUUGAAGAUCUGAUGGUCGACGAAACAUUCUUGGAAUGUUCUAUUCUUGGAAACCAAAAUCCUGAUUGUAUGGGCGAACAGGAUUGAUGGGCUAUCAUCAGAUUCCUUAAAUAGCUCGGAUGAUCUUCUUAAUUGAUUCCGUCCAACGGGUAGAUUGGAGGAAUUCCUUUGGUAAGUGCCAACGGCUAUGAUGGCAUAAAGGAGUAUAAAAGGAAGACGUUCUAGUUGUUCUAAGUGUGUGAUCGAUAGAUAAAUUCCAGAGUCUGAAGAACCUUGAUUGUUAGUCGAGACAGUUCGAGCGAAAUUGUAUACACAGAGAGUGGUUGUACUUGGUGAUACCUUGAGCGAGUGUAGUAGAUCAUCUACAUCGAGAAAUCAAGGAAGAUCAACACUGUAACAUCUCUUUGUUCAUAGUGGAAUCCAGCCAAUCGGCUGUCAGUGCAGAAGAGUGGACGUAGGCUUGAAUCAAGCCGAACCACUAUAAACCUCGUGUUUAAUUCUCUCUUUCCUUUACUCAGUCUUACGAUUGUUUUUAAUCCUUCAUCUGUUUAAGUAUUGCGCAAACUGCAAGAAAAUAUUCAUAAACCUAUUCACCCCCCUCUAGGUACUCGUACUAGCAUUAUCACUUUGAACAAUGACAAUUUGUCAUAAUCAGUAUCCAGGUAAAAUGGACAUCACUGAAAUAGGUUUUUUCAUAUUUAAUCCACAGAAAGCUGAGAUAUAACCCUCUCUCAUAAUAAUGGAGCUUGCAAACAAGCAUUCAUGCAUCUUCAGUGUCCUCCAUCGUUUGGAUGAUAUUUGAAGUGGUGGGAUGUAUGUAAGGCAUGGCUCACUUAAUCACCAUGGGCAUUAUUCUCCACAAAGAAGUAAUUGUACGGGGAAUAUACGUAAUCAACACUAGUUUGAACAUAAGAAUAUCCAAUUUAGAUUCCACAUCCAUACUAGUUUACUAUCUAACAACAUAUACUUUAAUUUUCACUUACAGUUUAUUAAAGUCAAAUUCCUUCAUCCUGCCUUUGCCAACUAUAUCAGAGCUAAAAUCUAUUGUGUCAUCUACUGCCAUGGACGACGACCUCCAGGAGAAAAGGAACUCCAGUCCAAAUUCAGCAUCUGUUGAUUUAUGACCAACAUAUCAGAUUGUCAUAUGACAUGGCCAGAAAUAUGUAUAUACAAUCUUCCUUUUAAAAUUAAGAACGCUUUGAUUUGAUUUUCGAGUAGAUACAAAGCAUGAUGCACUAAGAGAAAGGAGAAUCCCAGUGGCCCCGGAAUUUGCUAAAGAAAGGAAAGAACAAAAUUGGGAACCCCUUUGAGUUGGCUAUAGUACACAGCACCUCCUCUCUUUGUGAAGACAGCAUCUCUUUGUCAAAACAUUGCAGCUAUAACAUUCUUGCACUUAUCUCUUUUGCAGAAGCAUAUGUGAACUAGCCUUUAAGGGACCUCAGCCAGUCUAUUAAAGUUAAGAGCCCAAAAGUUGACAUAUAAACAGUUCAUACAGGAGCAGCACUUACUGAUACAACGUUGUCAGGGGGAGUGUCGCAAGCUUUAAAUUUAAGAUUGAGCGACCAAAAACAUAAACAUUUACAUGCCAUGGUCAUAUGUUUCUGAAGAUUCACUUCUCAUCAAUCCAUAAAUGCAAAUGUAAAGUAUCUUCGAUUUGACAGCAGUAAUUAAAUGGCCAUCUAACCACCCCGACAAUAGUGACGAUCAUUUCAAGAUUUCUUUGCCUUGAUUCAAGUGGGACAUUAGUCUCUCAUACUUCUAAUAAGAAAUGUCUGAAGAGGUUCAACUAUACUGCAAGGGGAUCCACUAUAGCUAUUGCAAAAGAUGAACAAUUGAUGUAUUGAACAGUUCAUAGAGGGGCAAAGCCGAGGGCUAAUCCAAUAUAAUCUAUGCCAAGCAAAGAGCAAAGAUGCUAAUUUAACAUGAGAAAUGAUAGCAUUGAGCUUUAGCAAUAAACUAAGGGCCGUUUUAUGACAGCCUGAAAAAACAUAGGUCCUAUCACAUUCAGAUCAUCCACUUUCCAGCACAAUUAAAUUCAAUUAAAAUGAAUGACUUGUAAAAAUAGAUAUCAGAACAGCUUCUUAUGAUGUCAUCUUUUCUUGGAAAAGAGAUGCUGUGAAAUAGCAUACUCUGUGUAAAAUGUGUGCCCUGAGUAGCGAAAAUUUACUGUCAUACCUCAGAAGUUCAGACUGUGAGCAGGAAAAUGCUGUAAGUCAUAGUGGUUUUGUCUACACAAGCGUUUACAUUACGGUGAAACUGCAAGGGACUAUAGACUUCCAGCAAUGGGCUUAUAGCAAUUCUGAAUAUAAAUUUACAUAUAAGCUUGUUUCAUAGGAAACUACACGACGCAGUUUUGGACGUCAAAUGCGCCAAUACCCAGAGACAUAUUCGAGAGUAAACAUAAUAAUUUAAAAUAUAGAAAUUUUCACUUUGCCCAACCUACAAAAUCAUAGAAGAUGCUCACGAAUGAACACGAUAAAGCAAACCAACACAGAUCACAAAGAGGGCAUUCCUAAAUCAAACUGACCCACUGUGAUGGAGGAUGGACGCGAAAUGAACGUGACAGUGAGAGAGAAGGCACGACAAAGCGAGAGUCCAUCGGAACUCUUCAUUUUGUAUCUCAUCACAUUCACCACCGCAAAACUUUGCGCCCUCACGAAUGACCUCUGUUUUUAACACUACGAAACAAGCAGCGAACACCAAUAUCUCAGAGCUGCGAGCAACGAAGAUGCAACGGAACUCCUAAGAAGCCUCAUAACCGAAGGACAUCGUUCGACAGAUUGAAAAAGCUCAAGAUCAAUGUGCAGGUCAACACAGAAUGAAUUACUAGACUGAGACAAGCAUAGGAUCCACGGGUACCUUACUUGCCAUUGUGACAGCAGGCGAGGUCGAGCGAGGCAGAGAGAGAUCACCUGCAUUCGAGUCGAGAAUUGAUGCUGAACUGAGACGAAACGUGAAUGGAAAUUGAGAUCACUUUUCCCGGACGAGAGAGGAGCGAACUGGUUUUCUGAGGCUUUGAAUGGCAACCGUAUAUAUAGAGUAGCUUCGAAUAAAUUUCCGACUUUGCCCUUCGGUGGGGGUCAUUUUUCACGAAGUUGCCCCCGAUAAUGCUCUAAUAUGUCUCAAAUAGGCCUCACGAUUAAGUCUUGCAUGGGCCUGGAUCCUUUUGAUCCAAACAAAUAUUGGUAGUAGCCACGUGGGCCCACAUUGGCCCCAACAUGAUCAACGGCCCUGACAGAAUUGAGACACGUGGACACGGGAGUAGGGAUCGGAGAAAGCCAAAAGGAAAACAACUUAAUCUACUUUUCUAAUUUUUAAAUAUUUAGCUCAUAUGACCAAACUAACAUUGUCUUCUUUGCCAAUGUAAUCGCAGUUUAAAUGAUAGGACUCUUACAAUUUCAGUGACCAAACUAACAUUGUCUUAUUUGCCAAUGUAAUCGAAGCUUAUAUGAUAGGACUCCCCUCUCCCCAAACAUGGAUUGAUUAAGAAUCAAGGGAUAAUCAAAGUUCUUAUCCUAAGCACCUUCACAAUUUAACACUUGAAAUCAUUGAAAGUAGUUUGAAUUAUGCAUAAAUGUAGUAUCUUGAAGGAUUGCUUCCAUUACAUGUAAAGUUGACAUUUAUCUUCUUAAUCUAGGGCCACAUAGCACAUCAUCCAACCAAUUGCAAGUUGACACGUGAUGUAAUAAAUAUUCAGAAACUACUAAAAUGCACAUGAUUAUGAAUUAAAUUAGCAAUGUAGACUGUAGAAAAUGCAUGAAAAAUAUAACUUGAAGAAGUAUUAUAGAAUCCAAACAGAUUUUGACUGUUGAUUACCUUGGAUCUGUACUUGGAAACCACAUGAUCAAAUGAUCUUGAUGGAUUCGAGAUAUGUAGACUUGCGUCUGGACAAGCAUUUAUCCUCAUGUUGAUAAAAUGUGUGUUGAGCUCGUCGAUUGCUAUUCAAGCCCAUCUCACACGCCUAUUGUCGCACCAAGAAGAGGGCACUUUUGUCUGAGAGUAACUUAAAGCUGGUUUGAGUAGGAAUUAAAAAAAUUCACAAGAAAAAUGUACGUCGUAUCAUUAUAUAAGGAGGAUUUGUUAAAAGUUGUGUUGUAUCACUAUUGGAACAAUGGUUUUAACGUCCCACUAAAGCAUUACCUAUUUGCUGAGCAAGCCCAUCACCGCGGCUUCAGUAGAUAUGACCAAGCCGACGAUUCACCUGAACCAAAGCUUGUCCUGCGUAGAGAGACUAACUAAAAAAAAAAGCUAAGUAAUUAUGUUUAUUUGAGGCUCUGGCGUAUACUUUGCUCCACAAAAUUGAAUGGGUUGUUUUUUUUUUUUUUUUUUUGGCCCCCUUUUUGGUCAUAGAAUGGGUUGGUCGUGCCUCUUGAAUUUUAUGUUGAAUGUCUUACAUUUGUUUUUCUCUGAUUAUUUUUACUACCUCGAAGUUAUUAUGUUUUUGCGAGCUUUAUGAAUAUUUUUAGCAAGCCAUACGUUCGGGUAGGUAAAGAAUGCAUAUAUGCGCGACAAACUUUUCUUCUAGUCAACAAGGAGUUGCGAACGUUUUUAGACGAGACUGGACGAGAAGGGGGGGCAAAGCCCUGCCCUCAUAAAACUACGCGUAGAAAUUGAUCAUGCAAAGGAAGAAGUAGAAGCAAUGAAGAUGAAUUUGAAGGAUAGGGAGCGCGAAAUGGUGGGAACUAGAGGAGACUGCUAACACCUUCACCACCAUUUAUUACUGCGGAAUGGAAAAUUUGCAACCGCAAAAGAGGAUGGACAUCGGUGCAGCAGCGAGUUCAACGGCAUCAACAUCCAUGGCAACAAUGACAAUAGCAUCCAAAAACGAAGGCUUUGAAAAAGUUGAUGAUGGGGGUUUACAUCUUUUGCCCAAAUGGUUUAAGAUUAAUCUGUUCUAAGUCGCACUUAGAUGCUUUCUUAGAAGGACAUGGAGGUUCAGGGAAGAUUCCCAGUAGCAUCUCCUACUUCAAAUGAAACGAAACAAAGAACUAAUUUUGUCCGAUACAAAGACAAAAAACAAGGAACAGCACUAGAAUCAACAGGUGGAGCUACGCCUAGACAUCAUUAAUGAAACAACGAACGACUAAUGAUCAAUUCUCCAAGUCAAUCAUGGUGUCUUAUCAGACGGUACAGACACAAAUUCCCUCCCCCUCAAGAAUAGAGGUGUUAAACGGGUGGAUCAGGUCGGGUUUGAAUCGGGUCAUUAAUGAGUCGAUCCAAAUUAACCCAUUAACCCAUUUAUGACCCAUUUAAGUUUAAUGUAAAUUUUCUGACCCAUACCCAAUCCGACUCAUACCCGACUUGACCCAUAUUAAUAAAAUAUUUUCAUUUUAACCAAAUUUAGAAAAACUUAUUCUUAUAUAUUUUUUAAGAUUAUAUUACUAAAAUAUUUCCAAGCUUAUUUCUUAUAUAUAUUAUUUUUAAAAAUGGUAUUGCUAAAAUAGUUUUAUACAACAAAAAUUUAAUGGACAAUUUUUAUAAUUUUUAAAAUAAUUAUUUUUAAAAAUAUAAUUUUAAUUAUUUUUUAUUUUUUUAAAAAUAAAUUUGUUAUUAUUUUAUUUAUAAAAUAUACUUUUUCUUUUUCUUUUUCUUUUUUCUUUUUCUGUGGCCGACCGUUGGCCACAAGCGAGUCUCGAGCUCGCUCAACGCCGGCGAGCUCGAGGCUCACCAGAUCGGCGAAGCUCGAGCCUCGCCCAACAACGGCGAGCUCGAGUCUUGCCAGAUUGGCAAGGCUCGAGCCUCGCCAGCGUCAGGUGAGCCCGAGCUCGCCCCUCACCGGAUCUGGUGAGGUUCGAGCCUCAUCGGACAUCGGUGAGGCCUUUGCCUUGCCAGAUAUGGCAAGCUCGAGGCUCGCCGGUGUCGGGUGAGCUUGAGCUCACCCCUUGCCAAGCGUCGGGGCCUCACCAGAUCUUGCGAGGGGCGAGCUUGAGGCUUGCCUAACCGGUCGCCGGCCAUCGCCAUGCCGGCGACUAGAGGAAGAAGAAAGAAAAAAAAAAAGGAAAGAAAAAAGAAAAAAUAAUUAUAAUGUCGGUUUUUAUAAAUAAAAAAAAAAUUGCAAAGUUAAAGAGAGAAGAGAAAGGUUGUGACUUGUGAGGUUUUGAGUGAAAAUAAAUGGAUUCAUUUUUAAUGGGUUGAUAAAUAGAUCUUAAAUGGAUCAGAGAGCUGACCCAUAUGAGUCUGACUCAUAUAUCUCAUUCUUGACCCAUAAAACCCAUUAUGGGUGCUUUAGGAAAUAAACCUUGACCCAUUAACGACCCAUUUAAACAUAAAUGGGUCCAUAAAUGGGUUAAUGACCCAUUUUGACACCGAAGCAUAAUCAUCUUGAUUCUCAGGCAGUAAAGAACAUAACGCAGAUCUCUGCUCGUCUUCUUCUGGUGGGCUUUACAUACGUUGCGGUUUGUGGAUGGCAGCAGAGAAUGAUCUCCAUGACUGAAAAACGGAGUCUGUUUCUCUAUUAUUCUUAUAUGCUUUGUUGGGACAUUCUUGUUGCAUUACUUGAAAUUGUAUAGGGUACUUGACCGGCUUUCACUGGUCCUGCGGCCGAUAACCAACGUUAGACAAAGAAUCCACUAACCGCCAUGUUCAUCCUUCUUCAUGUAAAAAAUCUUGUGAAAUAAGAUCAAAUCUUUGUAAAAAUUUGUAACCCAACUUUUCUUUUUGGUCGCACUUUUUGCUUGUCAUCUAGUCUUAUCUUAAAUUCUUGAUAUCACUUUUGCACGAAUUACUUAUUUCGUUCGGAGCAUUACCUAUUGUGUUCGCGUAAAUUAGCAAUAAGGACAAAACUGAUGAUAUUAACUGCAGCACAUUUUAUAUAUUCAAUUAUCAAUUAUCAUAACUUAUAAAUUAACUUGAUUAAUUGAGUAAUAUGUUGAGGAAAAAGCCAUUGCCCACGCAGCACAAUAUGAGUAAUUUCGGGCUUUUUGGUUAACCAAAAUUACUUUUUUGACCCUAAUACUCUUUGUUGGCAAUAUAGGGCUCGAAUGAUAACCAUUUGGCUAGAAAUUAAUUUCUAGAAGAGAAAUAGAUUUUUCUAUUUUUAUUCUUGGAUGAAUUUCCAAGCAAAAAUACGUGUUUAAUAAUGAUAUAAAAUUUCUAUUUCCAAAAUAGAAAUUCGCUUUAUAAAAAUACAAAAUUUCUUCCGCCUAAGUGGUGGUGGACAGCAGACAGAGGCAAAUGUCGGUCGACGACCAGUGGCAGCGGUUGGUGGUUAGCAGAUGAUAAUUGGUGGCUGGCGAUCGAUGGAUGAAGAGUGGUAGCAAACAACGACGACAGCAGUUGAUAGACAACGAUUGAGCAGACGAUAGACAACGGCCAGUAGUGAUGGAUGGGCUACUGGAUAGAAGUAAAGACGAACGAUAAGAAAAAAUUUUAUUUCUCAUUUUUGUUCUAGAAAUAGAGAAGUAAAAAAUUCUGAUUUCUGUUCCAAAUCUAAUUCUAGAGUUAAAAUUUAUUAUAAAAAUAGAAAAAUGAAAUAAUUUUAUCAAAUAGAUUUUUAUUUCAGAAACAUAUUCAGAAUAGAAAAAUAGUUUAGUAUUAGAAAUAUAAUAGUUAUCAUAUACUUUGCUUUUUCUUGCACUUUGCUUUUUGGUCUUCCGAGGAGUCAUCAUGAUUUCAACUUUUAGAAAAGAGGAGAGCCUCUGUUCUUCUUUUCAUACAUUGUGUUUGAUCAUUGACAUGGAUACUCGUUUAGCAAGUAAUUUUUUAAUAAGUUACUACAGUCUUCUCGAAAGUAUCAACUCGUAUUUACACUUCAAAAUUUACUAUAUGCUUUCAUAACCUACCAAGUUUAUCAAACUAGUGUUGAAAACGCUUAGAUUAAAAGCAAAUAAUUUUGAUAUCCAAACUAAUCGUCAUUGUGAUGGCACAGAUUGUUUUCUUCACUCUGUGCCCAGUGGUCGACCUCCAUUAUCAGAACCAGAGCCUCGUUCAGUUGAAACAACUUUGACAAUUGAAGCAUUUUCAUAGCUGAAAACACAUAGGACAUCGUUGAGAAGAUAUAUACCAGUCCAAAAAAAAGUGCACAAGUAAAAUAUCUAUGAAAGGAUGCAAGGGGGAUCAUCGAUCACCUCCAACGAGGUAUGGAACACAUUAUAACAAGAUAUUCAAACCAUGUUCAGACAUCACGCAACAUGCUCGGAAUAUCACGAAAUUAGAUAAAAGAGUGGUGUUCAAAUAAUGAUCCAGUUUCCUAAAGUAGUCCACCACAUUCGUUGUUUUAUCUCCGGCACCAUCAAGCACAUUGUGUGGGUUAGUUGCAUCGGGCGAUGGAUAUUUAAUUAGUAAAAGAAAUAUCAGUCGCUAUCUUUGAAAGUUGCAGAAUCCUAAUAGACUAAAAUUUCAACUCGACAACUAUCAAUGGGAAAGAAUGACCAUAAAAGUUCUAAAUCUAUUAUAAUUAUGCAAAUUCAAUCAUAAUUUUUUUAAUCAAUUAAGUCAUAAACAUUUUCCAAUUAUGCUAGUUUAGUCAAUCUGGCCAAAUUUUACUAGCUAAUGCUUACGUGAUAAUUUUUUAAUAUUUUUUAAAAAUUUUGUAUUAAUUUUUUUUUCCUUUUUCUCUUCUCCCUCCUUUGGCUUCAUUUCUUCGCAAUGGCUGGCGAGGCUCUAGUGAGGCUCACCGACCAUUGAGCAAGGGCUUAGCUUGCCAAUGCCUCAUAGGCCACUACAAGUAAAAGAAGCCAAAGAGGAAGAAGGGAAAAAGGAAAAUGAAAAAGUAAAAAAAUAAAAAUAAAUAAAUAAAUAAAUAAAAUUAAUAAAAAAAUCGAAAAAAAUACUAAAAAAAUGAUUUAAAAAUUUCCAUGUCAGUAUGGAUCGAAAUUGUCGGCUAGCAUCUACCUCAAUGGUGCCCAGCCAAAUUUGGUCGAAUUGACUCAAUUUGUAGAAUUAUAAAAUGUUUAUGAUUAAAUUGGCCUAAAAAAAAAAAUUAUGUCCAUCCAAACUUUUAGUCCAAUCUACUCAAUAAUCUUUUCAGAUCCAGUUUUUGUCGAUAUUCAACUUUGCUUUGAGGCUUCCAUUAUCGGCCUUCUCUUGUUGGAUUGACGUCCUCACCGAAUGUCCUUUUUUUUUUUUUUUUUUUGCUUUUAGCCCGCAAGUGAAAAUGUCCCUUUCUUGGAUUCUUAACAAAUGAUCCACUUAGCAAUCUUUGCAACUUUUUGAUAUAUAAUAUAUAACAGAUAUGUGCAUUUAAGGUCUUAAAACUUGUCACAAAAUUGUAAUUAAGUGCUGAAACUUUACAAAAAGUGCAGUCGAGUCUUAAAAUUUACUAAAUUGGUAUAAUCAAUAUUAAAGGCGUAAGUCAUAGUUCAAUGUUAAAUCCAAACUCAACAGAUGCUGAAUUUGGAAAGGAGUUCCUUACCUACCGAAAGUCGUUGUCUGUGGCAGAAGAUGACGCAGUGGAUUUUAGUUUUGAUACAGUUGGCAAAGGCAAGAUAAAGAAAUUCAACCUUGAUAGACUAUACAUGAACCUUAAAGUAUAGGUAGCUAGUUAAUAAGCCAGUAUGGAUGUGAAAUCUACAUUUAAUAUUAUAUCUUCAUACUUGUGUUGGUUACAUAUACUCACCGGGAGAAUUACCAAAAAAGUCAUAAACCUAUUGCAAUUGUGCCAAUUCAAUCCUAAACUUUUUUUUUGUCCAAUUAGUCCUAAACCUUUUAUAAUUGUGUAAAUUUAGUCCAUCCGGCCAAAAUUGGCCGGCCGACACUGACGUGGACGUCGGCGGGGGACAGCUGGCUGGCGAGGUAAUUUUUUAAUAUUUUUUAAUAUUUUUUUUUUCGAAUUUAUAUAUAUAUUUUUAAUUUUUUUUUUUUUUGCCUUCUUCUCCAUCCUCUGGCCGGACGCCGGCCAGAGGUGAGGGCCGGCGAGGUCAGCCUCGCCGGCCACUGGCAGAGGCGAGCCUCGCCCAGCGACGACGAGGCGGCCGUCGCCAGAUCUAGCGACGCUCAACCUCGCCAUGGUUGGGCGAGGCCGAGCCUCGCCAGCUCUGGCGACGGCCACCUCGCCGGCCACUGGUGAGGGCGAGGGUCGACCUCGCCUAGUGGCCGGCAAGGCUGCCGUCGCCAUCGCCACCUCCACCGCCUCCCCCGUCCCCCCGAUCGUCGGCACGAUCUCCCCCUCCGAGCUCAAGCGGCCCUCCCCGGCCGUGACCGUUGCCAAAACCCUGUUCCAACGCCUCUGGACCGACGAGGACGAGAUCGAGCUCCUCCGUGGGUUCCUCGACUACACCACACAGCGCGGCAGGGCCUUGCCCUUGCCAGUGGCCGGCGAGGGCCGAGCUCGUCGGAUCUGGCGAGGCCGCCGUCACCAGAUCUGGUGAGGCUCGGUCUCAGCCCAGCCAUGGCGAGGUCAAGCCUCGCUAGAUCUAGCAACGGCCGCCUCGCCGUCGCUGGGCGAGGCUCGCCUCCGCUGGGCGAGGCUCGCCUCCGCCAGUGGCCGGAGAGGUCAGCCUCGCCAGCCCUCACCUCUGGCCGGCGUCCGACCAGAGGAAGGAGAAGAAGGCCAAAAAAUAUAUAUAUUUAAAAUAUUUAAAAAUUCGAAAAAAAUAUUAAAGAUAUUAAAAAAUAUUUAAAAAAAUUACCUCGCCGGCCGGCUCCCCACCGGCGUCCACGUCAGUGCCGGCAGGCCAAUUUUGGCCGGAUGGACUGAAUUGGCACAAUUGCAAUAGAUUUAUGACUUUUUUUGGUAAUUCUCCCUAUAUUCACCCCUGUACAAUUACCUCUUUGUGUAAAAUAAUGUCCGUGGUGAUUAAGUGAGGCAUGCUUCACAUACUAUUCAACCACUUCAAAAAUCAUCAAAACGAUGGAUGAUGGUGAAGUUGCAUCAAAGCUUGUUACAAUCUCACUUUUAUGAGAGUGGGAUAUAUCUCUGCUUUCUGUCGAUUGAUUGUUAGAAAACCCUUUUCAGGGAUGUCGAUUUUAACCUGGACGCUGACUUUGACAAGUUUUUAUCUUUCAAAGUGGACAUGCGAGAUCUUGAUUUAUCCUGUCCAUCUAAGAAAUCUCCAAACAAGGAUAGAAGUGAAGUAGAAUCACCCGAUGAAGGAAAUUCCAAGAAAAUAUUUUAUUUGUGCUUUGAUUUUAACGAGUCAGACAGCUUCACAAUGUAUACAUUAGGGCUUAUUCUUUGAUACAUAAGGUUAUAUUUUCAUAAGGUUAUAUUUUCAAGUGAAGGGAAAUUUCAUGACUUGUGAUUUCAAUCUAGGAACUUAGCAAUCAUUUGUGCUAUCCAACUAAUUUCUCCACUUGUUCUUUAUCAUCAACAUCAUCAAGUAUAAUGACAACUUUCUUAUUGCAAAGUACUUGUUGAAUGCUCUUCAUUCUAGAAUCAAUUUCAUUAAUGGUCCUGGUUCUCGCAGGAUGGCUAAUUUUGGAUAAUAACCUUUUAUUGCAAGUCAACUAAGCCAUCCGUUUUCAAUGACUUCGCUCACAUGUCUUCAAGGAAACAACAAUACUUUCCAAAAUGAAAAGAGAGUUGGUUGAAAAUGACUUUGGCUAGAGUAGUUUUACGGAUACCACCCAUGCCAUAUAUUUUAAUGAGUCUCACACCAUUGGAGUCAAUGUCUAAUAAGUUGCUUACUGCUAGUAUUUGCUUGUCAAUUCCAACUAAAUGCUCAGUCACCAAUCUAUGUUUUGUCUUCAAUUUUUUCAGGACCACUUCAGCUACCAAUUCAAUUAGCUCCCCGUGGCUGUUGUGACCAUAGAAACCCAUCUUACCUGGUGAAAAAUGCAAAAUCGUGAUUACCAAGCAAGAAGUGAUGUUAUCCAAGCACUGAAUAAAAUACACAAUGAUCCGAUAAGUAACGGGACCUUAAUAAUCUAGAAGUGAUAUUCUAAAAUGUCGAUAAGAAGACCAUAGGAAAUAUGGGUCGUUGAGAAAGUGGCUGAAACUUGAACAAGGGAGUCAAGUAACUUUUCAUGACGAAGACCAUAAGCUCGAAUGCUAUUGGUCGAUGAGAAAGAGGGCCCGUCUUGAGAAAAUAAUUGUUCGGUGAAUAGGAAAAGAAAAACCAAAAUUGAUGAUGUGAAAUUUCAGCCAGAUUGGAUAUUCUUAGAAAAAUAUAGAAUUUUCUAUUUAUCUAUUUUUCUUUCUCAACUUCUUCUUUCCUUGUAACCACUGUUGAUAUAUAUUGGAUAUUUUUAGGAAAAUCUAAUUUUGUAAUACUCCAAGCAUGUUGCGUGAUGCCUCCGACAUGGCUUGAGUUUCUUCUUAUAAUGUGUUCCAUGCCUUUUUCAAGAUAUUCGAUGAUUCCUUGCAUCCUUCUGUAGAUGUUUUAUUCAUGCACCUUCUUGUGGACAAGCAUAUUUCUUCUCAACGAUGUCCUAUAUGUUUUUGGCUAUGAAAAUGCUUCAAUAGUCAAAGUUGUUUCAAUUGAAUGAGACUUUAGUUCUGAUUAAUGGAGGUCGACUAUUGGGCAUAGAGUGAACAAAAUGAUCCAGGCCAUCUUGGUGACGAUUAAUUUGGAUUUUAAAAUUAUUUGCUUUAAUUUAAGCAUUUUCGACAUUAGUUUGAUAAUAUUGGUAGGUUAUGGAAACAAUUCGUAAAUUUUGAAGUGCAAAUAGGAGUCGAUACUUUCUAAAAACUGUUAUAGUAACUUACUAAUAUAUUACUCGCUAAAUGAAUAUACAUGUCAAUGAUCAAACACCAUGUGUGAAAGGAAGGACAGUGGCUCUCUUCUUUUCUAAAAGUCAAAAUUAUGAUGAUGCCUUGGAAGACCAAGAGGCAAAGUGCUGGGAGUCGCUUAGAAAAAGCAUACUCCUAAAUGGCCGACAAAAAGGUAAAGUUGGUUACCAAAAAAGCCCAAAAUUACUCGGAUUGUGCUGCAUGGACAAUGGCUUUUUCCUGAACAUGUUACUCAAUUAUUCAAGUUAAUUAAUAAGUUAUGAUAAUUGAUAAUUGAAUAUACGAAACGUGCCGCAGUUGAUAUCAUGCUUUGAAAGGAGAACGUAAGUUUUCUUUUGAUUGCCAAUUUACACAAACACGACAGGUUAUAGUGAUAUAAUGAAUUUAGGAUAAGGUUAGCGUCCGACAAUAAUUAUGACAAAAAAGAAAAGUCAGUUGACAAAUUCUACCGAGAUCUGAUCUUAUUCCACGAGAUUUUUUUCACAUGAAGAAGGAUGAACAUAGCGGCUGAUGGAUUCAAAGUCUAAUAUUGGUUACAAGUCCCAGGACCGUGAAAGCCGCUCGAGUACCUAAUACAAUUUCAAGUAAUGAAACAAGAAUAUCCCAACAAAGCAUUGGAGGUCGUUCUCUGCCGCCAUCCACAACCCACAACAUACAUAAAGCACAUCAGAAGAAGACGAACAGAGUUCUGCAUUAUGUUCUUUACUGCAUGAUAAUCAAGAUGAUUAUUCUUCUUGAGGAAAGGGAAUUUGUGUCUGUAUCGUCCGAUAAGACAGCUUGCUUGUAAACAGAGAUUCACUGGGUACCUAGUCUUAAGCUAGAUUAGCAUCAGCCUGUGCAGCACUUUUGUAGCAAUUUUCAAAUGAAAACUUUCAUUCUUCAUCAGGAUAUCUUAGGACUGUCAACAUUUUCGCCCCCAUCUAUUUCUUCAUGUUGGAAACGUUAGAACUACGAAAAGAAAAUGGAAUUGGGCGUGGCCGUGGAGAACAACGGUUUCAAAAUCAAUGACGACAAUGAUGGCAGCAUCCAUGAAUGGAGGCUUUGCAAAAGAUGAUUGGGCUCUACCUACAUCUUUCUUGUGAUCUCAAUUUGUCUAAAAUCAAUCUGUUCUGAACAUGAAAACAUUUGUUUUGAGAACUUGUCUUCAGUAGUUGUUGAAAAAGGCAAUGUCACACUUUGAAGCUUUCUUGGAAGGAUAUUGCAGGGUUCAAGGAAGGUUCCCAGAAGCAUCUCCUUACUCAAAAGAAACAAAACAAGAACUGAUAUUGUACAUAAAACUGAGAUUUUCUUGUUUUUUUUUUUCGACAGGUAAAGUUACUUUUAUUUUUCCAAACAUGGGACCUGCAACUUGCAUGCGCAUUUGAAGAAGUAUUUAGCCACUAACUUUGGUUUUUUUAAUUAUCCGCCAAUAGCAUUCGAUCUAAUGGUCUUCCGUCGAAAAAAAAAAAAAAAAGAUCUUCUGUUUCAAUCAUUUUAUAGGUUCAGGGAAGGUUCCCAGAAGCAUCUCCUAAUUCAAAAGAAACAAAACAAGAACUGAUUUCAUACCUAAAACGGAGACUUUCUUGUUUUUUUUUUUUUUUUCCAACGGGUAAGAUACUUUUAUUAGCCCGAUAUAAGGAAAGGGUGGAUCAAAGAGAAUAAAUAAAAUAUUGUGUGCAAAAAAGCAAAGAAAAUAAAAAAACUAAUCAUACUUGAAAUGAGGUAAAUUAAUGCAUAAUGAAAGUUUAAUUCCUUGACUUCCACGUAUGUCAUGCCAUAAUCUCGUUCUUCCGAACUGUUGCACAUGGGGCCUGCAACUGCACGCGCGACAAGCCAGCUAGCUGUGACCGUCCUCAGAUGUAAACGUUCUCAGUUGGCUUUGGCUCCUGCUAAUGGGGCCUUCAACUGCAUUCACAAGUGUGUCGACCACAACUUUAGUUUUUAUUUUUAAUCAUCGACCAAUAGCAUUCGAUCUUAUGGUCUUCGUCGUAAAAAAUCGCUACAUCCUGUUUCCACCAUCUUUUCAUAGACCCAUAGAAUUCUCCUAUACCUACAUUAUUUGCUCAUAACGUGUUGACGCGGAAUAUUUUCUGUUUCCACCAUCUUUUCCUAGACCCAUAGAAUUCUCCUUACUACAUCAUUUGCUCUUAACGUGUUGACGCGGAAUAUUUCUCUACUGAAGAUCAUCGAGCGAGAGACGGAGAGAGGGAAAGAGAGGUCUGCUUAGCUGUGCAAAUUACUGCUAUGGCAAGCUCCAAUGCUAGAACAUCAUCGGGAAGCAAGUACCAAGUGUUCCUGAGUUUCAGAGGACCUGACACUCGGACUGGAUUUACCGAUGUCCUCUUUCAUAGUUUGACCGAUGCUGGAAUCCACGUGUUUCGAGAUGACGAAGAGCUCCGUGUCGGUGAAAGAAUCGAUGGAGCACUUCUGCAAGCGAUCAACAACUCCAGGAUCUAUAUGCCGGUCUUCUCUCGGAACUAUGCUUCGAGCCAAUGGUGUCUUUGUGAGCUCGCACAGAUCGUGGCAAACACCUCGAAAUCGGAAGGUAAUAAAGAGAUCCUACCUAUUUUCUUUGAUGUGGAACCUAACGAUGUUAAAUUGAAAACCCCACUAUAUCACAAUGCCAUACUCAAUUUGGAGCACAAGAAGAAGUUGAGCAACGAGCAAGUAAAUGUUUGGAGAGAGGCCCUCAUGGAGGUUGAUGCCAUAAAGGGGUGGGAGGUGAAGAAAUACAAAGGGUAAGCUAGCUAUUUUCAAGAUACUUGUUUCCCUAAUUUUCCUUAACACUUAAUAAUAGAUCUCAAAAUUCCAGAAUGAUUGAGGUGGGAUUUUUAUUAUAGUAAUACUAAAUGAUGAAUCUUUACGUCUACAAAACAAAAUAUGAAGACAUGAUAUUCAACUUCUACAGUUGUUGGUUGACAAUUGCACAAAUUUUUAUACAACAAUUUUGCUCGAAAAUCCCAAGAUUGCUACUCUCAUGUUGGAAUCAAGUUGAAUUUCGGGUCAUGACAUAGCAUCAACGUUGUCAAGGGCUUAAAAGUAUGUUUUGGAGAGACGUUAAUGUCCAAUAUGGACUUUUAGAAUAUCACUCCUAGGUUUAAGGUCCCAUUACUUAUCAGAUCAUUGUGUAGUUUAUCCAAUGCUUGAAUGACAUCACUUCUAGUUAGGUAAUCGUGAAUUUUCUCACUAAAAUGGAUUUUCAUUGUGGCAGCCACGGAGAACUAAUCAAAUUGGUAGUUGCGAAGGUUGUGGAAUGUUUGAAGUCAAAACAUAGAUUGGUGACUGAACAUUUAAUUGGAAUCGAUGAUCAAGUAGUAGCAGUAAGCAAAUUAUUAGAUGUCGAUUCCGAUGGUGUGCGACUUGUUAAAAUUUAUGGCAUGGGAGGUAUUGGAAAAACUACACUUGCCAAGGUCAUCUUCAACCGACUUUCUUCUCAUUUUGGAAAGUGUUGUUGUUUCCUUGAAGAUGUUCGAGAGAAGUCAUCAAGAACCGAUGGCUUAGUUCACUUGCAAGAAAGGUUACUAUCCGAAAUCGGUCAUCCUGUAGGAACAAAGAGCAUUGAUGAAAUUGAUUAUGGAAUUAAGAGGAUUGAAGAAAUACUUUGUAAUAAGAAAGUCCUUAUUGUACUCGAUGAUGUUGAUAACAACAAACAAGUGGAGAAAUUAGUUGGAAAUAUUACUUUAUAUUAUGGAUCCAAGAUAUUGAUUACAACUAGAAAUAAAGAUAUCUUGCAAGUCAAUAGACAAAAGUAUCAGAUUUUGGAUUAUGAAAUGGAGGUGAUGAGCGCUAGACAUGCGCUUGAGCUUUUCAGUAGGCAUGCAUUUAACACAGACUUUCCUUCAAAUGAUUAUGAUUAUCUUUCAAGGGAGAUUGUAUUUGCUACCGGGAGACUUCCAUUAGCUCUUGAGGUGAUUGGUUCGUUCCUCUACCACAAACCGCAAGAACUAUGGAAAGAGACAUUGCAUAAGUUAAGAAAAGCACCUCAUGAGGAUGUUUUUCAAAAGUUGAAGAUCAGCUAUGAUGCCUUAAAUUUCGAGCAACAACAAAUUUUUCUCGAUAUUGCAUGCUUUUUCAUCAAUAAAGAUAAGGCGAAUGCAUUCUACCUAUGGAAAGGUUGUGAGUUUUUCCCAAAUACAGGAGUUGCUGCUCUCAUUGACAUGUCUUUGGUAAAGAUUGUGGAGAAUGAUAAGUUUUGGAUGCACGAUCAACUUAGAGAUAUGGGAAGAAAAAUUGUUCUCCUAGAAAAUCCAAUAAAUCCCGAGGAGCGGAGUAGGAUAUGGAUUUGUGAGGAGGCUCUUAAUGCAAUAAGACCAAAGCAGGUAAAGCACUUAUGGAGAGAUCUAACUAGUUUUUCCCAUAGAUUCCACUCCAUUGUACCUUCUUGGGUUUUUUUUUUUUUUUAUAAUCCUUUGGCUCUAUGAGAUAGAAUACUGAUAUCACUCAUUUCCUAUUCUCAUUUGUAGAUAAACAAGAAAGUUCAAGCACUAUCUCUUUAUUCAUCUAGACAAAGUAUGUGUGAUGUCUUUGUUCGAAUUAAAUGGAUUGGAAGGUUGGAACAUCUAAGAUUCCUUAAAUUAUCUCACUUAGACCUUGUUGGAGAUGCAACAUAUUGCCUUCCCAAAUCAACAUGGAUUUCUUUGAGUUAUUUUCUGCAAAAAUGGACCAACACGUGCCUAAAGAAUUUAGUCGUUCUUGAAUUUGUCAAUGUUGCUUUCCUUGGUAAUUUGGAAUUCUCAAUCAAGGUGCGUAAUAUUCUUAUUCCUAUUUUAUUUUCUUGGAAAGUAAUAUUCGAUUGUUCAUCUAUUGAGUAUUGCUUUCAUUUUGACAGAUGGCAACAAAAUUGAAAGUUCUUUCUUUCAAAUAUUGUCCAGACAUAAUCAAAACACCUGACUUCUCUAGAUGCCCCAAUUUAGAGAAGCUUACUUUCAGAUGUUGUCACAAUUUGAGGAAAAUCAAUGGCUCUAUUGGGAAGUUGAAGUGUUUGAUUGAUUUGAGGAUUCAUUGCAAUUCUCUCAAACAUUUGCCUAAAGAAAUCGGGGACCUAGUGAAUCUGCAGUAUUUUGAUGUACAUUGCUAUAAAAUGAAGAAACUCCCGAAUUUCAUAUGGAAGUUGAAAUCAUUACGUGAGUUGCACUUUCGAGGUUGUACUUCUAAUGAUUUAGAUUAUGCAAAUUCAUGGACGAUACCUUUUGCUAUUGGAAUGCUCCAAAAUUUGGAAGUGCUUCAAGUCCAUAAUCACUCUUUACAAGGUCGACUUCCUUCUAGCAUUGGAAGUUUGUUCUUUCUAAGAAUCCUAAAUCUAUCAGAAACUUAUGUCAGUGAAGUUCCAAAGACCAUCAGCAUGCUUCCUCGGCUACAAAGAAUCGAGUUGAUGGGAUGCGACAAUAUUCAAGAGUUGCCGACCCUCCCAACAAGUUUAACCCAUCUAAAGGUGUCAUCUAAAUUGUUGCGGGUAGUCUCAGAUCUUUCAAACUUGACUAAUUUGGUUGAGUUGGUUCUAGGUGAUCAUGGAAUAGUAAGAGAUAAAUCUUGUGCCGAUGAGUUACAGUGGAUUGGGAAGUUAUCCAAACUGACCAAAUUAUGGUUCGGACUUCACAAUGUCCCUAUUCAUACUGAGAUGGCUUCCCUUCCUAUGCUAAACGAACUUUAUUUGGAUGGAUUCAACCUACAAACCUUUCCACAACUACCCUUAUCUCUGGAAAAGCUAAUGCUUAGAAAUUUCAAUUCAGUUGCAUUAGCCUAUCUGAACCCAAGAAAUUUGUUAUGUUUAGAGCUGUAUGAUUCUCCAUUGCAAGAACUACCACUUGAUGGGUCUCAACUUCCACAGCUAAAGAAGUUGCGUGUGGAAGGCUGGCAACGCCUCGAAAGGUUGAGGCUAUCAAGAAUGAGGAAGCUAAAUGUUGUCGAGGUGAUUUUUUGUGUAAAGUUAGUUAAGAUCCAACUUUCUUGGGUGUUCAAAUCAAUGGAGUUAUUGACUAUUGACAAUGGCGAGUCCUUAGAAAGGAUAGUUUAUAAGUCAGAUAAUGAAUUGCUUGGUUGUGGACGGAGGCUAAUUUUACCGCCGAGAGUCUUAAAAAAGUUGCGUUUUCUCAACCUGCGGGGGUGCCUUAAGAUAUUCAACGUUCAAGUUGUAGGUACGUUGGAAUUGUUGGAAGACUUUCGCAUUAACGGUUGUCUUUACUUGCAACAUCUCGGUGAUUUGUCAAACUUAAAGAACCUAAAGUCUUUAUCAAUCCGGGGCUGCAAGAGGCUACGGGAUGUUGAGGGCGUCGACGAGUUGGAGUUUCUGAACCGUUUAGCACUUAUUGAUUGCGGAUCGUUGGAAAGGUUGAUUGAUGUGUCAACCACCAAACUGCCAAAUGAUUGCCAUGUGUGGAUCAAAAGGUGCGGGAGAUUACCUGGGGUUAAGAAAGGAUUCAGCGGCUCCGUCCAGUCCUUCAAGCAUUAUAAGGCGAGUCUGGAUCAUUCUCUCUAUUUCUUUUUUAUAUAAUUUCUUGACGCAACCGUCCACGAACACCAAUUCAACUCUAAGGUAGAUAUGUAAUAAUGGUGAGAAAUUAAAAAAUAAACAAAAAUCAAUUAAUAUUUGAUCUCACUUAUUUUAAAACCCACUCGAUAUAAGUUUGUUUUAUUUUCAGCUCACGUUUUUUUUUUUUUUUUAGAUGAGAAAGUUCUGUUCUAUAUGUGCAGCAAAUCUAUGGGACAAGGUCAGCUUUUAUCAAAAGUCAUUGGAAAAAUUGCAAUUUUUAGCGAAAAAUAAAAUAAAAUAAUUUAGAGUAUCUCAUUAAAAUGUUCUUUUCACUUUAUAUGAAAUGAAUUGUUUAUUUAGCAAAUUUUUAUGCAAUACACUCCACUUUAUUGUCAUUUCUUACUUAAUACAAUUCAUUAUGGAGAUGAGUUUAGUGAUUUGCAAUUUCCACAAUGAAAAUAGAACACUAAAAGAAUCCUAUACUCAUUGCACAACUUCAAUAGAAUUUUCUGAGGGAAUUCUUUCAAGAACACAACUUAAAUGGUCCACGGAUCCACAAAUCGGCUGACUUAUGUUAUUGAUGGAGUUGAGCGUUAAUUGAAUUUGCAUGUGGAUGGGGUCGGCCAAUUAGGAUGCGUGUUCCACAAGCAUCUAAAUAUUUAUUAAGAUUUUUCAUUCUAAAAAAAAACAAUGAAAAUCUAAUUUUUGAAAGUCUGCAUCCUUCCCGGUUUUUGACCGUGUUUGUUAAUGGCCACUUUAAACAUCGUUCAGACAUUUAUUUUUUCAGUUGUGAGGAAUUUCGUUUCAUUUCAUCGACCGGCUUCCACUACGCUAGAUAGAGAAGGGGAAAAUGAGGAGGAAAUGCUUCGUCUACUAAAUUUAUAACUAACCCCGAUCUUAUUAUUAUUAUUGGGUAAAAACAUAUUGUUUUUUCUAUCUUAGGAGUUUAUAUCUAAGGCAGAUAAUGGGUCAGACCAAUAAAUGCCUUACUAAUGUCAUGGAUAUAGGUAGCAUACGAGUCAAAGACAGGGCAGAUGGCUGUGAUGUAAAAAUGUUUUUUUUUUAUUUGUCGGUGUGAUGCAAAAUUGUUUACAUUUGGUGAAAUGGAAAAUCGAACUCGUUUGAUAUGCAUAAUCCACAUGCACAAUUUCGUUCUAAUCCUACAUGAUUUACGACAUUUCCUUGUGCGAUAUUGUUUCCUCUUCUAUAUUGAUCCUUUCUCAUAUUUCAAUCUCAACAAAUACAGCCAAAACUUGUAUGUAUGACUUUCAUCAGUUUCUUUUGAGGAUUUUAAAGCAACUCCUAUCUAUUUGAUUGCAUUAUUUUAUUCAUGCCAUUCCUUUUUCGAAAGCUUUCUCCUAAAACUGGCUAUGAUUUUAUUUUUCAGGAAUCAGACUUUGAUUUGACAACAUGUUUCGGACGCUUGUGAAGUUUUGAAGGCAACCCGCACAAUAAUUGUUAGAAUGCAGGGAGGGAACUAGCAUAAUUUUUUAUCGGGGUCAUUGCACUGAAGAGUCCAAAGGUUUCUGAGAAUGAUUUCUAGUACCAGGACAUCAACUUAGGAUGCAGGUGUGACCUCAUCAUUUUCAAGCUAGAAAGAUGAUUUACCCUUGUGGCAGAAUUAAGAGAGUUGUCGUUCCUCACAUCAACAUUUCUUUGAAUCCUUAAAGGAUUCCUCGCUUGAAUUAGUUAUUUCAGGAUUGUCCCAUCUCUUUUCGAUUGGUCUUAGACAACUCAUUCAAAUUGCCCGUCUUGCAAGAAGAACUGCAAAAGUUUAGUACGGGCAGAUUAAGCAUAUGCAGAAUAAUGUUGUGUGAAAGGCCUCAUCCAAUAUAUGAAAUCUACUUGUUAGAGCUGGCAAUCUCUCCAAGACGGGAUAUGACAUAACAUGAACAUCAUCAUAUGUAGAACAGAAAUGGCAUGGCAUUGAUACAUCAUACUCUCUCAUUUCACGUGACCCAACAUGAAUAUGUCAGGCCACAGCACAUUGUGAGCCCUACUUCCAGGCUUGUAUCUUCUAAUAGCUAAUUUUGUCAUACAUAACCAGAACAAAGAUGUCACUAUCCUCUUUAGAGCAUAUUACGGUGAAUUUCAUAUAAGCUUUCGUGGCAAAUAAUAAUGGAAGACUUAGAAUUGAGAUACAAUUGCAAGUGAAAGUUCACAAUUUCAAUAGUUGAUAUGUAUAUCUAUUUUCUUGUAUAUAAAAUACAUCACCAAAAUAAUUAAUCACGGUAGACAGUAGUUGAUAUGUAUUGUUGGUUGAAACGUUCACGCAAGAUUGGCUGUGAUUUUAUUUCUUCAUGAGUCACGUUUUGAUCAGAUUUUGACAUGUUUUGGAGGCUUGUGCAAUUUUGAAGACGACUCUGAUGAUGAUUUUUAGCAUGCAGGGACGGACUAGCAUAUCAGUUUAGUGGGGCCAAUGCACUGAAGAGUCAAAGUUUCCAAGAAUGGUUUCAAAAACCGGGACAUCAAGUUUUGAUGCAGAUGAGAUCUCACCAGUUUCAAGCUCGAUAGAUGAAUUGCCCUUGCGGCUGAUUUAAGGGAAAUGCUGUUCUUCGCAUCAACAUUUCUGAUCCUUGAAUCCUUGUAAGAUUCGUCGCUGGAACUAGUUACUUCUGGAUCAUCGCAUAUAUUUUCGACUAGUUUUGACAACUCAUUCAAAUUGCCCGUCUUGCAUGAAGAGCUGCAAAAAUUUAGUACAAGCAGAUUAAGCAUAUGCAAUAUACUGUCGUCCAAAAGGUCUAAUCCAACAAAUGAAAAUUACUUGUUAGAUUUGGCAAUGUUUCUAAGACAGUGAUGAUACAACAUGAACAGUAUCAUACAUAGAACAUAUGUGACAUGACAUCGAUACAUCUUUUCUAUAACUAGGAGUUAUUUCAAUCUUAAAAGUAAAUAUUAUUUGAAGGACUAUCCCCCUCCCAUUUUAUGUGACUUAGAAGGUUCAACUCAAAGUUGAAUGAAUCAUGCUACAGCAGAUGGUGAACCCUACUUCCAGGCUUGUAGUCUUCCAUUAGAUAAUCCAAUCAUAUGUUACCAGUGACAAAGAUGUCAAUAUCCUUCUCAUAGCAUAUUAUGAUGAAUUUAAUAUGAGCUUUCUUGGCAAAUAAUAAUAGAAGACUUAGACUUGAGAUGCAACAGCAACAAAAUGAUGAGAGAACAUCAAAAGAUUUUUUUGCACAUAUCUACAUGGGUUGAUCAAAAUAGUAAUAUAAAGCAAUUAGGUGAGUCUCAAAUGUCUCAAUGGAAACUAUGAUAUACAGUCAAACAAAAAAUAUCUCAUUUUACCCUAGAUGUCCAUUCAAUAGCAGAACAAUGAUAACCAGUGCAACUUUUUAUGGGGAGGAGGUAAAAUCCUUCCCAUCAUUCCUUCUGAGGGGAGGGGGUGGCAGCGGGAAGAAGAUAACUUACACAUUACUAACUUGCUGUCAGCUACUGUUAAGUACAUGGGGAAAAAGAAAUUAGUAGAAUUUGAGCAAAAUUUCAUUCAAAUAUAAAGUUACAAUUUGAUUGGGUACAGAUGCCUAACCCCAGGUUGACAAGUGUUUUUCACACUAACAUGGCUUCCUGUCAAAGGAGAUUGACUUUUUGCGUGCUCCCUUGCAAGUGAAUUUAGAUCAACAAGUGACUUUCCCUCAACUUGAGAAUCUUUGGCUUUGUCUCCCAACCUAUUGAACAUUGCGUAAACCAUGUGAUGUUAUAAAGCACUCCAUAUCCAAUCAAAGAAACUGGAAUAAAAUAGAAAAUUUUCAUCCUUUCUCAUUUAGAUGCACAGAAGCAAGUCUUUUACUAAUAAUUUGAGUAAGCUUUCUCCUAGUGAUAGUUCUCGAGAACACUAACUCUUGAUUUCCUCUGAUCCAUCGAAUAAAUUUGAGUGGGUUUGUCCAAGCAUCCUACAGGAAAAGAAAGAGCACAAUGCAUGAGCUACAGGCUCUCUGCUUGGGACAUCAACAUAGUAGUAAAAGUGAACUAAGAAGUGCAAAAAUGUAAUGCUGAUCCACACAAUUUUCUACUCAAAUCUGGAAAUUAUCAUCAAAUGCAUCAAUAUGAUAGCCAAAACCCAAUGAAUGAGUGCAUCAAACUGAUGACCACAAGAACUUGCUGUGUUCCUGUCCUUGGAACAUUGAGCUACAGACGCAUAUUCUUCCUAAAUUCUGAUAAAAUCAACUAUCAAGUCCUUGUUUCUUAAAAAGAGACAUUAAUGACUCAUUGCUCUUAGUAAAUGGCAUAAACUUGCCAAUGUUAUCCUCUUAUAAGUUUUCUGUCCUCUCAUUCCACAAAUCACUUAAAGGUAAGGGAUAAAGUAGGGUCAACCUAAUGACAAACAUUUCACCGUCAUGCAUUACUUUACUCAUAUGAAGAUUUGUGGCAGAUUUGGCCUCUUCUAUAUCAGCCUUAGUAGUAUUCCAAGUAUCAAGAAAAGGUUUACUGCUUUAGUUUGCCUUGCCUUCUGUUCCUGGAACAUGUGACAUAGUUAAACCUUCUAAAUGUACGUUGCCACAAGAAUAUGUGGCUUCCCCUACCAUUUGUUCCUUGUUACUCUGCUCUUCAUAUAAAGCGGAAUUUAAACUUUUGAUGAUAGAAAAAUCCUUUCUUGGAAGCUCUGGAAUGGUACUUAAAUUUUGUAUCAGCCCUGGGCGGAACGUGAAACUUCUCUUGGUACUUUUCAUCUGAUGUACAACCUUGUUGAUUGGAUUCUUGAGCGCACGUGCUGUUUGUCCUAUCCAAAGAAGAUCGUUCUAGGAUUGAAUUUCUACAAGCUGCAGAUAAAGUUAGACAUAGAGUUGAAGUUACAGAAAUCUCUACCAAAACUUAUGAUGUUACUCACACAACGUGUUGAUUCAUCAUUAUCAAUGACAGCUUUAUCUUCACAGUCUGUAAUUGCCUCAGGAAGGAGACUUUUCGAGCCCUGGUGCUCAUUCAUCUCUGUAAAUCUCCCUUUGCUUCCUAUGACCUUCUUCCGACCUUGUUCUCCCUCAGUCAUGGAUGAAUCAAGAUUAGAGCCGUCCAACGUGGAUAGCACAAUGACUGCUAAGGUCCUAAAUGCAAACACGAGUCAUGAAAUUUGUUUCGAGUGUUUCCUUUUUUUUUUGGUAUGAUAUUGUUUCCUCUUAUAAAUAGAUCCUUUCUCAUACUUUAAUCUCAAAAAAUGCAGUUAAAACCUACAUAUAGGACUUUUAUCAGAUUUUUCAAGGAACUUAGAACAGCUUCUAUUUAUUUUCUUGUGCAUGGUAUUCAUUAACAAAUAGGUCAAACACUCUGGACACUAGUUGAUAUGUAUAACUAAUUGGUUUGACUGCAUAAUCUCAAUCAUUUCUUUCCUUUUCUGAAACUUUCAUGGAAGAUUGGUUGCGAUUUUGUUGUUCAGGAAUCACACUUUGAUUGGACCACAUGUUUUGGACGCUUGUGAAGUUUGGAAGACAAGUCUUGCAACAAUGCUUAGCUUGCAGGGAUCGAGCUAGCAUAUUUCUAAGAAUGAUUUCAAAUUCCAGGACAUCAAGUUAGGAGGCAGGUGAGACCUCAUUUUGAGAGAGUUACUAUUUUUCAACGACAUUUAAAAGAUUCUUUGCUUGAAUUAGUGACUUCAGGAUUGAUGCAAAUCUUUUUCGUUGGUUUUGACAACUCAUUCAGAUUGCCUGUCUUGCUUGGAGAACUGGAAAAGUUUAGUACAAGUAGAUUAAGCAUAUGCAGAAUAAUGUUGUGUCAAUGGACUUAUCCAAUAUACGAAUUCUACUUAUAAGUGAAGUACAUGGAAAAAAAAAGUGGUAGAAUUUGAACAAAAUCUCAUUUUGCUCUAAAAUUAUAAUUUGAUUGGGUACAGAUGCUUCACCUCGGUAGAGAAGUGGUGCUCACACUGAUAUGGCUUGUUGUCAAAGGAGAUUGACUAUUCGUGUGCUUCCUCACGAGAGAAUUUAGACCAACAAGCUUUCUCCAAGUUGAUGGCUCUUAAGAAGACCGACUCUUAAUUUCCUCUGAUCUCUUCAAAAACUUUGAGUGGGCUUGUCAAGGCUGUCUACAGGUAAAGAAGGAGGACGAUAUACAAGCUGCAGGCUUUCUUCUAAUAGCAUUCGAUGUAUCAAUAAAAGGUUUAUAGCUUUCAUUUGCCUUCUGUUCUUGGAAUAUGUGGCACAGUUGAACCUUCCGAGCCCUUACCAUAUCUUCCCUGUUACUCUGCUCUUCACCCAAAGUGGAAUUCAAACUUUUGACAAUAAACAAAUCAUUUCUCGGAAUCUCUGGAAUGGUACUUAAAUUUGUAUCAAACCUGGGCUGCACAUUUACUUCUCCUGGUUCUCUUUGAUCUGAUGAAUAACCUUGUUGAUCAGACUCCUGAUUACACAUGCCAUUUGACCUAUACAAAGAAGAUCGUUCUCGGAUUGGAUUUCUACAGGCUGUAGACUUUGGCACCCGAUCAAUUUUUUUUUUCUUGGGUUGGGCAUAGAAGUUAAAGUUACAGAAGUUUUCUCCCUGAAUCUCUGGUGUACCCACACAGUGUGUAGAUUGAACAUUGUCAAUGAUAGCAUUAUCCUCACAGUCUGCAAUUGCCUCGCCAAGGUGAGUUUUUGAGCCCUGGUGCUCAUUCAUCUCUAAAGAUCUCCCUUUGCUUCCUAUAACAUUCUUCCCACAUUGUUCUCACUCAGGCAUGGAUGAAUCAAAAUUAAAGCCAUCCAACGUGGGUAAUUUAAACAUCAGAAACUAUACCAUUAUGUUGUAGAAAAUAAAUUUAUUACUGUAUUAUGAGUCCUCCCAUCGCACUUGGAUCAUCCACUUUCCGGCACAAUGAAGCUCAAUUAAGAUGAAUGACAUGUAACAUGUACAUCAGAACAGCCACUUAUCAUGGUAUCAUUUUUUCUGAAGAGAGAUGCCAUGAAAUAGCAUUAUCUUUGAGCAAAAUCUGUGCCCUGAGUGGCGAAAAUCUCCAACUCAUACCUCAGAAAUCAAGACAAGAGCAGGUAAAUACUGUAAGUAAUAGCGAUUUUCUUUACAUAAGCGCUUACAUUGUGGUGAAACCGCAAGGAACCAUAGACUAUCAGUAAUAGGCUCACAACAAUUAUGAAGAUACAUAUUUAUAGGCUUGUUUCACGGGAAACUACACUUCCCAGUUUCUGAAGUCAAAUGCACCAGAAUACUCAGAUAAACAUUAUAAUUCAGAAAGAAAUCCUUCCCUGUGCCUAAUUUCUAAUGUCAAAGAAGAUGCUCCAAUGAACUCCAUAAAGCCAGUCAACCUCGAUCACAAAGGGGUUUCUGAAACCAAAUGAGCCAAUGAAACAUACAGCAAAAGCCAUUCGGAAACUCGACCCGCUCAUGAAUUACCUCUGUUUUACGCUAUGAAACAAAUAGCAAACACUGACAUUUCACAGUUACGAGCAACAAAAGUUCGCUAGAUCGAGACAAGCAUAGGAUCUCCAGAGAGCAAGGUCCAGCGCGGGAGAGAGAGAUGGACUGGGUCUGAAUAGAGAAGAGAGGAGUAAUCUGGUUCUUCUGAGGUUUAUGAAAGGUGACUAUAUAUAUAUAUAUAUACCUAAGUAAGUCCUUGAAAGAUUCAUCUUGGUAUUCGUUUGAAACUCGGCAUCACUGAAAUAUAAAACAACAAAAGAGUAUUCCUUCCAUUUGAGAUUGACAAAGAUACAAGGGGACUAGGGGGCGAAACGUACAAACACUGAUAUGUUCAAAUAAUGAACCGAUCUGUGGAGCCUACUGCUGUCCAACAGGCUGCAGAGGCUCUUCUAAGAGCUCAAGCUCCCUUCCUUUGACGAAGUUACCUCAUAAUCAAACACCAAUACGAUAAUAAAUAUUAGCUAUAUAUAUAAAACCUCAGAAGUCCUAUUUCACCCCUUCAAUGGAACCAUUUUCGCCAAAUUGCCCCGAAAUUGUUUAAUUUAUUUCAAAUAUUCCCCCCCUCCCCCCAAAACACAUGGGUAAGUUGGUAAUUUCAUAAAAAAUAAUAAUAACUUACCAACAAACCACCUAGAAAAAUCAUCCCGUCCUUUUCUUUUACCAACAAUUCUUUAAUGCUUUCAAAAAAAAAAUCAAAAUUAUCUAUAUAGGAAAAAUUAAAAAAUAAUAUCUUAUGGUACGGAAGUAUAGAAUCGUGGCUCCGUUCCCUCCUCCCCAUAUCAUUCAUUUGACUUUUAGGAUUUAUGGCAUGAAAUGCUCCACGUGUCACAUCCACCAAACUUAACACCCUUCAAAAUCCCAACCACACCUUUAUCUUUAAAAAAAAAAAAAGUUCCAUGGCAUCGACAUUGAUGCGGACCACCUAUAAAUUCUAAAUCCCCAACAAAUAAAGUCAUAACUCUCCCAAAAAUGAAACCCUAACCUUUCCGAAUUUCAUGUGCCAGAAACCAACCGAUCGACAAAAUGCAAGUCCAAAUCCAUGAAACCAAACUCAUCCAACCCGCUACACCACCACUUCCCGAUCAAGAACCGGUCCUCCCUCUCUCGCACCUCGACACCGAUCCUAAUCUCGACAUCACGUUCCGUUACCUCCGUGUGUAUGUAAAUGCCGACCAAACGAAGCGCGCCCACGAUACACCGUACCAUGUCAUUGCCAGAGCGCUCUCUGGUGCACUUUGUUACUACUACCCUCUAUGCGGCACGCUUCGCCCUGGCGAUAACGAUCAUCACCGCCUCGAGCUACAUUGUGUUGCCGGCCAAGGCAUGCCGCUCGUUCAUGCCACCGCCAAUUGCACUCUCCAUGCGGUUAAAAACCUUGAUGACGCGGACUCGGGUUUCUUGGAGCAGCUGAUACCCAACCCGGAUCCGGAGGAGAGUUUGGCCAACCCGUGCAUGCUCCAAGUCACAGUGUUCGAAUGUGGGGGGUUCAGCUUAGGCACCGCCAUACACCACACCAUGUGCGAUGGGCUCGGGGCGACCCUAUUCUUCGGGGCGGCGGCGGAGCUAGCUCGUGGGGCGGAGCGAGUUUCCAUCGAGCCAGUGUGGGACCGAGCCGUCUUGUUGGGACCAAGGAGUCCGGCUCGGAUCGAGGCGCUAGUUGGGGAUUACCUAUGCGAGAAGGGUCGGAACCCGUACGAUGAUGAAGAGAAUUGCAAGUUUGGUCGGGAGUUUUUCCACGUGAAAGAGGAGUGGUUGGACCGAUUUAAGGCAUUGAUGCUGGAAAAGUGCGGCCAGAAGUUCACCACGUUCGAAGCUUUAGGUGCAUUCAUUUGGCGCGCAAAGUAAGUCAUUUAAGUACACCAACCUUUUCGAGAUUAUCUUAGGAUUAUCCUUCUGAUUACACUGUUAAUUUAGAGAUUUGCACAUAUGUAAAUAUCCGGCCGCAACGUCUUGACUUCAAUCGAUUAACAAAUUCCUGAAAUAGGGUCAAAGUAUCGGACAUUCCGGGGGACGAGACGGUGAAAUUCUCAUACUCGACGAACAUCCGCAAGGUGCUGAAACCGCCAUUGCCCGUCGGCUACUGGGGCAACGGAUGUGUCCCGAUAUACGUCCAACUGACGGCGAGAGACUUGCUGGAAAAGCCAAUUUGGGAAGUCGCGGAGCUGAUCAGGAAGAGCAAGCGCAACGCAAGUGAUGAGUACGUGCGAUCGUACAUCGACUUUCAAGAAGCACAUCGAAGAGAAGGCGUCUCGGCAGGUCAGAAGGAGAAGGCUUUCGUGUUGUUUUUAUUUUUUAUUUUUCCUUUUAAGAUACAUUGCAUAGCAAACAUUGACAUUGACCACGAAAUAGUAUAUAUUUCUGUUAUUACCUCGCGAUUAUGGAGACACAAGCCAAUCAAUUUUCAAUGAAUUGAGUGCAUGUUAAGGAAAUAUACUUUUUUAUUUCAAUUUCUCAGGAAAAAAAAUUAUCGGCUUGUAAUAUCACACGCUUAGGACACUUUGUAUAAGAAUACAUAAGAUACUUUAUGGUCAUAAAUAGCCAAGUGUCCGUAUAUUAUGAUUUACAUGUCUAUUAUCAUCUAAUGUCCUAUAAAUAGGCACACUUACACUUUUUAAUAUCUUGAGGUCUUCAUUAGGAGUACGAUAUUGUGAUUUCUCAAAUUUAAACUGUAUGCAGUGAGUCGGGAGUCUACAACGUCUAGUAGAAUUAGUCAGAUGUUUGAAGAAUCUCGGAUAUCCAAUUUGAAAUACAAGAUUGUUAGUCGACUAGCGUAUUGCGGCCACUUAUCAAAUGUUAUCCAACACAAAUUCUCCUUUGGCAUAUUUCAACGCAUUUUCACAGUAAAACUAGCUACAACAUCGUCUAUAAAAAAAAAAAACUAGCUACAACAUCGUCUGUAAAAUGAGCUCACUCGAUGAUUUUUGUUUUCAGGAAAAAAUGUGAGCGGAUUCACGGAUUGGAGGCAUUUGGGGCACUCGGCGGUGGAUUUUGGGUGGGGAGGGCCGGCCAACGUGCUGCCUCUCUCGAGGAAGCUCUUGGGGAGCAACGAGGCUUGCUUCUUCUUGCCUUGUUCCGAGGUCGGAGUCAGAGAUCCGAGCGAUGGCUUUAGGGUUUUGGUGAAUCUGAAGGACAGGUGCUUGUGUAGUUUUAAGGAGGAGAUGGAGAAGCUUGGGAAGAUGGAGUUUGGCUUUGCUUAAUGUCAAAGCAAGAUGCUUGAGUGGCUAUUUCAUUGUAAGCUGUGGACGUUGGUUUUGUACUUUGGAGGAAGUUCCUAUGGGGGACUUUCAUUUCCCCCAUCCAAGUUUGAUCUAAUUCUCUUCUCUCUCUCUUUUUAUGAACUUAUUGCGAUCAUUACACUAUUCAUAUGAUAUGAUCGGCGAUCAUAUUUAUGUUAAAAUCAACAUUCAUACGUGAAAUUCAAAAUGAAAAUCGACGGAAGAAUUCUAUAGUCAUGGAUGAAGAGGUUUGCCACUAACAUUUUUUUUUAAUCAUAUCUCAACUAUAGCAAGAGAAAGCCUAGAAUUCUGAGUGAGUGAACCUGUCAACGCAUUUUCCAGGUCUAUCACUUAUCAAAAGCUUGAUUAGGCAAUUUAGCUUGCUGAACUAAUGAAGUGGAGUAAAACCUAGCUAAGUAGAUAGGCCAAAUAAGAUGAGAAAAACUGGCGAAGCUCCUAGUCCCAUGAUAAACUCUAAAGAUUGGCCUUCCCACAUCGUUAGGAGCCUUUGACAUGUCAGUCAUUAUCUCAAUCAACCGCCUUACCCCAUUCUUCUUUUGAUGAAAUGCGAUUGUUUCUUUGACUAUAUUACACAGACUAAAUCAACUCUCCCAAAUUAAUCACACAAUUCAAGAAUUUAAAGGACCCAUAAUGAAUCUCACCAAAUAUAUAUAUAUUAUGAUUAGCUCUGUCUAACAUGCUAUAAUCCCCAAAUAAACUUUGUACAAAAUUUGAUAGCGAGAAAGAGUGUCUAAACAAAAUAUGAUAGAUGAAGAAUAAUUUCCUAGGUCUAGAGUCUAGACAGAUAACGCCUUGACCUAAGUUAGCUAAAUAAGGAAAUCAAGAUAAGAAAAGGAAAUCACAGGGAAUACACGCCAAUGCAAAUAACAAAAGUUAAUCCCUCCCACAACGCUCGCACAAUGUGUUUAAAAAAAUUAUAUAAAAUCAGUCGAUUUGCUACACUAAUUGUUGUUAGGAAUACGAGUCAAUAACGUAUGUCAAGCAUAUUCCCAUUAAUUUUCCAUAGGUAACGUAUUUGAUAUGCAUUAGUCGGCUCUCCAUUCUAACAUCUUUAGCUUUUCUAACAUUUCAUUAUCACAUAAGUAUCUAAGCCAAUUUUAAAAAGCUUUAUCUUGUUUCUCAUCUAGAUUUUAGGAACCUCAAGUUGUAAAAUGACUAGAGUUUUAUUUUUUAUUUUUUUGGGUAAAAGGUAAGAAUAUAUUGAGGAAAGACCAAAUGUACAAAAGAUCUCGUUACCAAAAACUUACACUCCAAAUAUAGGAACAAAAGGAGUGGAAGGGUGACGAGAUGUAAAAGCCAUGGCACACACACUACAAUACCAAAACCAAAAAGAAGCACGGCAUAGACAACCGGCUACCAGACACGCCACAGGUGAGGAAGAGGUCACUGUUGGAUCGAAGUACCUACGAGUCCCCGGUGAAAAUAAUUGAGUCUAGGCCCUAACUUCUUUACAACCUUCUGUUUCUGAAAUUAUCUUUGAUGUUCCUGAAGGUGAUAGCCUUGUCUUGGACCACUGGUCGGAAUAGUCUCCAAAGAUGAUGCUAUUUCAAAUGAUAUGACAAAGGGCACCAAAGGAAAAAUGGCAAUGCACUUGUAGAAAUCUUUACCCAUCAAAUAGGUAGCGGCCUAGCGGAGGUUCUCCCUCCAAGUUUUGUUGCGCCAAUACAAAUUGCAUUGAAAGCCCAAAAGAAUAAAAUGGCUAGAGUUUAUUCCUUCCCGUUGGGGAAAUAAAAAAUAUAAGGGGAAUCAGAUGCGCAAGACGUGGGGGCACCGGCCGGCAGGUGAAUAUAAGAAAACGAAUGGAAGUUAAGAUCACCCCCUUUUUUUUUUAAACAGACAUAAAUGUAACGACCACAACGGGCUGGGCCGGAAGGAUGAAGAAAGUCCAGUAGGGAGAAUCCCGAAGGCUUUGCUGAAAUCUAUCGCCUUAUCCUCAAAGUGACGAACCAAUAGGAGUUUUUCUCGAAAAAUAAAAUAAAUCCACUGAAAAUCUAUGUGAAGCCAGCGAGAGAAGCGCUAGCUCUGCGAGACGAAGAAGCCAUGGCGUCUCUCCUGGGAACUUCUUCCACAGCAAUCUUGGCCUCACGGCGCCUCUCCCCACUUUCAGGUGCACUUUCCUGCACAUGUUUCAAGCGUUUGGGGGAUAAUCCGGACGACCCAUUUCGGUUCUGGUCUUUAAUUUGCUCGAAUUCGACUAUUUCGAGCUCGGGGUUUAUGAGGUUUUUAAUGGGGUCUGUGGAAUUUGCCUUUGUUGUUGAAUUUUCUUGUUUGCAGUGCAGAAUCAUGGCAAGAAAUGUUAUGGAGGGAUUGGGUUUCAGGCCAAGAAAGGAAGGUCGCCGUGGCAUCUUGCCGUCACCAAUGUCGCGACCGAUAUCAAUUCUGUCGAGCAGGUAUCGAUUCUUUCCUUUGCCUUUUCUUUUACUAGCUCUAUGCAUUUCUGGGAAGUUGCAGCAAGAGACUGGUGUAGAUUGAUGCUUCAAAUUUGUUAAUUGCUGAGUUUUUUAGUGAAAAUAGACUGAAAAUUGGGCUGCUUCCAUUGCAUUUAGUGAUUAAGUGAGGAUUUCUUAGGCUGAGGCAUUACGCUAAUCGAAGUCGAUUGGGAAAAAGAAAAUGCUUUGCAGUUGAUGGUUGUUUGAGCGUGGUCUUGUUGAGUGAAGUGAGAAUUGUUUGGGGGAGAAUUAGCAUGGAUUGCUUCUGUAGGAUUUUGUGAGCUGGAUUGGAUGGAUUUUUUUCAUUUUUCAGGCUCAGAAGCUUGCCUCUAAGGAGAGUCAGAGGCCGGUCUAUCCUUUCGCCGCUAUUGUUGGGCAAGAUGAGAUGAAGCUGUGCCUCUUACUAAAUGUCAUUGAUCCUAAGAUUGGUGGUGUCAUGAUUAUGGGAGAUAGGGGCACCGGGAAAUCCACUACCGUCCGGUCAUUGGUCGAUUUACUCCCUGAGAUCCAGGUGGUUGCUGGCGACCCGUAUAACUCGGACCCUCAAGAUCCGGAAUCCAUGGGCGUGGAAGUUCGGGAACUAGUGAUAAAAGGGGAACAACUCCCUGUUGUGUCAACCAAAAUCAACAUGGUGGAUUUGCCACUGGGGGCCACGGAAGAUAGGGUGUGCGGUACGAUAGACAUCGAGAAAGCCCUCACUGAGGGUGUCAAGGCAUUUGAGCCAGGCCUUCUUGCUAAAGCUAACAGAGGGAUUCUUUACGUGGACGAAGUUAACCUUUUGGAUGAUCACUUGGUGGAUGUUCUUUUAGAUUCCGCUGCCUCGGGAUGGAACACCGUGGAGAGGGAAGGAAUCUCCAUUUCGCACCCCGCUCGAUUCAUUCUCAUUGGCUCAGGAAAUCCUGAAGAAGGGGAGUUGAGACCGCAGCUUCUUGAUCGGUUCGGUAUGCAUGCACAGGUAGGGACAGUGAGGGAUGCAGAACUGAGGGUAAAGAUCGUGGAGGAGAGAUCAAGAUUUGACAAGAACCCCAAGGAGUUCCGUGAUUCUUACAAAGCAGAGCAAGAGAAGUUGCAGCAGCAAAUAAGGUCGGCUAGGAGUAAUCUCUCCUCUGUCCAAAUUGAUCAAGAUCUUAAGGUGAAAAUUUCCAAGGUUUGUGCUGAGCUGAAUGUCGAUGGAUUAAGAGGAGACAUUGUGAGUAACAGAGCAGCUAAGGCCUUGGCUUCUCUGAAGGGAAGAGACAAUGUAACCCUGGAAGAUAUUGCCACUGUGAUUCCAAACUGCUUGAGGCAUCGGCUUCGCAAAGAUCCCUUGGAAUCAAUUGACUCGGGACUACUGAUAAUUGAAAAGUUUUAUGAAGUUUUCACCUGAGGUACAUAGCGAAAUGACUCUUUUUCCCUUGCUGAAAUUACGUUUUUCUCCCAUCCCGCUGUAAUUUUUGCAUUGUAGUUUUAUUUUAUGAAUGAAAUGUUAAGUGGAGCAGCGUUUCAGUUUCAAUGGUUUCUAUAGCUCCGCAUACUUGUUUAUGCAUUUGGAACAACCAUGCUAGCGUAGUGUCUUGUUCUUGAUGAUAAAAUUGAGGAAAUUAAGAUGCAGAAGGAAAGAUUGGUUAUGGAUGGUGAAGCUGUCACCAGAAGUUACUUUUCCUCCAUUUGCUUUCGAUUCGAAAUGUUUGAUCUGCGAUUCUAUGUUGUAUUAUGAGACAGUUGUGAUUUUUAACUGAAAGUUUCCAUUGCAGUUGUGUGCUUUUCCUCUAUUUGUCUACAUUGUGAGAUAUAUUGAUCGAACAAGGAAAGCUAAAAACAGAUUCUAGGAAUGUAGCAAAGCUCAGGUUUUAUUCUCUUCGGUUCUGGCCCUGCAAUAAUCAGUGGAAGCCAAAUGCUACAUUAUAAAAAAAAUUUCUACAGAACAAACAAAAUUCUCGACACGAAUGAGGAACAACUGCCAGAUCUUGAGAAACAUUUCUAAAGGCGCAUCGAAGAUCAACUCAACCUAGGAGGGAUUCAGGACAGGAUGGUAUGUGCUCUCAUUGGAAAGUACACCAAGUACGCGAACCACUGUGAUGCCUCGAUAUGUGAAUAAAAAUGGAAAAGAAACUUUGCGUGGAAUUUUCAGGAUCUGUGUAGUUUAGUCAAAGAUAUCGCCGAUUUGCUUUGCAAUUGUAGCUCUAAAUGAACAAGCAAUAGAGAUAUGCAGGACACUAGUGUUAGACAGCCACAAUUCUAGUAGCCAUAUCAGUCUUUUACACUGUAGCAUGCGGAGCUAUGAGGAUCGACGCUGUCGUGAUUUCGAACUCACUACCAAAACCCUAUUUUUCCAAGUAAUGAGUUUCUCCAAUGUAAAUUGACACUUAGCACCUGGUAGCUCAAAUUCAGGUUUCUGUCUCUACAUUAGAUGACAAGAAUGGCUAUUCUCACAAUGUCAAGAUUGGAACUUUAUUUGAGUUUGUUAUUGAUUAUGCAAUAACACAGAACAUCCUAGGAAUGCCAAAAUUUGGGACAGCGCUCUGCAAAUGCCGGCGGCCGCUGGUAUACGACCGAUGCGGUCCUUAUCAAUAUUCCAGCUGUUAGAGCAAAUAUCUCAUACUUCUUAUCUGCUGUUUGAUGGUCGAAACGAUGGAGCAGAUACUUAUCUCCCAUCCACUCCCUCUCCUCCGCUCUCCUGUUCUCGUCCUGUGACACAUAAGCGAAAUUCAGGUGGCAUCGAAAGAUAAAUUUCUCGUUGUUUGAGGACAUGUUUUCCUGACGAAAAAAAUGAGGAGUAAUCGCCGUACAUGAAGAAACAUUUCUAAAGGCGCAUCGAAGAUCGCUUCCACCUCGGCCGGAUUCGUGGCUGGAUGGUAUGAAUUCUUGUCGGCAAGAAUGCCAACCACAGGAACCACCGUGAUACCUAUCUGUGCAAAUUGAAGCCGACAUGAGAAACUUCACACAGAAAUAUUUCAUAGUCUAUUUUCAGUCGUCAGAUGGGCAAGAUCAGCAGAUCAUUUCGCAAUUCCAGCACUAAAUUCUGAAGAAACAUGGAGACUGCAGCCUCCCAUUGCGAGAAUCGGUGCUGUCAUCUCCAGCGUAGUUUCCUAAUCUCUACGGAACAACAUCAUUCCUAGAAACGACUAGCUGAGCUUCGGCAUCGCUAGAAACUCAAUGCGAAGAUGGACCGAGAGGGCAAACAGUUGAGACUGAUGCAGCUGCAAUAGAACCGAUGUAUGCGCAAGCUGGAUUAACGUCCUUACCUUGGUCACGAAUGGUUGAAGAACAGUGACGACUUCAACGAGAGAUGGGUCCAACCCGAUCUCCUCCUUGGCCUCCCUCAAGGCCGUCGCGAUGUCGUCGGCGUCGCCUUCCUCCCGUUUCCCACCAGGCAACGAAACUUCUCCUGUAAAAAUGAAAUACAGCGCACAGCUCAUGUUCUGACUCGCGCACAGAAACCAGAACUUCAUAACGAGGAGGGAAAAUAACGCCAUGAAUGGAAUGAAUAGAAAAGCAUAAAAUUUUAUAAAAUGUUCAAUAGUUGAAACCAGAUUCUCUUAGAGAGACUAACAAAUUUUCGCUAAUUUGCAAAAAGAAAGUUGUAAGGAAUAUCCAUGGAUCUUUAAAUCACUAUGCAACAUGCGAAAAAGAAAGCAUCAUGGUAAGAUACGUGCAGCUGGCAAUUCAAUUUAUUAAAUGGAGUUUAAAAGUUCAUUCAACCUAUGACGGAAUUUAGACUCCACUGGCUAUGGACGCUAUAAUAAUCCACCAACAAAAAGUCCACAUUUCACUUUAUUUUUAGGAAAGACAAUCUUCUAACGCAACAUGUACCGAUAGAUAUUAGUAGAAGUUCUUGACGAAGGACCUGUUCGAUGACUUCAUUUAAAUGCUGGAAACAAAAAAGCCAGCACUUAAUGAAAUUCAAUUUGUUAGAUAACCAUCGCUAGAAUUUAUUUGAAAAAUUCAAUUAAAUAAAAAAUCACUAAUUUGGUAUGCGAGUAAAGGCUUAAUAACUCACUAAGAAGAAAAGUUAAUAAUGGAUGUUAAUUGGAAGCAUAUGGUUAAAACUUAUCGAUAGUUAUUACAGUUUCAUGUUUGUAAAGAAAGUAAUGUUUAAUUUAUUUUUUAUUAUCGUCGAACGACAUUUCAGUUCUAUUUUCAGCACUUCGGAUCAUGAUCACUUAAAAUUUAGUACGAACACUUCCAGCACUUAAAUUUUUAAUUUCACCAAACAAGUCCGAAAUGAUAUGCCAGUUUUGUUUUGACUGAUUAAAGAAGCUAAUGAUUCAACAUAUGGGUCCUACUUGUCUCAAUAUCCAAUUGAAAAUUGCCACGUACUCUGUAGAAAAAAAAAACCUCUCCGUGUUUCUCCCAUUCUCCAAUCAACCGUUUCCCUCGUGUCGAAAUUACCAACAUGGUCAACUUUGAUGGCCCAUGCAGCUGUACAAAUUAUGUGCCCCUUCGAAGAAUUUGAAUAUUAAAAUUCAUGACAACCUAACUUUUCUCUUCCAACUUUUUUGAUUGCCCACUACUCCAGCUACCUAAUUAUCACUUUUUUUUAAUUAAAUAUUCAGUUGCUUGGCUUCUACAAAUUUAAGUAUAGACGCCUAUGUUGAUAACUUACUGAUAAAUGCUGAUGGACAUUUCGGCCCGCGGGUGAUUCGUAAUUAAUGCAAACCACGAGGGCCUGAUGAUGGAAGGAAAGCCUACCAGGAUGAGCAGAGAGCGUGGAGGCGCGUUUGGUGAGCAGGACACGCAGAUCUCCCUCGCCCCCGCCGCCGCUGCCUUCGAAGAGACAGAUCAGAACCGCAGCUCUCGUCGAACGGGGCCUGCGGCGGAGAGACUCCGGCGCAAUCUCCGACCCCUGGCCGGCGCCUGUCUCGGAACUGUCCAGUGUUUCGGGCUGCUGCCGAUCCGUUUGCCCGGAAGGAGGAGGUGGCUCGUAGCAACGGAGCCGUCGCGCCAGAGGGGCGAGCCCGUGGGAGUCCGGGAGAGCGAGCGGAGAGGCUGUUGAUGGAGUAGUACUAGUCAUGGUUCGGUUGGUGGGUUGGUUGCAAAAUGGCCAGUCAAUUAUAUAGGUACGACGGGAUGUCUUGGGUAACAGUCGUGGCACGUGGCACAAUGGGUCAAGAAGGAUAGCCUGGACAAGCCAUUCCCUUCUUGGGUCCAUGGGUCCAUCCACUGAUCACACCUAACUUCUACCACAAGACCAAGUGUUACAAGAUAUUGAGUAAUCCUAGAGUACUACAAAUGAGUAAUAAUCCAUCUGGAAGGAUUUCGGUAACGAGCGAUCUUGGAUAUAAAUUAAUAUAAGCACGCUAAAGGAGAAAUAGUUUAUUUUUCGAUAUAGUGAUUGCGCAUGACACGAGACAAUCGUUGCAUUUGAGGCCAAGAAGCUCCCUUGGCUGUCCCAUCUCGCGCGGCGGGAAGUUAAAAAGACCGAGCGCCCGCCUAUGCAGUAUUCACCUUCCAUACGUGCCUGGUGGAUGUUGUUUCAGAUUCCGCCGUCUCGGGAUGGAACAUCGCGGAGAGAGCAGGAAUCUCCAUUUUGCACCCGGCUCGGUUCAUUCCCGUUGACGCGGGAGGUCCUGAAGAAAGGGAAGUUGAGACCGCAGCUUCUUGAUCGGUUCGGUAUGCACGCACAGGUAGGGACAGCGAGGGAUGCGGAGCUGAGGGUAAAGAUCGUGGAGGGGAAAGCGAGAUUCGACAAGGAGUUACCGUGAUUUUUACAAAGCAGAGCAAGAGAAGUUGCAGCAGCUAAUAGUUUCGGAUAGGAGUAAUCUCUCUUCUGUCCACAUUGACCAAGAUCUCAAGGUGAAAAUCUGCAGGGUUUGCGUCAAAGCUGGACGUGGAUGGACUAAGAGGAGGUAUCGUGACUAACGGAGCAGCUAAGGCCUUGUCUGCUCUGAAGGGAAGAGACAAGGUAACCACGGAAGAUAUCGCCACUGUGAUUCCAAAGUGUGUGAGGCGUCGGCUUUGCAAAGAUCCCUCAGAAUCAAUUGAAUCUGGUUUUGGAUAGUUUUCACGCCGAAGUUCUUCUUUUAUGAAUGACAUGCUUAGAGUGAGGUAGGAGAGAUUGGUUAUGGACAGUGAUCCUCCUGCAAGCAGUCCCUUUUUCUCAAUUUUCUUGCCAUUCGAUGCGUUUGAUCUGCGAUUACAUGUUGGGUUAUGAAACAGUCGCGAUUUUCAAACCGAGUUUCCAUUGCAGUUGUGUGCUUUUCCUCUAUCUGUUGCAACGUUCCUUCUCCUCUAUUCGUAUACAUCACAAUGUAUCGAUCAAAUGGCGAGAAAAGCGUGAAACAAAUUCUAGGUAGUGAAAACGGCGGAGGUGCUAAUUCACGGCUAGCUAACAGAUAUUGAUCAUGAUUUCGAAUUUGCUACCAAGCACUACUGUUCCAAGGAAUGAGACUUAUUGACAGUCACCAACUUGGCAGCUUAAAUUCAGGUUUUUCUCUCUACAUUGGAUUAAAACAGAUAGCUACUCUCAGAAUGUUGAGGCAGGAGCUGCAUUGAGAUUGUUAGUGAUUAUGCAACAAGACAGAACAUCCUAGGAAUGCCAUAAUUUGGAAGAGAGCUCUGCAAAUGCCGGUGGCCGCUCGUAAACGACGGAUGCGAUCCCUAUCAAUAUCACAGCUGUUAGACCAAAUAUAUCAUACUUUUUAUCCGCUGUUUGAUAGUCGAAAUGUUGGAGCAGAUACUUCACUCCCAUCCACUCCGCUUCCUCCGCUCUCCUGUUCCUGUCCUGUAACACACACAUGAAAUUUAAGCGGCUUCCUAAGAUAAAUUUCUCAGUAGAGCAAAACGUUUUCCCGACAAAAACAAGGAGCAGUCACCGUACCUGAAGAAACAUUUCUAAAGGGGCAUCGAAGAUCGCUUCCACCUCAGAUGGAUUCGGGGUUGGACGAUAUGCACUCUUGUCAAAAAGAAUGCCUACCACAGGAAUCACCGUGAUACCAAUCUAUGCAAAUUGAAGACGGCAAAAUGAACUCGAGACAGAAAUGUUUCAUGAUCUAUUUUCACUCAUAAGAUUGGCAAGAUCAACAAUAUCUGCUGAUUAUUUCGCAAUUCCAGCACUAAAUUCUGAAGAAACGUGGAGACUGCAGUUUCCUCGAGGCUCCAAUUGUGAUUGUCGGUAGUAUGAUCUCCAGCAAAGUUUCCCCAUGUCGACGAAACAACAUCGUUCAGACAAACGACUAGCUAAGCUUCGGCAUCACUAAAACCUUAAUCCGAAGAUGGAGCGAGAGGGCAAACGGUCAAGGCUCAUGUAGCUGCAAUAGAACCGAUGUAUUUACAAGUUGGAUUUAUGUCCUUACCUUGGUCGCAUAUGGUUGAAGAACAGUGACGACUUCAACAAGAGAUGGGUCCAAUCCGAUCUCCUCCUUGGCCUCCCUCAAAGCCGUCGCUACGUCGUCGGCAUCGCCUUCGUCCUGCUUCCCACCGGGCAAUGAAACGUGUCCUGCAGAAGUGAAAUACACCGCACUGCUCAUGUCUUCACUCAUGCAUGGAAACAAGAAGUCAUAACAACGGGGUAAAAUGACACGACGAUGAUAUCGGUGAGAGCAUGUAAAGUAGUUGAUAGAUGACGAUCAAGCUUUUGGAUCUCAUCUAACUUUUUUAUACAUGAGAAAUUACCAAAAAAAUGUCCUAAACUUAUUAUACAACAGUAAAUUUAGUAAAAAACUUUUCAACUUAGCCAAUUUAGUUAUAAACAUUUUGAAAAUUUGCUAAUGAGUCAUUCGGACUAAUUUUGUCCGGAAAUCACUAACAUAGAUAAUGGCCAUCCUACAUGGCACGGCUAGCACUAAUGUAGACAACUUUUGCAAUUCUUUAAGAACAUUUAUGAGUUUUCUUCCUUUUUUUCCCUUUCGCCCCUUUUUUCUUUCCUUUCUUCUCUUUUUUGAAUUUCCGGUCAACAGGGCCACGGUGAUAGCCGACCACAGGAGACAAACGGCUCCGACCAGCCAACAAGCGAGGGUCAUGACUUUCGCUUGAAACUAGGUGAUGGCCUCGAGUCCCUCGCCUGUGGUUGACGAGGCUGUGACCCCUCGACCAGACUAGGCAAACAUUGCUAGCAUCAUCAAUAUAGAGUUGGAAAAGAAAAGAGUAAGAGAAGAACUAAAGAGAUAAGAGGAAAAGAAAAUUAAGAAAUAAAAAAAAAAUUAUCAACAUCGGCACUGAUCAUUUGGCAAAAGAUGAGUGUUAUCUAUGUUAGCGAUUUCAUAUUAAAAUUGGCUAAAAUAAUUAUUGGUAAAAUGUCAAAUGUUUAAAACUAAAUUGAUCAAAUUAUAAGAUUUAAGACUAAAUUGGCCGUCGUAUAAUAAGUUUUAAACUUUUUCGAUAAUUUUCCCAUCAUCAAAGUGUUCAUUGCAAUAAAGUUUGUCUACCACCUCAUUUUUUUCCUAAGAGGCUUUGGAGCCUCAAAACACCUUAGGAAAACUAAACCAAACACGCCCUUAAUAAUAACUCUAGCAUUUUUCAUCUUCUAAUGAAAGAUUGGAUUGAGAACUUAGCAAUUUAAUUAUUCCCCUCAUGUCGAUAUUGCCAGCGUGGUCAAAUAUUGAUGGCUCAUGCAGCUGUACAAAUUCAGCCGCUUGGACAAAUUAUGCUUGAAAUCGCGACGUACUGAGAUGCCGACAAACCUUUCGGCAUGGAUUAAUUCGUAAAUUACGCAAAAUAUAAUGCCUAAAAAUCGAAAGAAAGCCUACCUGGGCUGGUGGCAAGAGUGGAGGCGCGUUUGGUGAGGAGCACACGCAGAUUGCCAUCGUCGCCUUCGAACAGGCAGAUCAGAACGGCGGCUCUCGCGGAGUUGGGCCGGCGGCAGAGAGAUUCCACCGCAGUCCCUGACCUUCGACCGGCACUCUUGUCGGAGCUGUCUGGUGUUUCGUGUUGUUGCCAAUCCGUUUGCCGGGAAGGAGGUGGCGGCGGUGGCUCGUGGUGACGGAGCCGUCGUGCCAGGGUGGCCAGCCCAUGGGAGAGCGGAGAGGCUCUUGAUGGAGGAGUAGUCAUGGGUUCAGUUGAUUACACCUAAAACCGGCGGUGUAUUAUAGAAGAGAUGGAACCUUCUUGGGUCCGUCCGUUUGAUCCCACCUAACUUCUGCCACAAGACUAGGGUGUUACCAAACAUUGAGGGGCCUGGUAAUGCUAGGGAAAUAAACUUGAUGGCGAACCUUCAAGAUGGAGUAUCUAUAGAUGUCGUUAAUUAAAGCUUAGAGUACUCAAAAUGAGCAGCAAUUUUAUUUAUAAGGACGUUAUUAAUCAACGUUCUUGGAUAUUGAUUAAUUUAAGCAUGCUAAAAGAGAAAUAUAACUUAAUUUUUCUAAAUCCGUGAUUACUUGUAACACGAUACGAUCAACAUUAUGAGAUUGUUGCUGUUCCACGAGAAGGUGAGGGCGUUAAUGAAGAUGUGAGUAUUGAUAAUGAAUCUCUAAUUGAUUUUGAUGUUGAUUAUUUUGAAAAAAAAAAAAGCAAGCGACUAUUUUUACACGCAUGAGUAAAUUUGGGAUCUUAGUGGAAGUCGGGAAAUUUAAUUUCAGACAAAAAAAUUUCGGAAUGGAAUUGAGAUUAGAAUUAAAAGUUGGGGAUCAUUUUAGGAAUUAACCCAUUAUGCUUCCAUCAACAACCUAAGAUGUCUCAAACUGAAAAAAAAAACAUAUAUAUAUAUAUAUUGGGAACCUAUUUUUGCAAUAUUCCAUCAAGAAAAAAUGUUCAGCUUCUUCAAAAGUAUUUUAGUAGGAUUUAGUAUAUCCAACAAUUAUAGAAAUGGGUGAGUUUGUGCUUAAAACAUGGCGACAAGAGAAUGCUCGGAUCCUGGUAAAUGCUUUUUCCUAAUCUAAAGUUAACUCCAAGUCUCAAGAAAAGGGGAUGAGCGGCUAUUAUUGUAGUAUGAAUUGGUAAGAUUGUACUGAUAUAGAGAAACAUUAGCAAAAUAUUUCUCUAUGUCUUCAUAUUGUUGAUUUUGUGAAUAAGACCAGUCAAUUAGACUUUGUUACGCCCCAACUGCAUAAAAAAGAAGAAGGGAAAAUGACAUCACUAUCCCCCUACCAGUAGGACGCAAUCCCAAACACAACAAAUGUGAACACGUUAUCAAAAUUAUAUAUUCAUCUAUAUACUUACGGAAAAUUGGUUACCAGAUCAAUCAAGAGUUUUGGAAUUCAUAAAGAAAGUAUAUAUACAUAUCCAAGCUCAAUUAAACCCCAAAAUAUCAUCUUAGGCAUAUACAAGUAUCUAAACUCAUAUCCAAAAUCUAAUUGUAAAAAAUUUCUUGUUAAUAGCGCUCCCAUCGAUUCAAAUCUCCACUUUCUCAGGGGGAUGAGGUGGGGACGUGUAAGUUUCAAGAUUGGGGUUCGACUCCCACGCCCUGCAAGAGGCAGGACAAAAGUCUGAGAAUAAGUGUAGAGUAGGACUAACAAAAAAAAAAAAAAAAAUAAUGCUCCCAUCCUACGUAGCUUGAAGAACUUGACAAAGAUUUGGAAUGAAUAGUGUGAGAAACCACAGUUUAAUAAGUAACACAAAUCUCUUUUAAGUAGAUCGAGCAUCUGCUAUGCAAUUAAAAUUGGAGACUCAUUUAUCCAAAUUAAGUAUAUAAUGUACUGUAAAAUCUAAAUAUGAGUGCUAUCACUUUAACUCAGUUUUAUACUUAUCAGAAUAUUUAUUAAAAUUCCAAAAACCAAAAGGAUGGUAAACGCUCCAUUCGGCUUUAUGCAAUAAAUAUGUUUUAAACAUUACUUUUUCAUUUUAACAAAAUCAUAUUGUGCGAUGCCUUUUACAACUUAUGAUAUAUCAAAUCCCUAUCACUUUCAAGACAUGAGUUUACAAAUUUGUAUAAGAUCACAACUCCAAAUCGAAAGUUAUGCCACUUGAAAAGUUUCCAAAUCCUAUUAAAGAUUAACUAAAUGUCGAACUUACAAGUCAACUAAAGUCGACUAAAACUUUAGUAGGCAACACCAUAUUCUUGAGUCGAAUCGUCUACUUGACAAAAAAAAAAGUUGAACAAUUACUUUGCAAACAAAGUCGAUCUCAUCUUUGAACUUCGAGCUUAUUGUCAAAAGAAAACUCUUUUGAACUAUUGGAAAACCAUAAACCCAAAAGAUGGUCAGAGACGGGCGAAGAACCAUUGCCAUACACAGCAGUUCAAAAAACUGUUUCCAGCAGUGCACAAAACUUUAAGAAUUUAUCCAUAUCAAAUCAUAACCCUAAAUUGAAUUUCCCGAAGUCCCAAGCGGUGCACAAAAUUUUAAGAAUUUAUCCAUAUCAAAUUAUAACCCUAAAUUAACUUUCCCGAAGUCCCACUUUUUGAUACCCUGAAUUUUUUUUUACAACAUAAUUUCACAACUUAAAAACUCUAGAAUCAACCCGAUGACCUAGAAUCCGAACAAUCCCUAAUUUACAGCAUAACUACAAAAACUCUUUCAAUUAGAUAAAUAAAAGUUUCGAAUAAUUGCUAUGAAACAGAAAUAAUCCGGCUUAACCAAGCCUCUGAAGAGUGCGUGCAGCGAGAGCCCCCCACGUCUCCUCUUUGUUUUUUUGUCCGUUUCUCCGGACUCUGCUUUCCUUCUUCUUCCUUUUUGGGGUUCUUCUUGGCCAGACUCUGUGUUUUCUCUCUCUCUAUCUGCUCUAGUAAAUCCCCUUGCAAUGGCAUCAAUUGAAGCAAGACCAAAGAAAGGGCUUCAACGAGACGCUUGGGCUUGGGCUUACUGUUUUGCUCUUAUUUAUUAUUUUUUGCCAGCCCGGUUAUUGAAACUUUAUUCAUGGACAUGAAGCUUCGAGGUUAUUACCCAUUGAUGCAAACUACGCGCACACAUUCCGCUGAGAAGAGAGAAAGGAUAAUUCAAGUAGGACCGAACGAAGUCUUUCUUUUUUAGCACAAGAAAACGUAAAUAGGAAAGUUCAAAGGCGUUCCUCCACUACAGUGGUGGGGUGAGGGCAGGGACAGCAGAGUGGCAUAAAAGACGACAGUCUGAAACAGGAGCAGACUCCAAACUGACAGUGGCAGUGAGCAGACUUUAAACUGACAGUGGCAUAAAAGACGACAGUCUGAAAGUGGAGGGACCACUUUGGAGUCCGCUCACUGCCACUGUCAGUUUGGAGGGAUCACUUUGGAGUCUGCUCACUGCCACUGUCAGUUUGGAGUCUGCUCCAGACUGUCUUCUUUUAUGCCACUGUGCAUAAAAAGAACCACGAAUAACGUCCGUACCUUGAUCCCUCGCCGCGCCAUGGAUUGUACCUCCAUUGUCUCUAUCCUGGUCGACUUCAUCCAAGUGAAAUACCAGGGGAAGUUGACUUCACCCUUUGAAACUCACCCUGUUGCCGGCGGCAUCGCCAUCUGCAGCCUGCUCCUGCAUUCCUUGUUGCUGCGUCUUGCUAAUUGGGCACCAUCGUCUAGCAGCCGUGCUCCUCCUUGUGAUGGAGCAUCGAACCUGCUCAUCGACUUCGCCGGUUCGAUAUCGGUGGCUUCACUCGCGUGGUUGCUGCUCCGUGAUUCCUUCCACUCCAUCCCCUGGUUCGUGCUGCUCCUGUUGCUUUCCAUGAAUCUGUUGCGCGGCCUCAGUCGAAAACUUUGGCUGUGGUAUUACCGCAAACUUGUCCUCAUGAUCAUCCGUGCGGCACAAUCUUGUGUAUGGUAUGGUGGAAGAGCACAGCCACAUUCGCCACGUACGGACGUUGAUCUGUAUUUCAUGCUGGAAGUCUGAGGGCCAUUAUCGUUCAACUGUUCCCUGCUUGGAAAACUAAUUUAACCACAUUAAAACAAAUGAUAAGUACUUCAGGAAACUUGCUAGUUUUGGGGCUUUCUUCUCUUUAUCUGAUGCGAUAAGGAGUCCCCAAGCCUUCGGCAUCAUCAUCUUCCGACCGCAAGAAAGGAGAACUGGGAACAAGUACAAAACCACCUAGUAUCGUUCCUAUACCUGGCCAUGAACCAUGAUGGACCUAGCAACUAGAUCUGAUCAAGAUAAGCUAAGCCCCCAAAAGAAAUUGGGAUCUAUUGUUGAGAUUGAAGAUACCUCAACAAUUAUUAUGACGAGGAGAAUGGUGGUAUCUGUUAGCCAUAUAAAGGGUAGAAAUUUUUCUAGAGGUUAAAGCUUGACCCCUUCGAAAACAUUGCAAGUGUUGCAGAUUUCCUUCUUUUUUCUGGUGAAUCUCUUUGUAGCUUUCUAUUUGGCCAGCAGAUCGGUGUGUUAUUUUAAAUUUGUUGCUGGUAUACAAUGGUUUUGCUCAUAUAUCCGUAUGAACUGUUGGAGAAAUCUUUCCAGAAUAUUUUGAAGCUGACAAAACAUUUCUAUCAGUCUAGUCUAGAUAUCAUUGGUUUAAAGUCUCAAGACUUUGUAAUCUCAAGACUCAAGACUCAAGAUUAUUCUCACUAACAGUCUUUCUAAUCCAGUGGCGUAGGAUAUCCGAAGCCGGAGUAUAUGGUUGGGGAUUCGAUCCAAUCCUCUGGAAAAGAUCCCUUGGUUGGAUAAUCACUUCGGAUUUUUUGAUUCUUAUCUGAGAACAAAAGAAGAUCCGAUGGUCGACGAAACAUUCUUGAAAUGUUUUAUUCUUGGAAACCAAAAUCCUGAUUGUAUGGGCGAACAGGAUUGAUGGGCUAUCAUCAGAUUCCUUAAAUAGCUCGGAUGAUCUUCUUAAUUGAUUCCGUCCAACGGGUAGAUUGGAGGAAUUCCUUUGGUAAGUGCCAACGGCUAUGAUGGCAUAAAGGAGUAUAAAAAUGAAGACGUUCUAGUUGUUUCAAGUGUGUGAUCGAUAGAUAAAUUCCAGAGUCUGAAGAACCUUGAUUGUUAGUCGAUACAGUUCGAGCGAAAUUGUAUACACAGAGAGUGUUUGUACUUGGUGAUACCUUGAGCGAGUGUAGUAGAUCAUCUACAUCGAGAAAUCAAGGAAGAUCAACACUGUAACAUCUCUUUGUUCAUAGUGGAAUCCAGCCAAUCGGCUGUCAGUGCAGAAGAGUGGACGUAGGCUUGAAUCAAGCCGAACCACUAUAAACCUCGUGUUUAAUUCUCUCUUUCCUUUACUCUGUCUUACGAUUGAUUUUUUUAAUCCUUCAUCUGUCUAAGUAUUGCGCAAACUGCAAGAAAAUUUUCAUAAACCUAUUCACCCCCCUCUAGGUACUCGUACUAGCAUUAUCAUGAACUGGGAUAAAUAGAUGCCAUGGAGACAUGAGCACAGCCGCAAUUUCAAAAAUCUUCAUUCUAACAUCGAGUGAUCCAAAUCAAAAUGAAAGAUGCCAGCCUUUUCAUCUGUCCCAGAUACACCUUCACUGCUUACUAUCUAUUUCGAUGAUAAUAUAGCUGUAGUUUGUCAUUGCAGAAUGUGAGUCAUUACAUCAUUUAGUCUUCAUUUGACCUCUCACAGGAGACAACUAAAUCUUUGCUGUGGCAAAUGCGUUAACUUGCAAUCCAAGACUACGUUGUCUAAUUGGCUGAUUGGUUUUUGGCCAGGAGCUUGAAUUGUUGCUCCAGUCGGACAUUCAAGUUGCUGGGGCGGUGAAAAAAGAACACUGAAAUGUAGAUAUCUUAUCAGGAGACUUUAGUUCAAGAUAACUGAAUUUUGGCAGACAGUAGAUGUUAGAACCAAACUUUUCCCAUCUUCAUGUGCUGGAAAAGAACUACAGUUCACGAAUGCAAAGCUAGAUGGAUAGUAUCCAGAAGCUUGAGAUUAGUCUGUACAAACUACACAAAUCUGAUGUUCAUGUUUGUGGAAAGAAUUAGACCAGCAAGCUUCCUGACAAGUUGAUUCAUAAUCAAAUUAUGCAUCCCAAUGUUAAUACUUCAAUAUAUGACAUAAGCACAAAUGUCUUCCAGUUCAAAAAUAUCAUAUUUAUCUGUUUUUACUGCAGAGAACAAAUUCUUAGAUGUCAACUGUAGCAAUGAAUCCAAUUGACUUGCAUAAGAACGAAAGUUGAAACAUCAAACAGAAAGGUGUUCUCCUGACUCCCAAAUUCUUUUUGUCUUGGUAAGGGUACCCCCGACUCUGCAACUCCGAACAUUUUGCUUGCUGCUUUUGGAGACCAGCAUUGCACGUCUUUUCUUAAGUACCUCCAAUUAUGUGCCCACUUUUUUCUGCAAAAAUUCAAUUUUUUCAUCUAGUUCAGCAGUAGCAGGGUCUUCAGGUACUUCCACUAUUCCAGCAACCUGUAUUAAACGCUGUUUUGUAUUAGCGCAUUUUCUGUUCAUGAUUACUUAUUGUGGAGAUGAGUCUAUAUAUAUGAUAUCAAAAAGGAAUGUGGCUAUUCAGCACAUCGCAUGGCAGCAUCUUGUAUUCAAUUUUGGCUAAAGUCUAUUUAGCCAGAGAGCACUACUGCAAUACAAGCACGCCAUGGUAAAACGCAUUUGAUAAGUAAUCAAUGGGCAAGGGCAUUCAUUGCAGCCAUAAGCACCCACCUUCGUGUCCCUUAUCUUAUUACAAAGGGCACAAUAGUACUACUCACUGGUAUCAUCUUCGAUGAACAAAGCGUAAAGUGUGAGUUGACGGAAGUUAAUGACAAUCUUUUGCUGUAGUGGAAGGCAAUCUGUGAUGAUUAUGAUUGCACUGCAGACCACUGCAAUAGCCAAACCUGCAAAAUUUACUCCAGACACUUUGUGGUCGCAUGGUUAGGUGGAUUUAAAAUAAGAAAGAGUAUAUGCUUGUGGAUCUGAUGUUUCAAAGUGAGCCCUUCAAAAGUGCACGGAGUGUUGAAGUCAUUCUCACUUCCGCGCAAUGAAAGACAGAGCGUCAACAUUCUUCACGACAUACGUCAACAGUGCUCCUGAUACAAGAAGAAAAAGGAUUUGUGGGGUAAGCAGGUUGUUGCAUCUGAGGGCAAUGCAGCACAUAAUUUAUGGAGCAGAGUGGAGCAGCUUUGCUCAGUACUGUGAUAGGCUAAACAUUUUACACAUUCAAGACAAGCCUUGCACGCACCACCCUUCACAUGACAGUUCCAGCGGCAGAGAAUGAUCAUGCAGUGGAGAAAGAUGAGGCAAUCAAGACAACCAAAGACCUCACCUAUAUGUUCCAUUCACAAGCUUUGCACCCGGUUCUGCAGUCGAGCUCUGUGUGGAUGCCAGGGGAUGCUGAUGGUCGAAAUGGUAAAGAACCGAGUCAUUAAGCACCACGAGAAGGACAAGUAGAUAUUCUGAUGAUAAUAUUGUUUUUGUCAUUGCAGAAUGACAGAUUGGUUACAUCAUAUAGUCAGCAUUUUACCUCUGAGAGGCAACAACUAGAUCUUUGUUUUGGCAAACGCGUCACGUUUGUUUUGGCAAACGCGUCACGUUGCUUCAGCAAAUAAGAUUUAUAAAGACAGCAACUUCUUUUGUGAUAUAUCCUCUAUGUAUCUGGAAGCUCUUGGAUCUGAAUAAUGCAAUCUAAGACUAUGUUGUCUCACUGGCUGACUGGUUUGCAUCCAGGAGCUAGAAUUGUUGCUUCAGUCAGAGAUUCAAGUUGCCUGGGCCAAGGUGAGAAAAGAAUACUGAAAUAUAGAUUUAUUUUUUUGGGAGGCUUUAGUCCAAUACAACCGAAUUUGGUUGACCGCAGAUGUUAGAACCGAACUUUUCCCAUCUUGAUGUGCUGGAAAAGAAUUUUCAGUUCAUGAAUGCAAAGCCAUAUGGAUAGUAUGCAAAAGCUUGAGACUAGUCUGUACAAACUACACAAGUCUGAUUCAGUUUUCGAGGAAAUAAUAAGACCGGCAAGCUUCCUGACUAGUUGAUUUAUAAUAAAUUACGCAACCCUAUGUCAGUAAUCCAACUCAUAACAUAGAGUAAACAAGUCUUACACUCAAAUAAUGAUAUUUAUCUGUGUUUCUGCAGAAGAUAACAAUAUCGGAUGUGGAGUGUUAGCAGUGAUUCCAUUGACUUGCAUAAGAGCAUAAGUUGAAACAUCAAACAGAAAGGUGGUCCUCCUGCCUCCCUAUUUCUUUUCCUCUGGAUGAGUGCCUCCCCAAAUCUGCACUUACAUGCACUUCGUUUGCAGCUUUUUGAGACCAGCACUGCACGUCUGUUUUUUCAAGUACCUUUCAAUUGUGUGGUCACUCUGUCCGCUUUGUCCUGCAGAAUUGGAAUUUUUCCAUUUUGUCAGAAGAUGCCGUUUUCAGGAAGACAGUCUAAAGAUGUCGUUUUCAGUCUCUUCAGUCCACUUUGCACAAAAGAACCAUCAAUGAUGUUCGCGCCUUUACCCCUCACAAAGUUGGCAUAAAAGACGACAGCCAGAAGAUGCCGUUUUCAGGAAGACAGUCUGAAGAUGUCGUUUUCAGUCUCAUCGAUCCACUUUCCAUAAAAGAACCAUCACCCUUCACCCCUUGGGGCGCCCAUGGAUCUUACCUCUAUCGUCUCUAUCCUUAUCAACUUUAUUCAAGUGAAAUACCAGGCGAAGUUUCACCCUUUAAACUCACCCAGUUGUCACUGGGGUCGCCAUCUGCAGUCUGCUCCUGCAUUCCUUGUUGGCCCGUGUCGCCAAUCGGGCACCACUGUCUAGUGGCCAUGUUCCUUCUUGUGAUGGAGCAUCGCGCCUCCUCACCGACUUCCCUGGUUUGACAUUGGUGGCUUCCCUUGCAUGGAUUCUGCUCCAUGACUCCUUCCACUGCAUCCCUUGGUUCGUGCUGCUCCUGUUGCUUUCUGCGAAUCUGUUGUGCGGAACCAUUCAAAAACUUUGGCUGUGGUUUUAUCGCAAACUUGUUUUCAUGAUUAUCCGUGUGGCGUGGUCUCGUGUAUGGCCUGGUGGAAGAGAGCGGCCACUGUUGCCGUGCACCGUCGUGGAUCUGCGUUUCACCCUAGAAGUCUGAGUGCUGUAGUUGUUCAACCGUUUCCUGCUUGGAAAAAAGUAAUCUUAUUCUAUAUGGCCACUUUGAAACAAGUGAUAAGUACUUCACGAAGCUUGCUAGUUUUGUAUAAGAGGCACUUCGGGCUUUUUCACCUUAUCUGAAGCCAUAAGGAGUCCCCAAGCCGCAUCAUCGAAUUAUCUCCCGACCGUAAGAAAGGAGAACUAGGAACAAGUAAAAACCACCCACGUAUCGUUUCUAUUCCCAGCCAUGAAUGGUGAUGCAACUUGUAGCAAGUAGAUUCGAUUAAGAUAGGCUAAGCCCUCAAAAGAAAUGGGGAUUUAUUUAUUAUCAAAGAGAUUGAAGAGAACCUCAACAAUUGUUACAACGAGAAGAAUGGUCAAUUCUAGAUAUUGUUCUUAAGGCUAAAGCUUUCUGACCUCCUUGAAAACAUCAUGAGUGUUACAGAUUCCCAUCUUUUUCUGAUGAAUUUCUUGGGAAAAUUGCCUGAAAAAAUCUUAACCCUUUUGACAAUUUGUCAAUUUAGCUUUUCACGCUAAUUUAGUCCAAAAAAUGCCUAUCUGAAUGUCCAGCCAGCGCCGGCCAUCCUGCGGCGGGAGGCUGGCACUGAUGUGGUCGCCGGAGAUAAAAAUGGCGGCAUUUUCCACAAUAAUUAAAAAAAAGAAGGCAAGAAGAAGAAGCCGUCACUAUGCUCUUUUCUUGCCCAAAUCAUCAAACGCUCGCCCAACGCCCCAGUCCAAAGAACUCUAACCCGAAAUCAACUGAGAUCUCGUCAAAUCUCUUCAAAUCUCAACUCAAAUCGAACGAUUCUACUCGAGCCCGAGUUGUACCUUUCCACAUUUAAGAGAAAACGCAGACGUUCGUUUUUUCUAAGCAAACCUCAACCCAAACCGCGAAUUACAGUGGAAGCUGCUUUAUAGCUUGGACUUGGAACUGCUCUAAACAUGAUUCGGAUGAAAAAAUCGUUGGCAACGGAAGCCUUGCUAGCGAUGUAAAUUGUGUUUUGACGACUUGAUCAUCAGGUGGGGACAAAUGGUUGUUUCAUUCUCACUUCUGCUAGCAGUUUGUGAAAUGCCCGAGAGAACUUUUGUGAAAAUUUCCCUCUGGAUCUGGAUAUCUGAACGUUCAUCACGUAUCCAACUCGUAAUGAGCACUUUCGAUUCAUUCGUUUACUCUCAUUUUAUGAUGUUGAACUUGCUUCAAUGCAUUAUGAGUAAUUAAAACUCACAACAAUCACUAAGGAAAAUACUUUGAAGUGCACACUUUCUGAUUGUGAUGCAUUUGAAUUCUCUUAUAGCAUCUGUUCAUAUUGGAAGCGUUCAUCUCAUAGCAUCUCUUCGUCUAUUCAUCAUGUUUGCUUAUUGUUUUGACCAUUGGAUGUGUCCCUUCGGAUUCUCUUUGAUCUUAUGCUAUCCUCACUUUUUCCCUUGUAGAUGGUAAAAUCACAAAAGGAAACUGGUGUGUCCAAUUGGCAAGGAGUGUAUCCAAAAGUUUUCACUAGAGCAAAGUUGAACAAGGACCAAUGUCAACCCAUCACGAAGAUGAUACUUGUCUGAUCAGGGGAAGUUGACUUCACCCUUUGAAACUCACCAUGUCACCGCUGGCGUCACCAUUUGCAGCCUGCUCUUGUAUUCCUUGUUGCUGCAUUUCGCUAAUUGGGCACCACCGUCUAGUGGCUGCAAUCCUCUUUGUGAUGGAGCAUUGCACCUCCUCAUCGACUUUGCCGGUUUGAUAUCGGUGGCGUGUGGUUGCUGCUUCACGACUCCAUCCUCUCCAUCUCCUGGUUCAUGCUGCUCCUGUUGCUUUUCAUGAAUGUGUUGUGUGGCCUCAGUUGAAAACUUUGGCUGUGGUUCUACAGCAAAAUUGUUCUCAUGAUUUCCCGUGUAGCACGGUCUCAUGUAUGGAAUGGUGGAAGAGCGCAGCCACCUCAACGGGUGGUCGUGGAUCUGCGUUUCAUGCUGGAAAUUUGAGUGCCGUAGUUGUUCAACUGUUCCCUACUUGGAAAAAGUAUUCUAACCACUUUAAAACAAAUGAUAUGUAAUUUAAGAAACUUGCUAGUUUUGUAUAAGAGGCACUUGGGGCUUUCUCUUUUGUCUGAAGCCAUAAAGAGUCCCCAAGCCUUCGGCAUCAAAUUAUCUCCGGACCACAAUAAGAAAGGAGAACAGAGAACAAGUGCAAAACCACCUUUGUAUCUUUCCUAUUUCUAGCCAUGAAUGGUCAUGCACCUUGUAGCAACUAAAUUCAAUUAAGAUAAGCUAAGCCCUCAAAAGAAAUUGAGAUCUAUUUAUUGUCAAAGAGAUCGAAGAUAACCUCAACAAUUAUUACGACGAGCAGAAUGGUUGACUCUAGUAGCUAUAUUAAGUAGAUAUUAUUCUUGACACGAAAGCUUCUCACAUCUUUAAAAACAUUGUGCAUGUUGCAGGUUUCCUUUUUUUUUAGCGAAUAUUUUGGAAAAAUUGUCAAAAAAAUAUUAAUAUUUUUAAUAAUUUUUCAAUUUAAUUUUUUCGACUAAUUUAGCCCAAAGAAUGCUUAGGUGAAUGUCCAGCCAAUUGGCCCUCCUACGUGGCCCGGACUGGCUGGAGGCCGGUGCUGUCAUGGUCACUGGAGAUCAAAACGGCAGCAUUUUCCUCGAUAUAUAUAUAUUUAAAUUGUGGUUGUGCUCUUUUCUUGCCCAAAUCCUCGAACACUCACCCAACGCCUUAGUCGAAAGAUCUCUAACUCGAAAUCAACCAGGAUCUCACUCAAAUCUCUUCAAAUCUCAACUCAAAUCGAACGGUUCUUGCUCAAGCCCGAGUCAUUUCUUUCCACAUUUAAGAGAAAACGCAGAUGUUUGUUUUUCUAAAUAAACCUCAACUCAAACCACGAAUUACAGUGGAAGCUGCCUUUUAGCUUGGACUUGGAACUGCUUUAUACAUGAUUUGGAUGAAAAAUCGUUUUCAAUGGAAGCCUUACGACCGAUGUAAAUUGUGUUCUGACGACUUGUUCAUUAGUUGGGGACAAAUGAUUAUUUUAUUCUCACGUCUAUAUCCUUGGUUGACGUGCGAACUUCUGUAAAAAAUUUCCCUCUGGAUCUAGAUAUCUGAACGUUCAUCACGUAUCCAAAUCAUAAUGGGCACUUUUGAUUCAUUCAUUUACUCUCGUUUUAUGAUAUUUGAAUCCGAAAGUAAGAACAACGGAAGGAUGUUUGUUUCUCUGUUUAAUGUGCCAUGUCUUGUGGCCUUACAUGGCCGUUCCUGUUGGGAGAUAUGGUCUGGAAUCGUUGAUACGCACGGUGAUUUUCUGGUGAACUUCACGCUCGUAGCACCCCCAACUUAUUUUAUGUUCAUGUACCACGUGUCUCGGUGAUUUAUGACCUGUAAUGUUUGGAAAUCAUCAUGGUGGACGGUGGUGCUGACUGGCGACUCCAGCAGUGGGUUGAUGAUGAGCGUAACAGAACAAUGGUGAUGCUCGGUUUUAAAGGUUUAGAAGUGUAAAUCAUAGAUGAACUUAUCUUUUUGCCUUCUCUGUGUUAUGAGUGAGUAGACGCUCACAACAAUCACUAAGGAAAAUACUUGAAGUGUGCACUUUCUGACUGUGAAUGCAUUUGAAUUCUCUUAUAACAUCUGCUCCUAUGGGAUGCGUUCUUACGGGAAGUGUUUACCUGAUAACAUCUAUUCAUCAUGUUAGCUUGCUGUCUUGACUAUUGGAAGUGUCCCUGUGGAUUUUCUUUAAUCCUAUGCUAUCCUCACUUUUUCCCUCGUAGAUGGUAAAAUCACGGGAGAAUUACCAAAAAAGUCCUAAAUCUAUUGCAAUUGUGUCAAUUUAGUCAUAAACUUUUUUUUUUGGGCCAAUUUAGUCCUAAACCUUUUUACUUUUGUUCCAGUUCAGUCCAUCCGGCCAAAAUUGGUCGGCCGGUGCUGACGUGGCAGCCGGUCGGCGCCGGCGUGAUUUUUUUAAUAAUAUUUUAUUUUCAACAUUUUUUAUUAAUUUUUUUCCUUUUUCCUUUUUUUUUGCCNNNNNNNNNNNNNNNNNNNNNNNNNNNNNNNNNNNNNNNNNNNNNNNNNNNNNNNNNNNNNNNNNNNNNNNNNNNNNNNNNNNNNNNNNNNNNNNNNNNNUAAAAAUAAUAAAAUUAUUAUUAAAAAAAAAUCUCGCAGCAUCGCCAGCUGCCACGUCAGCACCAGCCUGGCUAAUUUUGGUCAGAUGGACUGAACUGGAACAAAAGUAAAAGGUUUAGGACUAAAUUGGCCAAAAAAAAAGUUUAGGACUGAAUUGACAUAAUUGCAAUAGGUUUAGGACUUUUUUGGUAAUUCUCCUGUAAAAUCACAAAAGGAAACUCCAGCAUGUCCAAUAGGCAAGGAGUGUGACCAAAAGUUUUCAUUGGAUCAAUGUUGAACAAGAACCAAUGUCAACCCAUGAUGAGGAUGAUGGUUAUUCGAUGGACGCUGAAGUCAAAGCUCUUAAGGCAUAACGGAAACUUGAGAAACAAGAUUUGGCAAAACUUGAAGAAAGAAAAUUCCAUAUUGAAGAUGAUGUUGGUUGUGUUGUUGAUAUUUAUAGAAAUAACACACUCCAAGUUUGCCAUGGAGUGUGUUAUUUUGAUCAUAUUUUGUAUUCAUCAACAUGUUUUGUGCAUGUAUGUACACUGUUUGUGGGAUAAAUGAAGGCUUUUUGCAUCUGAAAAGCACAUAUGUUUGUGACAAUGUUCUUUGUGAUGUUUGGGUUUUUUUUAACAGUUCAAAGGGUUACAACCCCUGUUUAAAAAAAGGUUUCUACAAUCUCAAUGGUAAAUAUGGAAUUGCGGAUUUGAUUGAGUCAAUUCUUUUCAACAGCUGCAGACUUGCGUUUCUAUCAUGCACCUAUCACAGCAAGUUUGUUGUUGGUGGUGAAGAUAAAAAAUCUCAUUCAAGAUUGUUCUUGUUUUUCAUCCAUGAAAUUUGAUAUACAUUUUAUUCUUAAUAGCUCGAAUGUGGAAGAUUCACAUGGAAGAAUCAUGUAAAAUCUAGAGCAAUCUUUGCUGACAGUAAAUUGUAUUUCUUCUCCUCAGAGCAAUCUGUCCUGAAAAUACCCGCAAUACUAUAUUGUGCCGAUAGUGUAUAUUGAUCCCCCAACAAAAAGAAACUAAACCAAGUUUGUUGUUGAUGACAGUAUAUUAGUGCUGACAGUAUAUCGAUCCUCCAAACCAAUGAGCCAUCAUCGAGCCAAAAAAAAAAAACCUCAACACUACUUCAUUGGAAUAUCCUAUCUUUGACAAACAAAAGCAUGGGCGAUAAUGCCACUUCAUUGAACCCAUUAGCAACAAACAAAAACACAGCCACAACACUACUUUCUUUCACUUCUUCUUGUACGUUGGAGUCGCUUCCUCCCCCAUUGAUGCCAUCAGCCAAGUCGCCUGCGCUAACCGAGCCGACCAGAUCUGGCCAAACAAUGCCGACGAUGGUCAUGGACGAGCACGCGUCACUAGCAAGCCACUCGUCCUGGUUUGGCCUCCCCUAAUCUCUGUCUCUGAACGCCAUUCAAGCUUCACCUUUCCUCGCGCCCCUCUUCGCCAAAACGAACUUUCGAUCUCAAAUUCUGUUCCUGGGGUGCAAUUACUCGGCUACCGCAAGGGAAUUGGCCACUUUGGGGGAUCUUGGAGAUCUCUCUUUUCUUCUUGGUAGUCUCAUGGUGGGAAAUGGACACGCGCCGUGAAGGACGCACGAGUAAAGGAGGUAAGGGGGCGAUGGAUAAUCGAGAGGGAGCAAAGUAUAAAAUCUCCAUCAGAUCAGAGAUUCCAGAGGCGGCUUCUCCAUCAGUAUCCAUCGUCCAUCAUCUCCGGUUAGCGUCACCUCGCUGGCCUUCGGAUUGAUUUCCAUGAAACCAGAGCACAUUCAAGAAAAUUGGUUCCAGAAUUAUAUUAGAGGGAAAGUUAUAUGUUGAUUGGGCAAUGUCCAAAAGUUACAUUGGACUGAAGAAUUAAUAAAAAUUAGUCACGUCGAAUUUCCAACUAUCAUCAAAAUUAGUAUAUGUGAGUUUUUUGGGAUAAAUAUGUUGUUAACAAAGUAUAAUUUAAUUCUAAAAUUUUGAAAACGUGCAAUUAAAUUUUAAAACUAUCAUAAAAGUGCAAUUAAGUUAUAAAUUUUUUAAAAAAUACAAUCAAAUUCUAAAAUUUAUCAAACUAGUCAAAUCAAAUCCUUCUGUUAAUAAUACUUUUUAAAAAAUUUAAAAUUUAAUUGUAUUUUAGUAAUAAUUUUUAGGAUUUAAUUAUAUAUUCUUUUAAAUUUUAUAACUUAAUUAUCUUUUCUUGAUAAAUUUUAUAAUUUAAUUAUACUUUUUAAAAAAUUUAGGAUUUAAUUGAAGUAUCGUGAUAAUUUUAGUACUUAUACACGUCUCCAAUUUUUUUAAAGUGGUUGGCAUUUAAAUGAUUAAAAAAUGUUUUAUAAUAAAAUAAAAGCCUUGCACAACUUUUAAUGUUUCACUUUUAGUUGUCAGAGACUUUUCAUGAGUCUUUUCUCAGCAUAAAAGUUUCAGAGACUUUCCAUCAGUCUUUCGAGAAAAAAGUUUCUGCCACGAAAGUUCCAAAAGACUUCCCCAUAAAAGGACCAUCAGUGAUGUCCCUACCUUCACCCCUCCUAACGGCGCCAUGGAUCUUACCUCUAUUGUCUCUAUCCUUGUCAACUUCGUGGAAGUGAAAUACCAGGGGAAGUCGAUUUCGCCCUUCGAAACCCACCCGGUCACCUUCGGCGUUGCCAUCUGCAGCCUGCUCCUGCAUUUCUUGUUGGUGCAUGUCGCUGAUCGGGCGCCACCGUCUAGUGGCCGUGCUCCUCCUCCUUGCGGUGGAGCACAGCACCUCCUCAUCGACUUCACCGGAUCGAUAUCGGUGGCUUCACUUGCAUGGUUGCUGCUACACUCCAUCCCUUGGUUCGUGCUGCUCCUGUUGCUUUCCAUGAAUCUGUUGCACGGCCCCAUUCAAAACCUUUGCCUGUGGUUUUACCGCAAACUUGUUCUCAUGAUCAUCCGUGCGGCGCGCAGUCGGGUGCGGCAUGGUGGAAGAGCGCAGCCACUUUUGCCACGUGCGGUCGUGGACUUGCGUUUCAUGCGGGAAAUCUGAGUUCCUUACUUGGAAAAACUAAUCUGACCACCCUAAAGCAAAUGAUAAGUACCUAAGGGAACUUGCUAGUUUUGUAAAAGAGGUAGCUGGGGCUUUCUUCUCUUUAUGGGAAGCCAUAAGGAGUCCCCGAGCCUUCAGCAUCGAAUUAUCUCCUGACCAUAAGAAAGGAGAGCAGGGAACAAGUAAAAACGACCCAUGUAUUGUUCGGAUUCCUAGCCAUGAAUGGCGAUACACUGUGAAGCAACUAAAUCCGAUUAAGAUAGGCUAAGCCUCAAAAGAAAUCGGGGUAUGUUGUUAUCGAAGAGAUCAAAAAUACCUCAACAAUUGUUCGGAAGAGAAGAAUGGCCUUUUCUAGUAGCCAUAUAAAGAGUAGAAAUUGUUCUCAAGGUUAAAGCUUCUGACCUGUUUGAAAGCAUUGCGGGUGUCGCAAAUUUGGUUCUUUUUUCUUUUCUUUUCUUUUCUGGUGAAUCUCUGUGUAGCUUUCUGUUUGGCCAGCUGAUCAAUAUGUGUCAUUUUACAUUCUUUGCUGGUAUACUAUGGUUUUGCUCAUAUGUCCGUAUGAACUGGGAUAAAUAGAUGCCUUGGAGACACGAGCACAGCUGCAAUUUCGAAAGCUUUCUUCUAACACUAACAUCAUUAAGUAAUCCAAAUCAAAAUGAAAGAUGUCAGCUUUUUCAUCUCUUUCCCAUAUCAACACAGUUGCUGCUUACUGGCCAUCCUGUUGAUAAUAUAGUUGAAGUUUGUCAUUGCAGAAUGAGAGUCGUUACAUCGUAUGGUCUUCAUUUUACCUUUGAGAGGUGACAAUUACAAAUUUGCUGUGGCAAAGGCAUCAAUUUGCAAUCUAAGACUACGUCGUCUCACUGGCUGAUGUGUUUUUGGCCAGGAGCUUGAAUUGUUGCUUCAGUCGGACAUUCAAGUUGCUGGGGCCAAGGUGAGAAAAAAAAUGCUGAAAUGUAGAUUUUCUUUUCAGGAGGCUUUAGUUCAAGAUAACUGAAUUUUGGUUGACUGUAGAUGUUAGAACCAAACUUUUCCCACUCUUCGUGUGCUAAAGAAUUUACAGUUCGUGUAUGCAAAACUAGAUAGAUACUAUGCAGAUGCUCGAGACAAGUCUGUACAAACUACACACAUCUGAUGUUUGUAUUUGAGGAAAUAAUUAGACCCGCAAGCUUCCUGACUAGUUGAUUCAUAAUCAAAUUAUGCAUCCCAAUAGUAACGUUGAUACAUGACAGAGCACCCAAGUCUUGCACUUCAAAAAUAUGAUAUUUGUCUGCUGUUACUGCAGAGAACGACAAUCUUAGAUGUCAACUAUAGCAUUGAGUCCAAUUGACUUGCAUAAGAAUGCAAGUUGAAACAUCUAACCGAAAGGUGUUCUCCUGACUCUCGAAUUCUUUUCAUCUUGGUAAGUGCCUGCCCAACUCUGCAACUACAUGCACUUCCCUUGCGGCUUUUGGAACCAGCAGUGCACGCAUGUGGUUCUUCUUUCCGCUUUUUCCUGUAGAAUUGCAAUUUUUUUCAUCUAAUUCAGCUAUAGCAGGGUUGUAGGGUACUUCCACUAUUCCAGCAACCUGUAUUAAAAAAUGUUUGGUAUAAGCGCAUUUUCUGUUGAUUAUUAAAAAAAUGUUUGGUAUUGUGGAGGAUGAGUCCAUUUAUAUGACGUUCAAAAAGGAAUAUGGCUAUUUAGCACAUUUUAUGGCAGCAUCUUGUAUCCAUUUGUUGGCUAAAGUCUGUUUAGUAAGAGAGCCCUUGUGUGAUGGAAGUGCAUCGUGGGUCAAACACAUUUGAUAUGAGUAAUCAAUGGGCAACGGAAUUCAUUGGAGUCCUAAGCACCGAGAUUUGGGUCCCUUAUCAUCUUGCGAAGGUCACAUUAGUACUCACUGGUAUCAUCUUUGAUGAACGAAGUGUAAAAUAUGAGUUGAAGGAAGUUGGUGGCAAUCUUUUACUGUAGUGGAGGUUAAUCUGUGAUGAUUAAGAUUGCACUGCACACUACCGUAAAAGUCAAACCUGUAAAAUUUACCACAGAUGCUGCAUAGGAAGCACGGUUUGGUAGAUCUAAUAUAAGCACGGUUCUGUCCCCUCUGCAUUCCACAGGCAAGGGUGAGUCCCAUGCAUCAGUUUGUGGAUCGCGCUUUCACACACUAAUCCCUACAGAUUCCUGUGGGAGGACCAAAUCCUAUUGAUUUUAAUUUUCAGCAGGUUCCUUUAUCAUUUGAUAUGAACUUGGAAGUUAAUCAUCUUCUCAGGUUUAUAAAAGCCUGAAUGCUUAUUGUGGAAAACAAUUCCCAGGAGACUUGUCAUUAUGCUAAGUCAAAUAAUGAAGCUAAGUACAUGAUCUACAGAAGAACUUAAGACUGCAGGACUGUCAAAUGCUUCUGCUAAUUCAAUAGCAGAUACUUAAAAAUUGUAACCUUUAACUGGAGUGCGAAUGUUACUGAAGAGACCAAAAAUACUAUGACAAUCAUUACAACGAGGAGGUUGGGGAGAUGUUUCAUUGUUUGUUUCAAUGUUACCAAAGAUCCUACUAGAUCAAAAGAUUUGGAAGUUUUUUUCUUUACUGAAAAGAGAAAAAAGAGGCAUGUUAAUGAAAAAUGGUGCUUUUUACUAGCAUUUUCAGAUGUUGACUCUUUAUUAUCACAUUGGCACGUGUCAAAUGUUGUCAUAUGGCCGUUUCUAGUUGCCAAAAUAAGGUUUUGAACUAGGAUAAAUAGAUGCCUUGGAGACGCGAGCACAGCUGCAAUAUAGAAGUUUUGUUCUAUCGUGACAAAGUUAUCCAUAUCAAAAUGAAAAAUGUCAGUUUUUUCAUCUCUGUCCCAUAUGCACGGGUACUGCUUCUUAGCUAUUCUGAUGAUAAUUUUGUUUGAGUUUGUCAUUGCAGAAUGACAAGAGUGAUUAUGUCAUAUAGUCAGCAGUUUACCUCUCAGAGGUGACAACUAGAUCUUUGUUGCUGCGAAUGCGUCAACUUGCUUUGGCAAAUAAUAUUUAUAAAGGCAGCGACUUCUUUUUGUGAUAUAUCCUGUUUGUAUCUGGAAGCUCUUGGAUCUGGGUGAUGCAAUCUAAGACUAUGUUGUCUCACAGGCUGAUUGGUUUUCGUGGGGAGCUAGAAUUGUGGCUUCAGUCAGAGAUUCAAGGUGCCAGGGCCAAGGUGAGAAAAGAAUGCUGAAAUAUGGAUUUCUUUUUUGGGAGGCUUUAGUUCAAUAUAACCGACUUUUGGUAGACUGCAGAUGUUAGAACUGAACUUUUCCCAUCGUCAUGUGCUGGAAAAUAAUUUUUGUAGUUCAUGAAUGCAAAGCCAUAUAGAUAGUAUGCAAAAGCUUGAGACUAGUCUGUGCAAACUACUUACAUCUGAUAUUCUUUUUUCGAGGAAAUAAUAAGACCCACAGGCUUCCUGACAAGUUGAUUCAUAAUCAAAUUAUGCAUCCCUUUGUUAGCACUCCAACUCAUAACAUAGACCAAACAAGUUUUUUUUUUUUUGGUAAAAAGACCAAACAAGUUUUACACUCAAAAAUAUGAUAUUUUUGUGCUUUUGCUGCAGAGAAUAACAAUCUCAGAUGUCGAGUGUCAGCAGUGAUUCUGCGUAAGUUGACACAUCAAACAGGAAGGCGGUCUCCUGCCUCCCCAAUUCUUUUCUUCUUGAUAAGUGCCUUCCCAACUCUGCAACUACAUGCGCUUUGGUUGCAUCAUUUUGAGACCAGCAUUGCACAUCUUGUUUUUAGUACCCCCAGUCGUGUGCUCACUCUGUCCUCUUUUUUCUGCAGAGUUGCAAUUGUUUCAUCUAGUUCAGCGAUAGCAGGGUCUUCAGGUACUUCCACUUUUCCAGCAACCUGUAUCUGGUACUAGCAAGUUUUCCGUUAAUGGCACUGGUGGCAUCUUAUUGUGGAGGAUGAGUCUAUAUAUAUAUGACGUUAAAAAGGAACAAGGCUAUUCGCUGCAGCAAAUGGCACUGGUGGCAUCUUAUAUCCAUUAGAUAGCUAGAGUCUGUUUGGUAAGAGAGCACUUCUGGGAUGAAAAUGCACUGUGGGUAAAACGCGUUUGAUAUGAGGAAUCAAUGGGCAAGGGCAAUCAUUGCACUUGUAAGCACCCGGACUCAAGUCCCUUAUCUUCUUGCAAAGGUCACAAUGGUAGUCACCGGUAUCAUCUUCAAUGAACGAAGCAUAGAGUGUGAGUUGAUGGAAGUUAAUGGGAAUCCUUUACUGUAGUGCUAGGCAAUCUGUGAUGAUUAUGAGUGCAAUGCACACAACUGUAGAAGUCGAACCUGCAAAAUUUACCACAGACAUUGCAUAGGAAGCACGGUUCGGUAGGUCUAAAUUAAGAAAGAGUAUUUGGUUGUGGAGGUGAUGUUUCAAAGUGGGCCUGUCAAAAGUGCAUGGAAUAUUGAAGCCGUAGUCACUUUCCGUGCAGUGAAAGAGCGUCGACAAUCUUUACGACAUAUUUCAACAAUGCUCCUUCCUGAUACUAAAAGAAAAAGGAUGUGCGGGGUGAAAGGUUAUUGCAUAACAGAGGGCAAUUCAUCACAAGAAUUAUGGAGCUGAAAAGAGCUGCUCUGCUCCAGCCAGUGAUAGGCUAAACAUUUGACGCAUUCAUCACGAGUCUUGCACAGACCAUCCUUCAUAUGACAAUACCAGCGGCAGAGGAUGAACGUGAGAAAGAAGAGGCAAUCAAGACAAGCAGAGACCUCACCUGGUAUGUUCUCUUCGCAAGCUUUGCACUGGAUUCUGCUCUCGAGCUUUGUGUGUAAGACCAGUCGAUGCUGAUUGUUGAAAUGGUUAAAAACCUAGUCCUUAUUGGCUCCAGAUCUUGUGAACGUAGCCGUGCAGUCCAUGUCGAGGCUGAAUUUGCAUUCGCUGCAGGAGGAAACCACGGUAAGCAUUACAUUUAGCUCCUCCAAUCGAUCGAAAGCAAGAGAGGGUGAUCAUGGAGAGACGGGUGUUGCAUCUCUGUGGGGGAUUCGGCACAGUGUUUACUCAUUUCUCAUUCCCUGUUUGUCCCUUUCACGUGGCCUCCCCCCUUUUCCGUCUCCUCUCUAAAAGUUUCCACAAAUAUUCCUCCUCAAUUCCUCAUUCUUUCUCUGUCACGAAAAGAUGACAUAUAUGAUGAAAUUUGGACGAUGCAUAGGCAUUUUUCAUAUGUGGCGAUCAUCUUCAUUUCACUAGUUUUUAUGAUUUUUUUGCUAAAAUUCGAAUUUAUUAUGGUUUGACGAACCGCAUAGGGUUGGACGAUGCGGCGUCACGUGAUGAUCUUAUGUCCCCAAGGGGCACAUAUGAGAUCUCAAUUGAAGUUGAAGAUUUUUUUUAACAAAAAAAAAAAAAUUGAAGUAAAAUUGAGAUUAGAAUUAAAGUUGUGCAUCUUUUUAGGAAAUUAGCCCAUAAUGAUUCAUGCUUCCAUCAAAAUAAUCCAAAGUGUCUCACAUCGAAGAAAGUGGGAUCUUUUUUUAUUUAUUUUUUCGUGCUCCUCUUGACCAGACUCUGUUUUCAUUUUUUCUCCCUUUUUGCUCUAAUAAUUCCCUUACCACGGCGUCAACUGAAGCAAGACUAAAGAAAGGGCUCUAACGAGAUACUUGGUCUGGGCUUACUGUUAUGCUCUUAUUUAUUAAUUUUGCCAGCCCGGUUAUUGAAACUUUAUUCUUGUACAUGAAUCUUCCGGGUUAAUUGCACACACUGCAGAAACACAGUAAAAACUAAAUCGGCAAGUUUAAAGGCGUCUCCCCACUGUCCACCCCAGCAGUGGGGUGAACGCAGGGACAUGAUUGAUGUUCCUGCUUCUUUUAUUCGAGGUGACAUUUGCACCUAUUCAUGCUGUGAAUAUUAAUGAUGUCCAAAUUUCACUUCGAAUAAAAGAAGCAGAAGCGAAGCAUCAAUGAUGUCCCUGCCUGCGCCCAACACGGCGCCAUGGAUCUUACCCCAUCGUCUCUAUCCUCGUCGAUUUCAUCCAAGUGAGAUAUAGGGGAAGUCGACUUCGCCCUUUGAAACCCACCCCGUCGCCAUCGGCGUUGCCAUCUGCAGCCUGCUCCUGCGUUUCUUGUUGCUGCGUCUCGCUGAUCGGUACCACCGUCUAGCGGCCGUGCUCCUUCUCGGGAUGGAGCAUGGCACCUCUUCAUCGACUUCAUCGGUUCGAUAUUGGUGGCUUCGUUCGUGUGGUUGCUGCUCCUGACUCCUCCCACUCUGUCCCCUGGUUGUUCGUGCUGCUCCUGCUGCUUUCCGUGAGUCUAUUGUGCGGCCUCAUGCAAAAACUUUGUCUGUGGUUUUACGACAAAAUCCUCAUGAUGAUCAUCCUUGCCGUGCAGCGUGGUCUCCCGGUCGUGGAUCAGCGUUUAAGGCCGCAUGUCUAAGCUAGUUUUGUAUAAGAUGCACUCGGGCCUUUCUUCCGUUUAUAUGAAAACAUAAGGAGUCCCCAAGCCUUUUGCAUCAUCAAAUUAUCUCCCAACCAUAAGAAAGGAGAGCAGGGGACAAGUACAAACCACCUAUGAACGGUGAUGGACCUUGUAGCGACUAGAUCUGAUUAAGAUAAGCUAAGCCCUCAAAAGAAAUUGGGAUCUACCGUUAUUGAAGAGAUCAAAGAUAACCUCAGCAAUCGUUUUGACGAGUAGUUCUACUCUAGUAGCCAGGUAAGAGAUAGUAAUUGUUCUUGAGGUUAAAGCUUCUGACCUCUUUGAAAACAUUGUGGAGUGUUGCAGAUUUUCCUUCUUUUUCUGGUGAAUCUCUUCGUAGCUUUCUGUUUGGCCAGUGGAUGGAUAUGUGUCAUUUUACAUUCUUUGCUGGUGUACUAUGGUUUUGCUCAUUUUUCCAUAUGAACUGGGAUAAAUUGAUGCCUUGGAGAGGCGAGCACAACUACAAUUUCAAAAGCUUUGAUCGAACGCUAACAUCAACGAGUGAUCCAAAUAAAAAUGAAAGAUGUCAGCUCUUUCAUUUCUGUCCCAUAUACACCAUUACUGCUUAAUAGCUAUUCUGAUGAUAACAUAGUUGUAAUUUGUCAUUGCAGAAUGUGGGAGUCAUUACAUCAUAUAGUCUUCAUUUGACCUCUGAGAGGUGACAACUAGAUCUUUGCUGUGGCAAAAGCAUUAACUUGCAAUCUAAGACUACAUUGUCUUGCUGGCUGAUUGACAUUCAAGUUGCCAGGGCCAGGUGAGAAAAGAAUGCUGAAAUGUUGAUUUUUUUUUUUUUUUUUCUGUAGGCUUUAUUUCAAGAUUACUAAAUUUUGGCAGACUGUAGAUGUCAAAACCAAACUUUUCCAUCUUCAUGUGCUAUAGAAUUUACAGUUUAUGUAUGCAAAGCUAGAUAGAUAGUAUGCAGACGCUCGAGACAAUUCUGUACAAACUACACAUCUCUAAUGUUCGUAUCUGUGGAAAUAAUUAGACUGGCAAGCUACCUGACAAGUUGAUUCAUCAUCAAAUUAUGCAGCCCAAUGUUAAUACUCCGAUUCAUAAAAUGGAGCACACAAGUCUUGCACUUCAAAAAUAUGAUAUUUAUCUGCUUUUACUGCAGAGAACAACAAUCUUGCAUGUUGACUCUAGCAGCGAGUCCAAUUGACUUGCAUAAGAAUGCAAGUUGAAAAAUCAAACAGAAAGGUAGGUUCCCCUGACUCCCAUAUUCUUUUCAUCUUGUUAAGUGCCUUUCGAACUCUGCAACUACGUGUAAUUUGCUUGUGGCUUUUGGAAACCAGCAUUGAACAUCUUUUCUUGAGUACCUCCAAGUAUGUGCCCACUUUUUUCUGCAGAAUUUUAAUUUUUUUCAUCUAGUUCAGCAAUAGCAGGGUCUUCAGGUACUUGCACUAUUCCAGCAACUUGUAUUAAACACUGUUUGGUAUUGGUGCAUUUUCGGUUGAUUAUUACUUACUGUGGAGAUUAGUCUCUAUAUAUGAUAUUAAAAAGGAACAUGACUAUUCACCACAUUGUACGGCAGCAUCUUGUAUCCAAUUUUGGCUAGUCUGUUUAGCAUGAGAGUUCUACUGUGAUACAAGCGCACCAUGGUAAAACAUAUUUGAUACGAGUAAUAGAUGGGCAAGGGCAUUAAUCACAUUCAUAAGCACCCAGAUUCGUGUCUCUUAUCUUAUUACAAAGGGGACAAUAGUACUGCUAACUGGUAUUAUCUUUGAUGAACAAAGCAUAACUGUGGGUUGAUGAAAGUUAAUGGCAAUCUUUUACUGAAGUGGAAGGCAAUCUGUGAGGAUUAAGAUUGCACUGCGCACAACUGCAAAAACCUAAUUUACAGUUUAACUACAAAAACUCUUUAAUUA